RNAcentral lists this long non-coding RNA (266608 nucleotides) under Triticum aestivum (bread wheat). Its description in RNAcentral is "long non-coding RNA (TAES_LNC012676)". The stretch from base 124283 to 124396 matches the Rfam family "MIR1120/MIR1122 microRNA precursor family". The record is from RNAcentral. Lineage: Eukaryota; Viridiplantae; Streptophyta; Magnoliopsida; Poales; Poaceae.
AAAUAUUUUUGGACCAUAUAGAAGACAAGGUUUCGAUAACAAAUACACGACUUGAUCUUAUGGUAUAUGAUAUUGUACACAAAGCAUAUAUGAUAAGCACUCUGUCUGCAUACUACUUCUUCCAAAAGAAAGUUCCACAGGUAUCAUAAGGUAACAAGACAUAACCGCCUUGCUAUUCUAUGAUCUGCCUAGGACUUCUCUUUGGAAAAUGACAAGGCGCUCCUUUAUUUUUGCAUCCUUAGAGCGAGCACACAACAAUCCACAACAUAUGUAAGCAUCUUACUUUGGGAGCACAACCUUAUAGAUAGACCUCAAUGACAGCUUGAGCUCCUAGCUUCUUCACAAUCUUAUAGCCACUGAACCCUGCCUUGAUGAAGAUCUCGCUCCAGUCCUUCUCGUCCCGCUGUCGGCCUCUUGUCACCACUAGCAUGACCAUAUCCAUGAGGUGCUGGGUUUCCAGCAUUGGCCCUGAAACAGAUCCAAGCACAAUGUCUAUGACGAUGACUUUUCCUCAGGCAUCUCGGGGAGGAAUGGCCUUCUUGCAUUGUGCCAAGAUCUUGACGCAAUCCUCGUCCUUCCAGAAGUGCAGUACAAGCUACAUUACCAUGCAUGGAUAAACUUGUAGUUUAAGGUUAAUCAAGCUUGACUAGGAUGAAAAUGUGAAGGGAUUUUUAUUAAUUUAAGCUGUUAUUAUUUCAGAAAUGAAAACUAAUUAUGGUGCUUUAAUAUUUCGCUUGGAAUAUUAAAUUAUGGAAUGUGCAACAUUCAUAUCAUAUAUACCUUGACCAACACGGCUUGAGCAGGUGGGACAACGUGGAACAGGUCACCGGAAACAUACUUAACUGCUCCUUCUUCAGUGGGAAGAACUUUGUCCAUGACCUUUGGAAGGUCCAGCACAGUGCACGUGAUGUGAGGGUAGGCCUCGACGAUGGACCUCGCGGUAGUCCCAUCGCCACCGCCGCAGUCAGUGAGAGUCUCAAGCCCCUCGAACAGCUCACUGCACUGCCGGAGCACGGGGCCGAUCCCCAUGUGGUCGUGGGCAGCGAGGGCGUCGUGGAGCAGCUGAUCCAUCUCCGGGUCGAGGAGCACCAUGCUCUCCUCGAAGAUGGCCGCGCCAUGCACGUCCUCGAAGGGCGAGGGGACGGCUCCAUCGAAGUCCUUCCUGAACCAGUCCGCCAGCCCCAUGGCCGCCUCCACGUAGUAGCGCGAGGCCGCGGCGCGCACGAGGGCCGUCUGGCUAGCGUCGCCGACGAUGCGGACGUCGUCUACCAGGAGGUACGAGAGCGGGUUGAGGCGGUACGUUCCGACGUCGGUUGCACUGAAGAUCGCCCGCCGUGGCGAGUUGGCGCAGCAGGCGGGCGAGGAAGGGCAGCUUGGACGUGGGGAGGGAUAGGGCGGCGACAAGUUCGGAUGGGGACGCGGCGCCGCCGAGGCGGUGGAUGGCGGUGGGGACGCCAAGGUCGACGGCGCACUGGAGCGCCAUAGGCGUGAGGUAGCAGAGGGUGUUGGAUGUAAUCUCAAUGUAUCUGCCCCGUUUCCUUAGCUUAUUUUGUUUUUCUGUCACAUAAUAAGCACGACUGAAUUUGUCCACCAGAAACGUGCUACGCUCACGUUGCGGUGUAGUUUCGGUUCCUAGUUUUCAGGCCUAGCUGGUAGCUCUAGACUUGGCACGAUCCAAGCUCGUGGGAUGGCGCGCGCAUAUACUGGAUCGUGGCGAGAUUUUCGUUUUUCUGUUAAGCAACUGAAUAAAGGGAAGAACAGAAAAGACACACGGUUUACGCGUCGCAAAAAUCUCUCUGUGUGGCUGCGUUCCUUCUCUGUUCCCUUCCACCUCGUGUGUGUGUGUUGUGUUCUUCAGAGAAAGAAAUUGAGAGAGAGAGAGAGAGAGUCGAUCACUGCUAGAAAUCCAACAUUUGCUAUACAGAGCUUUAGGUUAGGACCUUGGGCGUUUGGCGGCGGUGGUCGGAGGAGCUUUGGCGGCGGCGAUGGGGGAUACGUCUCCUAAGAAAAGCGACGGGAAGAGCAGCGGCAACGGUGGCAGAAAGUACACGCCGCCGGCGGCCAGGAGGUCGACCACAGGCGAUGGUGACGGUGCUGUGGUACUGGCUGCUCCGUCGAGAGCCACCAAUGUGCCCGUGCAGUACCCGAUGCUGACGGACACGAAUUAUUCUCUAUGGGCCAUCAAGAUGAAAGUGCUGAUGAAGGCGCUCCGCGUCUGGUCGGCGAUUGACGGCUUCGGCGAGUACGACCAAGCGCCGGACGAGGGGGCCUUCGCGGCGCUCUCCCAAUCCGUCCCGGAUCAUGUUAUGCUCCAGGUUGCGGACUGCGACACCGCGCAAGAGGCGUGGGAGAUGAUCCGAUCUGCGCGCGUCGGGGAGGAUCACGUGAAGAAGGCGCGUGCGCGGCAACUGAAGAGGCAGUUCGAUCGCCUCGACAUGGCGGACGGGGAAACUAUCCCGGAGUUUGCCAGGAAACUCACCACGCUGGUGAGCGAAAUCCGCUCCCUCGGCGUCACCCUUGGGGAAGAGGCCGUGGUGGAGCGUCUGUUCAGCGCCGUGCCGGAUCGCUUCGCCGACAUCGUCAACACCAUCGAGCAGUGGGGCGAUGUCGCCACGAUGACGGUGCAGGAGGCUGUCAGACGCCUCACGGCUUUCGAGGAGAACCAGCUGGGGCGCCGCCAGAGCCGUGGCGACAACAAUGAGCAGCUGAUGCUCGUGACCCGCGCGCUGGAAACCCUUAUGAAGGGGAAGAAGAUCGUCAACAACAAUGGGGCCUCCGGCUCUGGUGCAAAGAAAGGUGGCGGCCAUAACGGAGGCCAAGGCGACGGGCAGGACAAAGGCCGUGGUGAUCGCGGCCAGAACAAUGGAAAGGCAAAUAGAAAAAGCAUCCUAAGUUUGACAUCUCGAAAGUAAAAUGUUUUAACUGUGAUGUGAAUGGCCACUUUGCCUCGGAUUGUCUGGAGCCAAAGCGGGAGCGAGCUAACCUGACGCAGAAACAGAGUGAUGAAGAUCCGGCUCUCCUGAUGGUUGAAGCUUGUGAGUUGGUUCAUGAUGCUCGACUGACAGAAAAAAGGCUCAUGCUGAAUGAACAAAAGGUCACACCUAAGCUUUCAGGAACUGCAAACAAGUCCUGGUACUUGGAUACUGGAGCUAGUAACCAUAUGACCGGUUGUGUUGAAAAGUUUGCUGAAUUGGACCGAAAGAUCACAGGUUCAGUUCGUUUUGGGGAUGGUUCAGUCGUUGGCAUUGAAGGGCGCGGGUCAGUCCUGUUCCUAGCUCAUAAUGGUGAGCACCGUCUCCUAACAGAGGUGUACUACAUCCCAAGAUUAAAGAGCAACAUUAUUAGUCUUGGGCAACUCGAUGAGUUUGGUUGCAAGUAUUCAGUGGAUGAAGGACUGAUGACAGUCCUCGACAAGGAGCGCAAGGUGCUAGCAAAAGUAAGAAGAGCACCAAACAGAUUGUACAUUCUGAAUAUUGAGCAGUCUGAACCGGUGUGUCUGCUGUCGAGAGCAUCAGAAACACCCUGGCUAUGGCAUGCACGUUUUCGGCACAUAAGCUUCCAUGCAUUGCGGUUAUUGUCCAGAGAGAACAUGGUGAUGGGUCUGCCAAUGAUUAAUCAGGUAGAUCGUCUCUGUGAGAGCUGUCUAGUCGCAAAGCAGAGGCGAGCUCCUUUUCCCGCUGAAGCUUCCUAUCGAGCUGACAAGGCACUGCAAUUGCUCCACGGGGACCUUUGUGGUCCUAUCUCCCCUGCAACCUUUGCAGGGAAGAAUUAUUUUCUGCUACUUGUUGAUGACCACACAAUGUACAUGUGGGUUGUGCUGAUCAAAAGCAAAGAUGAAGCACUUGAGGCAGUUAAGAAGAUAAGAGCAGCAGUAGAGGUUGAGCUGAAUCUAAAAGUCAUGGCCCUGCGGACAGAUCGUGGAGGGGAAUUCACUUCCAAGAACUUUGCUCAGUUCUGUGAAGGACUCGGAAUCAAGCAUUACUUGACUGCACCGUAUUCUCCUCAACAGAACGGUGUUGUUGAGAGGAGGAACCAGACUGUGGUGGGCAUGGCAACAAGCCUGCUGAAGAGCAAAGGGUUACCUGGUCAGUUUUGGGGUGAAGCAAUAACUACUGCAGUGUACUUGCUGAAUCGAGCACCAACAAAAAGUGUCCAUGGCAUGACCCCGUAUGAAGCCCUGUACAAGGUGAAGCCGAGAGUAGAUCACCUGCGCACGUUUGGAUGCAUUGGUCAUGUAAAGAAGGUCCGGGGGCAUCUUCCAAAACUUGCUGACCGGAGUUCAGAGAUGGUGUUUAUUGGUUAUGAGCCAAACAGUAAAGCAUACAGAUUAUUCGAUCCACGCACGAAGAAACUGUGUGUGUCUCGAGAUGUUGUGUUCGAAGAGGAUAGAUGCUGGGAAUGGACCCCCGGCGACAUUGUGGGGAGCUCGGAGACUUUUUCAGUGCAGUACAAUGUACACCUCGAUGAUGCACAUACUGUUGCCCAGCCAAAGCGUACUGUUCAUCAUCCGACAACAGAAAGUCUGAAGGAGAACAGACUCACAUCUGAAGAAAUAGCUGCAGGUUUCAGACCAGAGGAUUUUGUCACUCCUGCCAGAUAUGAAGCAUCUUCUGGACCUCGGUUUGUGUCACCUCCUACUGGUGCCUCGACGCCAACAAGCACUGAGGGACCACGCAGGUACCACCUCUUGGAAGAAGUCAUCGAGGAAGCACCGGUGGCUACUCUGACAGACUCGUGUCUGCUCGGCAUCGAAGAGCCAACAUCUGUUGAAGAUGCCAGCAAGGAAGCAGCAUGGAAAAAUGCCAUGCAGAUAGAGCUUAAGUCAAUUGAGGAGAACCACACCUGGGAACUUGUUGAUCUACCAAGCGGACACAAGGCAAUUGGACUAAAGUGGUUAUACAAACUAAAGAAAGAACCUGAUGGCAGAAUUGUGAAACACAAAGCAAGAUUGGUAGCUAAAGGCUAUGUGCAGCGUGAGGGAGUUGAUUUUGAGGAGGUGUUUGCUCCUGUAGCCCGAUUGGAAACAAUUCGAUUGCUCAUUGCCAUUGCAGCACAACAGAGUUGGGAAGUACAUCACAUGGAUGUGAAAUCAGCUUUUCUGAAUGGCGAAUUAAAAGAGGAAGUAUAUGUCACUCAGCCCCCUGGGUUUGUACUCGAGGGACAAGAACAGAAGGUUCUGAAGCUGCAUAAGGCUCUAUAUGGUUUGAAACAGGCACCCAUGGCGUGGAAUGAGAAACUGCACAACACUCUGGUUGACUUAGGAUUUGAGCAAUGCCCAAUUGAGCAUGCUGUGUACAGGAGGUCGAAGCUUGUUGUAGGGGUGUAUGUAGAUGAUCUGAUCAUCUCAGGACCAAGCCCAACUGAAAUUGGUGAGUUCAAAGAGCAAAUGAAGAACCUUUUCAGUAUGAGUGAUUUGGGACUAUUAAGCUACUACCUUGGUAUAGAAGUUAAACAGCAGUCAAAUGGGACGUUUCUGAGCCAAUCAAGCUAUGCAACAAAGAUUCUGGAGAAGUGUGGGAUGAGCAACUGUUAUGCUGUUCAAACUCCAAUGGAAGCUCGGCUACAUUUGAGCUAGUUCAGCACUUGCAAAGCUGUUGAUCCCACUCUGUACCGUAGCAUUGUGGGAAGUUUGAGGUAUUUGACCCAUACCCGUCCAGAUAUUACAUAUGCUGUGGGGAUUGUAAGCAGGUAGAUGGAGAAGCCUGCAUCUGAUCACCUAGAGGCAGUGAAGCAAAUUCUGCGGUACGUGAAGGGAACACUGAAUUUUGGUUGUUUCUAUAAAAGAGAAGAAGAAACUUCCAUGUCGCUGUGUGGUUACAGCGACAGUGAUUUGGGGGGUGAUGUUGAUGACAGAAAGAGCACUACUGGAAUCAUUUUUUACCUUGGAUCAAGCCCAUUAACUUGGCUCUCAAAGAAGCAAAAGGUAGUAUCACAUUCAUCAUGCGAAGCUGAGUAUGUUGCAGCUGCAGUAGCUGCUUGUCAGGGUGUGUGGUUGAGCAGAAUGCUCACUAGCCUGACAGGGCUUGAGGGCGAGCAAGUGGUUCUGAAGAUUGAUAACCAGUCACCCAUUGCAUUGAGUAAAAACCCGGUGCAUCACGAGAGAAGCAAGCAUAUUGACAUCAAGUACCAUUAUAUUCGUGAGUGCGUCGAAGAUGGGAGCAUUGCAGUGGAGCAUGUGCGCACAGGAGAUCAGUUGGCCGAUCUUCUGACGAAGCCACUAGGACGACUGAAGUUCCUUGAGUUCAGGGAGAGACUUGACAUGCGCACGCUGGAGCAGAUACCUCAAGAUUAAGGAGGUGACUGUUGGAUGUAAUCUCAAUGUAUCUGCCCCGUUUCCCUUAGCUUAUUUUGUUUUUCUGUCACAUAAUAAGCACGACUGAAUUUGUCCACCAGAAACGUGCUACGUUCACGUUGCGGUGUAGUUUCAGUUCCUAGUUUUCAGGCCUAGCUGGUAGCUCUAGACUUGGCACGAUCCAAGCUCGUGGGAUGGCGCGCGCAUAUACUGGAUCAUGGCGAGAUUUUCGUUUUUCUGUUAAGCAACUGAAUAAAGGGAAGAACAGAAAAGAUGCACGGUUUACACGUCGCAAAAAUCUCUCUGUGUGGCUGCGUUCCUUCUCUGUUCCCUUCCACCUCGUGUGUGUGUGUGUUGUGUUCUUCAGAGAAAGAAAUUGAGAGAGAGAGAGAGAGAGAGAGUCGAUCACUACUAGAAAUCCAACAGAGGGUGUGGCGCCACAGGUCCGACUGCGCCUGGAGCAGCUCCGUGUCGGUGGGGACAAACACCUUCUCUGCCUGGCCUGCCAUUGGCCAUGAUCUCUAUCUCUCACAGCUGUACGUGGUGUGCACUUCGAUCUGGUAGAUAUAUAGGGGACGGAGGACACUCUCAUAUAACAUAGCAAUGUGUUUGCUGUCAUUUCUCGUGGAACACGAGGGUGACGACCAUGACACUAUAUGGCUAUCGACAGGCCGGGGUAGCGUGUCACGACUGUUUCAAUAAAAAUAUUUAUCGAGAAACCGAUCUUUUAGUUCCCAGUGUGAGGAAAAUCCUCCUCACUGGUAGACAAAUCUUUGAUACAAUAAGCCAGUAGCAUUAAUAUCUUACAGGGGUCGAGCUGAGGUUGCUCAACAAUUUAUUACAAGCGCGCCAAUAAUUAUACAUAGAGGCGGAUAUGACACAAAGGUGGGGGUGGUAUUUCUACUGACUCGUAAUAAAAAUGAUUGGUGGAACAUCAUAGUGGGGUGGGCAGUGUGACUACUAACCGGUGACUCAUCGAGCGCCGAGAAGAGGCUCGAUGAAUUUAUUUGGGUAGCGGAAGCGGAUAUAAUACAGUGACCAAAUCCAGGGUCGCACGAGACUGACUGGGACUCCUCUAGGCGUCGGACUCGCUAUCGAACUCUUCAUCCAUGAGACCGCCUUCGUCAGCAUCUGGCCAAAUCAACAAGCCAGGUGAGUACUUUGAAAGUACUCGUAAGACAGUUCGGACAAUAGAUAUAACAAAUGCAUGCAUGAAUGCGUCAAGAGUACUUUUAACAAUGCACAUUUAAUUCAUAAGAACAAGGUAAGUAAAGAGGGAGUCGGCGGUAGUCCGCUCGAAAACCCAACAAAAUAAACUGCAAACUGAUCGGGUGUCUGAAGCGACGCCUCGAAAGGAAAACUAAAUAAAUAAAAAUAUGCCGCAGUCGGGCGUCUAAGCGACACCACAUAAAGGGCUUGUACUGAAAGUAAAAGACAUGAGUGCCGCAGUCGGAUGUCGGGGCGACAUCACAGAAAGGGCUUAUAUCAAAAGUAAAUAAUAACAAUACCGCAGUCGGACGUCUGAGAAACGUCACAGAGAGGGCUUAUAUCAAAAGUAAAUAAUAACAAUGCCGCAGUCGGACGUCUGAGCGAUGUCACAGAAAGGGCUUAUAUCAAAAGUAAAUAAUAGCAAUGCCGCAGUCGGACGUCUGAGCGACGUCACAGAAAGGGCUUAUAUUAAAAGUAAAUAAUAACAAUACCCCAGUCGGACGUCUGAGCAACGUCACAGAAAGGGCUUAUAUCAAAAGUAAAUAAUAACAAUGCCGCAAUCGGACGUCUGAGCGACGUCACAGAAGGGGCUUAUAUCAAAAAUAAAUAAUAACAAUGCCGCAGUCGGACGUCUGAGCGACGUCACAGAAAGGGCUUAAGUUCUUUAUCCACAAUGUGCAAGGGUUAAUGCUCACAGGAAAAAUAUUCAAUACGAGGUACUGACGGGGUAGUCCAUCAUAAGAAUCAACAUUAACCGGACUUAACACUCAUAUGGCUUACCGGGGUCUUUGACAUCAAGACUGACAAUCAGACAAGAUAAUAAGGACACCGAACUUUGACAUAGAUAAGGUGAUGCAAUGGAAUUUUUGACUCUGCAGAGUUUGUACAAAAAUGCCCACAGCCAACGGAUUUCUGUAGUCCCGAAGGACUAGUUCCGUUUACGGUAUUUCAGAAGAAAACACAACAAUCCAGUACACACCCAUCCCACCUCACGUUACCAGGGAUCACCCUAGACGACGAUCAAUAUAAACUUUGAGACGGGGAGAUCACCAUCUCGAAUAGCAUGGGAUCAAAUUUAUAUACGCGCGCUCUAAGGGGUGCCCCCUCUCGGUCCCAACCGGAAACACCCAUGCCCCCUGACCGGAUGAUAGGCUUUAAUCCAGGGCCAUGGAACCCUCAUCCCGGCCUCUCAAUUUGGUGUGUACCAGGAAAGUGGUUUGCAACUUACUAAGCCAUAGCUCUUGCGGAAAACAUGUGGUAGUACGGAAAAAGGAGAUGGACGGGAGUGGAUACUGGAGUCAAAUAAUCUGGCAUAGGACUGGCAUGCUACAACACUGCCAUCUUACCCAUUUCAUGCCAUCACGUGGCCAUGCAACCUCAUUUCCAUUAACGCAUGGAUUUCCGAAACUCACUUGUCUCGACUUUUCACGUGACAAAGUUUUUAUCGAGAUGCUCAUGAACAUGCCAUGAAACUACUAAAUGCAAACAUGCCAAGACACUCAUCAUAUCAAGAGUUCAAACAUGCUUGCCUGGUUCGGAGUAGUCGGGGUCUAGCUCGGUGAAGUUCGCGGUUCCGUCACCUCCUUUGGUAUCUACGGUACACAAAACACACGCGCUAACGUAAAUACCCUGGAGUACAGAAAUGUAAUCCAAAUAGUUUUCAAAUAAACAUGAUAAAAAACUAGACAAAAUUUUGAAGAGGGCAGAAAAAGAAUCACUCAAAAAUCUCUUUCUGUUAAAAAGUUAUAAGAGUUUUGGUCCAAGGACCCAUCUGUAAUGAAACAGAAAGCUCUCAGGGGCCACCGACGCCAGGGACGAGCCAAGCGCUCGUGUGGUGCUCCAGACAGGGAGGAGGGGCUGCGAGCAACGUGCCAAGUGCACUGUCGACGCGUGACUGAACUCUGACGAAGGGAAACGACACUGAACUCUGAAACUCUGAACUUUUCUGAAAAUGCAAAGAAACAGUGCCGGCCAGGUGUUCGACAGAAUGAUUUUGGCAUGUGGGAGUUUAUCCUUGAGCUGAUUUUUGGUGGAGUGGCCUCUCAUUGCAUCUGGAGGCUGCCUGAAUUUUUGGAGCAGUGAGGAUAUGAAUUUCACCAAAUUUGACAAAUCUGGUCCAAACUUGCAGAGACUGUAAUUUGAAAUUUUUGAAAAGGAGAGGAGUGAAUCAUGAUAGUUCUAGGUUGUGGGUACCAAGGACUAUCCAGGGGAGUUGGUUUGAGGUCAAAACUCAAAUGCAUUUAGGUACUUGCUUUGCAAAUCACCUAGGCUCAAAAUAAUGGACAGAAAAGAUUUGGGAGGAGAAAUAAAUGAAAUAAAAUUCAGAAAUGGAUUGAACUUGAUGAGACAGAAUGUUUGGAUUUCCCCAAAGUGGGAAGAAGGUUUUUGGGAGGUUUUACCAUGUGGGGCAUGGUAAAAUCAUGAGAGGUUCCAAUAUAGGAGAGGACACAAGACUCCUAGGGUUUUUCUUUUGAAAGAAAAAUAAAACUCAAAAAUUUUGAAUUUGAGAAGAGGACAAACAGAAGAAAAGUUUUUAACAACCAAACACCAGAGUUGAAGAAGAAGCCAAAAUAAAAACCUUGCCAAAGGGGAAAGUCUUUGAGAGAAAUAUUUUUGGAAGAGUUUAAAAGACCUUCCUCAAAUCCAAGAAAGUUUUUGAAGGAAACCAAAAGAAAUUUUUUUGGAGUGUCACAACACCUACCCCCUUAGGAAAAAUCUCGUCCCCGAGAUUACAGCUGAUUCUCAAACAAGUGUGGUUGCUCUGCUCGAAGAAAAUCCUCUCUUUCCCAAGUGGCUUCACUCUCGGUGUGAUUGCUCCAUUGAACUCUGAAAAACUUGAUGGUUUUCUGUCGGUCCUCCUUUUAGACUCCUCUAAUAUUUUUACUGGAUGCUCUCGAUAGGUGAGGUCUGGUUGCACGUCAAUGUUUUCAUGGGGUACUUGCUUUUCUGGGUUGCUUACACACUUCCUUAAUUGGGAGACAUGAAACACGUCGUGGAUAUCGGAUAAUUCUUCGGGUAAGUCUAGCUGGUAGGCUACCGUGCCUCUUCGUGCCACUACGCAGAAUGGUCCGAUGAAUCUUGGUGCUAGCUUCCCCUUAAUCUUGAAUCGUUGCAGGCCUCUCAUAGGAGAUACUCGUAGGUAUACAAACUCAGCGGGUUCGAAACUGAUCUCUGGGCCGAAGAUACGGCUGUCACCGGUCUCUGACCAAUUUAGUGGGGUACGACAUCUCCGCCCAUACAAGGCUUCAAAGGGUGCCAUAUGUAGACUGGCCUGGUAACUGUUGUUGUAUGCAAACUCUGCGUAUGGCAAGCUUUCCUCCCAACUGGUUCCAUAAGUGAGGACACAUGCCCUCAGCAUGUCUUCUAGAAUUUGGUUUACUCGUUCAGUUUGUCCGUCAGUCUGAGGGUGGUAUGCUGUACUGAAGGCUAGCUGAGUUCCCAGAGCCUGUUGCAGGUGAUCCCAAAAUCUGGAGAUGAAUUGUGUGCCCCUGUCAGAUAUUAUAGUCUUUGGAACUCCAUGUAAGCAGACGAUUCGGGAGAGAUAAAGCCUGGCAAGAUUCUGAGUGGUGUGAGUUGUCUUCACGGGGAUGAAGUGUGCUACUUUGGUCAGUCUAUCAGUGAUGACCCAUAUGGCAUCAUGUCCGUGUCGUGACCGGGGUAGCCCAACAAUGAAAUUCAUUCCAAUCUCGUCCCAUUUCCAUUCUGGUAUCUUAUUUGGUUGCAAUAGUCGGGCUGGUUUCUGGUGCUCGGCCUUGAUGCGUUGACAUGAGUCACAACAUGCAAUAAACGUGGCUAUGUCCCUUUUUAUACCGUGCCACCAAAAUGUCUCCUGAAGAUCCUUGUACAUUUUUGUUCCUCCGGGAUGGAUUGAAUACGGGGCGGUGUGGCCUUCAGCUAAGAUUUGUUGUUUAAGGUCAUUAAUGUUUGAUACGCAAAGUCUAUGCCCGUACCACAAUAUUCCCUGCUCAUCGAUAACGAAUUCUGAGGCCUUGCCCAAGCUUACUUUCCGUUUUAUGCCUUCAAUGCUGGAGUGCCCAUGCUGAGCUUCUUUAAGUCUCUCUAUUAGAGUAGGCUGUAUUUCCAAAUUCGACACACUGCCUUCGGUGACCAUUACCAAGUUGAGUUUAGCAAAUUCCUGCUGGAAUUCGGGUUUCAGGUUUCGUAGGCUGUCGUUGUUCGGAUUGGGGUUCCGACUUAGCGCAUCUGCCACAACAUUUGCCUUGCCUGGAUGGUAGUGGAUUCCAACAUCAUAAUCCUUCACUAAUUCCAACCAGCUUCGUUGCCGUAAAUUUAGUUCCGGUUGUGUGAAAAUAUACUUGAGGCUUUUAUGGUCUGUGUAUAUUUCACAACGAUUUCCAAGUAAAAAGUGUCUCCAUUCCUCGAGUGCAUGAAUAACUGCUGCUAAUUUCAAGUCAUGAGUAGGAUAAUUUUCCUCAUGCUUGCGGAGUUGUCUGGAGACAUAUGCGACUACCUUGCCUUCUUGCAUCAAUACGCACCCGAGGCCCUUUUGAGAUGCGUCAUAAUAUACCUCAAAGUUCUUGUGUAUGUCUAGCACAAUUAAUACUGGUGAUGUUGUUAAUUUCCUUUUUAGUUCUUGGAAACUUUUCUCGCAAGCUUCCGUCCAUUCAAACUUCUUGUCUUUCUUGAGUAAUUGCGUCAUCGGCUUUGCUAUUGUGGAAAAUCCUUCAAUGAGUCUUCGGUAGUAACCUGCCAUUCCCAGAAAACUUCGUACGUCCGUUACGCUGGCUGGCGGUUUCCAGCCAAGUACGGCCUUGACUUUUUCCGGGUCUAUGGCAAUACCUUCUUGGGUCAGUACGUGGCCCAGAAAACCUACCUGUCUUAGCCAAAAUUCACACUUGCUGAACUUGGCGUAUAAUUGAUGUUUCCUGAGUUCUCCUAGUACAAUUCGGAGAUGUUCAGCGUGCUCUUCUAGUGUCUUGGAGUAUAUCAGAAUAUCAUCGAUGAAUACCACAACAAACUUGUCCAUAAAUUUCAUAAAUACUUUGUUCAUGAGGUGAACAAAAUAUGCCGGGGCGUUCGUCAAUCCAAAUGGCAUUACUGUGAACUCGUACAAUCCGUAUCUGGAGGUGAAGGCUGUCUUGGGAAUAUCUUCUGUUCGCACUUUUAAUUGGUGGUAUCCUGAUCUCAAGUCAAUUUUUGAGAAGACUUUGGCCUGUGUGAGCUGAUCAAAUAAAUCUUUUAUUCGGGGCAUUGGGUAUUUGUUCUUGAUUGUGAGCAUGUUUAGUGCUCGAUAGUCGAUACACAAUCUCAGCGUGCCAUCCUUCUUUUUUGGCAAAUAAAAUUGGUGAACCCCAAGGUGAGGAGCUGGCUCGUAUAUAUCCUUUGUCCAAUAAUUCUUUUAUUUGCUUCUUCAAUUCUACCAAUUCGGAUGGUGCCAUUCUGUAUGGUUUCUUGUAUAUGGGGGUGGUUCCGGGUGCUAGCUCAAUGCUGAAUUCUAUCUCUUGGUCUGGUGGCAUGCCUGGUAGUUCUUCAGGAAAUACGUCUGGAAAUUCACACACUACCGGAACCUUGCUUAAUUCAGAAAAAUCCACCUUGUUCAAUCUCGGUCGCCGGGAUAUUUUUCUCUCUUUGGCUGAAACUUUUAUUGUCUUCCCGUGGUGGUGUGUGAGAAUCACGGUCCGAUUGAAGCAGUCAAUAAAACCUUUGUUGGUGGUUAACCAAUCCAUUCCCAAGAUGACAUCCAGUCCUUUAUUUUCCAAAACAAUAAGGUUGGCGUAAAACUUCAAUCCUUCAAACUCAAUGAUCACACCUUGGCAGUAACUCUGGGUAAUUUGCUUAAUCCUAGGGGACUUGACGAUCAUAGAUUUUUCCAAGGGGAGCAUUGAAAAAUUAUUUUGCAAGGCAAAACUUUUCGAAACGAAUGAGUGAGAAGCUCCAGAAUCAAACAAAACCAUGGCAGGUACUGUGUUGACAGGAAAUGUACCGAGUACGAUAUCCGGGGCAUUCUGUGCUUCCUCUUUCGUCACAUGGUUCAGAUGACCCUUCCCGUGGUUGUUAUUGGGGUUGAAAUUGUUUCGCUUGGGUGCUGGAUUAUUGCCACUGUUGUUCGGCUUUGGGGUAGAGUUCCUUGGUUUGGGACACUGUUUGGCAUAGUGCCCUUCUUCUCCACAGGCGUAGCAAGUAUCGCCUGGGCGAUACGUGAACUCUUUGUCCCUCGCAUGGAAGUUCUUAACUGGGCGCGAGACGUUUGUCGUGGGUUUGUGUGUCCCACCUUUCUGAAAAUCCGUCUUGCUUCGAUGGUUGCGGGCAAGAUUAAUCUGGUCCCUUUUUCGCUUGCGGAAAUCUUCCAGGCUGCGUCUCUCAUUUUCCAAAGUAAUGGCCUUAUCCACCAGUGUCUUGAAAUCUGGAAAGGUGUGCACAACCAGUUGGCAUUUAAGCGCGGGCGUCAGACCGUCUAGGAAUUUCUCCAUUUUCUUGCUUUCGGUCAUACGCUCUUCAUUGGCGUAGCGAGAUAAUAGAGUAAAUUGACUGUUGUAUUCUGACACUGUCAUGGUCCUUUGCUUGAGGUCAUCAAAUUCUCUCUUCUUGAUCUUCAUAAGACUUUUAGAAAUAUGCGCCUCACGAAAACCUUCUUUGAAAUCCUCCCAAGAUAUAUUAUUAUCGUUGGGGUGCAUGUGUAGGAAAUUUUCCCACCAUGAUGCAGCUGCUCUAGUGAGAUAGUGCGGUGCAUAAAGCACUUUUUCGAGGUCUGAACACUGUGCAAUAAUUAAUUUCUUUUCCUUGUCCCGAAGCCAGUCUUCGGCCUCAAGAGGUUUGUCAGUAUGGGAAAAUGUUUGGGGACGCGUCUUCUGUAGAUCGGAUAACUUGGAUUGUUGCUGAUACUGUCCACGGUGACUUCCCAUAUUAAUGACUUGGCUCAUUAUUUCCUGAUGUUGUUGCUGACUUUGCUCAUAACAUUUGGGAAAGUGCUGUUUCACGCUCCUGUUGACUCGACUGUCCCUGUGUGACAUUGCUGCUUGGUUGUGUGCCAUAAUUUUCCUCUGGCGGAGUUGUCAUGGGGCGCGUCCAAGGACGAGACAUUUUUCACUCUGGGGAUACAUUUUGUGAAAUUCAUAUGAAAAGUAAUUGAGUCGCAAAAGUUAAUGAAUUCAUGAAGACAGAAGAAGUUUCAAAUGCUCCAAGAUCAAGAGAAUAAACGUUUGCGCACGGAGAAGGACUGCUCAUCACAUAUAUUACACGCAAGCAGUAAUUACACAAUACAUCACUCAGGAUAUGCGUACAUAAUCCUGACAUGUUAUUUAGGCUAGUGCACUUCUCCAGAUCCUACAUGAUGCGCAAGCAAGCUACUUCUCACAGCCUAUUUACAUAUAAACAUACCGUACAGAGCAAUACAUCGCAUGGCGGCUAAGCGUACUCAGUCGGAGGAGAUGGUGAGGAUCUCCUUUGCCCUGCCGAGGGUGAGGCGCAGAGAGGCUGGGGACUCAACCUCCUCCUCGCUAAUAGGCUCCAGACGUGAAGUGUUGCGCUGAGUAGAUGGAGCGGGUGCCCUAUGUGGAAUAACACAGACAAGAGUGGGCGCCAUGGGUGGUGCAUAGCGGACUGGUGUUGGCGCAAUAACUUGGUUGAAUUCUUCGGUGGAUUGCAGGCGACGAGCAGCGGCGGGAGUGGUAGGUGCAUAAGAUGCUGAGGACGAGACGAAAGUCAGUGGCGGUGCCGUGUGUAGGAGCUCCCUCCUGUUGGCGGUGCAGCCAUGGACUGAGUCCAUGCGAGCAGCCACGAAGUCAUCCACCAGGUUGUCGAAGGCUGCUUCCAGAGCUCGGAGAUACCCGACGAGCAUCUCAAAAGCCUCGUCUCGCUCUCCUCUGGGGCAAGAGUAUGAGUAGUGGCAGGCAUACGACAAGUGGCAUGGAAGGUAGCGGUAACGACGAGUCUGCAUCGACGGCAGGACUUCCCUGAGACGAGCUAUCGCCUCACGGGCUGCCAUCUGCAUCGCAUGCUUCUCCGUAGACAUGGCUCUACCCAAGAACCGGAAGCGGCGUAACUCAACAUGCCCUCCCUUGAAUUGCACCGCGCCCUGGUGCAUGGUCAGACGGUCGUUGAUCUUGUGCUGAUAGAGUGUGAAGACUGGGCGCAUGGAUGGCCCCAUCGCGACCUGGACGAUGAAGGAGAGAAGCUUGACAAACCCAUCGGGCUCGUUGGCGAACAUCUGAGACUCGCAGUUGUUGCCGGCCAUCUACAAAAGUAGGCAGAAAUUCUGAAUGGUCAGAUCAUAAAUCUAUGCCGACUGUCAGAAAAUGACUACAUUUGUAAAAAUAUGAAUUAGUACUAUUAUGCUAAUAACCGAUUAGCGAUCGCGCCUAGUGGUUUCCUACAGUCAGCCUGGCUCUGGUACCAAGUUUGUCACGACCGGUUUUUCAAUAAAAAUAUUUAUCGAGAAACCGAUCUUUUAGUUCCCAGUGUGAGGAAAAUCCUCCUCACUGGUAGACAAAUCUUUGAUACAAUAAGCCAGUAGCAUUAAUAUCUUACAGGGGUCGAGCUGAGGUUGCUCAACAAUUUAUUACAAGCGCGCCAAUAAUUAUACAUAGAGGCGGAUAUGACACAAAGGUGGGGGUGGUAUUUCUACUGACUCGUAAUAAAAAUGAUUGGUGGAAUAUCACAGUGGGGUGGGCAGUGUGACUACUAACUGGUGACUCAUCGAGCGUCGAGAAGAGGCUCGAUGAAUUUAUUUGGGUAGCGGAAGCGGAUAUAAUACAGCGACCAAAUCCAGGGUCGCACGAGACUGACUGGGACUCCUCUAGGCGUCGGACUCGCUAUCGAACUCUUCAUCCAUGAGAUCGCCUUCGUCAGCAUCUGGCCAAAUCAACAAGCGAGGUGAGUACUUUGAAUGUACUCGCAAGAUAGUUCGGACCAUAGAUAUAACAAAUGCAUGCAUGAAUGCGUCAAGAGUACUUUUAACAAUGCAUAUUUAAUUCAUAAGAACAAGGUAAGUAAAGAGGGAGUCGGCGGUAGUCCGCUCGAAAACCCAACAAAAUAAACUGCAAACCGAUCGGGUGUCUGAAGCGACGCCUCGAAAGGAAAACUAAAUAAAUAAAAAUAUGCCGCAGUCGGGCGUCUAAGAGACACCACAUAAAGGGCUUGUACUGAAAGUAAAAGACAUGAGUGCCGCAGUCGGACGUCGGGGCGACAUCACAGAAAGGGCUUAUAUCAAAAGUAAAUAAUAACAAUACCGCAGUCGGAUGUCUGAGCGAUGUCACAAAGAGGGCUUAUAUCAAAAGUAAAUAAUAACAAUGCCGCAGUCGGACGUCUGAGCGACGUCACAGAAAGGGCUUAUAUCAAAAGUAAAUAAUAACAAUGCCGCAGUCGGACGUCAGAGCGACGUCACAGAAAGGGCUUAUAUCAAAAGUAAAUAAUAACAAUACCGCAGUCGGACGUCUGAGCGACGUCACAAAAGGGGCUUAUAUCAAAAGUAAAUAAUAACAAUGCCGCAGUCGGACGUCUGAGCGACGUCACAGAAAGGGCUUAAGUUCUUUAUCCACAACGUGCAAGGGUUAAUGCUCACAGGAAAAAUAUUCAAUACGAGGUACUAACGGGUUAGUCCAUCAUAAGAAUCAACAUUAAUCGGACUUAACACUCAUAUGGCUUACCGGGGUCUUUGACAUCAAGACUGACAAUCGACAAAAUAAUAAAGACACCGAACUUGGACAUAGAUAAGGUGAUGCAAUGGAAUUUUUGACUCUGCAGAGUUUGUACAAAAAUGCCCACAGCCAACGGAUUUCCGUAGUACCGAAGGACUAGUUCCGUUUACGGUAUUUCGAAAGAAAACACAACAAUCCAGUACACACCCAUCCCACCUCACGUUAUCAGGGAUCACCCUAGACAACGAUCAAUAUAAACUUUGAGACGGGGAGAUCACGAUCUCCAAUAGCAUGGGAUCAAAUUUAUAUACGCGUGCUCUAAGGGGUGCUCCCCUCUCGGUCCCAACCGGAAACACCCAUGCCCCCUGACCGAAUGAUAGGCUUUAAUCCAGGGCCAUGGAACCCUCAUCCCGGCCUCUCAAUUUGGUGUGUACCAGGAAAGUGGUUUGCAACUUACUAAGCCAUAUCCCUUGCGGAAAACAUGUGGUAGUACAGAAAAAGGAGAUGGACGGGAGUGGAUACUGGAGUCAAAUAAUCUGGCAUAGGACUGGCAUGCUACAACACUGCCAUCUUACCCAUUUCAUGCCAUCACGUGGCCAUGCAACCUCAUUUCCAUUAACUCAUGGAUUUCCGAAACUCACUUGUCUCGACUUUUCACGUGACAAAGUUUUUAUCGAGAUGCUCAUGAACAUGCCAUGAAACUACUAAAUGCAAACAUGCCAAGACACUCAUCAUAUCAAGAGUUCAUGCUUGCCUGGUUCGGAGUAGUCGGGGUCUAGCUCGGUGAAGUUCGCGGUUCCGUCACCUCCUUCGGUAUCUUGGAGUACAGUAAAGUAAUCCAAAACACACGCGCUAACGUAAAUCCGUGGAGUACAGUAAAGUAAUCCAAAUAUUUUUCAAAUAAAUAUGAUAAAAAACUAGACAAAAUUUUGAAGAGGACAGAAAAAGAAUCACUCAAAAAUCUCUUUCUGUUAAAAAGUUAUAAGAGUUUUGGUUCAAGGACCCAUCUGUAAUGAAACAGAAAGCUCUCAGGAGCCUAAGCAGAAAAGUACAGAAAAACGGUUCAGAGUAGAAAGCGUAUUUGCCAAAGUACGCUUUCAGAAAACGGUUCAAAGAAGAGAACAGAGAGGCUGACGGGCGGGUCCCACCCGUCAGGUUUGAAUUUUUAAAAGAGGGAGACGGGGCUCGUCGGCGCCCGAGAGCCGCGGUGGUCGCCGACGGCGAUCGACGGCGAGGCAGGAAGAUCGGAAGGUACCUCCGUGCUCAGUGGGUUAUUCUGUGUCGGUUGGUGGUGGUGGUGGUCGCCGGUGAGCACCUCGUCGACGGCGGCUCUUGCUCCGGCGGACGGCGGCUCGGGUGGUCGUGGGUCUCGUCGGAGAGCGCUGCGGAGGUAAAAUUGAGGAGGGGGUUAGACUCCUGGUAGCUUGAGGUGGUAGCUGACGGGAUUAGGGCGCCGGGGACGGCCUCACUGGAGUGAACCGAGGUGGAGGCCGAGGCCGAACGGGGCGGCCGGAGUCGAGGAAGAAGAGCCCCUCGAGGCCCUUCCAGUGGCUUGGCGAGGUCUAGUGAGGUGGUGGAGGUGUGCGGGGGCGAGAGCGCGCUCGGGGGUGCUAUAUAUAGCCGGCCCGAGGCGGUUGCCGUGAACGGAUAAGUCCGGCGAGUGUUACGGCGGCGCAGGGCUUGGUCGGGGAGGUUUAGGGAGUUGAGCGUCAUCGUGGAGGUCAACUGAUUUCGUUUAGGUGCUGAAUGAGCCGGGAUUUGGUUGCUUUGGGUAUGCUCGACGGAACGGAGCGGCAUGGACCCGUCGGCGGCAGGGAGCACGUUCUGUGCUUGCCGGACCACGGCGACGGUGCCGCGGGCGUGCGCUGGCAUGCAUGAGUCACACGAAGCGCUAGGGAGAGCUGGGCGGCGCAGAACGGCGUUGAGCUGGGGUGGUGCCUUCUGUCGAUCGCAACGGGAGAUCCCGACGCCGCGGAAGACGCCGGCGAGGUUGGGCCAAGGCGCCACCGACGCCAGGAACGAGCCAAGCGCUCGUGUGGUGCUCCAGACAGGGAGGAGGGGCUGCGAGCAACGUGCCAAGUGCACUGUCGACGCGUGACUGAACUCUGACGAAGGGAAACGACACUGAACUCUGAAACUCUGAACUUUUCUGAAAAUGCAAAGAAACAGUGUCGGCCAGGUGUUCGACACAAUGAUUUUGGCAUGUGGGAGUUUAUCCUUGAGCUGAUUUUUGGUGGAGUGGCCUCUCAUUGCAUCUGGAGGCUGCCUGAAUUUUUGUGGAAUUUUUGAAGCAGUUAGGAUAUGAAUUUCACCAAAUUUGACAAAUCUGGUCCAAACUUGCAGAGACUGUAAUUUGAAAUUUUUGAAAAGGAGAGGAGUGAAUCAUGAUGGUUCUUGGUUGUGGGUACCAAGGACUAUCCAGGGGAGUUGGUUUGAGGUCAAAACUCAAAUGCAUUUAGGUACUUGCUUUGCAAAUCACCUAGGCUCAAAAUAAUGGACAGAAAAUAUUUGGGAGGAGAAAUAAAUGAAAUAAAAUUCAGAAAUGGAUUGAACUUGAUGAGACAGAAUGUUUGGAUUUCCCCAAAGUGGGAAGAAGGUUUUUGGGAGGUUUUACCAUGUGGGGCAUGGUAAAAUCAUGAGAGGUUCCAAUAUAGGAGAGGACACAAGACUCCUAGGGUUUUUCUUUUGAAAGAAAAAUAAAACUCAAAAAUUUUGAAUUUGAGAAGAGGACAAACAGAAGAAAAGUUUUUAACAACCAAACACCAGAGUUGAAGAAGAAGCCAAAAUAAAAACCUUGCCAAAGGGGAAAGUCUUUGAGAGAAAUAUUUUUGGAAGAGUUUAAAAGACCUUCCUCAAAUCCAAGAAAGUUUUUGAAGGAAAUCAAAAGAAAUUUUUUUGGAGUGUCACAUAGCUUAUCGAUACAGCGCAGAAAGAAGACUCAAGACUGCUCGCUGUGGCUGGAAACUGAAAGGAGGCACGUGCGGUUUGAGAUAGACCGACCGACUGUACACACAUUCCUUUCGUGGAUUCGAAUCGAAUCGAUAAACCUAAAUACUUCAUGGUGCACGCACACGAUUUUGCUGAACCGAGCGGCCGUGCUUGGACCGCUCAUUGCGAGCGCAUCAUUUGGCCCACGACCGCCAGGUGUUUCCUGGUCGGGCCGAGACGUGGUUGGCUUGUGCGCUAUCCGACAAAGCCGGUGUGACACCCUUACUUUCUCUCCUGAAAAAACAAAGGCUUAUCCUUAUCAUCUUUUCAUCGUCUUUAACGUAGCCGGCCAGGAAGCAGUGUGCCCCAGCCGGAGGCCAAGCCGAGGCGGCCAACCGGAGAAUCCUGGAGAGCAGGUCAGCCAAGGAGCCGGAACAGCAGUGCCGCAACCUCCUCCCGGCGAGGCAUGAAACCAGAAAAAAUUCUCCCAAACCGGUCGGACCGCAGCGGCGCGGUCGUGUUUGCCUUGGACGCACCCCCAUGGUGUUGCUGCCGCUGCUGGUGGAGCUGUGCAAGUCCAUUGAUGUGCACACGCUGCUGCUCAUGGAGUCAUGGUACCCGGCAUCAUUGGAGCUCAGCUCUUGUACCUACUGCCCGCCGAAUCGCCAGGCAACGUCGUCCUAUUCAGAGCUUACGGACAUGGUGCUCACCUGAAUGCUAAUAAAAAAUUCUAGUUCCUGCAUGGCUGCACAACCUUUAGUCUUCGUUGAUUAUCACGAGUGCUUUUUGCCUAAGUAGAUUAUUCAAUAGUUGUAGUUGCACAUAUAAUAGUCUGUAGUUGUAUAUAUGAUUUAGAAAGUUGCACAACGCGAUGAUACUAAGUUGGUUAGAUGAUGUUUUUGCUUAAAUUGAUCUAUUCUUGUCAGUCAUAUUUUUAGUUGGCAUCCAUGACACGAUAAUAUAAUAUAGCAAUGUGUUUGCUGUCAUUUCUCGUGGAACGCGAGGGUGACGACCUUGACACUAUAUCGCUAUCGACGGGCCGGGGUAGCGUAUCGAUAGAGCGCAUAAAGAAGACUCAAGACUGCUCGCUGCGGCUGAAACGGAAAGGAGGCACACGCGUCUUCGAGACAGACUGACCGACUGUACACACGUUCCAUUCAUGGAUUCGAAUCAAAUCGAUAAAUCUAAAUACUUCAUGGUGCACGUGCAUGAUUUUGCUAAACCGAGCGGCCGCGCUUGGACCGCUCAUUGCGAGCGCAUCGUGGGGCCCACGACGGCCAGGUGUUUCCUGGUCGGGGCAAGACGUGGUUGGCUCGAGCGCUAUCCGACAAACCCGGUGUGACACCCUUACUUUCUCUCCUGAAAAAACAAAGGCUUAUCCGUAUCAUCUUUUCAUCGUCUCCGUCGAAUCCGGCAAGGAAGCAGUGUGCCCCAGUCGAAGGCCAUGCCGAGGCGGCCAACCAGAGAAACAUGGAGAGCAGGUUAGCCAAGGAGCCAGACCAGCAGUGCUGCCACCUCCUCCGCCCUCUUUUUAUGAGCUGGAGCCGGAGCCACCAUGGAACUCACGCGAGAGGGCCACCCUACGCCCCGCUACUCCUUCCUCCCAUGGUGUUGCUGCCGCUGCUGGUGGAGCUGUGCAAGUCCAUUGGUGUGCACGCGCUGCUGCUCAUGGUGUCAUGGUGCCCGGCAUCAUUGGCGCUUAGCUCUUGUACCUACUGCCCGCCGAAUCGCCAUGCAAUGUCGUCCUGUUCAGAGCUUACGGACAUGGUGCUCACCUGAAUGCUAAUAAAAAAAUUUAGUUCCUGCACGGCUGCACAACCUUCAGGCUUGGUUGAUUAUCACGAGUGCUUUUUUGCCUGAGUAGAUUAUCCAAUAGUUGUAGUUGCACAUAUAAUAGUCUGUAGUUGUAUAUAUGAUUUAGAAAGUUGCACAACACGAUGAUACUAAGUUGGCUAGAUGAUGUUUUGGCAUAAAUUGAUCUAUUUUUGUCGGUCAUAUUUUUACUUGGCAUCCAUGACAUUAUAAUAUAAUAUAGCAAUGUGUUUGUUGUCAUUUCUCGUGGAAUGUGAGGGUAACGACCAUUAGACUAUAUCGCUAUCGACGGGCCGGGGUAGCUUAUCGAUAGAGCGCAUAAAGAAGACUCAAGACUGCUCGAUGUUGCUGGAAACAGAAAGGAGGCACGUGCGGCUUCGAGAUAGACCGACUGACUGUACACGCAUUCCAUUCGUGGAUUCGAAUCGAAUCGAUAAACCUAAAUACUUCAUGAUGCACGCGCAUGAUUUUGCUGAACCGAUCGGCCGCGCUUUGACCACUCAUUGCGAGCGCAUCGUGCGGCCCACGGCCACCAGGUGUUUCCUGGUCGGGGCGAGACGUGGUUGGCUCAUGCGCUAUCCGACAAAGCCGAUGUGAACAGAUCGCUCCCUUACUUCCUCUCCUAAAAAACAAAGGCUUAUCCUUAUCAUCUUUUCAUCGCCUCCAUCGAAUCCGUGCGAGGAAGCAGUGUGUCUCUGCCGGAGGCCAAGCCGAGGCGGCCAACCGGAGAAACCUGGAGAACAGGUCAGCCAAGGAGCCGGACCAGCAGUGCCGCCACCUCCUCCACCCUCCUUCUCUGAGCUUGAGCCGGAGCUGCCAUGGAACUCACGCCUGAGGGCCACCCUACGCCCCGCUACUCGUCCCGGCGAGGCAUGAAGCCAGACAAAAUUCUCCCAAACCGGUCGGACCGCAGCGGCGCGGUCAUGUUUGCCUUGGACGCACCCCAUGGUGUUGAUGUUGCUGCUGGUGGAGCUGUGCAAGUUCAUUGGUGUGCACACGCUGCUGCUCAUGGAGUCAUGGUACCCGGCAACAUUGGUGCUUAACUCUUGUACCUACUGCACGCCGAAUCGCCAGGCAUCGUCGUAUUGUUCAGAGAUGACGGACAUGGUGCUGACCAGAAUGCUAAUAAAUUUUUUAGUUCCUGCACAGCUGUAAAACCUUCAAUCUUGGUUGAUUAUCAUGAGUGCUUAUUUGCCUGAGUAGAUUAUCCAAUAGUUUUAGCUGCACAUAUAAUAGUCUGUAGUUGUAUAUAUGAUGAUUUAGAAAGUUGCACAACACGAUGAUACUAAGUUGGCUAGAUGAUGUUUUUGCUUAAAUUGAUCUAUUCUUGUCAAUCAUAUUUUUAGUUGGCAUCCAUGACAUGAUAAUAUAAUAUAGCAAUGUGUUUGCUAUCAUUUCUCGUGGAAUGCGAGGGUGACGACCUUGACACUAUAUCGCUAUCGACGGGCCGAGGUAGCGUAUCGAUAGAGCGCAUAAAGAAGACUCAAGACUGCUCGCUGCGGCAGGAAACGGAAAGGAGGCACAUGCGGCUUCGAGAUAGACCGACCGACUGUACACGCGUUCCAUUUGUGGAUUUAAAUCAAAUCGAUAAACCUAAAUACUUCAUGGUGCACGCGCACGAUUUUGCUAAACCGAGCGGCCGCGCUUGGACCGCUCAUUGCGAGCUCAUCGUGGGGCCCACGACGGCCAGGUAUUUCCUGGUCGGGGCGAGACGUGGUUGGGUCGAGCGCUAUCCGACAAACCCGGUGUGACACCCUUACUUUCUCUCCUGAAAAAACAGAGGCUUAUCCGUAUCAUCUUUUUAUCAUCUCCGUCGAAUCCGGCGAGGAAGCAGUGUGCCCCAGCCGGAGGCCAUGCCGACGCAGCCAACUAGAGAAACCUGGAGAGCAGGUUAGCCAAGGAGCCAGACCAGCAGUGCUGCCACCUCCUCCGCCCUCUUUUUAUGAGCUGGAGCCGGAGCCGCCAUGGAACUCACGCGAGAGGGCCACCCUACGCCCCGCUACUCCUUCCUCCCAUGGUGUUGCUGCCGCUGCUGGUGGAGCUGUGCAAGUCCAUUGGUGUGCACGCGCUGCUUCUCAUGGUGUCAUGGUGCCCGGCAUCAUUGGCGCUCAGCUCUUGUACCUACUGCCCGCCGAAUCGUCAUGCAAUGUCGUCCUGUUCAGAGCUUACGGACAUGGUGCUCACCUGAAUACUAAUAAAAAAAUUAGUAAUAAAAAAAUUAGUUCCUGCACGGCUGCACAACCUUCAGGCUUGGUUGAUUAUCACGAGUGCUUUUUUGCCUGAGUAGAUUAUCCAAUAGUUGUAGUUGCACAUAUAAUAGUCUGUAGUUGUAAAUAUGAUUUAGAAAGUUGCACAACACGAUGAUACUAAGUUGGCUAGAUGAUGUUUUUGCAUAAAUUGAUCUAUUUUUGUUGGUCAUAUUUUUAGUUGGCAUCCAUGACAUUAUAAUAUAAUAUAGCAAUGUGUUUGUUGUCAUUUCUCGUGGAAUGUGAGGGUAACGACCAUUAGACUAUAUCACUAUCGACCGGCCGGGGUAGCGUAUCGAUACAGCACAUAAAGAAGACUCAAGACUGCUCGCUGUUGCUGGAAACUGAAAGGAGGCACGUGCGGCUUCGAGAUAGACCGACCGACUGUACACGCAUUCCAUUCGUGGAUUCGAAUCGAAUCGAUAAACCUAAAUACUUCAUGGUGCACGCGCAUGAUUUUGCUGAAGCGAUCGACCGCGCUUGGACCACUCAUUGCGAGCGCAUCGUGCGGCCCACGACCACCAGGUGUUUCCUGGUCGGGGCGAGACGUGGUUGGCUCAUGCGCUAUCCGACAAAGCCGAUGUGAACAGAUCGCUCCCUUACUUCCUCUCCUAAAAAACAAAGGCUUAUCCUUACCAUCUUUUCAUCACCUCCAUCAAAUCCGUGCGAGGAAGCAGUGUGUCUCUGCCGGAGGCCAAGCCGAGGCGGCCAACCGGAGAAACCUGGAGAACAGGUCAGCCAAGGAGCCGGACCAGCAGUGCCGCCACCUCCUCCACCCUCCUUCUCUGAGCUUGAACCGGAGCUGCCAUGGAACUCACGCCUGAGGGCCACCCUACGCCCCGCUACUCGUCCCGGCGAGGCAUGAAGCCAGACAAAAUUCUCCCAAACCGGUCGGACCGCAGCGGCGCGGUCAUGUUUGCCUUGGACGCACCCCAUGGUGUUGAUGUUGCUGCUGGUGGAGCUGUGCAAGUUCAUUGGUGUGCACACGCUGCUGCUCAUGGAGUCAUGGUACCCGGCAACAUUGGUGCUUAACUCUUGUACCUACUGCACGCCGAAUCGCCAGGCAUCGUCGUCUUGUUCAGAGAUGACGGACAUGGUGCUGACCAGAAUGCUAAUAAAUUUUUUAGUUCCUGCACAGCUGCAAAACCUUCAAUCUUGGUUGAUUAUCAUGAGUGCUUAUUUGCCUGAGUAGAUUAUCCAAUAGUUUUAGCUGCACAUAUAAUAGUCUGUAGUUGUAUAUAUGAUGAUUUAGAAAGUUGCACAACACGAUGAUACUAAGUUGGCUAGAUGAUGUUUUUGCUUAAAUUGAUCUAUUCUUGUCAAUCAUAUUUUUAGUUGGCAUCCAUGACAUGAUAAUAUAAUAUAGCAAUGUGUUUGCUAUCAUUUCUCGUGGAAUGCGAGGGUGACGACCUUGACACUAUAUCGCUAUCGACGGGCCGAGGUAGCGUAUCGAUAGAGCGCAUAAAGAAGACUCAAGACUGCUCGCUGCGGCAGGAAACGGAAAGGAGGCACAUGCGGCUUCGAGAUAGACCGACCGACUGUACACGCGUUCCAUUUGUGGAUUUAAAUCGAAUCGAUAAACCUAAAUACUUCAUGGUGCACGCGCACGAUUUUGCUGAACCGAGCGGCCGCGAGUGGAUCGCUCAUUGCGAGCGCAUCGUGCGGCCCACGACCGCCAGGUGUUUCCUGGUCGGGGCGAGACGUGGUUGGCUCUUGCGCUAUCCGAACGGUGUGAACCAAUCGCUUCCUUAAUUUCUCACCUGAAAAAACAAAGGCUUGUCCUUAUCAUCUUUUCAUCGUCUCCAUCGAAUCCGGCGAGGAAGCUUGUUAGGAAUAAGCCACGCAUGAGUAUGUGCUCCUGUGUGUGAUCUAUGUGCAUGGGUGUGACCGUGUGCAUGCAAGAUUCUGUUAGUGCAUGCCCUGAUUAGUUAGCUAGUUUGUUGGCAUGGCCGGGUCGCCGGACGAGCGUGUAUUUUUUUUAAGAAGAAAAGGGCAGCCCCGCCUCUGUUCCAUUUCCAUAGAAAAUGAAACACACCGAGUACAACAUAUUACAGACCGCGGGAGGAGAUUGAGUAUCUCUCCGGCAACAUUUUUGCAGAGCGAAACAGCAACACCGAACCUAGGCAAUAAAGCAAGAGUUUGGAUAAAACAUGCUAAAACAUAAACCAGCUACUGAACAUUUUAAGAUGAGACAGGAGGCCACAUCAGCUCUCCAUGGAACAGGCUCUCCUCCAUGCCCACCAAGCCACCCAUCUUUUGCAGAGAGUACAGCCGCGAGAGCUCGUUCUUCUUCAGCCUGGCUCUGGCCAAAGCAGCAGCGGUGGUUUUCUUGCCUCCUCCCAUAUAGCCGCAGUGAACAUCUCCACGCGCUCUUUUACAUUUCCUUUGCAUAGGAUCUUCCAGGAGUUGCAGUAUCCUGCAAUUCUCCCCAGCACCACCUGCACACCCAUCCAACGUGUGUUGUUAAAACACAUGUCAUUUCUGCAUCUCCAGAUAGCCCAGAGGACAGCUGAAAUGACAAUAUUCUCAGCUUUUAGCUUAUUAUAUUGUCCCCACAUUUCUGCUACCCUAUUUAGCAUAGGUAAGGGGAGGCAAUUUAUAAUGGAGUGAAUAAUUCUCCAGAUUUCCAGAGCAACAACACACUCAAAGAACAAAUGAUUGAUAUUUUCACCUUCAGAAUAGAACAGACAAGACAAGUCAUCUAAAUGCUGUCUCUUACUGAGGUUAUCCCUCACUAACAUCUUAUUGUGAGCCAACAGCCACAGAAAAAUAUGGAUGUUAGGAGGGACAUGAAUUUUCCACAUAUCAGGAAUAUGGACUUGGCUAAUCCCCCUAAAAUUGACCAUGGCAUACAUAGAACUAACUGAAUAUACACCAUUGGACUCUAAUUUCCAGAUUAGAGCAUCAUCUUCAUCGCUAAACACAGUAGUUUGCAAAAUGCUUAAUAAGUCAUACCAAAGGAGAAGCAACCUGUUGUCCACACAUCUCCUAAAUGUAAUUUUCAGGUUAACUCCAUCCCAAAGGUCAGCCACCGUCUGAUUAUGCUCAUUAGCUAUCACAUAUAAAUCCCAAAACUGGAUGGCCAAGCUACAAGACCCAAACCAGUGAUCUUCCCAGAAUUUAACUCUCUUCCCAUUGCCCACUUUCCGUUGAUACCCAUGCUUAGCUGGUUUAGUAGCCCACAAGACCCGUUUCCAAAAGGGGGAUGUGUUAAUAUCAGGGCAAGAGAAAAUGUUAGGAUUAUUUGCUCUAUAUUUGGAAUCAAUAAUCAGCUUCCAAAUCUUAUUACCACUAGCAUGAAACUUAUAAACCCAGGAUGCUAGUAAGCUCAGCACUAGUAGAAAAAGGGCCUAUUGUCCCGGUUGGUGAGGGCCUUUAGUCCCGGUUCAUGAACCAGGACUAAAGGGUCGGUACUAAUGCCCUGACCCCUUUAGUCCCGGUUCAAUCCAGAACCGGGACAGAAGGGCCUCAACGUGGCCUGUCCCCUGAGCCCAGGCAGGAGGGCCUUUGGUCCCGGUUGGUGGCACCAACCGGGACCAAUAGGCAUCCACGCGUCAGCGUUUAUGUGGCUGUGGUUUUUUUNNNNNNNNNNNNNNNNNNNNNNNNNNNNNNNNNNNNNNNNNNNNNNNNNNNNNNNNNNNNNNNNNNNNNNNNNNNNNNNNNNNNNNNNNNNNNNNNNNNNNNNNNNNNNNNNNNNNNNNNNNNNNNNNNNNNNNNNNNNNNNNNNNNNNNNNNNNNNNNNNNNNNNNNNNNNNNNNNNNNNNNNNNNNNNNNNNNNNNNNNNNNNNNNNNNNNNNNNNNNNNNNNNNNNNNNNNNNNNNNNNNNNNNNNNNNNNNNNGUUUCAUAUAUUGUGCUAUAGCUAGCUAAUUAAUAGAGAGAAGUGUCCUCUCUUUUGUCCGUGCUUGGUCGACGCUACGUACCAUACAUACAUACGUAUAGAGAGGACUAGCUAGACACGCUAGCUAGCUAGUAAGCAAACAGAAGAUCGUCAUGAACAUAUAUGCAUACAGAGAGAAGUGAUAUCGACCACCUCUCCUUCUCCGAGAGAUUGGUCGAACAAACAAGUUCUCGUAUAUCUAUCCGACACUACCGGCUACAUAUAUACAAUAAUUAUCUUUUACAAAUAUAUAAUCUCCUAAAAUACGGACGCGUGGUCCACAUAGUAUUCUCCGUCUUCAGCGAUCACGUGGUCAAGAAAGAAUGCCGCCAAUUCCUCUUGAAUUGCUCACAUGCGAUCUGGUGCUAGGAGUUCAUCCCGCAUCCGAAACAUCUAAUUUUAAGAAGGGGGUCAAUACAUAUAUAUAUAUAUAUAUAUGAAUGAAUGAAACUCAACACAAAUGAUGGUAAUAAAAUAAAAUUGUGAAUAUUGUUAUUUACGCACUUCAUAUUGUUUGUCGGAGUAGCCCCGCUCACAGGUCGUGUGGCGGAUGGACUCGCAAAUGUAGUAUCCACAGAAAUCAUUCCCUUGUUCCUGCCACAACCACUUUACAAGAAAUAGAGGUCAAUCAAACUGAUAAUUAGCAAGCAUGCUAAAUGGUAUUGAUGAAACUAGCGCUUGAAUCACUAGGAGAUGCCUGGAAUAUGCUACUAUAUAGUACUUACUUUCGGGUGCCAAAAUUGCAGCUUCUUCGGUAGUCCCGGAGCUUUUUUGGUGAAUUUUCUCCAAGCCCUGCCAUACAAAGAAAACAAUUACUUGAUAUCAGAAAUGAACAAAGUUGCUGAUAUGGUGGAUAAUGAUCGAUUUAACUUACUUCUCGAGCAUUUCAGUCAUGUCCGCAUACUCCUUGGGCUCUUUUCGCUUGGAGUCUAAGACAGUUACUACUCCCUUCUCAAGCUUAAUCUCUAGGAGAAUAUAGUGGUAGCUGCGCACACAUGCAUAACUCAUCAAUAUUACAUUACUAUAACCUGGACUAAUAAGGAAACCGAAUAUGCCACAAGACAGUAACACUCACUUGAAGUUGUAAGGAAAGAGUAUUAUAUCUUUGUGUUCAUUUAUUUCCAACGAUCGUAGCAAGUUGGCCUCGGUUUCUUGGGCACGAUAUUGAACCUCAGUUGCAUCUAUGAGAUACGUGUUAAUGAACCCAAUAUCUCCCACUUGUCUUUUCUUCAAUUUGGCGAUCUUCAAUCUGCAUAAUAUAGUGAGGAUAAUUAUAAAUACAUGCAAAUGAAAGGGCUGAGUUAUAUAGAGAGACUUAAUGACAGAAGUAGUACUACUUACAGACAGUAGGAGGUGACCGUUGCUUUAUCGAUGGCCAAUUGAUUGAAAAACUGAUAGAACUCCUCAAAUGGAAUAGGCAACAGUUCAAUUCCAAGGAGGUCAUGCUCCUUUUUAACUCUCAUAUACAAAGUAUUCCUCCCCUCAGACUCUUUGCAGGUUUUCAUGUACCAAUCAUGCAAUCUUCGCAUCAUCGUUGAUAGAGAACUUUCAUCUUUGACGAGAGGCUUCCCGUACUCGUAUCUUUGUAUCUGCACCUCCAAGAUAUCAUAAUGUACAUCGUCGGGCAGGUAAUUUGCAGGAUUGCCAUAACCGGGCACCAUCCUCGGAUCGACGAUGUCGCUAGCAGGCACCUUGAGCGGGGGGCACGAUUGCUUCGCUUGUUCGCCGAGCUGGGCAAUUUGUUUCCCAUCUCGUCGUUCUUUCAUCCUUUGAUCACUUUUAGUACUUCCCGACCUCUCCGCUUCGGCAAAUGCCUUUCCAAUAAUGCGCUCAUAGUUGCCUUUCGGCGGAGACUUGGGUGGUUUUGUCAGGGCAGCCAGAGUGCGCUUCCCUUUCACCGGAUCUACCUUCUCCUCCGGAGGUGGAUGUCUCUUUGCUUUCAACCCUUGAAACCAGUCAUCCACUUCGGUCUGCGCGAUCUUCGCGUUUUCCUCCACGCUCCUCUCGUACGGUAACUUCUCUGGAGUCUUCAGAGAAGGACCGAAUCUGUAUCUCCUCCCGCCUUUGGCUGUACUGCUAGACGCCGGCAGAGUAGACGGAGCGGAUGUCUUCUUUCCUUGCUUACGAGGUGGAGGAGAAAGACUGCGACGCGCCGUAGAAGCCGGAGCGGCGGCGGGUCUCUUCCGCCCUUGCUGACGAGGUGGAGAAGGAGGAGGCUGGCUGCUCGGGCGCGCCGGCGCAUGCGGAGAAGGAGGCGGAGUGCGGCCACGCGCCGGAGAAGGAGCAGGCCGAGUGCCCUGAUCGUCACUCGCCGGUGGAGGAGGCGGAGUGCCCUGACUCGCCGGAGGAGGAGGAGGAGGCGGAGGCAUCCAGUUCGGAAGGUUGAUGAGAUCCUUCCGCCAUAGGCAUGGAGUCUUCAGAGCAGAACCCAGCCGAUACUCCCCUUCACCGGUAGGGUGGUCAAGCCGGAGGUCCUCAAAUCCCUCCGUUAUUUCAUCGACCAUCACCUUAGCAUAUCCUUCUGGAAUCGGCCGGCAGUGAAAAGUUGAGUCGGGUUUAGUAGGAUAAACAGAGCCAACAGCCGCCUUGACCUUCAAAUUGCUCCAUUGCGCCAUAAGGUGGCAAUUUUCAGCAUCCGUGAUAGCAUCCACGGGAUAGCUGGCAGGAGCCGUCAAGGCAUGCUCUGGCUGAAGCAGCUCGGUGGAAGCCACGCUGCUUUUCCGCUAAGAUGGCGGGGUAGCUUCGGGGGAAGCUUCGGCAGGUCGUUUGCUGCGAUCUGCUUCUCGUUCCUCUAGCCCCAUUACCCUUUCGUGCAGCGACUGCAGUUGGCUCUGCUCCAGUUUCUUCCUCCUCUCGUGGGUUUUGUAACCCCCUGCGUCUGGAAAUCCAGCCUUCCAUGAAACGGAGCCUGGCGUGCCUCGUGUCCGUCUAGGGUGCUCAGGAUUGCCGAGGGCCAUUGUGAGCUCGUCCAUCUCCCUGUCUGGAACGAACGUCCCUUGCUGCGCUGCUUCGAUAUAUUGCUGAAGCUUCUUGACUGGUAUGUCCAAUUGUUCCUCCGUCCAAAUGCACUUCCCUGUUAUAGGGUCCAAGGAUCCGCCGGCCCCAAAGAACCAAGUCCGGCAACGUUCUGGCCAGUUCAUUGUCUCUGGUUCGAUCCCUUUAUCAAGCAGAUCAUUCUCAGCCUUGGCCCACUUAGGCUGGGCUACGAGGUAGCCACCUGACCCCGUGCGAUGGUGAGGCUUCUUCUUCUCAGCAUUUCUCUUGUUUGUCGCCGAUAUUUUUUUACUCUUUUCCGAUGUCUUGUGGGCCACAAAUGCGGGCCAGUCAUCUCUGAUCUUCUCAUAUUUGCCAAUGAAUUCUGGUGUCUCAUUUUUUUCGACAUACCUAUUGAGGUCUUUCUUCCAAUUCCUGAAUAGGUCUGCCAUCUUCCUCAGAGCAAAAGACUUGAUUAAUGGCUCUAUAACUGGCUUCUCCGGAUCAUCCUCCGGCGGUAGGGUGAAAUUUGACUUCAGCUCAGUCCAAAGAUUCUCUUUCUGCAUCUCAUUGACAUAAGACACCUCAGGGUCUUCGUUCUUAGGCUUAUACCAUUGCUGGAUGCUGAUCGGGAUCUUGUCCUUAACCAGAACCCCACACUGAGCAACAAAUGCCUUCUUUGUCCGGUAGGGUUCAAUCGGUUGGCCGGCGCGCGCGAUUUGUAUGAUCUCAAACUUUUCAUCCGAGCUCAACUUUUUCUUCGGGCCUCGCCUCUUUACCGAAGUUGUGCUCGAUCCGGAGGGCUAGAAAAAAGAACAAAGAUGAGAGUUAAUUAAUAUGUGUACAUACCAAAACAAUUAAUGCAUCAAUUAGCUAGUCAGCACAGGCUUAACUAAUAUAUAUACCUGGCCGGACUCGGUUUGGUGAUCACCGGAGCCGUCCUCACGGUCUACUUCUUCACCCUCUCCUUCUUGCACCGGCAUUGGGUCAUCGGAGCCAUAUAAAUCAAUGAGGAGAGGGCCAGCUGCUUCUUCACCCUCUCCUUCCAGACCAUCGUUGUCGUUGAGAAACAUCGAGGAGAGGGCAUCACUUCCUUCUGCGAUUAUGUCCCUCAACAAUGCUUCUUGUGCUUCGUCUCGGGGGGGGUCCAUAGUUUCUACAAAUAUUUACAACAUGGCAAUUAUUAUUCAAACAUGACAGAUAUGGAUAUAUUAGUGGCAAACGUAGAACUAGCUAGCUAAUCACAAUAAGGAAUCAUAUUAGUGGCCUCGACGCUGCUUCUCUAGGGUUUGGGGUGGCCUCGACAACGCUUCAAGGGUUAGGGGUGGCCUCGAGAACGCUUCAAGCUAGGAGGGGGUAAUAUCGACCCCCCCNNNNNNNNNNNNNNNNNNNNNNNNNNNNNNNNNNNNNNNNNNNNNNNNNNNNNNNNNNNNNNNNNNNNNNNNNNNNNNNNNNNNNNNNNNNNNNNNNNNNNNNNNNNNNNNNNNNNNNNNNNNNNNNNNNNNNNNNNNNNNNNNNNNNNNNNNNNNNNNNNNNNNNNNNNNNNNNNNNNNNNNNNNNNNNNNNNNNNNNNNNNNNNNNNNNNNNNNNNNNNNNNNNNNNNNNNNNNNNNNNNNNNNNNNNNNNNNNNNNNNNNNNNNNNNNNNNNNNNNNNNNNNNNNNNNNNNNNNNNNNNNNNNNNNNNNNNNNNNNNNNNNNNNNNNNNNNNNNNNNNNNNNNNNNNNNNNNNNNNNNNNNNNNNNNNNNNNNNNNNNNNNNNNNNNNNNNNNNNNNNNNNNNNNNNNNNNNNNNNNNNNNNNNNNNNNNNNNNNNNNNNNNNNNNNNNNNNNNNNNNNNNNNNNNNNNNNNNNNNNNNNNNNNNNNNNNNNNNNNNNNNNNNNNNNNNNNNNNNNNNNNNNNNNNNNNNNNNNNNNNNNNNNNNNNNNNNNNNNNNNNNNNNNNNNNNNNNNNNNNNNNNNNNNNNNNNNNNNNNNNNNNNNNNNNNNNNNNNNNNNNNNNNNNNNNNNNNNNNNNNNNNNNNNNNNNNNNNNNNNNNNNNNNNNNNNNNNNNNNNNNNNNNNNNNNNNNNNNNNNNNNNNNNNNNNNNNNNNNNNNNNNNNNNNNNNNNNNNNNNNNNNNNNNNNNNNNNNNNNNNNNNNNNNNNNNNNNNNNNNNNNNNNNNNNNNNNNNNNNNNNNNNNNNNNNNNNNNNNNNNNNNNNNNNNNNNNNNNNNNNNNNNNNNNNNNNNNNNNNNNNNNNNNNNNNNNNNNNNNNNNNNNNNNNNNNNNNNNNNNNNNNNNNNNNNNNNNNNNNNNNNNNNNNNNNNNNNNNNNNNNNNNNNNNNNNNNNNNNNNNNNNNNNNNNNNNNNNNNNNNNNNNNNNNNNNNNNNNNNNNNNNNNNNNNNNNNNNNNNNNNNNNNNNNNNNNNNNNNNNNNNNNNNNNNNNNNNNNNNNNNNNNNNNNNNNNNNNNNNNNNNNNNNNNNNNNNNNNNNNNNNNNNNNNNNNNNNNNNNNNNNNNNNNNNNNNNNNNNNNNNNNNNNNNNNNNNNNNNNNNNNNNNNNNNNNNNNNNNNNNNNNNNNNNNNNNNNNNNNNNNNNNNNNNNNNNNNNNNNNNNNNNNNNNNNNNNNNNNNNNNNNNNNNNNNNNNNNNNNNNNNNNNNNNNNNNNNNNNNNNNNNNNNNNNNNNNNNNNNNNNNNNNNNNNNNNNNNNNNNNNNNNNNNNNNNNNNNNNNNNNNNNNNNNNNNNNNNNNNNNNNNNNNNNNNNNNNNNNNNNNNNNNNNNNNNNNNNNNNNNNNNNNNNNNNNNNNNNNNNNNNNNNNNNNNNNNNNNNNNNNNNNNNNNNNNNNNNNNNNNNNNNNNNNNNNNNNNNNNNNNNNNNNNNNNNNNNNNNNNNNNNNNNNNNNNNNNNNNNNNNNNNNNNNNNNNNNNNNNNNNNNNNNNNNNNNNNNNNNNNNNNNNNNNNNNNNNNNNNNNNNNNNNNNNNNNNNNNNNNNNNNNNNNNNNNNNNNNNNNNNNNNNNNNNNNNNNNNNNNNNNNNNNNNNNNNNNNNNNNNNNNNNNNNNNNNNNNNNNNNNNNNNNNNNNNNNNNNNNNNNNNNNNNNNNNNNNNNNNNNNNNNNNNNNNNNNNNNNNNNNNNNNNNNNNNNNNNNNNNNNNNNNNNNNNNNNNNNNNNNNNNNNNNNNNNNNNNNNNNNNNNNNNNNNNNNNNNNNNNNNNNNNNNNNNNNNNNNNNNNNNNNNNNNNNNNNNNNNNNNNNNNNNNNNNNNNNNNNNNNNNNNNNNNNNNNNNNNNNNNNNNNNNNNNNNNNNNNNNNNNNNNNNNNNNNNNNNNNNNNNNNNNNNNNNNNNNNNNNNNNNNNNNNNNNNNNNNNNNNNNNNNNNNNNNNNNNNNNNNNNNNNNNNNNNNNNNNNNNNNNNNNNNNNNNNNNNNNNNNNNNNNNNNNNNNNNNNNNNNNNNNNNNNNNNNNNNNNNNNNNNNNNNNNNNNNUAAACUUUCUGUUAGUGCCAUUAGUUUUCAAAUCUGAAAACUCUUUUUUUGUUUCCUUUGUUGCUUUAUUUAUUUUAUUUUGUUUCUACUUACAACAAAAUACUUAUUGUUGCUAUUUUUAUUUUUAUUUUCAGUUUUUUGUUCUGUUUUCUGCAUUAUUUAUUUUUUGUUGUUUUUUGCUUUAUUUUUUAAUUCUUUUUGCUUUUAGUUUUAGAAAAAUUAUAAACUUUCUGUUAGUGCCAUUAGUUUUCAAAUUUGGAAACUCUUUUUUUGUUUUCUUUGUUGUUUUAUUUAUAAACCGGUGUGAGCGAGCUUCGGUUGGCGAGGUUUUAAAAUUCAUAGUUUUCAAAUGAACUCUGAAAAAGUUGGCAUAGCAUGUGCAUGUACAAAACGGACAAUGAUAUCAUACUCGUCUGUUACAAAGUUGGCAUGUUAUCAUCAUAAUAGUUGCGGGAGAAAGUCUUCACUUUUUCUUCGCUUGUGUCGUUUGCUUAUUGCGCCGUAACCAUGGAUAAUCUUCAUCGUUUAUCAGGAUGCUUGGGUCAGCCUUGACUUUGAAGGGGGGAAUUUCAUGAAACUUUUCAUACUCUUCAGACAUGUCUGUCUUGCCCUCCACUCCCAGGAUGUCCCUUUUUCCUGAAAGAACUAUGUGGCGCUUUGGCUCAUUGUAUGAUGUAUUCGCUUCCUUAUCUUUUCUUUUCCUCGGUCUGGUAGACAUGUCCUUCACAUAGAUAACCUGUGCCACAUCAUUGGCUAGGAUGAACGGUUCGUCAGUGUACCCAAGAUUUUUCAGAUCCACUGUGGUUAUUCCGUACUAUGGGUCUACCUGUACCCCGCCUCCUGACAGAUUGACCCACUUGCACUUAAACAAAGGGACCUUAAAAUCUACUCCGUAGUCAAGUUCCCAUAUGUCUGCUAUGUAACCAUAAUAUGUGUCAUUUCCAUUGUCGGUUGCUGCAUCAAAGCGGACACCGCUGUUUUGGUUGGUGCUCUUUUCAUCUUGGUCAAUCAUGUAAAAUGUAUUCCCAUUUAUCUCGUAUCCUUUCCAAAUGGGGUACAACCCCUUUUUGUGAUCCUCUAACAUGCGAUCGAACUUCAGCUUCUCCUUUUGACUUUCGCAUUGUGUCCUUGCAUCGACAAUGACCCGGCGGAGAUCAUCAUCAUCGGGCACAUCAUCUGGUUCCUCUUGAUCUUCAGCAGCUUCGCCCGUUGCAGCACCAUCGUGCACAUCCUCUGGUGCAUCUUGAUGUUCAGUAGCUUCACCGUAUUCAGGGGGCACAUAGUUGUCAUCGUACUCUUCUUCCUCGCCAUCUUCCAUCGUAACCCCUAUUUCUCCGUGCCUCGUCCAAACAUUAUAGUGUGGCAUGAAACCCUUGUAAAGCAGGUGGGUGUGAAGGAUUUUCCGGUCAGAGUAAGACUUCAUAUUCCCACAUAUAGGGCAUGGACAACACAUAAAACCAUUCUGCUUGUUUGCCUCAGCCACUUCGAGAAAAUCAUGCACGCCCUUAAUGUACUCGGAGGUGUGCCUGUCACCGUACAUCCAUUGCUGGUUCAUCUGCGUGCAUUAUAUAUAAUUAAGUGUGUCAAAAAUCAUUACAGAACAUCAUGAAUAGAUAAUUAAGUGACCAAAUUAAUAGAAGUUCAUCAUCACAUAAAAACCAAAGUAGAUACAUAGUUCUCAUCUAACAACAUAAAGCUCUGCAGAGCAUCUAAAUUAAUUAAACCAUAUAUUGAAACUAUGUAAAACAUUUCAAUGCGAAAACAAAUGCGAUCAUAAUCGCAACCAAGGUAACAACUGAUCCAACGGCAUAAUGAUACCAAGCCUCGGUAUGAAUGGCAUAUUUUCUAAUCUUUCUCAUCUUCAAGCGCAUUGCAUCCAUCUUGAUCUUGUGAUCAUAGACGACAUCCGCAACAUGCAACUCCAAUAUCAUCUUCUCCUCCUUAAGUUUUUUUAUUUUUUCCUUCAAGAAAUUGUUUUCUUCUUCAACUAAAUUUAACCUCUCGACAAUAGGGUCGGUUGGAAUUUCCGGUUCAACAACCUCCUAGAUAAAUAAAAUCUAUGUCACGUUGGUCAGCAUAAUUUUCAUAAACAAUAAAUGAACCAAUAGUUAUGAAAAGAUAAUAUAUACCACAUCCGAAUCAUAGACAGGACGAGGGCCGACGGGGGCGGAUACCAAAACCAUCGGCGCACUAUAUAAGAUGCAAUAAUAAAAGUAAGAAAAUAAUACAAGUAUCUAUCUAAACAAACAAGUAAUACUAUUUUUCCUUUAGGAAAGAAGAUAAGAACAAGAGGCUCACCACGGUGGUGCCGGCGAUGAGAUCGGCGCGGGUGAUCGACGGCGGUGAAGACGGGGACGGGGCGUGACGGACCGCUAAACCUAGAUAAAUAUUGAGGAAAAUGGAGCUUGGCGGUCGAGCUUGGAGAGGAGAAACCUUAAGUAGUGUGGCUCGGGCAUUCCAUCGAACACCUUGUGUGCAUAGGAAGUGAGCUAGAGCACCACCAAGCCCUCUCCCCCUCGGCCAGAAAAAACAGAGCAGUGUGCUCUGCUCUUGCGCGAGGGGCUAUAUAUAGGCACCACUAUUGGUCCCGGUUGGUGGCAUGAACCGGGACUAAAGGUAACCCUUUUGGUCCCGGUUCAUGCCACCAACCGGGACCAAUAGUGGUGGGCCAGGAGCCAGGACCAUUGGUCCCGGUUCGUCCCACCANNNNNNNNNNNNNNNNNNNNNNNNNNNNNNNNNNNNNNNNNNNNNNNNNNNNNNNNNNNNNNNNNNNNNNNNNNNNNNNNNNNNNNNNNNNNNNNNNNNNNNNNNNNNNNNNNNNNNNNNNNNNNNNNNNNNNNNNNNNNNNNNNNNNNNNNNNNNNNNNNNNNNNNNNNNNNNNNNNNNNNNNNNNNNNNNNNNNNNNNNNNNNNNNNNNNNNNNNNNNNNNNNNNNNNNNNNNNNNNNNNNNNNNNNNNNNNNNNNNNNNNNNNNNNNNNNNNNNNNNNNNNNNNNNNNNNNNNNNNNNNNNNNNNNNNNNNNNNNNNNNNNNNNNNNNNNNNNNNNNNNNNNNNNNNNNNNNNNNGGUGGCAUGAACCGGGACUAAAGGUAACCCUUUUGGUCCCGGUUCAUGCCACCAACCGGGACCAAUAGUGGUGGGCCAGGAGCCAGGACCAUUGGUCCCAGUUCGUCCCACCAACCGGGACCAAAAGGUCCGGACGAACCGGGACCAAUGGACCACGUGGCCCGGCCGGCCCCCUGGGCUCACGAAUCGGGGCAAAUAGCUCCAUUGGUCCCGGUUCUGGAUUGAACCGGGACUAAUGGGCUAAACUGGCCUGGACGAAAGCCCUGUUUUCUACUAGUGCAGGUUCAUCUCAGCAAUAUUAGGGACCCCCAGGCCCCCAUAUUGCUUUUUCUGAGUUACCAGCCCCCAGUUGGCAAGAUGAUAUCUAUGGUGACCUUCAUAAUUAUCCCAAAAACAAUGAGCCAUGUGGGAUUUGAUCAAGUUAAUUGCCCACUUGAGGAAUUUGAUCAUGCUCAUAAGAUAAGUGGGAAUACUAGCUAGACAUGAUUGUACUAGCACCAAUUUCUUCUCAUAUCCUAGCAAUCUACCUCUCCAACCAGCAGCUUUUUUCAGCACCUUAUCAACCACAGGCUGCAGGUCUUCUCUCCUGAGCUUGGUGUAAUGAAGAGGGAAGCCUAGGUAUUUUAAGGGGAAAGCUCCCAAACCACAUGAUAAGGCUAUAGCCACCUUUUGAGCAUCCUCCUCAUGGACAUGGAUAGGAAUCAAAUCACAUUUGUGAAAAUUAAUUCUAAGUCCAGACAUAUGCUCAAAACAAGAAAGAAGCCACUUCAGGUUUUUGGCUGAGACCAAGUUAAUAACAAUAAAAAGUAGGGUGUCAUCUGCAUACUGCAAACUUGUCACCCCUUGAGGGAAGACAUUAGUCAUAAACCCUGAUAUUAGGCUAUUCCUAGCUGCUUUAUUAAGCAUUCUACUAAAAAUAUCAGCCACCAGGUUAAAAAGCAUGGGGGAGGCAGGAUCCCCCUGUCUCACCCCUUUAAAGGUCUCAAAAAAAUCACUAUUACAAUCAUUAAUCCUAACACCCACUGAACCUUUCGACAAAAUGGACUUAACUCUCUCCAUCCAUCUGGGGCUAAAACCCCUUUGAUACAUAGUUUUCAGGAGGAAUUCCUUGCUAACUCUAUCAUAGGCUUUCUCAUAAUCUAACUUAAAACAAAACCUUCUUUAUUGUGAAUUACAGCAGCAUGAAUAAUCUCAUGAGCUGACACCACACUUUCCACAAUAAAUCUGCCUUUAAUAAAAGCAGUUUGGUUUUGUGAAAUAAUCUCAUCUCCAACAUCACCCAGUUGAUUGGCCACACACUUAGCAAAAAUCUUAAAGCUACAAUUGGACAAAGCAAUAGGCCUAAAUUUUUGAAUAGUAUCAGCCCCAGGUUCUUUUGGAAUGAGUGUUAAUAAAGAGAAAUUUAAUCUAAAAAGAUCUAAGGAAUUAUUAUUCCAGGCAUCCACCAUUAACAUAAAAUCAUCCUUAAUGGUAGUCCAGAAGUGCUGAUAGAAGAGGAAGGGAAAUCCAUCAGGGCCAGGUGCCCCUUCAGCAUAAGAACCAAAAACAGCUUUCCUAACAUCCUCUUCAGUAAUAUCAGCAUCUAGAACCUUAUUAUGUUCAUCAGAAACUUUUUCAGAAGGAUCCCAAAAUUCAUCAUCUAGAGAAAUGUCUAGGGUAUCCUCUCUACCAAAAAGCUUCUUGUAAUAAUCUACAGCAAUAUCCAUAAUAUCUUUAUUGGUUUCUACAGGGCCAUUAGGACCAACCAACAUACUAAUCUGCUUCUUCCUCCUCCUAUGAUUUGCAAUAGCCUGAAAAUAGGCAGUAUUCCUACCCCCCUCUAAGAUAUUUCUCUCCCUGGACCUUUGUCUGGACUUAAUUUCCUCCAGUCUCCAUAUUCUUUGAAGCUCAGAGGCAAUUUUGUCCAUCCUGACCUUAGAAGGUGGGGACGAGCGUGUAUGUGAGCGUACGUUUAGGUGAAAGAGUUAGCUAGCUAGGUAGGCGAUCCGUUGGGUUCGGCCGUGGCGUGCGUGUCGUGGGAGCGCACGGCCGGGCAUGCGGAUCCUGCGGGCGAGGUGGGCUGUGCUUCAUGCGCCAGCCCGGGUAUAAAUUCUAUAGACGCGGGAUAGUUGUAAUGCACUGAGUUGAGCACCAUGUAGACAUUGCAAAAGGAAGAAAGAUUCGCGCGUUCGUGCACCGGUCCGAGAAACUUGUGUCCACUGUGUUCAUCUCCUUCCUUCUUUCUUGUUCAAGCGAGUGAGUUGAGAGGGAGAGGUAGUUCGGGGUUUGUCCCAACAUUUUGUAUCAUGAGCUGGUUCAUCUUGGGCGUCGUUCUUCUUGCCAGAGGUGUGUCGGCGGUGGCGGAGUUCGCCGCAGUUGCGUGAUGCUCCAGGCCGUGCGUCGGCCUAUGGAGGAGUGCGGCGCGGCGAGGAGGCCGCGGUGACUGCGGUGGCAUGGUGAGGAGGCCGCGGAGGACCUGCGUGGUGGCGGCUUCAACGACGACGACGGCGCGGCGAGUGCGUUGCGGCGGCUCGGCGUGACAACGGUGGAGGCGCGUGGCACGGAGCCGCAGCGCUCGUGUCGGAUGCGUCAGGCGCGGCGGGACCGUGGUGUAGGGUGGCCGUUGGCGAGCGGGGGUGUGCGCAUCGCGGGCUCGCCGCGCCUAGAUGUGUGCGUGCAUCGGAGGGGGCGCGGGCAGAGCGGACGGGACGGGCGCUCGACGUAGGCUGGGACGUGGGUGCGUGCCCGGCGCGUCCCUGCAUAUAAAACCCCACCCAUGUACAUUGUAAUGCAGUGCCCGGAGUCGAGUUCGAGCUCGAAGGAAUCAAGGUCGUUGGUGUACCAGGAAGAGAAGCUGCGGCGUGUGUCGCCGGAGAUGAAGAAGGCGUUCUCCAUGGCAGUCGACGAGAGGCCGGAGUCCUAUCAGGAUGGGCGGCGAGGUCGUGGCUUAGAGGGGAGAAUGUUAGGAAUAAGUCAGGCAUGAGUAUGUGCUCGUGUGUGUGAUCUAUGUGCAUGGGUGUGACCGUGUGCAUGCAAGAUUCUGUUAGUGCAUGCCCUGAUUAGUUAGCUAGUUUGUUGGCUUGGAAGGGUCGCCGGAGGAGCGUGUAUGGGAGCGUACGUUUCGGUGAAAGAGUUAGCUAGCUAGGUAGGCGAUCCAUUGCUGCCGCUGCUGGUGGAGCUGUGCAAGUCCAUUGGUGUGCACACGCUGCUGCUCAUGGAGUGCUGGUGCCCGGCAUCUUUGGCAUUCAGCUCUUGUACCUACCGCCCGCCGAAUCGCCAGGCAACAUCGUGCUGUUCAGAAAAAAUUUUAGUUCCUGCACGGCUGCAUAACCUCCUGUCUUGGUUGAUUAUCACGAGUGUGUUUUUGCCUGAGUAGAUUAUCCAAUAGUUGUAGUUGCACAUAUUAUAGUCUGUAGUUGUAUAUAUGAUCUAGAAAGUUGCACAACACGAUGAUACUAAGUUGGCUAGAUGAUGUUUUUGCUUAAAUUGAUCUAUUUUUGUUAGUCAUAUUUUUAGUUGACAUCCAUGACACUAUAAUAUAAUAUAGCAAUGUGUUUAAAGUUCCAUUCAGCGGGAGGGCCCCGAGUCCCCGCGGCCGCUGGUGACGGCAAGGCUUCUCCCUGCCACACCCUCAGACAGCGGCAAGGAAGGAGGAAGAGGAGAAGGGGAGGCUAGGCGACGGGAUCUGGGAGCCUCCCGGCUGCCACACGAGGGCGACUCGGGAGGGCGCUGUGGCUAGGCGAAGGGAUCUCCUUUCUUCUGGAUAGUUUUGAAGAUGAUAUAGAAGAUUAUGUGUGUCGGGAGUGUCGUGUCAUGUCGUGCCAAACAUUCAGAGCUGCAUGGCGCUCCAAUGUCGUCGACGAGGCUCUGUAUGCCUGCCAUCCACGGACGAGCUCCUCACGGCUCUCGCCUCAUCUUCGUCUUCGUCUUCAUCUGAUUGACAAAACCUUUGAAAGGCCACACCUUUCGUAUUUUCUCCAAGUCGUUCCCAGAUCUUCUCUUCCCGACGACCCGGCCCAGGCAUGAACGACAAGCUUGCCGUACGGCCGGGCCAGUGUGCUCUCUCGUCUCUAGUCUGUUGUUCUGUGCCGGGACACCAGCGCUGAGGAAGCAUGCAACUAAUCAAGGCGAUCUCUUUGGACCACACCCGCAACUGAUCACGAGGUCCAAGAGUGGCCAUCGUCCCUGCCGACCAGGGCCGGUCCUAAGAUUUUGGGGGCCUUGGGCGAAACUAUAACCUAGGGCCUCUAAAUAUAAAUAUCAAAAUAAUAAUUAAUAUAUGUCUAUAUCAAAUGUUGGCCGCCUUCUCCACUAUUAUUUCCCUUUCUUUGUUAAUUAUUAAGAUAUCCCCAUUUUCGGAUCAUAGAUAUCCAUAAAAAAUUCUUUUGUGUCUAAACUAGCAGAUUCUAUACAAGAUGAAUUAAAUAUGUGCUCAUAACCACUUACAUUGUUUUCAUCUGUUGGCUGCCGUUCUGCCCUUGUCUUCUGGAUUAAGGCUAGUAGCCCGGUCAAAACAAAUGUCAUGGCUGGAUUUCUUCAACUCCUCAUAUUACUCUUAGAAAAAACAAAUAAUAAGUGUCACGUGUGUGGCACUUAUAAGGGUCCACAAAAAAUUAUCAGUGUAUCCUCGCUGUAACUAUAUUAGUUCAUUGUCUCAUUCUUUUUUUUUUCUUUCCUAACCAGAUGCAUAUGCUUUAGACGGCAUGCCGUGCUAAAAUUUACAGAAUCAGAAAAAAAUAUAUAGAAACUAACUCAUAGUUACAAAGGUGUUAAAUCAAUUCAAUCAAAUCUUACCUAACAUCAGUUUAUCAAAGCGAACUCACAAGUUCCAAAUCCCAAUACCAUCUUUUUCUGAAGUGAGUAUGUUGGGGUUGGGUUGUAGUCUAGAUCCUUCACGUACGUGUAUUAGAUGAUCUUUAGAUUGGUGAUUNNNNNNNNNNNNNNNNNNNNNNNNNNNNNNNNNNNNNNNNNNNNNNNNNNNNNNNNNNNNNNNNNNNNNNNNNNNNNNNNNNNNNNNNNNNNNNNNNNNNNNNNNNNNNNNNNNNNNNNNNNNNNNNNNNNNNNNNNNNNNNNNNNNNNNNNNNNNNNNNNNNNNNNNNNNNNNNNNNNNNNNNNNNNNNNNNNNNNNNNNNNNNNNNNNNNNNNNNNNNNNNNNNNNNNNNNNNNNNNNNNNNNNNNNNNNNNNNNNNNNNNNNNNNNNNNNNNNNNNNNNNNNNNNNNNNNNNNNNNNNNNNNNNNNNNNNNNNNNNNNNNNNNNNNNNNNNNNNNNNNNNAGGACCGGACCUGCACCAUAUGCCAUGCCGUGCCGCGGUCCAACGCUUACUCGCCGUGUCACACCUAAGCAAAGCGCCCAAGCAAGAGCUAUACUGGAUUCAUCCUCCAUCGGGAUGGGCUAAGCUCAACACAGAUGGUAUUCAUGCCCCUUCGACCGGAGAGGCUGGAUGGGCAUGGUUCUACGCGAUGAGAGAGGCGACAUCAUCUAUAUUGCUUGUAGAAAAAUUCUUACAUGCGAUAAUGACCUUGGGGCAGAGCUAGCUGCAUGCAGAGAGGGCUUGAAGCUAGCUCUACACCGGUCGAACCUGCCCAUUAUGAUGGAGCUUGACUAUGCCGAAGGAGUGUCUAUGUUGCUAGCACAAACUGAAGCUAGAACACAUCACCGGUUACUCGUAUGGACCCUGCACUGCAGUGUGGGUGUGCUUGGGGCAAGACUUUGUUGUAAACCUUUCUAAGGCUGACAAGCCUCCUUGAGUAAUGAAAUCUCUCUUUACACCGCAAAAACAGAAACAAAAACUUCAAGAAAGGAAAAGGUGUGUGCGUGCAUGUUUUGAUGUGUAGGCAUAUUAAACUAUGUACUAGUCCUCAUCAGCGCAAGAUUGAUGGAUCUGGUCGUCAGAUCUGUGGGAACGAGUGGGAUCAACCACUUCGCUGCAACCAAGACGAGUCCUAUUAACUUACCCUAAAUUGCAAGAUAAUAAGUGAUUGAACCACUCAUUAAUGCCCCGGUCUUUGGUCUCCUGCAUGCAGUACCAUAUCCAGCCAAUCCCUGGCCUUUUGGAGUAAAGGGGUGUUUGUUUACAUGGACCUAUUAGUGUAGGGACUUAAAAAAAUCCCUUUUAGUCCCAUCUGAAACAAAGAAGAGGGACUUAUAGAGACUUAAAGUGGACAUUUGGUACUUAUGAAACAAGAUCAUGAAGGAGAGUCUUUUUGGGACUUUUAGUUGUAAUAUGGUCUUUUAGUCAAUGUUUAGUCCCAGAAACCAAAUAUGUAAGGACUUUUUAGGGACUAACGACUUUUUAGUUGGGACUAAAACAAGUUCUAUUACUUUUGAACCAAACAGGGCCUAAAGUCUGUUGAUCCAUGCAGCAUGCAAUAUUGCCUGAGUAAAAUGCUCCGGUAAUCUGCCUAAUUUAAUGCAUGCCGAUUAAUUUUACGGGAAUAUCUGAGAUUCAUGACCCACUCGGAGGGAGUGGUAUAGUCCAGUCAUUAAGGCUAAAACAAUACAUCUUGACCAGCCGUCGGAUCGGCGCAGACGGCUGGGAUCAGUCGGAGAUGGGGAUCAAUCCCUGGUAGGCGGUGACGGGCCAAUCGCAAGCAAGCAGCAAAAUUUCUUUUCUAUUCCUUAGAUUUAGACUAGUAAGUGUGCACGUGCAAAUGCACGUCUCGACUAAUAUGACAAACAUAUGUAUGAAUUAACAUACACAUAAAGAUAUUUUGAUUGCACUCAAAAGACUACUACAAAUCAAGAAACACAUUAGGCCAAGUUUGGCAACAUAGUUUUCUCAAAACAAUAGUAAUCGAAAACCUCAGUAUUCAAUUGCCUAGGCAAUGAAUUCUUCAGUUUUUAAAAACCACAGUUUUUUAAGUUUACAAAAAAGUGGUCAAGACCUCUUUCUUAAAUACUACCAAAAAACCAUGGUACUGGAGAUACUACGGUUUAUAAAGCUAUGAUAUUUGUUGAAGCCAAACACCUCAAAGUUUUGAAAACUUUGGUUUAUGAGAAAGCGGUGGUAUUCUCCAAAUACUUCAAAAAAACUGAGCAGCCAAAUGCAGCCUUAAUGUAUGACCAACUGGUCAUAUGCAUUGAGCCAAAAAACUAUCCCAGUAUUUCCUAAUAAGGCUAGUGAAUUCUCGUAAACAUGCGGAAUGUUGUGUGCGGCUUCAUUGUUGAUGUAGUUGAGUAGCUACACCAAAAAUUGCUUCCUUAUCUGGUCACCAUCCUGAAUGAAAAUAGUAAGUCAAUAUUGAUCCUGCAAAUUGGUUGAUUUAGUUCUUUCGCAUCCCAUGAGUGCAAUAAAUUAAAAGCAAAAUAACCAGACAAGUUCCUGUAGAUAAAUGCAUUACCAUUAUCUUGAGUGUUAGAAAAACUAAAUAAGAUGCUUUAGUGGGUUUCAUAGGUAGUCACCUGUCUGUGCUUUCUGGAACACAAGCUAGUAAUCGACCAUGGAAAAAUAAACAUCAUUCCAUUUGGGAUUUGCUACUUGGAGUGCUUGGUUUAGGUAAAAUGAGAUGCACAUCCUUCAAAGAUGGAACUCGGCGGGCAUCAACUCUCUUGCGCAUCAUAGUAAACACAAGCAAGAAACGUAAGGAUGAGAGAAGAAAAGAAAGUAAAAUUCAGACAAGUUGAAUUAAUUUGGAAAGGCUAAUGCAUCAGAUUAAUACUAUAAAUACCAUAUACCAAGCAUCAUGCUGAAACCAUAGUGAGUACUUACAACAGUUCUUGUAAUAAUUGAGUACUUACAACAUCUUAACAUUAGAAUAUUGUACGCAAUAUCUCAUUAAUGUUCGAAUCAGUAUAAGGGAAUAGAAAUCACAUCCAAUCCCAUAAAAUAUUACAUUUGCUAAGUGCAAUGUCUGAACUGACCGCAACAUAUGAUUAUUCAAGAGGGACAUCACUUUACUAAACGAAAAUUGUAAAUGAUACAGAAAAAUAAGUAACACAAAUAUGAAUGGAACUCAACAACAAAACCAAUGAAGCAAAAGGAAAGACUGCUUAUGAGCUAGUUCAUUUAGAUUGAAACUGAUGAGCUAGUUCAUUUAUUAGCUAGUUCCUUGCAUGAGAUGUAUUCUCUUGAGAAACAUGACACCUUAAAAAAACACAGGACACCUUAUAUCGAACUCAACAACAAAAGCUUGUGUUCUACUAAGUGCCUGUAGAGUUGUCCAUUAACCUGAACAUCAUCAACCUAACUUGGAAAAAUAAAAAUGUUAAUGUCAGAGUUCAUACUUCCAUUUCAUCUUGUGCCUCCUUUCUAUUUCUCUACCAUUGGGUGCUCGGGCUUGAAGCUGAUUCUACCUCCAACCUUUACUAGGACAAAACAUAAGACCAUCUCAUUGUCGGAAUUACAACAGUGCUCAAUUCAACAACUAAUUUCUCAGAUUCAUUACUCUAGUAAUUGUUAGUUUGCUCCUAAACUGAUAGUACUCCCAGUUUACAUGUUUUGUCUGUAUGUGUUUUGGCUUUCUCAAACUUGAUUGGUGCUCAUGGUGUUACCAAAUUACCAAUAAGCACCAGCUGCAAUCAAGAAUAGUACACCACCUUUCCACUUAAUCCACAACACAGUCCUACAGAAUCAAGUUAAUUUUUUUCCUCUACUAAUGUAUACAGGAAGCAAAAAAUUCAGGUUCACUCAUGAAUGUAGUACAAGCUUUUUUCAGGUUCAAACAACAUUGUAGUGGAAGCUUUUUUCUGGUUCAGACAAAUUCGUAAAAUAAUAAUAGGGAAGAAGAAAGUACAACAACUGGUUGUAAUCAUUUGUAACACCGCUUCCAAUGGAGGUUUAACACGUGGUUCACCGACCUUUGGACCGCACAAAAUGAAUAGUGUGCUUACAACACUACAGAGCUAGUAACGACUAAAAGAUUUCCUGCAUUGAACAAAGCAAAGUAUCCUCUACAAAAAGGGAUUUGUAAACCAUUGCUACAACAUAUGAUAUUCUUUCCUUUGAAAAUUGUUGUUCGUCGUAAUAUCAAAUUACCAAAAAGGUUAUAGGUGCAACCAAUAGUGCGUACAUUACAAUUCCACAACCUCCAUUUCACCUACUCGAGCAGACAAUAUUUUCACAAUGACCAGUGUAAACUUUUAGCUCUGUCACAAUAACCAUAAAUGUUUACUAUCCCUGAAGGAAUUUUCGCACAAGAUCGACCCAUUAAAUUUUUGGAGGGUGUGUGUGUGUGUGUGUGUGUGUGUGUGUGUGUGUGUGUGUGUGUGUGUGUGAGGGGAGGAUGGGGGCAGGGGGAGUUUGUAGUAAUGCAACCUGUAGCAUUCUGAACAGGAGUCGACACGACAUGCGAAUACUGGAUGUCCAGGCUGCCUAGCCCAGCCGCUUCCGCCUUGUUGCGAGGCAGGUAAGCCAGUAACCUGCCGGCUGCUCUGCUUCCACUGCUGCUGCCGGCGCCAGUUUUAGGUGGUGAGGUGGAAGACCGAAUGAGGAGGGCAGUGAAGGAACUACAGUGAGAUUUUAACAUCAUAAAAUUCUUUAGGAGAUUUAUGUACUCCAAAUAUUCUGAAAUUUGUACACCAGCCAGUAUGCACUCGCUAGCUAGCAACUGAAUUGAUAUAGCAGAUAAUAUUCCCCAUAGUGCACAAAACAAUUGAAGCAGAUGAACAAGCAGAAAUGAAUAUUCAGAUAGGACCAUGCUUACAUAAUGGCUACCUUCCAGAUGGAGAAGUUGAGGAGGAGGAUAGGCAACAUCAUAUCGGCCGCUGCAACCGUCGAAUGUCCCCAUAUCCUCCUCUUCCUACUGUCACUGUUCAUUUGCUCGUCCAGCGCUUGCGUGCAGCUUCUGGCAGCAAGAAGCACCAAAGAACUGAAAAUACCUUACCAUAUUUUUAUAAAUGGCAUCCCUAAAAUAAAAAGGUUGGAACUUCAAAGGAAAAGAUCACAGCAACAAACUAUGGAUUAUGUUGUUGCAAACUUGCAACUGCAGGAAAAUUUACCUUUUUCUGUACAUAAAUACCUUAUAACCUUUUCUAUUAACAGAUGCUGUAGAGAUGCUGUUACUUAAACAAAAAUGCAGGAAAAUAUCAUAUGAAAUCAUCGACCUGGAUCCUUUUUUAAAUACAACAACGGAUCCAUGUAAGAAGAAUUAAACCUAAAAACCAGAGUACUGCAUACAAACUAUCGGCUAGCUUACUUUUUGCAUGGCUAGCAACUUGAAAAUCCUUCUACAGAUGUAACAAGAAAAGAAAUCUAUUAGACAUGAUUUUGAAAAAUCUUGUAACUGGUAUGUCGAACGUAGAGGGUAAUAUCAGAAGUCCAGGUGCUAGUCACAUGAACCUGCACCAUGUUGGUAAUUAUCCAGAACAAAAAUAAUCAAUUGUUGAACUUGUCACAAACCAUGGAAGAAAUCACAUGGAGUUAGUAUAACGAUUAUCCCUCGUCAGAUAAAAAGUUGCUGGAGAGAGAGAGACACACACAGAGAGAGAGAGGCCCAUCUUCGCGUGAUUCCAAGGCUGAAAAAUCCUAUAUAUAUAGACACCCCCAGAAAUAACCCAUGUGAGAAGUUCCGCCGCCGCGAAAAAACAAUCUGGACCCUGUUCCAGCACCCUGCCGGAGGCGGAAAUCAUCAUCGAAGGUCAUCUUCAUCAUCCCGGUAGUCUCCAUGAUGAGGAGGGAGUAGUCCAUCCUCAGGGCCGAGGGUUUGUACUAGUAGCUAUGUGUUUAAUCUCUCUCUCUCUCUCUCUCUCUCUCUCUCUCUCUCUCUCUUUCUCGUUCUUAAUUUGACAUGAUCUUGAUACACCGCGAGCUUUGUUAAUAUAAUUGAAUCAUAUGGUGUUUUUCCCUCUCAAUCUUGUUGUGAUGGACUGAGUUUUACCUAUGAGAUUUCGUUGUUAGAUUGAAUAAUUUUAUGGAUUUGAGAACACUUGAUGUAUGUUUUGGCACUCAACUCGCGGAUUCCAGAGGUGGCAUUUGGGUAACUAUGCAUAGGGGUUGAUGCACAUUUUUGUCCUUGUUUCUCCGGUAGAAAUCUUGGGGCGCUCUUUGAGGUUCUUUGUGUUAGAUUAAGUAUUAUGAAUCUGAAGUUGUUUGAUGCAUAUCGUAUAAUCAACUCACGGAUACUUGGGGUGACAUUAGAGUUGGUUGAUAUGUAUUAUUUGGUCUUAUUUUAGUAAUAGCAUAAAAGAUUGAUCGAAAAAAAUAACUUUUCAUACCCUACAAACAAUUUCUUCUUAUAUUCUGCGCUAGACAAGAACUUUGGAGUAAUUGUUUAUCACACCUUGAGGGGUUUCCAUACGAUCUAAUUAUGUUAGCACUAUUGAGAGAUUGCACUAGUGAAAGUAUGAACACUAGGUCUUAUUUUUAAGCAUUGCAAUACUGUUUGUGCUCACUUUUGUUACUUCCUACCUUGCUAUAUUUUUAUUGUUCCUAUUACAAAAAUCAAUAUCUACUAUCCAUAUUACCCUUGUAUCACCAUCUCUUCGCCGAACUAGUGCACCUAUAUAAUUUACCAUUGUAUUUGGUGUGUUGAGGACACAAAAGACUCUUUGUUAUUUGGUUGCAAGGUUGUUUGAGAGAGACCAUCUUCAUCCUACGCCUCCCACGGAAUGAUAAACGUUAGGUCAUCCACUUGAAGGAAAAUUUCUACUGUCCUAUCAUGGAUGUGUUUUUCUUUAGAGACACCCCCCCAUCAUUGCUGGCUAGCGAAUUUGCGAUGCAAUUCGUCCCUAUGUCAGUGUCUUAACCACUUCGUCGUCCCGCACAAUGAGCAGAACAGAGCAGCGGCUGCAAUUUACCCAUUGAUUUCUUGGAGUGAUUCAAACCUAGGAAGCCUGCUACUUGUGCAAGCAACAGGGUAAGAAUUUUCAUUUUUCUAACUGAUGCACCUCAAUUUGCAAGGUUAGAAUAAGGCUCCGCAACCCUCCCUCUCUGGCUUCUGGCGACGGCUGAUGCCUCCUGAUGCUCCGGGCCUUCGAAGCGGGGGCGAAACACGGUUUCGGGGGGAAGUUGGAGCUGACAUGGGUGUCGGUCGUGGCCAUGUGCCACUUCUCCGCCUUCCCCUUCCCCCGAUCGAGGUGGUCGCGGCCCUUCUCGAGGCAGCUUGGCCGGUGGCGGUUCUGGAGGUGGUCGGGGUUGUGGAUCUUGACAAAGGCGUGGCCUUUGGGGGCUUCAGGGAGGUCUCAUGGCUCGAUGAAGAUGAAAGAACGGUGUACGAUGGUGCAAGUGGGAGGGAAGAGGAUGGGCGCGAGGUGGUAAAUGACUGGCGGUCGGAAGGGGAAGAGGGGGCAGCGAGGUCUCCGUCAUGGUCGUGGGCGACGGGCGUUGGCUUGGUUUCUUCCAAGGGAGGCGCCGGAGAGGGAGGCCGCGGGGCAUGCUCCGGCAGUUGGGCGGUGGAGGCAAUUGGGUGGGCUCAGAGAAAAUAGCGGGGGAUGGGCGCGGGGGCGGUGGAGGCACGGGCGGGGUUAGUGUGAUUUCUUUUUUCUUUUCUUUGAAGUGUUUGUGCGGGUUAGUGCGGUUGCUAAAACAUGUGUUUGAUCUAAAACGCGUUUGAUGAGCGAUCUGGAACCUACAAAAAUCAAUAGACGGAUGAGAUGUUGUUUUGUUCGGUGGAGGAGAGGAACGAUUCAUUCCUUCCCUCGCCGCCCCGUCUCCCUCGCACGCCGCCGGCCAUGGCCUCCGCCCUCUCCCUCUCACCCUCACUCGCCGCCGGCCACCGCCCUCUCCUACUCUCAUCCCCUCCCCUCUUCACAAGGUAAGAUAAGAGAAGAGAAGAGGGAGAUAGAGAGAGCGGGCAGUUCAGGCGGCGGCCCAGAUACGCCGCGGCCGCCCAGGGCCUCGACGGAAGUAGGCUCAAUCGCUCGCUCGUGCGCCAGGACAGGACCUCGGACGGCUCGGCCCUGCGCGAGGAUGGCUAAUUUUUUUAAAAUAAUACAUUUUUCUAACUAAUUUGCAUAAAUAUUACGCCGAUAUUUUUAUUUUAAAAAAUGAUACACCAUCGGCCCGCUGCAGGCCGACUGAGCCUAGUCGGCGCACCGCAGACCGAUUGUCUUCCAGUCGGCCCGCAGCAAGCCGACUGGGACUAAUUGGCUUGCCGCGAACCAAUUAGUCCAGUCGGCUUGCUGCUGGCCGACUGGAAGCCAAUCGGCCUGUGGUGGGCUGAUUAGGUGCAUGUGGCCAUUUUUUUUCUGUUUUUGGUUUUAGUUGUUGUUUUCUAUUUAUUCUAGCUAUCAAAUGAAUCUAGUUUGUGUUGAAACUUUUUGCAUAAAUUACUAGCAAUAUUAACAAGCCACAUAUAAAUUUUCAUAUUUUUUGGAAAACCAAAAUUUUACAAUUGUAUUUAGCUCCUGGUGAAUAUAGAUCGGGUUUAAAUUUAUCUAUCCAAAUUGAUUUUUUUAAUUUUUAUAGAUGUUAAAAUAUCAAGGAGAAUAAUUUAAAUUUUUUGUGAAACAAUUUGAGAAUACAUUUUUAGCUUAUGAAACAAUAUGAAACAUUUUUUGUGAAAUAACUUGAGGAAAAUUCUUUUUUGGCUUAUGAAACAAUUUGAGAAUACUUUUUUGGCUUAUGAAACAAUUUGUGAAUUUUCCUCAAAUUGUUUCAGAAAAAUUGUUUCAAAUUGUUUCAUAAGCCAAAAAAAAUUCCUCAAAUUGUUUCACAAAAAUGUUUAAACCAUUCUCCUCAAUAUUUUAACAUUUAUAAAAAUCAAAAAAAUUAAUUUGGAUAAAUUAAUUUAAAUCCUAUCUUUUUCACCAGGAGCUAUCAAAUGUAAAUAUGUGGUUUUCCAAAAAUUAUGAAAAUUUAUAUGUGGCUUGUUAAUAUUGCUAGUAAUUUAUGCAAAAAGUUUCAACACAAACCAGAUUCAUUUGAUUGCUAGAAUAAAUAGAAAACGACAACUAAAACCAAAAACAGAAAAAGAAAAAUGGUCAUAUGCACCUAGUCGGCCCACAGCAUGCCGAUUGGCCUCUAGUCGGCCCGCAGCAAGCCGACUGGGACUAAUUGGCUUGCUGCGAACCAAUUAGUCCCAGUUGGCUUGCUGCGGGCCGACUGGAGGCCAAUCGGCCAACGGUGGGCCAACUAGGCUCAGUCGGCCUGCAGCGGGCCGAUGGUGUAUUAUUUUUGAAAAUAAAAAUAUCGGCGUAAUAUUUAUGCAAAUUAAAUAAGUAAAUGUACUAGUAGCGCGGGCUAAAAAAAAGCUUAUGUGUUAUCUUCAUUACAUCCUCUACUAGCAAAACGAUCCAAGUGAAAAAUUAACAAUGUCCUGCGAGAUUGUCAAGCGUGGGCAUCCUUUUGUAUUUAUAGUCUCCAAAAGUUAUAGAUAGGAGGCACAUGGUGUUUCGAAAUAUUACAUGCAUUGCCUACUGCUUGGUGCCUAUAUUUACAGCUUCUUCCUGCGUCUGCUGACUCUAUUUCUUUCAUGCCCUGUUGUUGUUCUUCCAGGGAGACCGUUACUGUGAUUUCCCUGUGCUCGUUUGGAGGAGGCGUUCAUUCCUUUUAAGCCCCCACUACUAGGAAAAACAUUAUACACAGAAAUUUACUAGUAGCGCGGGCUAAAAAAAAGCGCUACUAUAAUUUACCACUACCGCGUGUGAAAUAAUCGUGCUGCAGCUAAGUUUGUAGCAGUAGCGUGUCUCGCUAAAGAAGCGGUACUACUACAAUUCCCCUACUGUUCUCGACAGGCUACCAUUAGUAGUAGCAUGCUUAGAAAAAGUGCGCUGCUACUAAGACUAUUGUAGCAGCGUGUUUUACGCAGAAAGCGCUACUGCUAAGGAAAGAAAAAUAAAAUGAAAAACAUAUAGAAAAGUAAAUGAAAAUGAAAGAAAUAGAAAAAUGGGAAGGAAAAAAAGAAAAUGUGAAUGAAAAUAAAUGAAAAAUAAAAAUAAGGGAGAAAGACGUAGCAGCAGCAGGCUUUUUGGACACGCGCUAUAGCUAUCUUAGCAGCAACGCUUGUUGCCAUCCAGCCCUAUAGCUAACGUAGCAAUAGCGCUUUUUCUGUAACGCGCUACUGCUACUUUUGAAUUAACCACGCGUGGUUCUUCUUCCCCACGGCCAUUUCACCCAAAUCGAACUCGCGCGUCUGCUGUCGCAGCUGUCGUCGCCCGGCCGCCGCGCGCGGUCUCCCUUCGCCCUCCGCAUGCCGUCGACGCCGCCCCCGACCCCGACCUCGAUACCCCCCUACAUCGCCGCCCUCCGGCGUGCGCCCGCCGCCCCGACCCCGACCCGUCCCCGACCUCGACGCCGCCUGCCCCUCUCCCUAACUCCGCCGGCGCCCGAGGUGAGCACGCCCUCUUUUGGUUUCAAAACCGGCGGAUCUCGGGUAGGGUGUCCCGAACUGUGCGUCUAAGGUCGAUGGUAACAGGAGACAGGGGACACGAUGUUUACCCAAGUGAUACGUCUCCAAUGUAUCUAUAAUUUUUUAUUGUUCCAUGCUAUUAUAUUACUUGUUUUGGAUGUUUAUGGGCUUUACUCUACACUUUUAUAUCAUUUUUGGGACUAACCUAUUAAUCGGAGGCCCAGCCCGAAUUGCUGUUUUUUUGCCUAUUUCAGUGUUUCGAAGGAAAGGAAUAUCAAACGGAGUCCAAACGGAAUGAAACCUUCGGGAGCGAUCGUUUUGGAACAAACGCAAUCCAUGAGACUCGGAGUGGACAUCAAGAAGCGAACGAGGCGGCCACGAGGGUGCCCGGCGCGCCCCCACCCUCGUGGGCCCCUUGAGCGUCCACCGACCUACUUCUUCCUCCUAUAUAUGUCCACGGACCCCGAAAACAUCCAGGAGCACCACGAAAAACUAUUUCCACCGCCACAACCUUCUGUAUCCGCGAGAUCCCAUCUUGGAGCCUUCGUCGGCGCUCCGCCGGAGGGGGAAUCGACCAUGGAGGGCCUCUCCAUCAUCACCAAGGUCUCUCCGAUGAGUUGUGAGUAGUUUACCGCAGACAUUCGGGUCCAUAGUUAUUAGCUAGAUGGAAUUCUUCUUUCUUUUUGAUACUCAAUACAAAGUUCUCCUUCCUCUUCUUGUAGAUCUAUUCGAUGUAACUCUUUUUGCGGUGUGUUUGUCGAGAUCUGAUGAAUUGUGGGUUUUUGAUCAAGUUUAUCUAUGAGAAAUAUUUGAAUCUCCUCUGAAUUCUUUUAUGUAUGAUUGGUUAUCUUUGCAAGUCUCUUCGAAUUAUCAAUUUGGUUUGGCCUACUAGAUUGAUCUUUCUUGCCAUGAGAGAAGUGCUUAGCUUUGGGUUCAAUCUUGCAGUGUCCUUUCCCAGUGACAGCAGGGGCAGCAAGGCACGUAUUGUAUUGUUGCCAUCGAGGAUAAAAAGAUGGGGUUUAUAUCAUAUUGCAUGAGUUUAUCCCUCUACAUCAUGUCAUCUUGCUUAAUGCGUUACUUUGUUCUUAUGAACUUAAUACUCUAGAUGCAGGCAGGAGUCGGUUGAUGUGUGGAGUAAUAGUAGUAGAUGCAGAAUCGUUCGAUCUACUUGUUGCGGAUGUCAUGCCUAUAUACAUGAUCAUGCCUAGAUAAUCUCAUAACUAUGCACUUUUCUAUCAAUUGCUCGACAAUAAUUUGUUCACCCGCAGUAAUAAUUAUACUAUCUUGAGAGAAGCCCCUAGUGAAAUCUUUGGCCCCCGGUUCUAUCUUUUAUCAUAUAAGUUUUCCAUCAAAUUUUAUUUGCAUCUUUUAUUUUCCAAUCUAUAUCAUAAAAAUACCAAAAAUAUUUAUCUUAUCAUAUUAUCUCAAUCAGAUCUCACUUUCGCAAGUUACUGUGAAGGGAUUGACAACCCCUUUAUCGCGUUGGUUGCGAGGUUCUUGUUUGUUUGUGUAGGCGCGUGGGACUUGGAAAGGGCCUCCUACUGGAUUGAUACCUUGGUUCUAAAAAACUGAGGAAAAUACUUACGCUACUUUGCUGCAUCACACUUUCCUCUUCAAGGGAAAAACCAACGCAUGCUCAAGAGGUAGCAAGAAGGAUUUCUGGCGCCGUUGCCGGGGAGGUCUUCGCUCAAGUCAAGACAUACCAAGUGCCCAUCACAAACUCAUCUCCCUCGCAUUACAUUAUUGACCAUUUGCCUCUUGUUUUCCUCUCCCCCACUUCACCCUUGCCAUUUUAUUCGCCCUCUCUUUUCCGUUCGCCUUCCAUUUGCCAUGGCCGAGUCAAAAAGAACUAAGGGUUCUCUCCCGAGUUAUAGUACUUUGGAUAGUCCCUCUGUCCUCUCUAAGCUCCUAAAUAAUGAUGUUGUGGGAAGGCCUACCGGGGUUACCAAUGCGAAUUUAAAUAAUUUUGAUGAAGAGGACUCCGGAAUUUUUCGUUAUUUACUUGAUGAGUCUUUAAAAGAUGCUUGGGAUAGGCUAUUAAGGAUUAGAGCUAGCUAUGUGCCACAAUAUCUAAUUGAGAUUUAUCUAAGAAGCUUUUAUGUUGGGUUACCACCUUCAUUUAAAUAGGUUUUAGAUUCUAUUUUUGAAGAAGGUUUUCUUGAAGGGGACGCUAUAGACACUUACGAAAAAAUGAAAACUAUAUUUGGGCACCCCAUGAAUGAUAAGGUUGAAUCCACCACUCUCUUAUGCUUUUAUCAAAAUGAAAUUAUUAGAGAUGAAAGCUAGCCUAGAUGCAAAUUUCCGUAACGUGCUUAAUCUUUCUUCCUCCAUUAAUGGCCAUGUGAUUUCCUAAAAUAGAAGGAAAAUGCUAUAGAUAAGAAAUUUUCUCUUUUCUUUCCGAAUACCAAAGAUGGCAAUACUUAGAUCUAUUCUCGCUUUUAAUGCCUAGCUAGGGGCGUUAAACGAUAGCGCUUGUUGGGAGGCAACCCAAUUUUAUUUUUGUUCCAUGCUUUUUUUUCCUGUUUAGUAAUUAAAAAUUAACCUAGCCUCUGGUUAGAUGUGGUUUUAUGUUUUAAUUAGUGUUUGUGCCAAGUAGAACCUAUAGGAUAACUUACGGUGAUAGUUAAUUUGAUUCUGGUUAAAAACAGAAAGUUUGCGCUCACGAGAAAAAAUUCAAUAAAUCACAGAAACAUGCUUUUGCAUUGAUUCUUUUUGCUGUAGAUCAAUAGAAAAAUUUCCUAGGACGUCCUAUUUUGGUAGGAUUUUUGGAGUUCUAGAAGUAUUCGAAAGUUACAGAUUUCUACAUACUGUUCUCUUUUUGAUAGAUUCUGUUUUUCGUGUGUUCUUUGCUUAUUUUGAUGAAUCUAUGGCUGGUAUCGGGGGGUAUGACCGUAGAGAAGUUGUAAUACAGUAGGUUUAACACCAAUAUAAAUAAAGAAUGAGUUCAUUACAGUACCUUAUGCAGUGGUUUUUCUUUCUUGCACUAACGGAGCUUAUGAUAUUUCCUAUUGAGUUUUGUGUUGUGAAGUUUUCAAGUUUUGGGUAAAGAUUUUGAUGGACUAUGGAAUAAGGAGUGGAAAAAGGCUAAGCUUGGGGAUGCCCAUGGAACCCCAAGAUAUUCAAGGACAACCAAAAGCCGAAGCUUGGGGAUGCCCCGGAAGGCAUCCCCUCUUUCGUCUUCGUCUAUCGGUAACUUUACUUGGAGCUAUAUUUUUAUUUACCACAUGAUAUGUGUUUUGCUUGGAGCGCCUUGUAUGAUAUGAGUCUUUUCUUUUUAGUUUACCACAAUCAUCCUUGUUAUACACACCUUUUGGGAGAGACCCACAUGAUUUAGAAUUUAUUAGAAUACUCUAUGUGCUUCACUUAUAUCUUUUGAGCUAGAUAGUUUUGCUCUAUGUGCUUCACUUAUAUUUUCUAGAGCAUGGCGGUGGCUUUAUUUUGAAGAAAUUGUUGAUUAAUACGUCCAUUUUGCAUCAUGCUUUUAUAUCAAUAUUUAUUGCAUUGUGGGCUGUUAUUACACAUUAUAUAUCAAUACUUAUGGCUAUUCUCUCUUAUUUUAUAAGGUUUACCAUGAAGAGGGGGAAUGCCGGCAGCUGGAAUUCUGGCUGGAAAAGGAGCAAACAUUGGAAACCUAUUCUGCACUGCUCGAAAAGACCUGAAACUCCACAAAACUUAUUUUUCGAAUUAAUAAGAAUUAUUGAGCGGAAGAAACACCUCAGGGGGCUCACACCCUGGCCAGGAGGGUGGGGGGCGCGCCCACCCCUACUGGGCGCGCCCCCUGUCUCCUGGGCCUCCUGGUGGCCCUCCUGUGUCAUCUUCUGCUAUAUGAAGGCUUUUACCCUGGAAAAAAAUUAUGGGCAAGCUUAUGGGACGAAACUCCGCCGCCACGAGGCGGAACCUUGGCGGAACCAAUCUAGAGCUCCGGCAGAGCUGUUCUGCCGGAGACACUUCCCUCCGGGAGGGGGAAAUCAUCACCAUCGUCAUCACGAACGAUCCUCCCAUCGGGAGAGGGUCAAUCUCCAUCAACAUCUUCACCAGCACCAUCUCCUCUCAAACGCUAGUUCAUCUCUUGUAUCCAAUCUCGUAUCCAAAAUCACAAAUUGCUACCUGUGGGUUGCUAGUAGUGUUGAUUACUCCUUGUAGUUGAUGCUUAUUGGUUUACUUGGUGGAAGAUCAUAUGUUCAGAUCCUUAAUGCAUAUUAUUAAUCCUCUGAUUAUGAACAUGAAUAUGCUUUGUGAGUAGUUACGUUUGUUCCUGAGGACAUGGGUGAAGUCUUGCUAUUAGUAGUCAUGUGAAUUUGGUAUUCGUUCGAUAUUUUGAUGAGAUGUAUGUUGUCUUUCCUCUAGUGGUGUUAUGUGAACGUCGACUAGAUGACACUUCACCAUUAUUUGGGCCUAGAGGAAGGCAUUUGGAAGUAAUAAGUAGAUGAUGGGUUGCUAGAGUGACAGAAGCUUAAACCCUAGUUUAUGCAUUGCUUCGUAAGGGGCUGAUUUGGAUCCAUAUGUUUAAUGCUGUGGUUAGGUUUACCUUAAUACUUCUUUUGUAGUUGCGGAUGCUUGCAAUAGGGGUUAAUCAUAAGUGGGAUGCUUGUCCAAGUAAGGGCAGUACCCAAGCACCGGUCCACCCACAUAUCAAAUUAUCAAAGUACCGAACGUGAAUCAUAUGAGCGUGAUGAAACUAGCUUGAUGAUAAUUCCCAUGUGUCCUCGGGAGUGCUUUUCUCAUUAUAAGAAAUUGUCCAGGCUUGUCCUUUGCUACAAAAAGGAUUGGGCCACCUUGCUUCACUUUAUUUACUUUCAUUGCUUGUUACUCAUUACAAUUUAUCUUAUCACAAAACUAUCUAUCACCUACAAUUUCAGUGUUUGCAGAGAAAACCUUACUGAAAACUGCUUAUCAUUUCCUUCUGCUCCUCGUUGGGUUCGACACUCUUACUUAUCGAAAGUACUAUGAUAGAUCCCCUACACUUGUGGGUCAUCAAGACUCUUUUGUGGCACCGUUGCCGGGGAGUGUAGCGCUUUUGGUGAGUGGAACUUGGUAAGGAAACAUUAUUAUAGUGUGAUGACAUUUUCUAUUACUUGUCACUAUGGAAACUAAUCCUUUGAGGGGCUUGUUUGGGGCAUCUUCGCCCCGACCAGUAGAGCAAAGAUUUGCUCCUCAACCUACUGAACCUACUGAAAAUGUUUACUUUGAAAUUCCUUCGGAUAUGAUAGAGAAACUGCUAGCUAAUCCUUUUGCAGGAGAUGGAACAUUGCAUCCCGAUUUACACCUUAUCUUUGUGGAUGAAGUUUGUGGAUUAUUUAAGCUUGCAGGUAUUCCCGAUGAUGUUGUCAAAAGGAAGGUCUUCCCUUUAUCUUUGAAGAGAGAUGCAUUGACAUGGUAUACGCUAUGUGAUGAUACGGGGUCUUGGAAUUAUACAUGAUUGAUGUUGGAAUUUCACCACAAGUUCUAUCCUAUGCAUCUUUUUCAUCGUGAUCGUAAUUACAUAUAUAAUUUCUGGCCUCGCGAAGGAGAAAGCAUCGCUCAAGCUUGGGGGAGGCUUAAGUCAAUGUUAUAUUCAUGCCCCAAUCAUGAGCUCUCUAGAGAAAUGAUUAUUCAAAAAAAUUAUGCUCGGCUUUCUCUCAAUGAUCACACCAUGCUCGAUACUUCCUGUGCUGGUUCUUAUAUCCUGAAGACUAUUGAAUUCAAAUGGGACUUAUUGGAAAGAAUUAAACGCAACUCUGAAGAUUGGGGUUCCGACGAUGGUAAGGAGUCAGGUAUGACACCUAAGUUUGAUUGUGUUAAAUCUUUUAUGGAUACUGAUGCUUUUCGUGGAUUUAGCGCUAAAUAUGGACUUGACUCUGAGAUAGUAGCUUCUUUCUGUGAAUCUUUUGCUACUCACGUUGAUCUCCCUAAGGAGAAGUGGUUCAAAUAUAAUCCUCCCAUUGAAGUAAAAUUAGUUGCACCUAUUACAGUUGAAGAAAAGGCUAUUACUUAUAAUGAUCCUAUUGUUCCUACUACUUAUGUUGAGAAACCACCUUUUCCUGUUAGAAUGAAGGAUCAUGCUAAAGCUUCAACUGUUGUUCGUAAGAGUAAUACUAGGACUUAUACACCUCCUGAGCAAAUCAAAGUUGAACCUAGUAUUGCUAUGGUUAAAGAUCUCUUGGAUGAUAAUUUAGAUGGGCAUGUUAUUUACUUCUAUGGUGAAACUGCUAAUAUUGUUAAACCAGAUACUAAGAUACAUAGACCUGUGGUAGGCAUGCCUGUUAUUUCUGUUAAAAUAGGAGAUCAUUGUUAUCAUGGCCUAUGUGAUAUGGGUGCUAGCGCUAGUGCAAUACCUAUUUCCUUAUACCAAGAGAUUAUGCAUGAUAUUGCACCUGUUGAGUUAGAAGAUAUUGAUGUUACAAUUAAGCUUGCCAAUAGAGAUACUAUUAGGCCUUUUGGGAUUGUUAGAGAUGUUGAAGUCUUGUGUGGGAAGGUCAAAUACCCUGCUGAUUUUCUUGUUCUCAGUUCCCCCAAGAUGACUUUUGUCCCAUUAUAUUUGGUAGACCAUUCUUGAACACUGUUAAUGCUAAGAUUGAUUGCGAAAAGGAUGUUGUUAUGAUUGGCUUGGAGGAUAUGACUAAUGAAUUUAAUUUUGCUAAAUUUCGUAGACAACCCCGUGAUAAAGAGUUACCUAGUAAAUAUGAAAUAAUUGGUCUUGCUUCUAUUUCCGUGCCUCCUACUGAUCCGUUAGAACAAUAUUUGCUUGACCAUGAAAAUGAUAUGUUUAUGAAAGAAAGAAGGGAAAUAGAUGAAGUGUUCCUUAAACAGGAACCUAUUCUGAAACAUAACCUUCCCGUUGAAAUUCUAGGGGAUCCUCCUCCACCCAAGGAUGAUCCCGUGUUUGAGCUUAAACCAUUACCUAAUAAUCUUAAAUAUGCUUAUCUUGAUAAGAAGAAGAUAUAUCCUGUUAUUAUUAGUGGUAACCUUUCAGAGCAGGAAGAGGAAAGAUUAUUGAAAACUCUGAAGAAGCACUAUGCGGCUAUUAGAUAUACUCUGGAUGAUCUCAAGGGCAUUAGCCCCACGUUAUGUCAACACAAAAUUAGUUUGGAGGAUGAUGCCAAACCAGUUAGAGAUCCUCAACAACAAUUGAAUCCCAAGAUGAAAGAAGUGGUUAGAAAGGAGAUACUAAAGCUCCUUGAGGCAGGUAUAAUUUAUCCCAUUGCUGAUAGUGAUUGGGUAAGUCCUAUCCAUUGUGUUCCUAAAAUGGGAGGUAUUACUGUUGUUCCUAAUGAUAAAGAUGAAUUGAUCCCGCAAAGAAUUAUUACAGGUUAUAGGAUAGUAAUUGAUUUCCGUAAAUUAAAUAAAGCUACUAAGAAAGAUCAUUACCCUUUACAUUUUAUUGAUCAAAUGCUAGAAAUACUAUCCAAACACACACAUUUCUGCUUUCUAGAUGGUUAUUCUAGUUUCUCUCAAAUACCUGUGUCAGCGAAGGAACAAUCAAAAACUACUUUUACUUGCCCUUUCAGUACUUUUGCAUAUAGACGUAUGCCUUUUGGUUUAUGUAAUGCACCUGCUAACUUUCAAAUAUGUAUGAUGGCUAUAUUCUCUGACUUCUGUGAAAAGAUUUGUGAGGUAUUCAUGGAUGAUUUCUCCGUUUAUGGAUCCUCCUUUGAUAAUUGCUUGAGCAACCUUGAUCGAGUUUUGCAGAGAUGUGAAGACACUAGUCUCGUCUUGAAUUGGGAAAAGUGCCACUUUAUGGUUAAUGAAGGCAUUGUCUUAGGGCACAAGAUCUCCGAGAGAGGUAUUGAAGUUGAUAAAGCUAAAGUUGAUGCUAUUGAAAAGAUGCCAUGUCCCAAGGACAUAAAAGGUAUAAGAAGUUUCCUUGGUCAUGCCGGUUUUUAUAGGAGGUUCAUUAAGGACUUCUCUAAAAUCUCUAGGCCUCUGACUAAUUUAUUGCAAAAAGAUAUUCCUUUUGUCUUUGAUGAUGAUUGUGUAGAAGCAUUUGAAAUACUUAAGAAAGCUUUGAUCACUGCACCUAUUGUUUAGCCACCUGAUUGGAAUUUACCUUUUGAAAUUAUGUGUGAUGCUAGUGAUUAUGUUGUAGGUGCUGUUCUAGGGCAAAGAGUUGAUAAGAAAUUGAAUGUUAUCCAGUAUGCUAGUAAGACUCUUGAUACUGCCCAAAGAAAUUUUGCUACUACUAAAAAAAAAUUCUUAGCAGUUGUGUUUGCAUGUGAUAAGUUUAGACCUUAUAUUGUUGAUUCGAAAGUUACUAUUCACACUGAUCAUGCUGCUAUUAAAUAUCUUAUGGAAAAGAAAGAUGCUAAGCCUAGACUCUUUAGAUGGGUUCUCUUGCUCCAAGAAUUUGAUUUGCAUAUUAUUGAUAGAAAGGGAGUUGAGAACCCCGUUGCAGACAACUUGUCUAGGUUAGAGAAUGUUCUUGAUGACCCACUGCCUAUUAAUGAUAGCUUUCCUGAUGAACAAUUAGCGGUCAUUAAUGCUUCUCGUACUGCUCCUUGGUAUGCUGAUUAUGCUAAUUACAUUGUUGCUAAAUUUAUACCACCUAGUUUCACAUACCAACAAAAGAAAAAGUUCUUUUAUGAUUUAAGACAUUACUUCUGGGAUGACCCACACCUUUAUAAAGAAGGAGUAGACGGUGUUAUUAGACGUUGUGUACCUGAGCAUGAAGAGGAACAGAUCCUACGCAAGUGUCACUCCGAAUCAUAUGGAGGACACUGUUGGAAAUAUGCCCUAGAGGCAACAAUAAAAGGAUUAUUAUUAUAUUUCCUUGUUCAUGAUAAUUGUCUUUUAUUCAUGCUAUAAUUGUAUUAUCCGGAAAUCGUAAUACACGUGUGAAUACAUAGACCACAAGAUGUCCCUAGUAAGCCUCUAGUUGACUAGCUCGUUGAUCAAUAGAUAGUCAUGGUUUCCUGACUAUGGACAUUGGAUGUCAUUGAUAACGAGAUCACAUCAUUAGGAGAAUGAUGUGAUGGACACGACCCAAUCCUAAGCAUAGCACAAGAUAGUGUAGUUCGGUUUCUACAGCUUUUCCAAUGUCAAGUAUCUUUUCCUUAGACCAUGAGAUCGUGUAACUCCCGGAUACCGUAGGAGUGAUUUGGGUGUACCAAACGUCGCAACGUAACUGGGUGACUAUAAAGGUAUAUACGGGUAUCUCCGAAAGUGUCUGUUGGGUUGACACGGAUCGAGACUGGGAUUUGUCACUCCGUAUGACGGAGAGGUAUCUCUGGGCCCACUCGGUAAUGCAUCAACAUAAUGAGCUCAAAGUGACCAAGUGUUUGGUCACGGGAUCAUGCAUUACGGUACGAGUAAAGUCACUUGCCGGUAACGAGAUUGAACGAGGUAUUGGGAUACCGACGAUCGAAUCUCGGGCAAGUAACGUACCGAUUGACAAAGGGAAUUGUAUACGGGGUUUCUUGAAUCCUCGACAUCGUGGUUCAUCCGAUGAGAUCAUCGAGGAGCAUGUGGGAGCCAACAUGGGUAUCCAGAUCCCGCUGUUGGUUAUUGACCGGAGAGUCGUCUCGGUCAUGUCUACGUGUCUCCCGAACCCGUAGGGUCUACACACUUAAGGUUCGGUGAUGCUAGGGUUGUAGAGAUAUGAGUAUGCAGCAAACCGAAAGUUGUUCAGAGUCCCGGAUGAGAUCCUGGACGUCAUGAGGAGUUCCAGAAUGGUCCGGAGGUAAAGAAUUAUAUAAGGGAAGUCGAGUUUCGGCCAUCGGGAAAGUUUCGGGGGUCACCGGUAUUGUACCGAGACCACCGGAAGGGUCCCAGGGGUCCAUCGGGUGGGGCCACCUAUCCCGGAGGGCCCCAUGGGCUGAAGUGGGAGGGGAAACAACCCCUGGUGGGCUGGUGCGCCCCCCUUGGCCCCCCCUGCGCCUAGGGAUGGGAACCGUAGGGGAGGGGGUGCCUCCACUUGCCUUGGGGGGCAAGGCACCCCCCUUGGCCGCCGCCCCCCUAGGAGAUCCCAUCUCCUAGGGCCGGCGCCCCCCCUGGGGACCCUAUAUAUAGAGGGGGAGGGAGGGCAGCCGCACCCUUGCACUUGGUGCCUCCCUUCCCCCUUGCUACACCUCUCCUCCUCCGUAGAGCUCGGCGAAGCCCUGCUGAGAUUCCUGCUGCAUCCACCACCACGCCGUCGUGCUGCUGGAUCUCCAUCAACCUCUCCUUCCCCCUUGCUGGAUCAAGAAGGAGGAGACGUCUUCCCCAACCAUACGUGUGUUGAACGCGGAGGUGCCGUCCGUUCAGCUCUCGGUCAUCGGUGAUUUGGAUCACGACAAGUACGACUCCCUCAACCCCGUUCUCUUGAACGCUUCCGCUCGCGAUCUACAAAGGUAUGUAGAUGCACUCCUAUCACUCGUUGCUAGAUGAACUCAUAGAUAGAUCUUGGUGAAACCAUAGGAAAUUUUUUAUUUUCUGCAACGUUCUCCAACAGUGGUAUCAUGAGCUAGGUCUAUGCGUAGUUCUCUAUGCACGAGUAGAACACAAUUUUUUGUGGGCGUAGAUGUUGUCAACUUUCUUCCCGCUACUAGUCUUAUUUUGCUUCAGCGGUAUUGUGGGAUGAAGCGGCCCGGACCGACCUUACACGUACACUUACGUGAGACAGGUUCCACCAACUGACAUGCACUAGUUGCAUAAGGUGGCUAGCGGGUGUCUGUCUCUCCCACUUUAGUUGGAGCGGAUUCGAUGAAAAGGGUCCUCAUGAAGGGUAAAUAUAAGUUGACAAAUCACGUUGUGGCUUUUUUGUAGGUAAGAAAACGUUCUUGCUAGAACCCUAUUGCAGCCACAUAAAAGAUGCAACCACAAUUAGAGGACGUCUAACUUGUUUUUGCAGCAAUUGCCUUGUGAUGUGAUAUGGCCAAAAGUUGUGAUGAAUGAUGAAUGAUAUAUUGUGAUGUAUGAGAUCAUGUUCUUGUAAUAGGAAUCACGACUUGCAUGUCGGUGAGUAUGACAACCGACAGGAGCCAUAGGAGUUUUCUUAAUUAUUGUAUGACCUGCGUGUCAAUGAUUUAACGCCAUGUAAUUACUUUACUUUAUUGCUAAACCGUUAGCUAUAGUAGUAGAAGUAAUAGUUGGCGAGCAACUUCAUGGAGACACGAUGAUGGAGAUCAUGGUGUCAUGCCGGUGACAAGAUGAUCAUGGAGCCCCAAGAUGGAGAUCAAAGGAGCUAUAUGAUAUUGGCCAUAUCAUGUCACUAUUAUUUGAUUGCAUGUGAUGUUUAUCAUGUUUUUGCAUCUUGUUUACUUAGAACGACGGUAGUAAAUAAGAUGAUCCCUCAUAAUAAUUUCAAGAAAGUGUUCCCCCUAACUGUGCGCCGUUGCGACAGUUCGUUGUUUCGAAGCACCACGUGAUGACCGGGUGUGAUAGAUUCUAACGAUCACAUACAACGGGUGUAAGACAGAUUUACACAUGCAAAACACUUAGGUUAACUUGAUGAGCCUAGCAUGUACAGACAUGGCCUCGGAAACAAGAGAUCGAAAGGUCGAACAUGAGUCGUAUGAAAGAUACGAUCAGCAUGGAGAUGUUCACCGAUGAUGACUAGUCCGUCUCACGUGAUGAUCGGACACGGCCUAGUCGACUCGGAUCAUGUAACACUUAGAUGACUAGAGGGAUGUCUAAUCUGAGUGGGAGUUCAUUAAUUAAUUUGACUAGAUGAACUUAAUUAUCAUGAACUUAGUCUAAAGUCUUUGAAAAAUGUCUUGUAGAUCAAAUGGCCAACGCUCAUGGCAACAUGAACUUCAACGCGUUCCUAGAGAAAACCAAGCUGAAAGAUGAUGGCAGCAACUAUACGGACUGGGUCCGGAACCUGAGGAUCAUCCUCAUAGCUGCCAAGAAAGCAUAUGUCCUAGACGGACAGCUAGGUGAAGCACCCAUCCCAGAGAACCAAGACGUUAUGAAUGCUUGGCAGUCACGUGCUGAUGAUUACUCCCUCGUUCAGUGCGGCAUGCUUUACAGCUUAGAACCAGGGCUCCAAAAGCGUUUUGAGCGACACGGAGCAUAUGAGAUGUUCGAGGAGCUGAAAAUGGUUUUCCAAGCUCACGCCCGGGUCGAGAGAUAUGAAGUCUCCGACAAGUUCUAUAGUUGUAAGAUGGAGGAAAAUAGUUAUGUCAAUGAGCACAUACUCAAAAUGUCUGUGUUGCACAACUGCCUGUCCCAGCUGGACAUUAACCUCCCGGACGAGGCGGUCAUUGACAGAAUCCUUCAGUCGCUCCCACCGAGCUACAAGAGCUUUGUGAUGAACUACAAUAUGUAGGGGAUGGUGAAAACUAUUCCUGAAGUAUUUUCAAUGCUGAAAUCAGCAGAGGUAGAAAUCAAGAAGGAACAUCAAGUGUUGAUGGUCAAUAAAACCACUAAGUUCAAAAAGGGCAAGGGUAAGAAAAACUUCAAGAAGGACGACAAGGAUGUUGCCGCGCCCGGUAAGCCUGUUGCCGGGAAGAAGUCAAAGAAUGGACCCAAGCCUGAGACUGAGUGCUUUUAUUGCAAAGGGAAGGGUCACUGGAAGCGGAACUGCCCCAAAUACUUAGCGGACAAGAAGGCCGGCAACACUAAAGGUAUAUGUGAUAUACAUGUAAUUGAUGUGUACCUUACCAGUACUCGUAGUAGCUCCCGGGUAUUUGAUACCGGUGCCGUUGCUCAUAUUUGUAACUCAAAGCAGGAGCUGCGGAAUAAGCGGAGACUGGCGAAGGACGAGGUGACGAUGCGCGUCGGGAAUGGUUCCAAGGUCGAUGUGAUCACCGUCGGCACGCUACCUCUACAUUUACCUACAGGAUUAGUUUUAAACCUCAAUAAUUGUUAUUUAGUGCCAAGUUUGAGCAUGAACAUUGUAUCAGGAUCUCGUUAAAUACGAGAUGGCUACUCAUUUAAAUCCGAGAAUAAUGGUUGUUCUAUUUAUAUGAGAGAUAUGUUUUAUGGUCAUGCUCCGAUGGUCAAUGGUUUAUUCUUAAUGAAUCUCGAAUGUGAUGUUACACAUAUUCAUAGUGUGAAUACCAAAAGAUGUAAAGUUGAUAACGAUAGUCCCACAUACUUGUGGCACUGCCGCCUUGGUCACAUUGGUGUCAAGCGCAUGAAGAAGCUCCAUGCUGAUGGACUUUUAGAGUCUCUCGAUUAUGAAUCAUUUGACACAUGUGAACCAUACCUUAUGGGCAAAAUGGCCAAGACUCCGUCCUCCGGAACAAUGGAGCGAGCAACCAACUUAUUGGAAAUCAUACAUACUGAUGUGUGCGGUCCAAUGAGCGUUCAGGCUCGCGGAGGAUAUCGUUAUGUUCUCACUCUCACUGAUGACUUAAGUAGAUAUGGGUAUGUCUACUUGAUGAAACACAAGUCUGAGACCUUUGAAAAGUUCAAGGAAUUUCAGAAUGAGGUAGAGAAUCAACGUGACCGAAAAAUAAAGUUCUUACGAUCAGAUCGUGGAGGAGAAUAUUUAAGUCACGAAUUUGGCACACACAUAUGGAAAUGUGGAAUCAUUUCACAACUCACGCCGCCUGGAACACCUUAGCGUAACGGUGUGUCCGAACGUCGUAAUCGCACUCUAUUGGAUAUGGUGCGAUCUAUGAUGUCUCUUACUGAUUUAACGCUAUCAUUUUGGGGAUACGCUCUAGAGACAGCUAUAUUCACUUUAAAUAGGGCACCGUCUAAAUCUGUUGAGACGGCACCGUAUGAAUUAUGGUUUGGGAAGAAACCUAAGCUGUCGUUUCUAAAAGUUUGGGGAUGCGAUGCUUAUGUCAAGAAACUUCAACCUGAAAAGCUCGAACCCAAGUCGGAAAAAUGCGUAUUCAUAGGAUACCCUAAGGAAACCAUUGGGUAUACCUUCUACCUUAGAUCCGAAGGCAAGAACUUUGUUGCCAAGAACGGAUGCUUUCUGGAAAAAGAGUUUCUCUCGAAAGGAGUAAGUGGGAGGAAAGUAGAACUCGAUGAAGUACUACCUCUUGAACCGGAAAGUAGUGCAGCUCAGGAAAAUGUUCCUAUGGUGCCUAUGCCUACUGGAAAGGAAAUUAAUGAUGAUGAUCAAGGUACUUCGAAUCAAGUUGCUACUGAACUUCGUAGGUCCACAAGGACAUGUUCCACACCAGAGUGCUAUGGCAACCCUGUCCUGGAAAUCAUGUUGUUAGACAACGGUGAACCUUCGAACUAUGAAGAAGCGAUGGCGGUCCCAGAUUCCAACAAAUGGCUUGAAGCCAUGCAAUCCGAGAUAGGAUCCAUGUAUGAAAACAAAGUAUGGACUUUGACAGACUUGCCCGAUGAUCGGCGAGCGAUAGAAAACAAAUGGAUCUUUAAGAAGAGGACGGACGCGGAUGGUAAUGUUACCAUCUAUAAAGCUCUACUUUUCGCUAAGGGUUAUCGACAAGUUCAAGGGGUUGACUACGAUGAGACUUUCUCUCCCGUAGCAAAGCCGAAGUCUGUCCGAAUCAUGUUAGAAAUUGCCGCAUACUAUCAUUAUGAGAUAUGGCAAAUGGUCGUCAAAACGGCAUUCCUUAACGGCUAUCUUAAGGAAGAACUGUAUAUGAUGCAGCCGGAAGGUUUUGUCGACCCUAAGAAUGCUAACAAGGUAUGCAAGCUCCAGCGAUCCAUUUAUGGGCUGGUGCAAGCAUCUCGGAGUUGGAACAUUCGCUUUGAUGAGAUGAUCAAAGCGUAUGGGUUAUGGAGACUUAUGGAGAAGCCUGCGUUUACAAGAAAGUGAGUGGGAGCUCUGUAGCAUUUCUCAUAUUAUAUGUAGAUGACAUACUUUUGAUGGGAAAUGAUAUAGAACUUUUGGACAACAUUAAGGCCUACUUGAAUAAGAGUUUUUCAAUGAAGGACCUUGGAGAAGCUGCUUAUAUAUUAGGCAUCGAGAUCUAUAGAGAUAGAUCGGGACGCCUCAUAGGUCUUUCACAAAGCACAUACCUUGAUAAGAUAUUAAAGAAGUUCAAUAUGGAUCAGUCUAAGAAGGGGUUCUUGCCUGUGUUGCAAGGUGUGAAAUUGAGCUCGGCUCAAUGUCCGACCACGGCAGCAGAUAUAGAAGAGAUGAGUGUCAUCCCCUAUGCUUCAGCCAUAGGGUCUAUUAUGUAUGCCAUGCUGUGUACCAGACCUGAUGUAAACCUUGCCGUAAGUUUGGUAGGAAGGUACCAAAGUAGCCCCGGCAAGGAACACUGGACAGAGGUCAAGAAUAUCCUGAAGUACCUGAAAAGUACUAAGGACAUGUUUCUCGUUUAUGGAGGCGACGAAGAGCUCGUCGUAAAGGGUUACGUGGACGCUAGCUUCGACACAGAUCUGGAUGACUCUAAGUCACAAACCGGAUACGUGUAUAUGUUGAAUGGUGGAGCAGUAAGCUGGUGCAGCUGCAAGCAGAGCGUCAUGGCGGGAUCUACAUGUGAAGCGGAGUACAUGGCAGCCUCGGAGGCACAGCAUGAAGCAAUUUGGGUGAAGGAGUUCAUCACCGACCUAGGAGUCAUACCCAAUGCGUCGGGCCGAUCAAACUCUUUUGUGACAACACUGGAGCUAUUGUACUUGCCAAGGAGCCCAGGUUUCACAAGAAGACCAGGCACAUCAAGCGUCGCUUCAACUCCAUUCGUGAAAAUGUUCAAGAUGGAGACAUAGAAAUUUGCAAAGUGCAUACGGAUCUGAAUGUCGCAGAUCCAUUGACUAAACCUCUUCCGCGAGCAAAACAUGAUCAACACCACAACUCUAUGGGUGUUCGAUUCAUCACAAUGUAACUAGAUUAUUGACUCUAGUGCAAGUGGGUGACUGUUGGACAUAUGCCCUAGAGGCAAUAAUAAAAGGAUUAUUAUUAUAUUUCCUUGUUCAUGAUAAUUGUCUUUUAUUCAUGCUAUAAUUGUAUUAUCCAGAAGUCGUAAUACACGUGUGAAUACGUAGACCACAACAUGUCCCUAGUAAGCCUCUAGUUGACUAGCUCGUUGAUCAACAGAUAGUCAUGGUUUCCUAAGUAUGGACAUUGGAUGUCAUUGAUAACGAGAUCACAUCAUGAGGAGAAUGAUGUGAUGGACAAGACCCAAUCCUAAGCAUAGCACAAGAUCGUGUAGUUCGUUUGCUAGAGCUUUUCCAAUGUCAAGUAUCUUUUCCUUAGACCAUGAGAUCGUGUAACUCCCGGAUACCGUAGGAGGGCUUUGGGUGUACCAAACGUCCCAACGUAACUGGGUUACUAUAAAGGUAUACUACGGGUAUCUCCAAAAGUGUCUGUUGGGUUGACACGGAUCGAGAGUGGGAUUUGUCACUCCGUAUGACGGAGAGGUAUCUCUGGGCCCACUCGGUAAUGCAUCAUCAUAACGAGCUCAAAGUGACCAAGUGUUUGGUCACGGGAUCAUGCAUUACGGUACGAGUAAAGUCACUUGCCGGUAAUGAGAUUGAACAAGGUAUUGGGAUACCGACGAUCGAAUCUCGGGCAAGUAACAUACCGAUUGACAAAGGGAAUUGUAUACGGGGUUGCUUGAAUCCUCGACAUCGUGGUUCAUCCGAUGAGAUCAUCGAGGAGCAUGUGGGAGCCAACAUGGGUAUCCAGAUCCCGUUGUUGGUUAUUGACCAGAGAGUCGUCUCGGUCAUGUCUACGUGUCUCCCGAACCCGUAGGGUCUACACACUUAAGGUUCGGUGACGCUAGGGUUGUAGAGAUAUGAGUAUGCAGCAAACCGAAAGUUGUUCGGAGUCCCGGAUGAGAUCCCGGACGUCACGAGGAGUUCCGGAAUGGUCCGGAGGUAAAGAAUUAUAUAUGGGAAGUCGAGUUUCGGCCAUCGGGAAAGUUUCGGGGGUCACCGGUAUUGUACCGGGACCACCGGAACGGUCCCGGGGGUCCACCGGGUGGGGCCACCUAUCCCGGAGGGCCCCAUGGGCUGAAGUGGGAGGGGAACCAGCCCCUGGUGGGCUGGUGUGCCCCCCUUGGGCCCCCCCCUGCGCCUAGGGAUGGGAACCCUAGGGGAGGGGGCGCCUCCACUUGCCUUGGGGGGCAAGGCACCCCCCUUGGCCGCUGCCCCCCUGGGGACCCUAUAUAUAGAGGGGGGAGGGAGGGCAGCCGCACCCUUGCACUUGGCGCCUCCCUUCCCCCUUGCUACACCUCUCCUCCUCCGUAGAGCUCGGUGAAGCCCUGCUGAGAUUCCUGCUGCAUCCACCACCACGCCAUCGUGUUGCUGGAUCUCCAUCAACCUCUCCUUCCCCCUUGCUGGAUCAAGAAGGAGGAGACGUCUUCACCAACCGUACGUGUGUUGAACACGGAGGUGCCGUCCGUUCGGCACUCGGUCAUCAGUGGUUUGGAUCACGACGAGUACGACUCCCUCAACCCCGUUCUCUUGAACGCUUCCACUCGCGAUCUACAAAGGUAUGUAGAUGCACUCCUAUCACUCGUUGCUAGAUGAACUCAUAGAUAGAUCUUGGUGAAACCGUAGGAAAUUUUUUAUUUUCUGCAACGUUCCGCAACAGACACCACACUGGAGAUAGAACUGCACACAAGGUAUUGCAAUCCGGUUUUUAUUGGCCUACUCUCUUCAAAGAUGCUCGUAAGUUUUUCUUGUCUUGUGAUGAAUGUCAAAGAAUUGGUAAUAUUAGUAGACGUCAAGAAAUGACUAUGAACUAUUCUCUUGUUAUUGAACCAUUUGAUGUUUGGGGCUUUGAUUAUAUGGGACCUUUUCCUGCCUCUAAUGGUUACACACAUAUUUUAGUUGCUAUUGAUUACGUUACUAAGUGGGUAGAAGGUAUUCCAACUAGUAGUGUUGAUCAUAACACUUCUAUUAAAAUGCUUAAAGAAGUUAUUUUUCUGAGGUUUGGAGUCCCUAGAUAUCUUAUGACUGAUGGUGGUUCACAUUUUAUUCAUGGUGCUUUCCGUAAGAUACUUGCUAAAUUAUGAUGUUAAUCAUAGAAUCGCAUCUCCUUAUCACCCACACAGUUUAGUGGUCAAGUAGAGUUGAGCAAUAGAGAGCUCAAAUUAAUUUUGCAAAAGACUGUUAAUAGAUCUAGAAAGAAUUGGUCCAAGAAGCUUGAUGAUGCAUUAUGGGCCUAUAGAACUGCAUAUAAAAAUCCUAUGGGUAUGUCUGCAUAUAAGAUGGUUUAUGGAAAAGCUUGUCAUUUACCUCUAGAACUUGAACAUAAAGCAUAUUGGGCUAUCAAAGAGCUCAACUAUGACUUCAAACUUGCCGAUGAGAAGAGGUUGUUGAUAUUAGCUCACUUGAUGAAUGGAGAACACAAGCCUAUGAGAAUGCCAAGCUAUUUAAAGAAAAAGUCAAACGCUGGCAUGACAAAAGGAUACAAAAGCGUGAGUAAUUAACGUAGGUGAUUAUGUGUUAUUAUUCAACUCUCGUUUAAUAUUUUUUGCAGGAAAACUUCUCUCUAAAUGGGAAGGCCCUUACGUUAUCGAGGAGGUCUAUCGUUCGGGUGCCAUAAAAAUCAACAACUUCGAAGGCACAAGUCCAAGGGUGGUGAACGGUCAAAGAAUCAAACAUUAUAUCUCAGGUAAUCCUAUCAAUGUUGAAACUAAUAUCAUUGAAACCGUAACCCCGGAGGAAUACAUAAGGGACACUUUCUAAAACAUUUCAGACUCCGAAAAGGAAUAGGUAUGUGGUAAGGUAAGUAAACCGACUCCAAAACAAUUAUAUUGGCAAUUUUUAUCAGUUUUGGAAUAUUUAAGAAUUUUAGGAAGAAAGAAGUAGUCCGGGAAGGACACGAGGCCUCCACGAGGGUGGAGGGUGCGCCCACCCUUACUGGGCGUGCCCCCCUGUCUCGUGGCCACCUCGUGUGCCUCCCGGACUCCGUUUUCUUGCACGUUACAUAUUUUGGUUGGUAAAAAUUCAUUAUAUAAACUCCCGAAGGUUUUGACCACCGUAUCACGCAAAAAUACUCUGUUUUUGUUUCGAGCUGUUUCUGUUAUAGAUUUAGAGCAAGAUGUCUUCUCAAGAGUCAGUCGGGGAGAGUCGGGUGUCUCACCCGACACUAGGUCCAGGAGCAAAAAGCGAUGCUUAUCACUUUGGACCAUCAACGGAGGAUGAGAUGGAGGCCGACUUGAAAAGGAUAGAUGCCAUGGAGGAAGAUCAAGAAGUCACCUCCUGCUUUCAAGCAGGAUUCAUAAUGGGGGAACAACAGAGCUCGGUUGUUCCAAAUUUGGUCAUCCCUUCAAAUGCUAAAUUUCUUUCUUAUGAAAAUAUGAAAAAGAGUGUUACUUGUUCUCCACAAGCUAUGCAGCACCCUUGUGUAAAAGGAGCUUUAGCAAUAGCAGGCAUGCUCCGCAAGGAAAAUAUGAACCUCAAGCAACAAGUCAAUAAGCUCGAGGAGGAGAAUCGUAUCCUGAGGGGAAUUAUCGCCAAAAAGAUAACAACACCAACUUUGAAGAAGGAGACAUAAUCACAUGGGUAUGGGCACUCCCCUUGGCAACUGCCAAGCUUGGGGGAGGUGUCGCGGUAUCGUAUCACCAUCACACUCCUAUCUUUACCAUUUUAUUUAGUUCGAUCCUUUUUAGUAGUAUCUUGAUCUAGUAGAUUGAAGUUUUGAUAUCAAGUAGUUUUGAGUUUUGCUUUGUGAUCUCUUUAUGUAAUCGAGUCCAUGAGCUAUCUAUAAUAAAGAUUAGUGUUGAGUCAAGGGCUUUGCUAUCUUGCUAUGAUCUUAAGAAAAAUAGAAAGAAUAAAAAGAAUAAAGAGUUCAUAUUGAUCUUAUGGAUAGUAAUGACUUCACACAUAGAAAGUAUGAGGCAUAAAAGUUGUUGAGAGUUGAUAAACGUAGUUUUGGUCAUCGUUACAAUUAAUAGGAAGUAAUAAGGAAAGAGAGGUUUCACAUAUAAAUAUACUAUCUUGGACAUAUUUUAUGGUUGUGAGCACUCAUUAAGUAUUGCAUGCUCAAAGAGUCGACGUUGGACAAGGAAGACAACGUAAUGGUUUAUGUUUUCUCACAUCUCAGUUAAAGUAUAUUUUCAUUGACCUUCCGAACAUGUUGAGCUUGCCUUUCCCCCUCAUGCUAGCCAAAUCCUAGCACCAAGUAGAGAUACUGCUUGUGCUUCCAAAUAUCCUUAAACCCAGUCUUGCCAUGAGAGUCCACCAUAUCUAGCUAUGGAUUGAGUAAGAUCCUUCAAGUAAGUUGUCAUCGGUGCAAGCAAUCAAAAUUGCUCUCUAAAUAUGCAUGACUUAUUAGUGCGGAGAAAAUAAGCUUUAUACGAUCUUGUUAUGGAAGCAAUAAAAGCGACGGACUGCAUAAUAAAGGUCCAUACACAAGUGGCAAUAUAAAGUGACGUUCUUUCGCAUUAAGAUUUUGUGUAUCGAACCCUGAAAGCGCAUGACAACCUCUGCUUCCCUCUGCGAAGGGCCUAUCUUUUACUUUAUGUUUUUACUUUAUGCUUGAGUCAAUGUGAUCUUCACCUUUCCCUUUUUCAUUUUAUCCUUUGGCAAGCUCCUCGUGUUUGAAAGAUCAUGAUAUAUAUAUCCAAUUGGAAGUUCGUUAGCAUGGACUAUUACUGUUGACAUGACCUAAAGGUGAAUACGUUGGGAGGCAACGCAAUAAGCCCCUAUCUUUCUCAGUGUCCGGCUGAAACUCCAUAACCACAAGUAUUGCAUGAGUGUUAGCAAUUGUAGAAGACUAUAUGAUAGUUGAGUAUGUGGACAUGCUGAACAGCUCUAUUCUUGACUCUUUUGAUGUUACGAUAAAUUGCAAUUGCUUCAAUGACUAAGAUUAUAGUUUGUUACCUUUCAAUGAAGUUUCUGAACCAUACUUGACAUUGUGAAUUGAUUGUUACUUGAGCAUAAGAAGCCAUAUGAAAAAAUCUAUUUAUGUUGCUGUUAUAAGAAUAAUCAUGAUGCCCUCAUGUCCAUAUUUUAUUUUUGUUAACACCUCUAUCUCUAAACAUGUGGACAUAUUUUUCGAUUUCGGCUUCCGCUUGAGGACAAGCGAGGUCUAAGCUUGGGGGAGUUGAUACGUCCAUUUUGCAUCAUGCUUUUAUAUCAAUAUUUAUUGCAUUAUGUGCUGUUAUUACACAUUAUAAAUCAAUACUUAUGGCUAUUCUCUCUUAUUUUAUAAGGUUUACCAUGAAGAGGGGGAAUGCCGGCAGCUGGAAUUCUGGCUGGAAAAGGAGCAAACAUUGGAAACCUAUUCUGCACUGCUCCAAAAGACCUGAAACUCCACGAAACUUAUUUUUCGAAUUAAUAAGAAUUAUUGAGCGGAAGAAACACCUCAGGGGGCCCACACCCCGGCCAGGAGGGUGGGGGGCGCGCCCCCUGGUGGCCCUCCGGUAUCCAUCUUCUGCUAUAUGAAGGAUUUUACCCUGGAAAAAAUCAUGGGCAAGCUUACGGGAAGAAACUCCGCCGCCACGAGGCGGAACCUUGGCGGAACCAAUCUAGAGCUCCGGCAGAGCUGUUCUGGCGUGGACACUUCCCUCCGGGAGGGGGAAACCAUCACCAUCAUCAUCACCAACGAUCCUCCCAUCGGGAGAGGGUCAAUCUCCAUCAACAUCUUCACCAGCACCAUCUCCUCUCAAACCCUAGUUCAUCUCUUGUAUCCUAUCUUGUAUCCAAAACCACAAAUUGGUACCUGUGGGUUGCUAGUAGUGUUGAUUAUUCCUUGUAGUUGAUGCUUAUUGGUUUACUUGGUGGAAGAUCAUAUGUUCAGAUCCUUAAUGCAUAUUAUUACUCCUUUGAUUAUGAACAUGAAUAUGCUUUGUGAGUAGUUACGUUUGUUCCUAAGGACAUGGGUGAAGUCUUGCUAUUAGUAGUCAUCUGAAUUUGGUAUUCGUUCGAUAUUUUGAUGAGAUGUAUGUUGUCUUUGCUCUAGUGGUGUUAUGUGAACGUCGACUACAUGACACUUCACCAUUAUUUGGGAAUAGAGGAAGGCAUUGGGAAGUAAUAAGUAGAUGAUGGGUUGCUAGAGUGACGGAAGCUUAAACCCUAGUUUAUGCGUUGCUUCGUAAGGGGCCGAUUUGGAUCCAUAUGUUUAAUGCUGUGGUUAGGUUUACCUUAAUACUUCUUUUGUAGUUGCGGAUGCUUGCAAUAGGGGUUAAUCAUAAGUGGGAUGCUUGUCCGAGUAAGGGCAGUACCCAAGCACCGGUCCACCCACAUAUGAAAUUAUCAAAGUACCGAACGCGAAUCAUAUGAGCGUGAUGAAACUAGCUUGACAAUGAUUCCCAUGUGUCCUCGGGAGCGCUUUUCUCAUUAUAAGAAAUUGUCCAGGCUUGUCCCUUGCUACAAAAAGGAUUGGUCCACCUUGCUGCACUUUAUUUACUUUCGUUGCUUGUUACUCUUUACAAUUUAUCUUAUCACAAAACUAUCUAUCACCUACAAUUUCAGAGCUUGCAGAGAAAACCUUACUAAAAACCGCUUAUUAUUUCCUUCUGCUCCUCGUUGGGUUCGGCACUCUUACUUAUCGAAAGGACUACGAUAGAUCCCCUACACUUGUGGGUCAUCAUUGAUCAUUCAUGCUUCACUUAUAUUUUUUUGUGAGUCUUUUAGAACAGCAUGGUAUUUGCUAUGGUUAUAAAUUUGGUCCUAGAAUGAUGAGCAUCCAACUUGGGUAUAAUAAAAACUAUCAUAGAAAGUGCAUUAAAAACUAUGAUCAAUUUGAUGGUUGAUAAUUGUUUUGAGAUAUAAAGGUGGUAAUGUUAGAGUCAUGCUAGUUGGGUAAUUAUGAAAUUGAGAAAUACUUGUGUUGAAGUUGCCAAGUCCCGUAGCAUGCACGUAUGGUAAAAGUUAUGUAACAAAUUUGUAGCAUGGGGUGCUCGUUGAGUGCUUUCCUUAUGAGUGGUAGUCGGGGACGAGCGAUGGUCUUUUCCUACCAAUCUAUCCCUCUAGGUGCAUGUGUAGUAGUACUUUACUUCGAGGGCUAAUAAAUUUUUGCAAUAAGUAUAUGAGUUCUUUAUGACUAAUGUGAGUCCAUGGAUAUAUGCACACUUACCCUUCCACUUUGCUAGCCUCUAUUAUACCGCGCAACCUUCGCCGGUAUCAUGAACCCAUUAUUUACCUUCCUCAAAACAGCCACCAUACCUACGUAUUAUGGCAUUUCCAUAGCCAUUCCGAGAUAUAUUGCCAUGCAACUUUCCACUGUUUCGUUUAUUAUGACAAGCUCCAUCAUUGUCUUGCUCUUUGCAUGAUCAUGUAGUUGACAUCGUAUUUGUGGCAAGGCCACCUUCAUAAUUUUUCAUACAUGUCACUCUUGAUUCAUUGCAUAUCCCGGUACACCGCCGGGGCAUUCACAUAGAGCCAUAUCUUGUUCUAAGUAUCGAGUUGUAAUUCUUGAGUUGUAAAUCAAUAAAAGUGUGAUGAUCUUCAUUAUUAGAGCAUUGUCCCAAGUGAGGAAAGGAUGAUGAAGACUAUGAUUCCCCCACAAGUCGGGAUGAGACUUCGGACUUUAUAAAAAUAAAAGAGGCCAAAGAAGCCCACCAAAAUAAAAAAAAAUGAGAGAAAAAGAGAGAAGGGACAAUGUUACUAUCCUUUUACCACACUUGUGCACCAUGAUCUUCAUGAUAGAGAGUCUCCUAUGUUGUCACUUUCAUAUACUAGUGGGAAUUUUUCAUUAUAGAACUUGGCUUGUAUAUUCCAAUGAUGGGCUUCCUACAAACACCCUAGGUCUUCGUGAGGAAGCAAGUUGGAUGCACACCCACUUAGUUUCUUUUGUUGAGAUUUCAUAUAUUUAUAGCUCUAGUGCAUCCUUUGGAUGGCAAUCCCUACUCACUCACAUUGAUAUCUUUUAAUGGGUGAUGUCUACUACACAACCUUCUUCUUGUAGACGUUGUUGGGCCUGCACGUGCACAGGUUUGUAGGACAGUAGCAAAUUUCCCUCAAGUGGAUGACCUAAGGUUUAUCAAUCCGUAGGAGGCAUAGGAUGAAGAUGGUCUCUCUCAAACAACCCUGCAACUAAAUAACAAAGAGUCUCUUGUGUCCCCAACACACCCAAUACAAUGGUAGAUUGUAUAGGUGCACUAGUUCGGCGAAGAGAUGGUGAUACAAAUGCAAUAUGGAUAGUAGAUAAAGGUAUUUGUGAUCUGAAAUUAUAAAAACAGCAAGGUAGCAAGUAACAAAAGUGAGCGUAAACGGUAUUGCAAUGAUAGGAAACAAGGCCUAGGGUUCAUACUUUCACUAGUGCAAGUUCUCUCAACAAUAAUAACAUAGAUAGAUCAUAUAACAAUCCCUCAAUAUGCAACAAAGAGUCACUCCAAAGACACUAAUAGCGGAGAACAAACGAGGAGAUUAUGGUAGGGUACGAAACCACCUCAAAGUUAUUCUUUCAGAUCAAUCUGUUCAAGAGUUCGUACUAGAAUAACACCUUAAGGCACAAAUCAACAAAAAACCUAAUGUCACCUAGAUACUCCAUUGUCACCUCAAGUAUCCGUGGGCAUGAUUAUACGAUAAGCAUCACACAAUCUCAGAUUCAUCUAUUCAACCAACACAAAGUACUUCAAGGAGUGCCCCAAAGUUUCUACCGGAGAGUCAAGAACGUGUGCCAACCCCUAUGCAUAGGUUCAUGGGCGGAACCCGGAAGUUGGUCACCAAAACAUACAUCAAGUGGCACAUGAUAUCCCAUUGUCACCAUAGAUAAUCAAGGCAAGACAUACAUCAAGUGUUCUCAAAUAAAGACUCAUUCCGAUAAGAUAACUUCAAAGGGGAAAACUCAAUCCAUUACAAGAGAGUAGAGGGGGAGAAACAUCAUAAGAUCCAACUAUAAUAGCAAAGCUCGGGAUACAUCAAGAUCGUGCCAUAGAGGGAACACAAGAGAGAACACGAGAGAGAGAGAGAGAUCAAACACAUAGCUACUGGUACAUACCCUCAGCCUCGAGGGUGAACUACUCCCUCCUCGUCAUGGAGAGUGCCGGGAUGAUGAAGAUGGCCACCAGUGAAGGAUCCCCCCUCUGGCAGGGUGCCGGGAAGGGCUCCCGAGAGGUUUUUGGUGGCUAUAGAGGCUUGGGGCGGCGGAACUCCCGAUCUCUCUUGAUAUUCGAUGUUUUUAGGGUACAAGGGAAUAUAUAGGCGAAAGAAGUCAGUCGGGAGGUGCUCGAGGGGCCCACGAGACAGGGGGCGCGCCCAGUAGGGGGGGGGGGGCGCACCCUCCUAUCUCGUGGCCUCCUCGAGGGUCUUCUAACAUGAACUCCAAGUCUCCUGGGUGUUAUUCUUCCAAAAAAUCACGUUGCCAAAGGUUUCAUUCCGUUUGGACUCCGUUUGAUAUUCCUUUUCUUCGAAAUACUGAAACAGGCAAUAAAACAACAAUAUGGGUUGGGCCUCCGGUUAAUAGGUUAGUCCCAAAAGUAAUAUAAAAGUGUAUAAUAAAGCCCAUAAUCAUUCAAAACAGAUAAUAAAAUAGCAUGAAUGCUUCAUAAAUUAUAGAUACGUUGGAGACGUAUCAGUAUCCCCAAGCUUAAUUCCUACUCGUCCUCGAGUAGGUAAAUGAUAAAGAAAGAAUUUAUGAAGUGUGAAUGCUAGAAGGUGCACAAGUUUGUAUGUCAUAACAAUAGUUCAUCUCAUAAAACUUUUCAUAAUCAAGUAACAAGCUAUUCACAUGUAUAAGCAUAGACCAUAAACUUUCUUGAAAACUAGCAAACUUCAUUCUUAGUCAUCAAACAAUUGCAAUUCAUCUUAUUUUCAGGAAGGGUCUAUGUUAGAGCUUUGAUUUAAUUAGCAAACUUCACAUACUCAACUAUCAUAUAGUCUUCUACAAUUGCUAACACUCACACAGUCCUUGUGGUUCCGAAGUUUUAAUCAGACACAGAGAAAGAUUGGGGCUUAUAAUGUUGCCUCCAAUCGUAUUCACCUUUGGGUGAUGUCAACAAUAAUAGUUCAUGAUAACAUACAUCCAAUUUGAUAUAUAUAUCAGGAUCACCCCAACACAAAGUGCUUGCCAAAGGAUAAAAUGAAAAAGGGAAAGAUGAAGAUCACCUUAACUCUUGUAUAAAAGUAAAAGAUAGGCCCUUCGCAGAGGGAAGCAGGGAUUUGCAGAGGUGCCAGAGCUCGAUUUUUAAAAUAGAGAUUAAUAAUUUCGAGAGGUAUGAUCUCAUUGUCAACAUAACAACCAAGAGUUCCAAAUAUCUUCCAUACUACAUACAUUAUAGGCAGUUCCCACGCAGAAUGGUAAAAUUUUAUACUCCCCCAACCACCAACAAGCAUCAAUCCAUGGCUUGCUCGAAACAACGAGUGCCUCCAACCAACAACAAUCCUGGGGGAGUUUUGUUUAAUUAUUUUGAUUUGAUUUUGACCUUUUUGAUCAUGGGACUGGGCAUCCCGGUUACCGCCACUUUCUCAUGAAUGAGGAGCGGAGUCCACUCCUCUUGAGAAUAACCCACCUAGCAUGGAAGACACUGAUAGCCCCUAGUUGCUACAUGAGCAAUUCGGGCAUACAAAACAGAUUAUAAUUUGAAGGUUUAGAGUUUGGCACAUGCAAAUUUACUUGGAACGGCAGGUAAAUACCGCAUAUAGGUAGGUAUGGUGGACACUAAUGGCAAAAACUGGGUUUAAGGAUAUUGGAUGCACAAGCAGUAUUCCCGCUUAGUACAGAUAUUUAGGCUAGCAAGGGGAGAAAGGCAAGCUCAACAUGUUUGAAUGAUCCAUGACAAUAUACUUUAACUGAGAUGCGAGAGAACAUAACCCAUUACGUUGUCUUCCUUGUCCAACAUCAACUCUUUAGCAUGUCAUUCUUAAUGAGUGCUCAAAAUUAUAAAAGAUGUCUAUGAUAAUAUAUUUAUAUGUGAAAUUUCUCUUCCUUAAAUAUUCUUUCAUGAAUUGUUCAAAUGACCAAUACAAUGCUUGCUAACCUUCAAUAAAUUACUACCUCUACUUCUUAGAUGUGAAGUCAUUACUCCCCAUGGGAUAACUCAACCAUUUACUCAUAGGAUAUAAGUGAAGCACACGAGUAAAUGACAAACUACUCCAACAACAUAUAAGUAAAGAUCAAUGAGUAGCUAAAUAAUUAUGCAACUAUGUGAAGACUCUCUCUCAUUUAAUAAUUUCAGAUCUUGGUAUCUUAUUCAAACAGCAAGCAAAGCAACAUAAAAUGACAUUGUAAGGAUAUCACAACUCAUGUGAAGAAGCAAAAAGUUAGGUUCAACCGAUACUAACCAAUAGUUGUUGAAGAAAAAAGGUGGGAUGCCUACCGGGGCAUCCCCAAGCAUAGGUGCUUGGGACUUCUUGAAAUAUUAUCUUGGGGUGCCUUGGGCAUCCCCAAGCUUGAGCUUUUGUGUCUCCUUAAUUCCCUUUUAUAUCACGGUUUCUCUUCUUUUUAUCAAAAAGCUUCAUUCACAACAAACUCAACAAGAACUCGUGAGAUAGGUUAGUAUAAACCAAUGCAAAACCUUAUCAUUUUCUACUGUAACGAAUCACUAAGAUUAUUAUUCAACAUUUAAUACUAAAUGUCUCUGCAUAUUUAAUACUCCUAUCCUCAAAUAGAAUCAUUAAACAAGCAAACAUAUGCACACAAUGCAAACAUAACAGCAAUCUGCCAAAACAGUACAGUCUGUAAAGAAUGCAAGAUUCAUCAUACAUCCCUAACUCCAAAAAUUAUAAGGAAAAUACUACGCUGUAAAAGAUUUAUUAGAGCUCAUUAUGCAAAAAGAUUCAACAUUAUAUCACUCUCUGACUUUUCUAGGGAACUUUUGCAACAGCGGUAAACUUUCUGUUUUCAAACAGCAACAUGUAUACUUGCAAAAUAAGCAUGGUAAAGGCUAUCCUUGACAUUUUUAUUGAAAAUAAAGAUGAAAAACAUUAAUAUAAAUAAAAUCAAGCAAAUACUAACAAAAUAAAAUGACACUCCAAGCAAAACACAUAUCAUGUGGUGAAUAAAAAUAUAGCUCCAAGUAAAGUUACCGAUGAACGAAGACGAAAGAGGGGAUGCCAUCCGGGGCAUCCCCAAGCUUAGGCUCUUGGUUAUCCUUGAAUAUUACCUUGGGGUGCCUUGGGCAUCCCCAAGCUUAGGCUCCUUCCACUUAUUAUUCCAUAGUCCAUCAAAUCCUUACCCAAAACUUGAAAACUUCAGCCACACAAAACUCAAAACAAAACUCGUAAGCUCCGUUGGUAUAAGAAAGAAAAACUACCACAUAAGGUACUGUAAUGAACUCAUUCUUUAUUUAUAUUGGUGUUAAACCUACUGUAUUCUAACUUCUCUAUGGUUCAUACCCUUACAUACUAGCCAUAGAUUCAUCAAAAUAAGCAAACAACACCAUGAAAGCAGAAUCUGUCAAAAACAGAACAGUCUGUAGUAAUCUGUAUCAAACGUAUACUUCUGGAACCCCAAAAAUUAUGAAAUAAAUUGAUGGACCUGAGUAAUUUGUCUAUUAAUCAUCUGCAAAAAUAAUCAACCUAAAAGCACUCUCCAGUAAAAAAAUGGCAUCUAAUCUCGUGAGCGCUAAAGUUUCUGUUUUUCACAGCAAGAUCAUAAAGACUUCGCCCAAGUCUUCCCAAAGGCUCUACUUGGCACUUUAUUGAAACAAAAGCUAUAAAACAUGAUUACUACAGUAGCAUAAUCAUGUGGACACACAAAAACAGUAAGGGUUAAUAUUGGGAUGUCUCCCAACAAGAUCUUUUAUUUAAUGCCUUUCUAGCUAGGCAUGAUGAUGGCAAUGAUGCUCACAAAAAGGAUAAGAAUUGAAACAUAAAGGGAGCAUCAUGAAGAAUAUGACUAGCACAUUUAAGUCUAACCCACUUCCCAUGCAUAGGUACUUUGUGAGCAAACAACUUACAGGAACAAUAAUAAACUAGCAUAGGAAGGCAAAACAAGCAUAACUUCAAGAUUUUAAGCACGUAGAGAGGAAACUUAAUAUUAUUGCAAUUCCUACAAGCAUAUGUUCCUACCUCAUAAUAAUUUUCAGUAGCAUCAUGAAUGAAUUCAAGAAUAUAACCAGCACCUAAAGCAUUAUUUUCAUGAUUUACAAGCAUGGAAAAUUACUACUCUCCACAUAAGAAAAAUUCUUCUCAUAAAUAGUAGUGGGAGCAAACUCAACAAAAUAACUAUCAUGUGAGGCAUAAUCCAAUUGAAAACUAAAAUGAUGAUGACAAGUUUCAUGGUUAUCAUUAUUCUUAAUAGCAUACAAGUCAUCACAAUAAUCACCAUAGAUAGCAAUUUUGUUCUCAUAAUCAAUUGGAACCUCUUCCGAAAUAGUGGAAUCAUCACUAAAUAAAGUUGACACUCUUCCAAAUCCACUUUCAUAUUCAUCACAAUAAGAUUCAACAUCCUCCAAAAUAGUGGGAUCAAUACUACCUAAAGUUGACACUCUUCCAAACCCACUUUCAUCAAUAUAACCAUCAUAAAUAGGAGGCAUGCUGUCAUCAUAAUAAAUAUUCUCAUCAAAACUUGGGGGACUAAACAUAUCAUAUUCAUCAAACAUAGCUUCCCCAAGCUUGUGGCUUUGCAUAUCAUUAGCAUCAUGGAUAUUCAAAGAGUUUAUACUAACAACAAUGCAAUCAUGCUCAUCAUUCAAAGAUUUAGUGACAAACAUUUUAUAGAUUUCUUCUUCUAGCACUUGAGCACAAUUUUCCUUACCAUCAUUCUCACGAAAGAUAUUAAAAAUAUGAAGCGUAUGAGACAAACUCAAUUCCAUUUUUUUGUAGUUUUCUUUUAUAGACUAAACUAGUGAUAAAACAAGAAACAAAAAGAUUCGAUUGCAAGAUCUAAAGAUAUACCUUCAAGCACUCACGUCCGAAAAGAGCUUAGUUGACGGGGUGUGAGUACCGUUUACCUAGCCUCCCCGGCAACGGCGCCAGAAAAGAGCUUGAUGUCUACUACACAACCUUCUUCUUAUAGACGUUGUUGGGCCUGCAAGUGCACAAGUUUGUAGGACAGUAGCAAAUUUCCCUCAAGUGCAUGACCUAAGGUUUAUCAAUCCGUAGGAGGCGUAGGAUGAAGAUGGUCUCUCUCAAACAACCCUGCAACAAAAUAACAAAGAGUCUCUUGUGUCCCCAACACACCCAAUACAAUGGUUGAUUAUAUAGGUGCACUAGUUCGGCAAAGAGAUGGUGAUACAAGUGCAAUAUGGAUAGUAGAUAAAGGUAUUUGUGAUCUGAAAUUAUAAAAACAGCAAGGUAGCAAGUAACAAAAGUGAGUGUAAACGGUAUUGCAAUGAUAGGAAACAAGGCCCGGGGUUCAUACUUUCACUAGUGCAAGUUCUCUCAACAAUAAUAACAUAGAUAGAUCAUAUAACAAUCCCUCAAUAUGCAACAAAGAGUCACUCCAAAGCCACUAAUAGCAGAGAACAAACGAGGAGAUUAUGGUAGGGUACGAAACCACCUCAAAGUUAUUCUUUCGGAUCAAUCUAUUCAAGAGUUCGUACUAGAAUAACACCUUAAGACACAAAUCAACCAAAACCCUAAUGUCACCUAGAUACUCCACUGUCACCUCAAGUAUCCGUGGGCAUGAUUAUACGAUAAGCAUCACACAAUCUCAGAUUCAUCUAUUCAACCAACACAAAGUACUUCAAGGAGUGCCCCAAAGUUUCUACCGGAGAGUCAAGAACGUGUGCCAACCCCUAUGCAUAGGUUCAUGGGCGGAACCCGCAAGUUGGUCACCAAAACAUACAUCAAGUGGCACAUGAUAUCCCAUUGUCACCAUAGAUAAUCACGGCAAGACAUACAUCAAGUGCUCUCAAAUAAAGACUCAAUCCGAUAAGAUAACUUCAAAGGGGAAAACUAAAUCCAUUACAAGAGGGUAGAGGGGGAGAAACAUCAUAAGAUCCAACUAUAAUAGGAAAGCUCGGGAUACAUCUAGAUCGUGCCAUAGAGGGAACACGAGAGAGAACACGAGAGAGAGAGAGAGAGAGAUCAAACACAUAGCUACUGGUACAUACCCUCAGCCUCGAGGGUGAACUACUCCCUCCUUGUCAUGGAGAGCACCGGGAUGAUGAAGAUGGCCACCGGUGAAGGAUCCCCCCUCCGGCAGGGUGCCGGGAAGGGCUCCCGAGAGGUUUUGGUGGCUACAGAGGCUUGCGGCGGCGGAACUCCCGAUCUCUCUUGAUAUUCGAUGUUUUUAGGGUACGAGGGAAUAUAUAGGCAAAAGAAGUCGGUCGGGAGGUGCUCGAGGGGCCCACGGGAUAGGGGGGUGCGCCUAGUAGGGGGGGCUCCCUCCUAUCUUGUGGCCUCCUCGAGGGUCUUCUGACGUGAACUCCAAGUCUCCUGGGUGUUAUUCUUCCAAAAUAAUCACGUUGCUGAAGGUUUCAUUCCAUUUGGACUCCGUUUGAUAUUCCUUUUCUUCGAAAUACAGAAACAGGCAAUAAAACAGCAAUAUGGGCUGGGCCUCCAGUUAAUAGGUUAGUCCCAAAAGUAAUAUAAAAGUGUACAAUAAAGCCCAUAAUCAUUCAAAACAGAUAAUAAAAUAGCAUGAAUGCUUCAUAAAUUAUAGAUAUGUUGGAGAUGUAUCAAGGGCAUCUCCAUAGCCCAUUGAUAUGCCUAGUUGAUGUGAGACUAUCUUCUCCCUCCUUGUCUUCAUAACCACCACCAUAUACCACACAUAGUGCUAUGUCCAUGGCUUGCGCUCAUGUAUUGGUAAGAGUUGAAAAGGCUGAAGCGCGUUAAAAAUUAUGAACCAAUUGCUCGGCUCGUCAUCGGGGUUAUGCAUAAGGGGAGUAUUUUGCGUUAUAAAAAUGAAGCAUGGCCUAACUAUAUGAUUUUGUAGGGAUAAGCUUUCUUUGGCUAUGCUGUUUUGAUAAGACAUGAUUAUUUGUUAGUAUGCUUCAAGUAUUACUAUUUUUAUGUUUUAUAAGCUUUUAUCUUGAAUCAUUUGGAUCUAAACAAUCAUGCCACAAUAAAUAGAAUUACAUUGAGAAUUAUGCUAGGUAGCAUUCCACAUCUAAAAUUCUGUUUUUAUCAUUUACCUACUCGAGGACGAUCAGCAGGAAUUGAGCUUGGGGAUGCUUGAUACGUCUCCAACGUAUCUAUACUUUUUAUUGUUCCAUGCUAUUAUAUUACUUGUUUUGGAUGUUUAUGGGCUUUACUCUACACUUUUAUAUCAUUUUUGGGACUAACCUACUAAUCGGAGGCCCAGCUCGAAUUGUUGUUUCUUUUUGCCUAUUUCAGUGUUUCGAAGGAAAGGAAUAUCAAACGGAGUCCAAACGGAAUGAAACCUUCGGGAGCGAUCUUUGUGGAACAAACGCAAUCCAGGAGACUUGGAGUGGACGUCAAGAAGGAGACGAGGCGGCCACGAGGGUGCCCGGCACGCCUUGUAAGGGUGGGCGAGCCCCCACCCUUGUGGGCCCCUCGAGCGUCCACCGACCUACUUCUUCCUCCUAUAUAUGUCCAUGGACCCCGAGAACAUCCAGGAGCACCACGAAAAACUAUUCCCACCGCCACAACCUUUUGUAUCCGCGAGAUCCCAUCUUGGAGCCUUCGCCGGCACUCCGUCGGAGGGGGAAUCGACCACGGAGGGCCUCACCAUCAUCACCAAGGCCUCUCUGAUGAGUUGUGUGUGUUUACCACAGACCUUCGGGUCCAUAGUUAUUAGCUAGAUGGCUUCUUCUCUCUCUUUGAUUCUCAAUACAAAGUUCUCCUUCCUCUUCUUGGAGAUCUAUUCGAUGUAACUCUUUUUGCGGUGUGUUUGUGGAGAUCCGAUGAAUUGUGGGUUUAUGAUCAAGUUUAUCUAUGAGAAAUAUUUGAAUCUCCUCUGAAUUCUUUUAUGUACGAUUGGUUAUCUUUGGAAGUCUCUUCGAAUUAUCAGUUUGGUUUGGCCUACUAGAUUGAUCUUUCUUGCCAAGGGAGAAGUGCUUAGCUUUAGCAGUGACAGCAGGGGCAGCAAGGCACGUAUUGUAUUGUUGCCAUCGAGGAUAAAAAGAUGGGGUUUAUAUCAUAUUGCAUGAUUUUAUCCCUCUACAUCAUGUAAUCUUGCUUAAUGCAUUACUCUAUUCUUAUGAACUUAAUACUCUAGAUGCAGGCAGGAGUCGGUCGAUGCGUGGAGUAAUAGUAAUAGAUGCAGAAUUGUUUCGGUCUACUUGUUGCAGACGUGAUGCCUAUAUACAUGAUCAUGCCUAGAUAAUCUCAUAACUAUCCACUUUUCUAUCAAUUGCUCAACAGUAAUUUGUUCACCCACCGUAAUAAUUAUGCUAUCUUGCGAGAAACCACUAGUGAAACCUACAGCCCCCGGGUCUAUCUUUUAUCAUAUAAGUUUUCCAUCUACUUUUAUUUUCCAAUCCAUAUCAUAAAAAUACCAAAAAUAUUUAUCUUAUCAUAUUAUCUCUAUCAGAACUCACUUCCGCAAGUUACCGUGAAGGGAUUGACAACCCCUUUAUCGCGAAAAAGUUGGUUGCGAGGUUCUUGUUUGUUUGUGUAGGCGCAUGGGACUUGGGAGGAGCCUCCUACUGGAUUGGUAUCUUGGUUCUCAAAAACUGAGGGAAAUACUUACACUACUUUGUUGUAUCACCGUUUCCUCUUCAAGGGAAAAACCAACGCAUGCUCAGGAGGUAGCACUGUUGGGGAUCGUUGCAGAAAUAAAAAAAAUCUACGCAUCACCAAGAUCAAUCUAUGGAGAAACUAGCAACAAGAGAGAGGGGAGUUCAUCUUCAUACCCUUGAAGAUCGUGAAACGGAAGCGUUGCAAGAACGUGGAUGAAGGAGUCAUACUCGUAGCGAUUCGGAUCGCGGUGGAUUCUGAUCUAAGCACCGAACAACGACACCUCCGCGUUCAACACACGUGCAGCCCGGUGACAUCUCCCAUGCCUUGAUCCAGCAAGGAGGAGGGAGAGGUUGAGGAAGGCAGCUCCAGCAGCAGCACGACGGCGUUGUGAUGGUGGAGCAGCAGUUCUCCGGCAGGGCUUCGACAAGCUCAAACGGAGGAGGAGAGGUGUUGGAGAGGGGGAGGGUGUUGGAAAUAUGCCCUAGAGGAAAUAAUAAAAGUAUUAUUAUAUUUCAUUGUUCAUGAUAAUUGUCUUGUAUUCAUGCUAUAACUGUAUUAUCCGGAAAUCGUAAUACACGUGUGAAUACUUAGACCACACUAUGUCCCUGGUAAGCCUCUAGUUGACCAGCCCGUUGUGAUCAACAGAUAGUCAUGGUUUCCUGACUAUGGACAUUGGAUGUCAUUGAUAACAGGAUCACAUCAUUAGGAGAAUGAUGUGAUGGACAAGACCCAAUCCUAAGCAUAGCAUAAAAGAUCGUGUAGUUCGUUUUGCUAGAGCUUUGCAAGUGUCAAGUAUCUCUUCCUUCGACCAUGAGAUCGUGUAACUCCCGGAUACCGUAAGAAUGCCUUGGGUGUGCCAAACGUCACAACGUAACUGGGUGACUAUAAAGGUGCAUUACAGGUAUCUCCGAAAGUAGCUGUUGGGUUGACACGGAUCGAGACUGGGAUUUGUCACUCCGUAUGACGGAGAGGUAUCUCUGGGCCCACUCGGUAAUGCAUCAUCAUAAUGAGCUCAAAGUGACCAAGGUGUUGGACACGGGAUCAUGCAUUACGGUACGAGUAAAGUGACUUGCCGGUAACGAGACUGAACAAGGUAUUGGGAUACCGACGAUCAAGUCUCGGGCAAGUAACGUACCGAUUGGCAAAGGGAAUUGUAUACAGGGUUUGAUCGAAUCCUCGACAUAGUGGUUCAUCCGAUGACAACAUCGAGGAGCAUGUGGGAGCCAUCAUGGGUAUCCAGAUCCCGCUGAUGGUUAUUGACUAAGAGAGUCUCGGUCAUGUCUACAUGUCUCCCGAACCCGUAGGGUCUACACACUUAAGGUUCAGUCACGCUAGGGUUGUAGGGAUAUAUAUAUGCAGUAACCCGAAUGUUGUUCGGAGUCCCGGAUGAGAUCCCGGACGUCACGAGGAGUUCCGGAAUGGUCCGGAGGUAAAGAUUUAUAUAUGGGAAGUCCUGUUUCGGGCAUCGGGACAAGUUUCGGGGUUAUCGGUAUUGUACCGGGACCACCGGAGGGGUCCCGGGGGCCCACCGGGUGGGGCCACCCAUCCCCGGGGGCCACAUGGGCUGUAGGGGGUGCGCCUUGGCCUACAUGGGCCAAGGGCACCAGCCCCACAAGGCCCAUGCGCCUAGGGUUUCCAAGGGGGAGGAGUCCUACUAGUGGAAGGCACCUCCUAGGUGCCUUGGGGGGGAGGGAAUCCCCCCUUGGCCGCCGCACCCCCUAGGAGAUUUGAUCUCCUAGGGCCGGCCACCCCCCCUUGGCACCCCUAUAUAUAGUGGGGGGAGAGGAGGGACUUCAUACCUUGUGCCCUGGCCUUUGGUUGCCUCCUUCUCCCUCCCCAACACCUCCUCCAACUCCAUAGUGCUUAGCGAAGCUCUGCCGGAGUACUGCAGCUCCACCAACACCACACCGUCGUGCUGCUGCUGGUGCCAUCUCCCUCAACCUCUCCUCCCUUCCUUGCUGGAUCAAGAAGGAGGAGACGUGGCUGUUUCCGUACGUGUGUUGAACGCGGAGGUGCCGUCCGUUCGGCGCAGGUCAUCGGUGAUUUGAAUCACGUCGAGUACGACUACAUCAUCACCUUGCAAGCUUCCGCACGCGAUCUACAAGUGGUAUGUAGAUGCAAACUCUCUCCCUAGACUCGUUGCUUAGAUGAACUCAUAGAUGGAUCUUGGUGAAACCGUAGGAAAAAUUUUAAUUUUCUGCAACGUUCCCCAACAGUGGCAUCAUGAGCUAGGUCUAUGCGUAGUUCUCUUUGCACGAGUAGAACACAACUUUGUUGUGGGCGUGGAUUUUGUCAUCUUACUUGCCUCUACUAGUCUUUUCUUGCUCAACGGUAUUGUGGGAUGAAGCGGCCCGGACCAACCUUACACGUACGCUUACGUGAGACCGGUUCCACCGACUGACAUGCACAAGUUGCAUAAGGUGGCUGGCGGGUGUCUGUCUCUCCCACCUUAGUUGGAGCGGAAUCGAUGAACAGGGCCCUUAUGAAGGGUAAAUAGAAGUUGACAAAAUCACGUUGUGGUGAUUCGUAGGUAAGAAAACGUUCUUGCUAGAACCCAAUUGCAGCCACGUAAAAGAUGCAACAACAAUUAGAGGACGUCUAACUUGUUUUUGCAGCGAUUGAUCAUGUGAUGUGAUAGGGCCAGAAGUUGUGAUGAAUGAUGAAUUGUGAUGUAUGAGAUCAUGUUCUUUGUAAUAGGAUUCACGACUUGCAUGUCGAUGAGUAUGACAACCGGCAGGAGCCAUAGGAGUUGUCAUUAUUUUUGUAUGACCUGCGUGUCAUUGAAUAACGUCAUGUAAACUACUUUACUUUAUUGCUAAACGUUAGUCAUAGAAGUAGAAGUAGUCGUUGGCGUGACAACUUCAUGAAGACACGAUGAUGGAGAUCAUGAUGAUGGAGAUCAUGGUGUCAAGCCGGUGACAAGAUGAUCAUGGAGCCCCGAAGAUGAAGAUCAAUGGAGCUAUAUGAUAUUGGCCAUAUCAUGUCACAACUAUAUAAUUGCAUGUGAUGUUUAUUAUGUAUUAUGCAUCUUGUUUACUUAGGACGACGGUAGUAAAUAAGAUGAUCCCUUAUAAAAUUUCAAGAAGUGUUCUCCCCUAACUGUGCACCGUUGCUACAGUUCGUCGUUUCUAAGCACCACGUGAUGAUCGGGUGUGAUGGAUUCUUACGUUCACAUAAAACGGGUGUAAGACAGUUUUACACAGCGAAAACACUUGGGGUUAACUUGACGAGCCUAGCAUGUACAGACAUGGCCUCGGAACACGGAGACCGAAAGGUCGAACACGAGUCGUAUGGAAGAUACGAUCAACAUGAAAAUGUUCACCGACGAUGACUAGUCCGUCUCACGUGAUGAUCGGACACGGGCUGGUCGACUCGGAUCGUGUAACACUUAGAUGACUAAAGGGAUGUCUAAUCUAAGUGGGAGUUCAUAAUUUGAUUAGAACUUUAUUAUCAUGAACAUAGUCUAAAACCUUUGCAAAUAUGUCUUGUAGAUCAAUGGCCAAUGCUAAUGUCAACAUGAACUUCAACGCGUUCCUAGAGAAAACCAAGCUGAAAGAUGAUGGCAGCAACUAUACGGACUGGGUCCGGAACCUGAGGAUCAUCCUCAUAGCUGCCAGGAAACAAUAUGUCCUAGAAGGACCGCUAGGUGACGCUCCCGUCCCAGAGAACCAAGACAUUAUGAAUGCUUGGCAAACUCGCGCUGAUGAUUACUCCCUCGUUCAGUGCGGCAUGCUUUACAGCUUAGAACCGGGGCUCCAAAAGCGUUUUGAGCAUCACGGAGCAUAUGAGAUGUUCGAAGAGCUGAAACUAGUUUUUCAAGCUCAUGCCCGGGUCGAGAGAUAUGAUGUCUCCGACAAGUUCUACAGUUGUAAGAUGGAGGAAAACAGUUCUGUCAGUGAGCACAUCCUGAAGAUGUCUGGGUUGCACAACCGUAUGACCCAGCUAAACAUUAACCUCCCAGAUGAGGCGGUCAUUGACAGAAUCCUCCAGUCGCUCCCACCAAGCUACAAGAGCUUUGUGAUGAACUACAACAUGCAAGGAAUGGAAAGACCAUUCCUGAAUUGUUCUCGAUGCUGAAGUCAGCAGAGGCUGAAAUCAAGAAAGAACAUCAAGUGUUGAUGGUCAAUAAGACCACUAAGUUCAAGAAGGGCAAGGGUAAGAAGAACUUCAAGAAGGACGGCAAAGAUGUUGCCGCGCCUGGUAAGCCAGUUACCGGGAAGAAGUCAAAGAAUGGACCCAAGCCUGAGACUGAGUGCUUUUAUUGCAAGGGGAAGGGUCACUGGAAGCGGAACUGCCCCAAAUACUUAGCGGAUAAGAAGGCCGGCAACACCAAAGGUAUAUUUGAUAUACAUGUGAUUGAUGUGUACCUUACCAGUAAUCGUAGUAACUCCUGGGUAUUUGAUACCGGUGCCGUUGCUCAUAUUUGUAACUCACAGCAGGAGCUGCGGAAUAAACGGAGACUGGCAAAGGAUGAGGUGACGAUGCGCGUCGGGAAUGGUUCCAGAGUCGAUGUGAUCGCCGUCGGCACGCUGCCUCUACAUUUACCUACGGGAUUAGUUUUGAACCUCAAUAAUUGUUAUUUAGUGCCAAGUUUGAGCAUGAACAUUGUAUCUGGAUCUCGUUUAAUACGAGAUGGCUACUCAUUUAAGUCUGAGAAUAAUGGUUGUUCGAUUUAUAUGAGAGAUAUGUUUUAUGGUCAUGCUCCGAUGGUCAAUGGUUUAUUCUUAAUGAAUCUCGAGCGUAAUAUUACACAUGUUCAUAGUGUAGAUGCCAAAAGAUUUAAAGUUGAUAACGAUAGUCCCACAUACUUGUGGCACUGCCGCCUUGGUCACAUUGGUGUCAAGCGCAUGAAGAAGCUCCAUGCUGAUGGACUUUUAGAGUCUCUUGAUUAUGAAUCAUUUGACACGUGCGAACCCUGCCUCUUAGGUAAAAUGACCAAGACUCCGUUCUCCGGAACAAUGGAGCGAGCAACCAACUUGUUGGAAAUCGUACAUACCGAUGUGUGCGGUCCAAUGAGCGUUGAGGCUCGCGGAGGAUAUCGUUAUGUUCUCACUCUCACAGAUGACUUGAGUAGAUAUGGGUAUGUCUACUUAAUGAAACACAAGUCUGAGACCUUUGAAAAGUUCAAGGAAUUUCAGAAUGAGGUGGAGAAUCAACGUGACCGAAAGAUAAAAUUCUUACGAUCAGAUCGUGGAGGAGAAUACUUAAGUCACGAAUUUGGUACACACUUAAAGAAAUGUGGAAUCGUUUCACAGCUCACGCCGCCUGGAACACCUCAGCGAAACGGUGUGUCCGAACGUCGUAAUCGCACUCUAUUGGAUAUGGUGCGGUCUAUGAUGUCUCUUACCGAUUUACCGCUAUCAUUUUGGGGAUACGCUCUGGAGACAGCUACAUUCACUUUAAAUAGGGCACCGUCUAAAUCCGUUGAGACGACACCGUAUGAAUUAUGGUUUGGAAAGAAACCUAAGCUGUUGUUUCUAAAAGUUUGGGGAUGCGAAGCUUAUGUCAAGAAACUUCAACCUGAAAAGCUCGAACCAAAGUCGGAAAAAUGCAUAUUCAUAGGAUACCCUAAGGAAACUAUAGGGUAUACCUUCUACUUAAGAUCCGAAGGCAAGAUCUUUGUUGCCAAGAACGGAUGCUUUCUGGAGAAAGAGUUUCUCUCGAAAGAAGUAAGUGGGAGGAAAGUAGAACUCGAUGAAGUACUACCUCUUGAGCGGGAUAGUGACGCAGCACAGGAAACCAUUCCUGUGAUGCCCACACCAACUGAAGAGGAAAACCAUGAUGAUGAUCAAGGUACUUCGGAUCAAGUUACUGCUGAACUUCGUAGGUCCACAAGGACACGUUCCACACCAGAGUGGUACGGCAACCCUGUCCUGGAAAUCAUGUUGUUAGACAACAAUGAACCUUCGAACUAUGAAGAAGCAAUGACGGGCCCGGAUUCCAACAAAUGGCUUGAAGCCAUGAAAUCCGAGAUAGAAUCCAUGUAUAAAAACAAAGUAUGGACUUUGACAGACUUGCCCGAUGAUCGACGAGCGAUAGAAAACAAAUGGAUCUUUAAGAAGAAGACGGACGCGGAUGGUAAUGUUACCAUCUAUAAAGCUCGACUUGUCGCUAAGGGUUAUCGACAAGUUCAAGGGAUUGACUACGACGAGACAUUCUCUCCCGUAGCGAAGCUAAAGUCCGUCCGAAUCAUGUUAGCAAUUGCCGCAUACUAUGAUUAUGAGAUAUGGCAGAUGGACGUCAAAACAGCAUUCCUUAACGGGCAUCUUAAGGAAGAACUGUAUAUGAUGCAGCCGGAAGGUUUUGUCGAUCCUCAGAACGCUAACAAAGUAUGCAAGCUCCAGCGAUCCAUUUAUGGACUGGUGCAAGCAUCUCGGAGUUGGAACAUUCGCUUUGAUGAGAUGAUCAAAGCGUUUGGGUUUAUGCAGACUUAUGGAGAAGCCUGCGUUUACAAGAAAGUGAGUGGGAGCUCUAUAGCAUUUCUCAUAUUAUAUGUAGAUGACAUACUCCUGAUGGGAAAUAAUAUAGAAUUUCUGGACAGCAUUAAGGCCUACUUGAAUAAGUGUUUUUCAAUGAAGGACCUUGGAGAAGCUGCUUAUAUAUUAGGCAUCAAGAUCUAUAGAGAUAGAUCGAGACGCCUCAUAGGUCUUUCACAAAGUACAUACCUUGAUAAGAUUUUGAAGAGAUUCAGAAUGGAUCAGUCCAAGAAGGGGUUCUUGCCUAUGUUACAAGGUAUGAGACUGAGCUCAGCUCAGUCACCGACCACGGCAAAAGAUAAAGAAGAGAUGAGUGUCAUCCCCUAUGCUUCAGCCAUAGGAUCUAUUAUGUAUGCCAUGCUGUGUACCAGACCCGAUGUAAACCUUGCCGUAAGUUUGGUAGCAAGAUACCAAAGUAAUCCCGGCAAGGAACACUGGACAGCGGUCAAGAAUAUCCUGAAGUACCUGAAAAGGACAAAGGACAUGUUUCUCGUUUAUGGAGGAGACGAAGAGCUCGUCGUAAAGGGUUACGUCGACGCUAGCUUUGACUCAGAUCCGGAUGACUCUAAGUCACAAACCGGAUACGUGUAUAUGUUGAAUGGUGGAGCAGUAAGCUGGUGCAGCUGCAAGCAGAGCGUCAUGGCGGGAUCUACGUGUGAAGCGGUGUACAUGGCAGCCUCGGAGGCAGCACAUGAAGCGAUUUGGGUGAAGGAGUUCAUCACCGACCUAGGAGUCAUACCCAAUGCGUCGGGGCCGAUCAAACUCUUCUGUGACAACACUGGAGCUAUUGCCCUCGCAAAGGAGCCCAGGUUUCACAAGAAGACCAGGCACAUCAAGCGUCGUUUCAACUCCAUCCGUGAAAAUGUUCAAGAUGGAGACAUAGAGAUUUGCAAAGUGCACACAGAUCUGAAUGUCGCAGAUCCGCUAACUAAACCUCUCUCGCGUGCAAAACAUGAUCAACACCAGAACUCUAUGGGUGUUCGAUUCAUCACAAUGUAACUAGAUUAGUGACUCUAGUGCAAGUGGGAGACUGUUGGAAAUAUGCCCUAGAGGCAAUAAUAAAAGUAUUAUUAUAUUUCAUUGUUCAUGAUAAUUGUCUUGUAUUCAUGCUAUAACUGUAUUAUCCGGAAAUCGUAAUACACGUGUGAAUACUUAGACCACACUAUGUCCCUGGUAAGCCUCUAGUUGACCAGCCCGUUGUGAUCAACAGAUAGUCAUGGUUUCCUGACUAUGGACAUUGGAUGUCAUUGAUAACAGGAUCACAUCAUUAGGAGAAUGAUGUGAUGGACAAGACCCAAUCCUAAGCAUAGCAUAAAAGAUCGUGUAGUUCGUUUUGCUAGAGCUUUGCAAGUGUCAAGUAUCUCUUCCUUCGACCAUGAGAUCGUGUAACUCCCGGAUACCGUAAGAAUGCCUUGGGUGUGCCAAACGUCACAACGUAACUGGGUGACUAUAAAGGUGCAUUACAGGUAUCUCCGAAAGUAGCUGUUGGGUUGACACGGAUCGAGACUGGGAUUUGUCACUCCGUAUGACGGAGAGGUAUCUCUGGGCCCACUCGGUAAUGCAUCAUCAUAAUGAGCUCAAAGUGACCAAGGUGUUGGACACGGGAUCAUGCAUUACGGUACGAGUAAAGUGACUUGCCGGUAACGAGACUGAACAAGGUAUUGGGAUACCGACGAUCAAGUCUCGGGCAAGUAACGUACCGAUUGGCAAAGGGAAUUGUAUACAGGGUUUGAUCGAAUCCUCGACAUAGUGGUUCAUCCGAUGACAACAUCGAGGAGCAUGUGGGAGCCAUCAUGGGUAUCCAGAUCCCGCUGAUGGUUAUUGACUAAGAGAGUCUCGGUCAUGUCUACAUGUCUCCCGAACCCGUAGGGUCUACACACUUAAGGUUCAGUCACGCUAGGGUUGUAGGGAUAUAUAUAUGCAGUAACCCGAAUGUUGUUCGGAGUCCCGGAUGAGAUCCCGGACGUCACGAGGAGUUCCGGAGGUAAAGAUUUAUAUAUGGGAAGUCCUGUUUCGGGCAUCGGGACAAGUUUCGGGGUUAUCGGUAUUGUACCGGGACCACCGGAGGGGUCCCGGGGGCCCACCGGGUGGGGCCACCCAUCCCCGGGGGCCACAUGGGCUGUAGGGGGUGCGCCUUGGCCUACAUGGGCCAAGGGCACCAGCCCCACAAGGCCCAUGCGCCUAGGGUUUCCAAGGGGGAGGAGUCCUACUAGUGGAAGGCACCUCCUAGGUGCCUUGGGGGGGAGGGAAUCCCCCCUUGGCCGCCGCACCCCCUAGGAGAUUUGAUCUCCUAGGGCCGGCCACCCCCCCUUGGCACCCCUAUAUAUAGUGGGGGGAGAGGAGGGACUUCAUACCUUGUGCCCUGGCCUUUGGUUGCCUCCUUCUCCCUCCCCAACACCUCCUCCAACUCCAUAGUGCUUAGCGAAGCUCUGCCGGAGUACUGCAGCUCCACCAACACCACACCGUCGUGCUGCUGCUGGUGCCAUCUCCCUCAACCUCUCCUCCCUUCCUUGCUGGAUCAAGAAGGAGGAGACGUGGCUGUUUCCGUACGUGUGUUGAACGCGGAGGUGCCGUCCGUUCGGCGCAGGUCAUCGGUGAUUUGAAUCACGUCGAGUACGACUACAUCAUCACCUUGCAAGCUUCCGCACGCGAUCUACAAGUGGUAUGUAGAUGCAAACUCUCUCCCUAGACUCGUUGCUUAGAUGAACUCAUAGAUGGAUCUUGGUGAAACCGUAGGAAAAAUUUUAAUUUUCUGCAACGUUCCCCAACAGAGGGUUGCGCCUUGGAUGUGCUGCGGCUGCCCUCCCUCCUCGCUUCUAUCUAUAGGGUGAAGGGGGAAGGGGACCGGCCCCUGUAGAUGAGAUCUAGAGGGGGGCGGCGGCCAAGGGAAGGGGGCUUGCCCCCCAAGCCAAGGGGGCGCCCCCUCUAGGGUCCCCCCCAACCCUAGGCGCAUGGGCCCAAGAGGGGUUGUCGUGGUGGGCGCACGGCAGAUGCCAAGUGAUCGCUAAAGAGAGGAGGAGGCUCGAGGGCGCUGGUGGGCUCAAGAGGCAUGGUUGGCAUGCGCGGGCGCGGGACGCCGGACAUACCCAGGUUCGGGGCUCUCCGGAGAGAUAACACCCUAGUCCUGCCGAGUUUAGUUGGAUGGUCGAUAGUACAAUGUUGCUCCUGGAGCUGUAUGGAGGAGGAAGGAAGCUGGCCAAGGCUUGGGCCGCUCCUUCUCUCUGGUGCUGCCGUUGGGUGGCUAGUCCUAUGAUUGCUUGUGUUUCUCUUGUGUCUCGUACAUAUGCCUCUCUCUGUAGGCGCGGGUUCCUGGCUGUUUUAUAGAUCAACCCACCUAGGGUUACAAUGGUAAUACGUCGAGUCGGCUGGGUCCCGCUUGAGGGCUUGUGGUCCGCCGGGUUCCCUAGGUGCGGGCCCCGCAUGCCUAGGGGAACUAUUCACCGUCUUGUUGAUCAUUAGGGCGUGGCCGAGUCGAGUCAUGUAUAGUGCUCUCCGUCAGGUUGCCGCUUGCUGCCGUCAGCGGUGAGGGCAGGAGCACUAUUGCCAUGCCAGCCUCGGUCUGCGGGUAGGUGAAGGGCAUUGUUGCCACGCUCCGGCUGACCAUAGGCAUGGGCGGAAGAACUGUAGUCUUGGUCAUCGAUGAUUAAAGUCUCAUCCCAUUGUACGACCUGGAUGGGACGGGAGUUGACCCGUGGCUGGGUUGUCGUGCACGCCACGGGUGGGGUCAGCUUGUUGGGGAAGCCUUGGUGGCGCCGGGUUGGGUUGUCUUGCGCCAGUUGCCGUGGCCGGGUGGACGUACCUUGCCGAUUCGAAGAGCUUGGCCGGGUUGCGGGCCUUGCCGGGUCGAGCGACCCGGCCAAGCACGUGCCGGUUCGUGGGGCGAUACGGGCCCCACCAUUUUUGAAAAGGAUCCGGGUUCCAUUGCCUGCCCGGGGUUCAUCCCCCCGACAGUAGUCCCCGAAGCUGUGAAGGUCCGCCGUCUUCGGAUGAGUGGGCCUUCGCAGUUUCCCCCUUGAGCAAGGCGGAUUCUGCGAGCGCCGGGUCCGGCAACUCCCAAUGUGUGCCGGUUUUCUCGGAAACCAGAUCACGGCAUCCCGGCUGUGGUGGGAACCGAGGAGUCCUCUGAAUAUUGAGGCAAUCCCUCGGGCUUCGCGCAGGCGCCAUGUGGUGCCCAGAAGACGGAGGGGCCUGACAGGCCACGCGCGUGACGGGACCAGACGAUGGGCCGGGCCCGCCGCCGCGCGCCCUUGGCCCACGCGCGCGGAUUUAUUGCAGUGUCCGAGGGUCGGUUGCUCUUCCCUGAGCAGUUACUGUGCGUGUACGUGCGCACUUAUUGCGGGGUAGUGGAACGGGUGUGUGGAGACGAUCCCACUUCCCCAUGUUUGGACCGAGGGUUAUAAAUUGAGGGGGGCAAGGGGGCGGCGGACAUCAUUCUCGCUCGCGCCCCCCUGUCCCCCUGCUCCUGCUCUGCUCUUCGCCACAGACGCACAGCUGCGCCCGCAGACCCAAGCAGAGCUUCCUUUGUCGUCCAUCCUCUCUCUUCUUCUUAUGAACAUGGCGCUGCCGUCGGGCUCCUGGAUGGGCUCGACUGUCACCACCGAUGACAUCACCCAUCUUCGAGCUUCCCGACGCCUGCCGCGGGAGACGGACGUCGGCGUGCGCCUGCUGCGCGGCGAGCAGAGGCCCCGGCCCGAGGGGCAGGAGCGCGUCGUCUUCCUCACGCAUUUCGAGCAUGGUUUUGGGCUACCGGCGAGCACCUUCUUCCGCGCGUUCUUGGAGUUCUUCGGGCUCCAGCCGCAUCAUCUUGGCACCGGUGCCAUCGUUCAGCUCUCCGGCUUUGUGACCCUGUGCGACAGGUACCUGGGGGUCGAGCCCACGAUCAACCUCUGGGCGCGUUUCUUCUCCUUGAAGCAGCAGGGCCCAUCGGCCGAGGAGUUCGCCGACUGCAGCGCUGCCAUCAUCUCGAAGCGGUCGGGGGCUGAUUUCCCCAAGAUUCAGCUGGAGGAUUCUGCCAAGAAGUGGCAGAACUCCUUCUUCUAUGUCUGUAACCAUGGCGCGGACCAUAUCAAUCUUCCUCCAUUCGCCGUCGCGCCGCCACGGGCGAAGACGAACUGGAGCUACUCGCUCCGGCGCCCGUCGCAGGAGAUCGUCAACCUCUGCGAGCGGGUGACGGUGAUGAGGACGCAGGAGGGGCUCACCGGCACAGACCUCCUUGCUGCGUUCAUCACUCGCCGGGUCCUUCCCGCUUUAGAGGUGCUCCUGCCUCAUCGACGAAAUGAUCGGCCUUCAGGACCCCAACCGCAUGGGGGCGACGCGGCUGUCUGCGGAGCAGGUCGCGUGUGGCAUGAACGACAUCUCCAAGGCCAACCUUGGAGAGGACUGGCGAUUCGGCAAGGCGCCGUAUAGCCAGUCGAACCCGGCACCGCAGGUGAGUGUCUGGUCUUCUUACUUUGCUGCUGCCCAUCUUCUCAUUCGUCCCGACGCGACGCAGGAGAUACUCUAGAACGCGAUUCGGCAUCCUUACACCCGGGCUCCGUCGCAGGUGGCGCCGGUCGCACCAGAGGAGCCCGCUGUCCAAGGCGGUGAGGAGGUGGCCGAGUCCAACGCCGGCGCUGGGCGUCACGCGGGUAAGUCAUGAAUUCUUCUUUCUUUAUUUGUCUUGAAUUGUUGAUCAUGUCACGGUGCGGGCGACACUGACGCCGAUUGUUGGUGUAGUGGCGUUGGGCGGGGAAGGCGGCGACGCGGGCGGAGCCAGGUCAUCUCAUGGGGUAGCGCCGAGCCGCCCGCAUGGUAAAGACAGCGUCCCACCGCGACCCCGGGCCCGGAAGCGCGCGACGGACCCUGCCGAGCCUGGGAGGUCGGCCAAGAGAAGGCGCGGCGGGAGGCCGACCCCGGUCCCGGUCUUGACGGGGUAAGCUUUAUCUUUUGUGUGCGUCCGGAUUGUUGAGCCGGAGUUGUCUUCUUUUUCUUUGGCUUAUUCCGCCUUCUUCUUCAGGUCGCCAAUCGCGCUGGCGAGGGCGGUGGCGGAAGCCGCGGCCGCCGAAGGGGCCGCGUUCCGCAAGAGCUGGUCCGACCUCGCCGACCAAGCCGAGGCAGAGGGACGGACCGACUCGGACCUCUACCUGGACCCGAACGACGCCGAAGCCUUGACUUGGCGGGACAGGAAUCGGGAUGAGGCGGAGCUGGAGGUGGCAUCGGUCUGGGCUUGGACCGACGCGGCGACCGUGUGGGCGCGAGCCGGCGCGGAGCCGGCCUGGCGCGAGAUGCCGGAGGGCACGGUGGUGGCGGCGACGGUCUUUUAGCCGUCGUCGGUGAGGGAGUGCGGCUGGGGAGGCCGGGCUGAGGUGGUGAUCCUCGACCAGGAGGUCGUGCAGGUGGAGGGCGAUACCCCGCCGCGGGCCGACGUGGUUGUGUGCGUGGGGGCUGAUGGUGGUGUAGACGGCGUCGUCUUGGAAGAGGCGCCGCGGGCGGCGGUGCCGGAGGUGCCGCUGGUGUUGGAGGCGACACCACGGAUGGCGGUGCCAGAGUCCACGCCGACAGCUGGACCGGUGGUGGCGCAGUAGGACGUCCCAACGUCCGGACCGAAGGCGGCGACGCAGGGCGUCCCGGCGUCCGGGUCCGCGGAGGAGGUGCUGGCCGCGUCGCGAGCGGCCAGCGGGGAGCACACCUUGGUGCUCCAGCAGGGUGGGCGCCGGGCUGCCGCGCCGCAGCCGGCGUGGAGUGGGGGCGCCACUGUCUUCGGCCUUCAGACCCAGGAGGAGGAGACGCUGGACGCCGUUAGCCGUCGUCUGCGCGGGCGGACGGAUCGGCUCGAGGCCUUUGCCGAGGCCGAGGUGGAGCGGACGCGCGACCUGGAGCGCCAUUCUGGUAAGCCUUCUUUUUUUUCUUGCAAUUUCUUCUUUGUGGGGGCGCGCCAGCGCACCCACUGGGUGUAGCCCCUGAGGUUCGGGCCAACUACAUUGCAGUUGGGUCGAAUCUAAGAGCGUUGGCCUUGUUCUGACUUCUGUCUUUUUCAGCAUCUUGACGCCUUCCGGGUUGCUGCUUUCAACUGUCUCCUGGGCAAGCUUACUGCCAAGGAGGAGGAGCUUCGCGUCGCCGCAGGUACCCUUGUGCUCUUUUCUGGUGGGGGCACGCUAGCGCACCCACUAGGUGCAGCCCCCGAGAUUCGGGCCAACUAUGUAACAGUUGGGCCAAAUCUUAAGUCUUGUCUUUUUUCUUCUGCUGAAUCCUUCUUCUUUGCAGCCGAGGUGCUGUCCUGGCGGACUCGUCUGCUCCAGGCCAGCCAUCACUAUGACCGGCUCGUUGCCGACACUGGCCGUCUUGGCGUCGAGGCGGCGCAGGCGAGGGCGGAGGCGGCCGCGGCCCGACGGUCUCUUGAUGAGGCCAACCGGCUGCAUGAGCAGCUGGCAGGUCACAAGAACCGCCUCGAGGUGGAGCUUCUUAAGGCGGAGGCCGCCAAGGUGGUGGAGACGCAGCAGGCCCUGGUCGAGGCGGACCAGCAGCGCGGCCAGCUGGUCGAUGACAAGGGCCGGCUCUAGGCCGAGGUGGAUCUCCUGCGAGAGCAGGCCACUGCGGCUGAGGGGGCCCAUCAGGACGAGCCCGCCACCGUGAGGCGGCCAAGAAGGCGGCCGCUGACAAGGACGCCAAGCUGAAGGCGGCCCUUGCUAAGGCGGCCAAUCUGGAGAAGGCGCUUGGGGAGCGCGACCGCGCCAUGGAGCGGGAGCAACGUUGUACGUUGCUUGAGGCGCAGCACCUGGAAGAGUCCUUCUCCAGUAAGUCCCGUUUCUUGUAGUUUGCCGGGUCGGGACCCGGCCUUUCUUCCUUGUUGUUCUUCUUCUAACUUGCUUCUUCCUUUGCGACAGGGGACUUCCCAGAGACGCAACGGCUGGCGGAGGAAGCCGUCCGCUAUCAGCACGACCCGACCGGUGUUGCUGGGUCUGGGACGGAUCCGCAGACGGCCUGGACCUUCCCGGAGAUCAUCGCCGCUGCUGAGGCCCGCCUGCGGGUCUUGGGGACGCAGAUGGAGCGGCUGUCCCGGGCCGGCACCGCGAUGACAGAGGCCUUGUGGCCGGAUUCCGUCCAUCCACGCAGCUUCUCGCGCCUGGCGCGUUCGUUGGAGAUGGGUCCGGACUGGCUUGACGAGUGGCGCAUUUUCGCCGGUGCUGAGAUGGUGCUCCGGUUCGUGCUGUCUUGGCAUCCGGAUGUUCAACUGGACGCGUUGAUGGGCCAGCGCGCCGGCUCGGAGCAGUUGCUGUAGGAGCAAGCCGGCCGGAUCACCUCUCGAGCCACCUACAUCGCCGAGUUCGCCUUUCAUGACGAGUUCCAUCUGGAGCGGACGGCAGGGCCGUGGAUGGCGACGACUACGGCUUGCUUCUUCAGGAUCCGGAGGGGAGCUCGAAGGAGACGGGCGUCUACGGCGACGCGGAUGCCGAAGAGGACAUUGGUGCCUCACUGGACCCGGAGGCCGUCAGGGGAGAGCCGUCAACAUCGCGACGUGGCGCUGGAGAUGCCUGAGACACUUCGUGUAAAAACUGUUAAGUAGCAGGUCCACCCACCCACUGGGGGUUUUAGGGUGUAAUGAACUCGGGCCGUGGGCCUUUGCUUAAAUAUUUGUGUGUAAAUGUCGUGAGUGAUUUUUUUCUCUUUGCCGUUCGCUUUUUUGAACCGAUUUCAUACGCUUUUCCUCUCUCAAAGCUCCCCCCCACCCCCACCCCCCCGCGAGUCAGACGGUCGAGGCUCCGGUCUGUGACACGGGGUUCGAUUCUUCGAGAGGGGUGCGCAGGACUUGGGUCCUUAGAAGCAUUGAGCGCGAGCGAAACAGCCACCGGGCCGGCUAGCGGCAAUCCGGCUACUUAUUUGAUGAGUGACGGGCCGGGUUGAUCGACCCGGCGGCCUUUUGACUUAGUGUAUGAAUCGUAGAGGAGCUUUGGCCCGUUGUGCUUGUCCGCCGAUAGCCAAAGCUGGAUCUGUGGUUUUAGGGCGAAGUGGGGGACCGCGGCGUCCCAACUUUAUCAGGAAUCACCAAGUAAGGUGGCGGGGUGGCGACCGAGCCGGCCAGCCCCCGAGCCCCCGGGUCGAGCGAGUCGAGCCGGUGGCCGGGUUCAGUUGUAAAGUGAUGCAGAAAAAUAGGGACGCAAAUAAAUUGGUCAACAAAAGGCAGCCCCCGAGUCUCGUUCGGGGACCCCAUAGUUUCAUGCGUUUACAAAAGGCGACGAUACAUACACUCGUGCGGCUAACUGUAAAACGGGCGGAGGAGUUCCGCGUUCCACGGCCGGGUGUUUCUUCACCGGCGGUGUCCUUGUUGCACUACUUUGACUUGCGUGCGUCUAUGUGGUAGUAGGCAUUGCGAUCGCGCAAGGCCCUGCUCACGAUGAAUGGGCCCUCCCAUGGAGAGGACAGCUUGUGCUGGCCUGCCUGCUCUUGGACGAGUCGGAGGACGAGGUUGCCCUUGCGGAAUGCGAGGGGCUUGAUCUUCUUGCUGUGGUAGUGCCUCAGGCCUUGCUGGUAGAUGGCCGAACGGCUGAGUGCCAGAAGGCGCGCUUCCUCGAGCAGGUCGACUCCGUCUUCGCGUGCCUCUUUGGCUUCGGCUUCGGUGUACAUCGUGACGCGCGGCGAGUCGAACUCGACGUCGGUCGGGAUGACGGCUUCGGCUCCAUAGACGAGGAAGAACGGGGUGAACCCGGUCGACUGGUUCGGCGUGAUGCAUAGAGUCCAGAGAACUACCGGCAACUCGUCAAGCCACCUGCCAGGUGAGCGGAUGAGUGGCUCGACGAGUCGCGGCUUGAUGCCGGAUAGGAUGAGUCCGUUCGCCCGCUCCACCUUCCUGUUGGACUACAGAUGUGCUGUGGAGGCGAGGUCGAGGCGGAUGCCGGAGACGAAGCAGUAUUGCUCAAGCGCACCCUUGGCGAAGUUGGUGCCGUUGUCAGUGAUGAUGCCGUUCGGCAUGCCGUAGCACACCUCUAUGUCCUUAAUGAACCGGACGGCUGUUGGCCCAUCCAGUUUCUUGAUUGGUCUUGCCUCGAUCCACUUGGUGAAUUUGUCCACUGCCACCAGCAGGUGCGUCAUGCCGCCUUGAGAGGUUUUGAAGGUUCCCACCAUGUCGAGUCCCCAGACGGCGAAGGGCCAGGCGAUCGGUAUGGUGUGGAUUGCUGACACCGGCGGUGACUGCGUUUGCUGAAGCGCUGGCACCCCUCGCACUUGAGAACGAGUGACUCGGCGUCAUCGAGGGCCGUGGGCCAGUAGAAACCGUGGCGGAAUGCCUUGGCCACCAGGGAUUGCGAUGCGGCAUGGUGCCCGCACUCGCCCUAGUGAAUGUCGAGGAGGAUGUCGAUGCCCCGAUCCUGCUCGACGCAGCGCUGGAACACGCCGGUGGAGCUGCGCUUGACGAGCUCGUUGUGUGCUGUAGGCGGAUGCCCGACGCUGCACUUGCCGAGCCUCGGUUUCGUCCGUGGGGAGAACCCCUUUCUCCAGAAAUUCUGAUAUCGGCAGGGCCCAAGAUGGGGCCGCUACCACGAUCAAGACGGCCACCUGGGUGGGUUCCAAGUCGGCGGCCCCUGGGCCGGGUUGAGCAGCCCCCGGGUUGGGCACGGAGAUGGCCGGGUCUGGGGUGAUGGUGGCCGGAUUGAGCUGAGCAGCCCCCGGCCAGGUUCAGCGGUCCCCGGGCCGGGUUUAGCAGCCCCCGGGCCGGCUUGCGGUGCGGUCAGGUCCUCUGGGACGUGGAUGGACUCGGGGUCCGGUGAUGUCUUAAUGGACGGCUUGCGCAGGUUCUCGAGGGAGACGCCGGACGGGAUGGCUUGGUGUGACGAGGCGAUCUUAGCGAGCGUGUCGGCUGCUUCCUUCUCCGCGCGCGGGACAUGGAGAAACUCGCAGCCCUCGAAGGAUCUGGACAGCUUGUGGACGAGGAAGCGGUAGCUUGCCAUGUUGGAGUCACGGGCGUCCCAUUUGCCGGAGCAUUGCUGCACCACCAGGUCCGAGUCGCCAUAGCACAGGAUGCGCCGGAUGCCGAGUUCCUUGGCAAGCCGGAGGCCGUGCACAAGGGCUUCAUAUUCGGCGACGUUGUUGGAGGCGGCGAAGUGGAUCUGGAGCGCGUAGCGGAGCCAGUCGCCCUUCCGAGAUGACAGUACAAUGCUGGCCCCCAAGCCGAGUCACAUCUUGGGCCCGUCGAAGUUCAUGCACCAAUGCGUCGAGUUGGGAGGCAGCGGUAAGUAUUGGGUCUCGGUCCAGUCGACGAGGAAGUCGGCCAGGGCUUGAGACUUGAUCGUGGUGUGGGGCUUGUAGAGAAUGGUGUGGCCGGCUAGCUGGAUCGCCCACUUGGCGACCCGGCCAGAGGCAUCCUGGCACCCGAUGAUUUCCUCGAUAGGCGUCGUGCUGAUGACGGUGACGACGUGCUCUUGAAAGUACCGCUUCAGCUUCUUGGCGGUGAGGUACACGCGGUAGCACAUCUUCUGGUAGUGCGGGUAGUUCUGCUUGGAGGUGGAGAGCACCUCGCUCAGGUAGUAGACCGGAUGCUGGACGGCCUGGAUCUUGCCAUCAUCCGGUCGCUCGACCACCAGCACCGUGCUGACCCCCCGCGAGGUCGCGGCUAUGUUGAGCAAUAGCGGCUCCUUGUCGGUCGGCGUAGCCAGGACUGGUGCGGUGGAGAGCAUUCGCUUGAGGUCUUGGAAGGCCUCGUCUGCCUUGCCGUUGCAUUCGAACGGGCUUGUCUUCUUCAUUAGCUGGUAAAGGGGUAGCGCCCUCUCGCCCAGCCAGCUCAGGAACCGGCUGACCGAGGCCAAGCACCCGGUGAACUUCUGGACGUCGCGCAGUCGAGCCGGCUUGCGCAUGCGCUUGAUGGCCUUGAUCUUUUCCGGGUUCGCCUCGAUGCCGCGUUCCGAGACGAGGAAGCCGAGUAGCUUUCCGGCCAGGACGCCGAAGACGCAUUUAUCCGGGUUAAGCUUGACCUUGUAUUCGCGAAGGUUGGCGAAUGUUUCCUUCAAAUCGUCGAGGAGCGUGAGGUGCUGCUUGGUCUUCACCAUGAUAUCGUCCACGUACACGUGGAUAUUGCGGCCGAGUUGCGGCAGCAGGCAUUUCUACAUGCAGCAUUGGAAGGUGGCGCCGGUGUUCUUCAAGCCGAACGACAUGGUGAUGUAGCAAUAUGCCCCAAAGGGCGUGAUGAAGGACGUCUUCAGGGCAUCGGCCGGGUCCAGGUUGAUCUGGUGAUAGCCGGAGUAAGCAUCCAGGAAGGACAGGAGCUCGCACCCGGCGCUCGAGUCGAUGACUUGGUCGAUCUGUGGGAGGGCGAACGGGUCCUUGGGAUAGGCCUUGUUGAGGCUGGUGUAGUCGAUACAUAUGCGCCAGGUCUUGUUCUUCUUCAGGACGAGGACUGGAUUGGCCAGCCACUCGGGGUGAAACACUUCCAUUAUGAAGCCAUCCACCAAAAGCUUGGCGACCUCCUCACCAAUGGUUCUUCUCUUCUCUUCGGAAAAUCGUCGGAGGGGUUGACGGACAGGCCUGGCGUCCUUGCGGACGUGAAGUUUGUGCUCGGCAUACUUCCUCGGGAUACCCGGCAUGUCCUUGGGGGUCCAUGCGAAGAUAUCCCGAUUCUCACGUAGGAAGUCGACGAGCUCGCCUUCCUAUUUGCUGUCGAGGCGGGCGCCUACCAGUGGCGGUGCCAGGAUCGAAACCUUGUGUUGUCAAGCUUUAUACAAAUGAAACAUUUUGUAGGUAAAUUAAACAAGAACACAAAAAGACCAUACUUCAUUUGAUACAUAUUUGUUGUACUAGCUUUUUCUAUCAUAUAUAUUUCAUCUUAAACAUGUCUUUUGAUAUAAAGAUCUUAAACAUUUUUAUGGUAACAACGCGUUGACAAAUGUAUCCAUGUACCAUUGCCAAACUUAAGACCUAACAAAUGACAAAACAAGGUUUUGCUAAAAGAAACAAUAUCUGAAUUUCGUGUGAGAAUAUAAAAUUUCAAGAGAAAGAAGACAAAAACUUACAAACAGAAAAGGAAGGGCCUCGUCCUAUACACUCGCCGAGUCGCUGAAGGUGCAGUACUACGAAGAUCGGAGACUACUAGAGCAGCGGAGGAGGCCGUGCUCAUUGUGGUGAUUCCAGGCAACGGCGACCUCGGCGGUCGGUGAGCAGCAUGGGUAUCCAUGCAUGAUGUGCUUCACUGCUCCUCCCCACGGCGUAGUGCAUGAUUGGCCAUUAGAGAUUAUACACAGGAAGGUGAAAAAGGAGAGAGUUCGAAGGAAUAUCACGGGAUUUCAGGAGACGGUCACGAAGUUGUUUUGGAGGACGAUUAGGAAAGUUAAUAAUGACGUCGGGAGCUUCCUUUUUCUAUAUGGGCCAGCCAAAUCUCACAAAAACUGAUACCAACUGGGCAUGUUUUAGUUAGAGGACCUCUUUUAGUUAAUUUCCAGAACCUGUUUAUUUGGAAGUGGGGUACGAUGUCACGGACUCACGGUAGUGUUUGAGUACCAAAUUCCUGUGUAGUCGCUUGACAACAUAGUCAUAGUGUGGCUUCGCCACUGGCGCCUACGACAACGUACUUGCUGCAGCUGGGGUCUUCCGGGUUGAGCUUCACUCUCUUGGUCUCCUUGGAGGGCUUGAAGGCUGCCUCGUCGACCGGGUCCAGGGUCGGGAUCGACGCAGCGGAGGCCUCACCGGCCAGGGUGACAAUCCAGUCGAGUUGGCGCCGCUCCUCGGCAAUGACCAGCGACUCAGCCAACUUGGCGCUGUCUCGGGCGCACUCCAAGGACUUGCGGUAAUCGCCAGUGAUGGUGAUGAGACCCUUGGGACCCGACAUCUUCAUCUUCAGAUAUGCGUAGUGGGGAACCGCCAUGAACUUGGCGAGCGCGGGCCGGCCCAGCAAUGCGUGAUACGCGCUGGACAGGUCCACCAACUCGAACCAGAAUGGUUCGCGUCGGAAGUGGCUGUUGUCACCGAACAGGACAUUGAGCCAGAACCGGCCAAUGGGCGAGCAGUAGAGGCCGGGUACGAUGCCGUGGAAGAUCGCCCGGGUCGGUUCUAGGUCCUCGGCCUUGAGGCAGAGCUUGGUCAUCGUGUCGCGGCAGAGGAUGUUGAUGCUGCUGCCGCCGUCGAUGAGGACUCGGGAGAACUUGCAUGUACGCCGUGCGACGAUGGUGGGGUUGAGGACGAGGGCGUAGCCACCCAGGCUUGGCAUGACUACCGGGUGAUCCUCCCGGGUCCAGGUGAUCGGGCGAUCCGACCAAUGCAUAAACUCCAGCUUGGCUGGGACGACGGUGUUCACCUCCUGCCGAAAGAGGCGCUCGCUGCGCUUGUCGUUGCCGAGGCUGGUGAAGACGACAUAGGCCGCGUUCUGGUCCGGGUAGGCGUCUUCCGCAUCGCGCCGCCAGCGGGAGGCGGUGGUGGAGGCGGAGGCGGCUGUCCCGCGCCUGGAGCCACAGGCGGAGGAGGCGGGACGUCGCCCCUCAUGAUGCGCUUGGUGAUGGCGCACUGUCGAAGCGUGUGCGUGGAGGGUCUUGCGCCGCUGUGGUGCUUGCAGGGGGCGUCGAGCAUCUCUUCAAAACUCAUGGCGGGUUGCCAUGCCAUCUUGCCGCUUUGCCGGCGCUUCACCGCCGGGUCCGCCGCGGGCUCGGCCGCCGCGACGAGCAGGUUAUCGUGACGCUGCGCCGGCUGGUCGGCCUUGCGCUUGUUGUUCGGGUGAUGCUGCUGCCGGCUGCUUUCACCGGCCAGCUUCGGAGGGGGAACCGGCUUCGCCUUGCCGGCUUCAUCUAGCGCCACCUAGAUCUUCAUGGCGGAGUCUGAUGACCCACAAGUGUAGGGGAUCUAUCGUAGUCCUUUCGAUAAUUAAGAGCGUCGAGCCCAACGAGGAGCAGAAGGAAAUGAUAAGCGGUUUUUAGUAAGGUUUUCUGCAAGCACUGAAAUUGUAGGUGAUAGAUAGUUUUGUGAUAAGAUAAAUAGUAACGAGUAACAAGUAAACAAAGUAAAUAAAGUGUAGCAAGGUGGCCCAAUCCUUUAUGUGGCAAAGGAUAAGCCUGGACAAUUUCUAAUAAUGAGAAAGGAGCUCCCGAGGACACAUGGGAAUUAUCGUCAAGCUAGUUUUCAUCAAGCUCAUAUGAUUCGCGUUCGGUACUUUGAUAAUUUGAUAUGUGGGUGGACCGGUGCUUGGGUACUGCCCUUACUUGGACAAGCAUCCCACUUAUGAGUAACCCCUAUUGCAAGCAUCCGCAAGUACAACAAAAGUAUUAAGGUAAACCUAACCAUAGCAUGAAACAUAUGGAUCCAAAUCAGCCCCUAACGAAGCAACGAAUAAACUAGGGUUUAAGCUUCUGUCACUCUAGCAACCCAUCAUCUACUUAUUGCUUCCCUAUGCCCUCCUCUAGGCCCAAUAAUGGUGAAGUGUCAUGUAGUCGACGUUCACAUGACACCACUAGAGGAGAAGAGAACAUACAUCUCAUCAAAAUAUCGAUCGAAUACCAAAUUCACAUGACUACUAAUAGCAAGACUUCACCCAUGUCCUCAGGAACAAACGUAACUACUCACAAAGCAUAUUCAUGUUCAUGAUCAGAGGUGUAAUAAUAUGCCUUAAGGAUAUGAACAUAUGAUCUUUCACCAAGUAAACCAAUAAGUAUCAACUACAAGGAGUAAUCAACACUGCUAGCAACCCACAGAUACCAAUUUGUGGUUUUGGAUACAAGAGAUGAACUAGGGUUUGAGAGGAGAUGGCGCUGGUGAAGAUGUUGAUGGAGAUUGACCCCCUCCCGAUGAGAGGAUCGUUGGUGAUGACGUUGGUGAUGAUUUCCCCCUCCCAGAGGGAAGUGUCCCCGGCAAAACAGCUCUGCCAGAGCCCUAGAUUGGUUCCGCCAAGUUUCCGCCUCGUGGCGGCGGAGUUUCGUCCCGUAAGCUUGCCCACGAUUUUUUCCAGGGUAAAAGCGAUGAUAUAGCACAAGAUGGACACCGGAGGUCCACCAGGGGGCCCAGGAGAUAGGGGGCGCACCCUAUAGGGGGGCGCCCUAUAGGGGGGCGCCCCCUGUCUCCUGGACAGGGUGUGGGCCCCUGGUGUAUUUCUUUCGCUCAGAAAUUCUUAUUAAUUCCGAAAGUUGUUUCGUGGAGUUUCAGGACUCUUGGAGUUGUGCAGAAUAGGUUUCCAACGUUUGCUCCUUUUCCAGCCAGAAUUCCAUCUGCCGGCAUUCCCCCUCUUCAUGGUAAACCUUUUAAAAUAAGAGAGAAUAGCCAUAAGUACUGAGAUAUAUUGUGUAAUAACAACCCAUAAUGCAAUAAAUAUUGAUAUAAAAGCAUGAUGCAAAAUGGACGUAUCAGAGUCGGCAUUGGCGUACUUGUCCGCCGUCACCAUGAGCGCGGCCAUGGUGGCCGGCUCGGAGUGUAGGAGCUUGUGUUUGAGGAGGGUUCCGUCUCGGCACCCGCUGACGUAGUACUGUAUCGCCUGGACUUCAUGGACGCCCUCGCAGCUGUUCCAGAGCUCGGUCCAGCGUGCAAGGUACUCACGGCCGGUCUCCUCGGCCCCUCCACGCACAUGGCGAGCUGGCUGGGGCGACCGGGUCGCUUGUAGGUCCCCGUAAAGUUGUGGACAAAGGCUUCCACGAAGUCGACCCACGCGUUGAUGCUGCCCAUCGGCAGGCUGUUCAACCAUGUACGGGCCGACCCCUGGACCAUGAGCGGUGCGUAGCGCACGACGAGACGAUGAUUGGCACCGGUGAUGCCAAUGGCCGUAGUGUAGUCGGUGAGCCAGUCUUCCGGCUUCACCGUCCCGUUGUACUUGGGGGUGUCGCGGGGGAGCAUGAACCCUUUGGGAAUGGGCUCCUCCCGGAUGCGUGGUCCAAAGCACGCCGGCCCGAUAGCGCCGCUCUCCCCCAAAUCCAGGGAGCGAGCAAGCUGAUCGAGGCGGUGGCGCGCGUCGGCGUCGUUGAUGGUGCGCGGGCCAAGUCGACUGGCGGCCAGGCCCCGAGGGGCCGGGUCGGUUGGAGCCAGACGUCGGCCAUGCUGGCCGGGUCCGCGCUGGGUCUCCCAGGCGGGCUCAUUGCCCGGGACGUCCGCGGCCAUGGUGGCCGGGUUGCGCCAAGUCCGGGUUCGGCCGGAGUGCACUUCGCCGGGUGGCGAGGAAGCCGUGUGCAGGAGUUCGCCGGGUCCGCCAAGGCGGGCGGAGCCGGACCCCGCUGGCUUGGCAAGCUAGUUGAGGCGAUCCUGCUGGGUGUUGGCGGCGUGGAGGAGCUUGCGCAUCCGCCCGAUGCGCUCUUUGAGCUCCUCGCCCGCGAGUUGGUCGAGGCCGACCGCGGCUGCCUCCGCAGCACGCAUGUUCUUCACUGGGGUCUCGUAGAAGGCCUGGACGGCGCCGAAGGCCCGGCCGAUCGCUCCUCCCCAGGUGCGAGCAUCGGCGACCCGGCUUGGCUCGGCCGCGGCGGGUGUGAAUCCGUGGGCGGCGUCAUGCUCCAACUGAGCGGCCUCCAGGCGACGCCUGGUGGCGGUUCUCGGACAGGUCCAGCAUCUGAUUGCGUCUAUCCUCGAGCUGGGUUCGGGCUUCGACGAUGUUGGUGGCGUCGACGUUGGUGCCGAUGGGGAUGCGGAGGCUUUGCAUCGCGGCGCGCAGCGGGUCGGACGGCACGGUCCGUGCCGCAGCGGCCCCGGCUUCUGCGACCCUCCUCGCCUUGCUCGACGAGGAAGAGGCGCGAUCGCCGGUGACGAAAACCUCCACAUGGACGUCCAUCGCCCCGGCGGCGAUACCGCCGCCGAGGGAGAGUGGAGAGUCGGAGUGCUGAGCACCUCGCUGGGGUACUCGUCGACCACGAACACAUCGGAGAUGCGCAGCGCGGUGAACGAGGCAGCGAGCGCACCGAUGACAUCGUCCGCCAGACCGACAGACUCGUCAAAGUAGGAGAAGGGCCCCGUCUGAAGCAUGCUCGCGGCCAGCUCCUCGAGCUACCCCAUGGUGAGCGCCAACUGUCGUGGUGGGCGCACGGCAGAUGCCAAGGGAUGGCUAAAGAGAGGAGGAGGCUCGAGGGCGCUGGUGGGCUCCAGAGGCGAGGUUGGCAUGCGCGGGCGCGGGACGCUGGACAUACCCAGGUUCGGGGCUCUCCGGAGAGAUAACACCCCUAGUCCUGCCGAGUUUAGUUGGAUGGUCGAUUGCAACAAUGUUGCUCCUGGAGCUGUAUGGAGGAGGAAGGAAGCUGGCCAAGGCUUGGGCCGCUCCUUCUCUCCGGCGCUGCCGUUGGGUGGCUAGUCCUAUGGCUGCUUGUGUUUCUCUUGUGUCUCGUACAUAUGACUCUCUCUGUAGGCGCGGGUUCCUGGGCUAUUUUAUAGAUCAACCCACCUAGGGUUACAAUGGUAAUACGCCUAGUCGGUGGGUCCGUAUUGUCGGUGUCUGGGAUACCGGGCUGGGUCCCCGCUUGAGGGCUUGUGGUUCGCCGGGUUACCCUAGGUGCGGGCCCCGCGUGCCUAGGGGAACUGUUCGCCGUCUUGUCGAUCGUGAGGGCGUGGCCGAGUCGAGUCGUGUAUAGUGCUCUCCAUCAGGUUGCAGCAUGUUGUCGUCAUCGAUGAGGGCAGGAGCACUGUUCCCACGCCAGCCUCGGUUAGCGGGUAGGUCAAGGGCAUUGUUGCCACGCUCCGGAUGACCAUAGGCAUGGGCGGAAGCACUUUAGUCUUGGUCAUCGGUGAUUAAAGUCUCUUCCCAUCGUACGGCCUGGAUGGGACGGGAGCUACGUGGCUGGGUUGCCGUGCACGCCAUGGGUGGGGUCGGCUUGUUGGGGAAGCCUUGGUGACGCCGGGUUGGGUUGUCUUGCGCCAGUUGCUGUGGCCGGGUCGACGUACCUUGUCGAGUCGAAGAGCUUGGCCGGGUUGCGGGCCUUGCCGGGUCGAGCGACCCGGCCAGGUGCGUGCCGGUUCGCGGGACGAUGCGGGCCCUGCCAUUCUUGAAAAGGAUCCGGGUUCCGUUGCCUGCCCGGGGUUCAUCCCCCCGACAGGGGUGGCGCCCAGGCCACUUAGGGGCUGGUUCCCUUCGACAUACUGCCCAUAGGGCCCUCCUGGGCAGGUGGACCCUCCCGGUGGACCCCCGGAACCCCUCCGGUGGUCCCGGUACAAUACCGGUAAACCCCCGAAUACUUCCGGUGACCGUAUGAUGACUUCCCAUAUAUAAAUCUUCACCUCUGGACCAUUCCGGAACUCCGCGUGGUGACCGGGAUCUCAUUCGGGACUCCGAACAACAUUCGGUAAUCACGUACAAAUCUUCCCUUUAACCCUAGCGUCAUCGAACCUUAAGUGUGUAGACCCUACGGGUUCGGGAAUCAUGCAGACAUGACCGAGACAGCUCUCCGGCCAAUAACCAACAGUGGGAUCUGGACACCCAUGUUGGCUCCCACAUGUUCCACGAUGAUCUCAUCAGAUGAACCACGAUGUCGAGGAUUCAAGCAAUCCCGUAUGCAAUUCCCUUUGUCAAUCGGUACGUUACUUGCCCGAGAUUCAAUCAUCGGUAUCCCAAUACCUCGUUCAAUCUCGUUACCGGCAAGUCACUUUACUCGUUGCGUAAUGCAUGAUCCCGUGACUAACUACUUAGUCACAUUGAGCUAAUUAUGAUGAUGCAUUACCAAGUGGGCCCAGAGAUACCUCUCCAUCAUACGGAGUGACAAAUCCCAUUCUCCAUUAGUGCCAACCCAACAAUCACUUUUGGAUAUACCUAUAGUGCACCUUUAUAGUCACCUAGUUACGUUGUGACGUUUGGUACACCCAAAGCACUCCUACGGUAUCCGGGAGUUACACAAUCUCAUGGUCUAAGGAAAUGACACUUGACAUUAGAAAAGCUUUAGCAAACGAACUACACGAUCUUGUGCUAUGCUUAGGAUUGGGUCUUGUCCAUCACAUCAUUCUCCUAAUGAUGUGAUCCCGUUAUCAAUGACAUCCAAUGUCCAUAGUCAGGAAACCAUGACCAUCUUUUGAUCAACGAGCUAGUCAACUAGAGGCUCACUAGGGACAUGUUGUGGUCUAUGUAUUCACACAUGUAUUACGGUUUCCAGUUAAUACAAUUAUAGCACGAACAAUAGACAAUUAUCAUGAACAAGGAAAUAUAAUAAUAACCAUUUUAUUAUUGCCUCUAGGGCAUAUUUUCAAUAGUCUCCCACUUGCACUAGAGUCAAUAAUCUAGUUCCAUUGUGAUGAAUCGAACACCCAUAGAGUUCUGGUAUUGAUCAUGUUUUGCUCGUGGAAGAGGUUUAGUCAACGGAUCUGCGACAUUCAGAUCCGUAUGUACUUUACAAAUCUCUAUGUCUCCAUCUUGAACAUUUUCACGAAUGGAGUUGAAGCGACGCUUGAUAUGCCUAGUCUUCUUGUGAAACCUGGGCUCCUUGGUAAGGGCAAUAGCUCCAGUGUUGUCACAGAAGAGAGUCAUCGGGCCCGACUUAUUGGCAAUAACUCCUAGGUCGGUAAUGAACUCCUUCAUUUAGAUUGCUUCAUGCGCUGCCUCCGAGGCUGCCAUGUACUCCGCUUCACAUGUAGAUCCCUCCACGACGCUUUGCUUGCAACUGCACCAGCUUACUGCCCCACCAUUCAAAAUAUACACGUAUCCGGUUUGUGACUUGGAGUCAUCCACAUCUGUGUCAAAGCUAGCAUCGACGUAACCCUUUACGACGAGCUCUUCGUCACCUCCAUAAAUGAGAAACAUAUCCUUAGUCCUUUUCAGGUACUUCAGGAUAUUCUUGACCGCUAUCCAGUGUUCCAUGCCGGGAUUACUUUGGUACCUCCCUACCAAACUUACGGCAAGGUUUACCUAAGGUCUGGUACACAACAUGGCAUACAUAAUAGACCCUAUGGACGAGGCAUAGGGGAUGACACUCAUCUUUUCUCUAUCUUCUGCCGAGGUCAGGCAUUGAGCUAUGCUCAAUUUCUCACCUUGCAAAACAGGCAAGAACCCUUUCUUGGACUGAUCCAUAUUGUACUUAUUCAAUAUCUUAUCAAGGUAUGUGCUUUGUGAAAGACCGAUGAGGCGUCUCAAUCUAUCUCUAUAGAUCUUGGUAUGUGCCUUUAUGCUAUCCAAAAGGUCUACAUCAUUCCCCAUCAAUAGUAUGCCAUCCACAUAUAAUAUGAAAAAUGCUACAGAGCUCCCACUCACAAUCUUGUAAAUCCAAGCUUCUCCAUAAGUCUGCACAAACCCAAACGCUUUGAUUAUUUCAUGAAAGCGAAUGUUCCAACUCCGAGAUGUUGCACCAGCCCAUAGACGGAGCGUUGGAGCUUGCACACAUUGUUAGCAUUUUUAGGAUCAACAAAACCUUCCGGCUGCAUCAUAUACAAUUCUUCCUUGAGGAAACCGUUAAGGAAUGCCGUUUUCACGUCCAUUUGCCAUAUCUCAUAAUCAUAGAAUGCGGCAAUUGCUAACAAGAUUCGGACGGACUUCAGCUUCGCUAAGGGUGAGAAGGUCUCAUCGUAGUCAACCCCUUGAACUUGUCAGUAACCCUUAGCGACAAGUCGAGCUUUAUAGAUGGUAACAUUACCAUCCACGUCGGUCUUCUUCUUAAAGAUCCAUUUAUUUUCUAUCGCUCGCCGAUCAUCGGGCAAGUCUAUCAAAGUCCAUACUUUGUUUUCAUACAUGGAUCCUAUCUCGGAUUGCAUGGCUUCAAGCGAUUUGUUGGAACCUGGGCCCGCCAUCGCUUCUUCAUAGUUCGAAGGUUCACCGUUGUCUAACAACAUGAUUUCCAGGACAGGGUUGCCAUACCAUUCUGGUGUGGAACGUGUCCUUGUGGACCUACGAAGUUCAGUAGCAACUUGAUCCGAAGUACCUUGAUCAUCAUCAUUAACUUCCUCUCUAGUCGGUGCAGCCACCACAGAAACAUCUUCCUGAGCUGCGCUACUUUCCGGUUCAAGAGGCAGUACUUCAUCAAGUUCUACUUUCCUCCCACUUACUUCUUUCGAGAGAAACUCUUUCUCCAGAAAGGACCCGUUCUUGGCAACAAAGAUCUUGCCUUCGGAUCUGGGGUAUAAGGUAUACCCAAUGGUUUCCUUAGGGUAUCCUAUGAAGACGCAUUUUUUCCGACUUGGGUUCGAUCUUUUCAGGUUGAAGUUUCUUGACAUAAGCAUCGCAUCCCAAACCAUUAGAAACGAUAGCUUAUGUUUCUUCCCAAACUAUAAUUCAUACGGUGUCGUCUCAAAGGAUUUAGACGGUGCCCUAUUUAAAGUGAAUGUAGCUGUCUCUAAAGCGUAUCCCCAAAAUGAUUGCGGUAAAUCGGUAAGAGACACCAUAGAUCACACCAUAUCCAAUAGAGUGCGAUUACAAUGUUCGGACACACUGUUACGCUGAGGUGUUCCAGGCGGCGUGAGUUGUGAAACAAUUCCACAUUUCCUUAAGUGCGUACCAAACUCGUGACUCAAAUAUUCUCCCCUACGAUCUGAUCGUAAGAACUUUAUUUUUCUGUCACGUUGAUUCUCUCCCUCACUCUGAAAUUCCUUGAAAUUUUCAAAGGUUAGACUUGUGUUUCGUUAAUUAGACAUACCCAUACCUACUUAAGUCAUCAGUGAGGGUGAGAACAUAGCAUAGCCACCGCGAGCCUCAACGCUCAUUGAACCGCACACAUCAGUAUGUAUGGUUUCCAAUAAGUUGGUUGCUCGCUCCAUUGUUGCAGAGAAUGGAAUCUUGGUCAUUUUGCCCAUGAGGCAUGGUUCACACGUGUCAAAUGAUUCGUAAUCAAGAGACUCCAAAAGUCCAUCUGCAUGGAGAUUCUUCAUGCGUUUGACACCAAUGUGACCAAGGCGGCAGUGCCACAAGUAUGUGGGACUAUCAUUAUCAACCUUACAUCUUUUGGUAUUCACACUAUGAAUAUGUGUAACAUCACGUUCGAGAUUAAUUAAGAAUAAACCAUUGACCAGCGGGGCAUGACCAUAAAACAUAUCUCUCAUAUAAAUAGAAGAACCAUUAUUCUCGGAUUUAAAUGAGUAGCCAUCUCGCAUUGAACAAGAUCCAGAUACAAUGUUCAUGCUCAAAGCUGGCACUAAAUAACAAUUAUUGAGGUUUAAAACUAAUCCCGUAGGUAAAUGUAGAGGUAGUGUGCCAACGGCGAUCACAUCGACCUUGGAACCAUUCCCGACGCGCAUCGUCACCUCGUCCUUCGCCAGUCUCCACUUAUUCCGCAGCUCCUGUUUUUAGUUACAAAUACGAGCAACCACACCGGUAUCAAAUACCCAGGAGCUACUAUGAGUACUGGUAAGGUACACAUCAAUUACAUGUAUAUCACAUAUACCUUUGGUGUUGCCGGCCUUCUUGUCCGCUAAGUACUUGGGGCAGUUCCGCUUCCAGUGACCGUUUCCCUUGCAAUAAAAGCACUCAGUCUUAGGUUUGGGUCCAUGCUUUGGCUUCUUCCGGGCAACUGGCUUACCGGGCAUGGAAACUCCCUUGCCGUCCUUCUUGAAGUUCUUAUUUCCCUUGCCUUUCUUGAAACUUGUGGUUUUAGUGACCAUCAACACUUGAUGUUCCUUUUUGAUCUCCACCUCCACUGGUUUCAGCAUUGAAAAAACCCCAGGAAUGGUUUUCACCAUCCCCUGCAUAUUGUAAUUCAUCACAAAGCUCUUGUAGCUAGGUGGGAGCGACUGAAGGAUUCUGUCAAUGACCGCGUCAUCCAGGAGAUUAACUCCCAGCUGAGACAAACGGUUAUGCAACCCAGACAUUUUGCGUAUGUGCUCGCUAACAGAACCAUUCUCCUCCAUUUUACAACUGUAGAACUUGUCGAAGACUUCAUAUGUCUCGACCCGGGCAUGAGCUUGGAAAACCAUUUUCAGCUCUUGGAACAUCUCAUAAGCUCUGUGCUGCUCAAAACGCUUUUGGAGCCCCGGUUCUAAGCUGUAAAGCAUGCCGCACUGAACCAGGGAGUAAUCAUCACUACGCGACUGCCAGGCGUUCAUAACGUCUUGAGUUGCUGGGAAAACGGGUGCUUCACCUAGCGGCGCAUCUAGGACAUAUGCUUUCUUGCCAGCUAUGAGGAUGAUCCUCAAGUUCCGGACCCAGUCCGUGUAGUUGCUACCAUCGUCUUUCAGCUUGGUUUUCUCUAGGAACGCGUUGAAGUUGAGGGCAACAUUAGCGUGGGCCAUUUGAUCUACAAGACAUAUUGCAUAGAUUUUUAGACUAAGUUCAUGAUAAUUAAGUUCAUCUAAUCAAAUUAUUUAAUGAACUCCCACUCAGAUAGAAAUCCCUCUAGUCAUCUAAGUGAUACAUGAUCCGAGUCAACUAGGCUGUGUCCGAUCAUCACGUGAUACGGACUAGUCAUCAUCGGUGAACAUCUUCAUGUUGAUCGUAUCUACUAUACGACUCAUGUUCGACCUUUCGGUCUCUUGUGUUCCGAGGCCAUGUCUGUACAUGCUAGGCUCGUCAACUCAACCUAAGUGUUUUUGCAUGUGUAAAUCUGGCUUACACCCGUUGUAUGCGAAUGUUAGAAUCUAUCACACCGAUCAUCACGUGGUGCUUCGAAACAACGAACUUUCACAACGGUGCAUAGUUAGGGGGGACACUUUCUUCAAAUUUUAUGAGGGAUCAUCUUAUUUAUGCUACCGUCGUUCUAAGCAAAUAAGAUGCAAAAACAUGAUAAACAUCACAUGCAAUCAAAUAGUGACAUGAUAUGGCCAAUAUCAUUUUGCUCCUUUUGAUCUCCAUCUUCGGGGCGCCACGAUCAUCAUCGUCACCUGCAUGACACCAUGAUCUCCAUCAUCAUGUCUUCAUGAGGUUGUCUCGCCAACUAUUACUUCUACUAUUAUGGCUAAUGGCUUAGCAAUAAAGUAAAGUAAUUACAUGGCCUUAUUCAAUGACACGCGGGUCAUACAAUAAAUUAAGACAACUCCUAUGGCUCCUGCCGGUUGUCAUACUCAUCGACAUGCAAGUCGUGAUUCCUAUUACAAGAACAUGAUCAAUCUCAUACAUCACAUAUAUUUCAUUCAUCACAUCCUUUUGGCCAUAUCACAUCACACGGCAUAUGCUGCAAGAACAAGUUAGACGUCUUCUAAUUGUUGUUGCAAGUUUUUACGUGGCUGCUAUAGGUUUCUAACAAGAACAUUUCUUACCUAUGCCAAAACCACAACGUGAUAUGCCAAUUGCUAUUUACCCUUCAUAAGGACCCUUUUCAUCAAAUCCGAUUCGACUAAAGUGGGAGAGACAGACACCCGCUAGCCACCUUAUGCAACUAGUGCAUGUCAGUCGGUGGAACCUAUCUCACGUAAGUGUACGUGUAAGGUCGGUCCGGGCCGCUUCAUCCCACGAUGCCGCCGAAUCAAGAUAAGACUAGUAGUGGCAAGUAAAUUGACAAAAUCGACGCCCACAACAACUUGUGUUCUACUCGUGCAUAGAAACUACGCAUAGACCUAGCUCAUGAUGCCACUAUUGGGGAUCGUUGCAGAAAUAAAAAAAUUCUACGCAUCACCAAGAUCAAUCUAUGGAGAAACUAGCAACGAGAGAGAGUGGAGUUCAUCUUCAUACCCUUGAAGAUCAUGAAAUGGAAGCGUUGCAAGAACGCGGAUGAAGGAGUCGUACUCAUAGCAAUUCAGAUCGCGGUGGAUUCCGAUCUAAGCGCCGAACAACGGCACCUCCCCGUUCAACACACGUGCAGCCCGGUGACGUCUCCCGCGCCUUGAUCCAGCAAGGAGGAGGGAGAGGUUGAGGAAGACAGCUCCAACAGCAGCACGACGGCGUGGUGGUGGUGGAGCAACAGUUCUCCGGCAGGGCUUCGCCAAGCUCAAACGGAGGAGGAGAGGUGUUGGAGAGGUGGAGGGCUGCGCCUUGGAUGUGGUGCGGCUGCCCUCCCUCCUCCCCUCUAUUUAUAGGGUGAAGGGGGAAGGGGGCCGGCCCCUCUAGAUGAGAUCUAGAGGGCGGGCAGCGGCCAAGGGGAGGGGGCUUGCCCCCCAAGCAAAGGGGGCGCCCCCUUUAGGGUUCCCCCCAACCCUAUGCUCAUGGACCCUUGGGGGUGGCGCUCAGCCCACUUAGGGUCUGGUUCCCUUCUACAUACAGCCCAUAGGGCCCUCCGGGGCAGGUGGACCCUCCCGGUGGACUCCCGGAACCCCUCCGGUGGUCCCGGUACAAUACGGGUAAACCUUCGAAUACUCCGGUGACCGUAUGAUGACUUCCCAUAUAUAAAUCUUCACCUCUGAACCAUUCCGGAACUCCUCAUGACGUCCUGGAUCUCAUCCGGGACUUCGAACAACAUUCGGUAAUCACGUACAAAUCUUCCCUAUAAACCUAGCAUCAUCGAACCUUAAGUGUGUAGACCAUACGGGUUCGGGAAUCAUGCAGACAUGACCGAGACAGCUCUCCGGCCAAUAACCAACAGCUGGAUCUGGAUACCCAUGUUGGCUCCCAAAUGCUCCAUGAUGAUCUCAUCGGAUGAGCCACAAUGUCGAGGAUUUAAGCAAUCCCGUAUGCAAUUCCCUUUGUUAAUCGGUACGUUACUUACCCGAGAUUCGAUCGUCGGUAUCCCAAUACCUCGUUCAAUCUUGUUACCGUCAAGUCACUUUACUCGUUGCGUAAUGCAUGAUCCCGUGACUAACUACUUAGUAACAUUGAGCUCAUUAUGAUGAUGCAUUACCGAGUGGGCCCAAAGAUACCUCUCCGUCAUACGGAGUGACAAAUCCCAGUCUCGAUUCGUGCCAACCCAAGAAACACUUUUGGAGAUACCUGUAGUGCACGUUUAUAGUCCCAGUUACGUUGCGACGUUUGGUACACCCAAAGCACUGCUACGGUAUCCGGGAGUUACACAAUCUCAUGGUCUAAGGAAAUGAUACUUGACAUUAGAAAAGCUUUAGCAAACGAACUACACGAUCUUGUGCUAUGCUUAGGAUUUGGUCUUGUCCAUCACUUCAUUCUCCUAAUGAUGUGAUCCCGUUAUCAAUGACAUCCAAUGUCCAUAGUCAGGAAACCAUGACCAUCUGUUGAUCAACGAGCUAGUCAACUAGAGGCUCACUAGGGACAUGUUGUGGUCUAUGUAUUCACACAUGUAUUAUGGUUUCCAGUUAAUACAAUUAUUGCACGAACAGCAGACAAUUAUCAUGAACAAGGAAAUAUAAUAAUAACCAUUUUAUUAUUGCCUCUAGGGCAUAUUUCCAACAAGCACCAGGUUCGGGCCUCUAUAUGGAGGUAAUGCCCUACUUCCUGCUUGAUUGAUCUUGAUGAAUAUGAGUAUUACAAGAGUUGAUCUACCACAAGAUCGUAAUGGCUAAACCCUAGAAGUCUAGCUUGUAUGAUUGUCAUGAUCCUUUAUCGACUAGCCUGGCCUUGGCCUAUAUAAUACACCAGAGGCCUGGGGUAACAAGAGUCCUAGACGAAUACGUUGGUCGAGAGGAGUCCUUGUCUUGAUCACCAAGUCUUGUGGAAUACUGCUUGUAUGCGGCAUGGGCUGCCCAAAGUGGCCCAUGUGUGAACUGCCAUGGGGGUCCUCGGCCCAAUCCACCUGGUCGGGAGACGAUGUGGUGAGUACCCCCUAGUCCAGGACACCAUCAGUAGCCCCCUGAACCGGUCUUCAAGUUGGGGACGCUCCUUGAUCCUUCCGAACUGUUCUUCAUCUUCGGUCAUCGGUCUUGAAAACUGGUUCAACAAAUCUUCUCGUCUUCGAUCUUGAGGAUCGCCGAAAUGAAUCCGAAGGGUUUACACAUCGGGUAUCCAAGGAGCCCCUUUAAGAUCUCGACCUUUAUCAAUGCCUUAGGAUUAUUUUUUACGCCACACCUCGGGUUUGAAGUUGUUCCUGUGCGGCGGUGUCCUCUUGCAUCCGAGCUCCAACACCGGACUGCAUUCGAGAUAUCUUUUGCAGCCGAGUACCAACACCGGACUAUAUCCGAGCCCCAACGCCGGACUAUAUCCGAGGUGUCAUAGAUCGCAUUGGCUUGAAAAAGUUUGAAGGAGGUUAUCCGAGUUUAACGCUGAAAAGUUCUCUAGAGAACGAGCCAUUUGAAUCCGGGCUUUAUGCCGGACCACUUCCGAGCUCCAACGAUGGUCAGCGCCCGAGGUGUCGUAAAAUACCUCGGUCUUUUAAAAGAUGCCGAGCUAAAUGUCAGAAAUGCCCUCUAUGGAGCCAGCCACUGGCGCCCAAACAUUAUGCCGGACUACUUCCGAGGUGGUGCACCACCCCGACCGCGGGCUGAUUUUUGUGAAUAUUUUUUAUUGGUGCAAUUUACUCUCUGCCGAGAUAUAUAGCUAGUAUAUGUAUAUCCAGUAGCCCUCAAGGUGUGUGUCAGUCUAAACCCGAGGUGCACCUGAAGGAAAACAUAAAACUGCUGAUCCUGGUAGGCCCUGACACUCAGGUCGAUUUGCAAAAUCGGCCUGAGGAUCAACUCCUAACUCGGCAGGAUACGUAGAAAUAGAAACACAGUGUAAUAUAUUAGAGAUAAUAGUGAUCGGCGAACGGGCCCUUGACAGAGGGUCUUGAGAAGUUGCCGCAAUAUAUUAGCUUGACGCCAUAUAGGUCCAGAUGGUACCUAUUGUUGUCUGAAGACGCGUUUGCCCAUAGUUCGGUCAAGCCGAACACUAAGCACUUUGAAGUUUCUGCAUUGAAUAGGCAACGAAGUAACCCCCGAGACACGGGUCAGGUGGCAACACCAGAUCAGGGAAACGAUGUGCCCCUUUAAUAUUUAUAAAUAAUGAGCGUGAAGCCCAGUAGCCCCAGAGCCUUAAUGUGGGCACGGGAGGCCGAAUUAAGAAUCGAUAUCCGUGUGACAGAAAUUUUGUUCUGUUUAACACAAACUUCUCGAAAAGUGAAUAAAGAUCUCUUAAAGGAGCUAGAACCAGCGUGCUCGCCAAGGUUGGUCCCAAGGUCCUUUGCAUUGAACACAUAAACACUGUUAAGAUCUUUGGGUUUUAUAUUUCUGUUGUGAUCGAACAAAGAUUAAACUUUUCCAGGAGAAUCAUGGGAGCCUUCCGCAAAUCAAACUGUUGAGUUGGUCACGUGGAAUAUCAUAUUGACAUUUAAUAAUCAAACACCAGCAUGUUUGUAUUUUUGGUUGGGCCUAUCGAUCCAAACCCAUGAUACAUAUGUACGAGCAAUCAAAAUGAUCAAAAUUAAGCUAGCAUAUUGAGAGUAUAUAGAAAUGUCCACAGGCAGUUUUGUACCCUACUGUGACAUGUGAAGAUUACACGAGGCAUCAAGAUCCAAAUACACCAUAAUAGUAUAUGUUAUUUCUUCAACAACUACUACUUUGCUAUAAUUGUAUUUUUCAAAUUAGUGUAAAAAGGGACACGACAUGUCAUAAUGUGACAUGCUGAUUGCCAUAAAUAGUUAGAUCACUAUUUUGUGUGAUACAAAGCUAUGGUUGUAUGCACGAAAUGACAUUAUUUGUUUCGGCCCACACAAUGAACAUAUAAUGAGGAUUAUAUAUUUGCGCCAAUAAUAAUUGUGUUUUCGCAUAAUUUGGUGACAAAAAUAUUAGUAGUGAAUCAGAACUCCCUGUGAAUGCCUUUAGCCCUCCUGUAGUUUCCAUCAUUUCAUUACUCUCCUGUUCUUGUUACUAUUAUUUUAGCACACCUUAAUUCUUGUUCACAAACUCUUGCAAUAUUUUCACUUUCACACCUCUUUGAUCAGGAGUUAAAAUAUUUGCAUGCACUAUCUGAUAAACCUCUAGUAGAGGCAAAAGACUAUUUCUUAAUUUUUCUUUCGGGUCAAGACUAUUACUUCAAAAUGGCUACAACUAUAUUGUGUGCACUUGCAUGAUAUCAGAAAAAACAUAUUGAUUGGAAUGCACUAAUUUAAGAAUAAAUUUUUGGAGCAUGUUUACCAAAAGCUUGGUUAUCAUCUUGAUGGAGCAAUUCAGAAAGGAAAUAGGUCUGAAAUCAUUAUCCUAAAUUGCGGAGCCAUUUUUGGAAUUAGAGUAAUUAAAGAAGAGUCAAUGCUCUAAAUAUUGAUUGAACCAUGGUAAAACUCCUCAAACAAUGCACAGAAAUCAGGGGCAAUAGUCUCCUAACAAACUUUAACAAAAUCUGAAUUAAGACCAUCUAGGCCUGGGGAUUCGUGAGAGGGCAAAUUCCUGACUGCUUUAACAAUUUCCUCUUUAGUGAAAGUUUUCUCUGAAAAAAGUAGACCAUCAUUUCUCGUAAGCAAAGAAUCCGAAUUCAUAAGGUUGAAAGUUGGGACAGUAUAGCCAAGUCUUUGCUUGAAAGAUCUACCAAAGAAAGCAGCCUUGGCAUGAUGUUCGGAGUGCCCAUGCCUCUGCUUAUCUCUUAAUAUAGCAAUGUGAUUAUUUCUGAAUAAUUGAUGCCUUUGCAUGAUUUUGUUUUACUUUGCUUCCCCCAAAGGUACCCAUAUAAUAGUGUCUCUUUGUUUCGAGUAGAUUUGCUGGUGUGGGAGAAGCUGAAGGAGAUGAUUUUCGAGGAUUUGUCUGAUUGUUCCACUUAUGAAUUGCAAGAUUUCUAAGUUCUUCAAUAGUGUCAUAGAAUUAAUCACUGAGUUUGGUAGCUUUGAUAGUGGUAGAGAGAUUAGAAAUUAUUUUGGAACACAGUUUUAAACCUUUUCUUGGUCUUUUGAAAUUUGCAUUUACUCUUUUGGAACUAUCAUGUUUGUGAAUUUGUUGGUCCCAAAUAGUAUUAAAAGUAUCUUUAAAGUCUGGGUGUUGCAACCAGUAAAUUUCAAACCUGAAAAUAGAGGACUCCAGAAUAGAUGUACCAAUCCAAAUGAAACAAGGGAUGUGGUAAAAAAAAUAGGUCUGCCCUGAGGAAUAGCCAUAGUGUUUGGAUAAUUAAUAGUCUAGGAUUUAGAGGAGAAUACCCAAUCAAGCUUUUCCAAGAGAGGAGCACUCUGCAUAUUGCUCAAAGUAAACAUUCUGCCUCCAAGGGGAAUUUCAAUAAGAGCAAGGGAAUUGAUGGCUUCAUUUAAAGAAAACAUGGCAUGUGCACUACCGUCUUCUCUAUUUUUUGUUCUUAGGGCAGAUGACAUAAUUGAAAUCUCCAACCACCAACUAAGCCUGAUAAACUGGCAUGCACAUUUUGGAAUCAGUCAAUGAAAGUAGUUAAGUUUUUGACUUGAUAGGGUCCAUAUGUAUUGGUUUGAAUCCAAGACUCACCUAAGUGUAUUGAGGUGAACCUGUUGGAUAUAGGAAAUUCAUUAUGAACGCAACUUCAUUCUGAGCUACAAAGAAACCACUAGAGGCCCUAGAGAGGGCAUAAUUAAAAUUUGCUAAAUAUUUUUGGACCAUAUAGAAGACAAGGUUUCGAUAACAAAUACACGACUUGAUCUUAUGGUAUAUGAUAUUGUACACAAAGCAUAUAUGAUAAGCACUCUGUCUGCAUACUAUUUCUUCCAAAAGAAAGUUCCACAGGUAUCAUAAGGUAACAAGACAUAACCGCCUUGCUAUUCUAUGAUCUACCUAGGACUUCUCUUUGGAAAAUGACAAGGCGCUCCUUUAUUUUUGCAUCCUUAGAGCGAGCACACAACAAUCCAUAACAUAUGUAAACAUCUUACUUUGGGAGCACAACCUUAUGGAUAGACCUCAAUGACAGCUCGAGCUCCCAACUUCUUCACAAUCUUAUAGCCACUGAACCCCGCCUUGACGAAGAUCUCACCCCAGUCCUUCUCAUCGCGCUGUUGGCCUCUUGUCACCACUAGCAUGACCAUAUCCAUGAGGUGUUGGGUUUCCAGCAUUGGCCCUGAAACAGAUCCAAGCACAAUGUCUAUGACGAUGACUUUUCCUCCUGCAUCCCGGGGAGGAACAGCCUUCUUGCAUUGUGCCAGGAUCUUGACGCAAUCCUCGUCGCUCCAGAAGUGCAGUACAAGCUACAUUACCAUGCAUGGAUAAACUUGUAGUUUAAGGUUAAUCAAGCCUGACUAGGAUGAAAUAUGAAGGGAUUUUAUUAUUUUAAGCUGUUAUUAUUUCAGAAAUGAAAACUAAUUAAGCAUUGCUUGAAUAUUUCAAUUUUGCUAAGUCUUAGUGGACUAAGACUUUGUUAUGUAUCGAUCGAUGUUAUAUUCAUUUGAUCUUGCAUGGAGAUUCAUAUAAAAAAAUUAUUUUCAGUUUUUUUUUACUUUUAUAUACUCCAUCCGUCCGGAAAUACUUGUCAUCGAAAUGAAUAAAAGGGGAUGUAUCUAGACGUAUGUCUAGAUACAUUCCUUUUAUGUAUUUCCGGACGGAGGGAGUACUAUAUUACUUGACUGAGACUUUAAGUCUCAAUCGACUAAGACCUAAUCACACCCUUAAUAUUUCACUUGGAAUAAAAAUUAUGGAAUGUGCAACAUUCAUAUCAUAUAUACCUUGAGCAACACGGCUUGAGCAGGUGGGACAACGUGGAACAGGUCACCGGAAACAUACUUAACUGCUCCUUCUUCAGCGGGAAGAACUUUGUCCAUGACCUUUGGAAGGUCCAACACAGUGCACGUGAUGUGAGGGUAGGCCUCGACGAUGGACCUCGCGGUAGUCCCAUCGCCACCGCCGCAGUCAGUGAGAGACUCAAGCCCAUCGAACAGCUCACGGCACUGCCGGAGCACGGGGCCGAUCCCCAUGUGGUCGUGGGCAGCGAGGGCGUCGUGGAGCAGCUGAUCCAUCUCCGGGUCCAGGAGCACCAUGCUCUCCUCGAAGAUGGCCGCGCCAUGCACGUCCUCGAACGGCGAGGGAACGGCUCCAUCGAAGUCCUUCCUGAACCAGUCCGCCAGCCCCAUGGCCGCCUCCACGUAGUAGCGCGAGGCCGCGGCGCGCACGAGGGCCGUCUGGCUAGCGUCGCCGUCGAUGCGGACGCCGUCUACCAGGAGGUACGAGAGCGGGUUGAGGCGGUACGUUCCGGCGUCGGUUGCACUGAAGACGCCCGCCGUGGCGAGUUGGCGCAGCAGGCGGGCGAGGAAGGGCAGCUUGGACGUGGGGAGGGAUAGGGCGGCGACGAGUUCGGAUGGGGACGCGGCGCCGCCGAGGCGGUGAAUGGCAGUGGGGACGCCAAGGUCGACGGCGCACCGGAGCGCCAUAGGCGUGAGGUAGCAGAGGGUGUGGCGCCACAGGUCCGACUGCGCCUGGAGCAGCUCCGUGUCGGUGGGGACAAACACCUUCUCUGCCUGGCCUGCCAUUGCCGAUGAUCUCUAUCUCUCAGUGCUGUACGUGUUGUGCACUUCGAUCUGGUAGAUAUAUAGGGGACGGAGGACACUCUCAUAUAAUAUAGCAAUGUUUGCUGUCAUUUCUCGUGGAACACGAGGGUGAUGACCACGACACUAUAUCGCUAUCGACGGGCCAGGGUAGCGUAUCGAUACAGCGCAGAAAGAAAACUCAAGACUGCUCGCUGUGGCUGGAAAUGGAAUGGAGGCACAUGCGGCUUUGAGAUAGACAGACCGACUGUACACACAUUCCUUUCGUGAAUUCGAAUCGAAUCGAUAAACCUAAAUACUUCAUGGUACACGCACACGAUUUUGCUGAACCGAGCGGGCGUGCUUGGACCGCUCAUUGCGAACGCAUCAUUUGGCCCACGACCGUCAGGUGUUUCCUGGUCGGGGCGAGACGUGGUUAGCUUAUGCGCUAUCCGACAAAACCGGUGUGACACCCUUACUUUCUCUCCUGAAAAAACAAAGGCUUAUCCUUAUCAUCUUUUCAUCGUCUUUAACGUAUCCGGCCAAUAAGCAGUGUGCCCCGGCCGGAGGCCAAGCCAAGGCGGCCAACCGGAGAAACCUGGAGAGCAGGUCAGCCAAGGAGCCGGAAAAGCAGUGCCGCAACCUCCUCCGGCGAGGCAUGAAACCAGACAAAAUUCUCCCAAACAGGUCGGACCGCAGCGGCGCGGUCAUGUUUGCCUUGGACGCACCCCCAUGGUGUUGCUGCCGCUGCUGGUGGAGCUGUGCAAGUUCAUUGGUGUGCACACGCUGCUGCUCAUGGAGUCAUGGUGCCCGGCAUCAUUGGAGCUCAGCUCUUGUACCUACUGCCCGCCGAAUCGCCAGGCAACGUCGUCCUAUUCAGAGCUUACCGACAUGGUGCUCACCUGAAUUCUAAUAAAAAAUUCUAGUUCCUGCAUGGCUGCACAACCUUUAGUCUUGGUUGAUUAUCACGAGUGCUUUUUUGCCUGAGUAGAUUAUCCAAUAGUUAUAGUUGCACAUAUAAUAGUCUUUAGUAGUAUAUAUGAUUUAGAAAGUUGCACAACACGAUCAUACUAAGUUGGCUAGAUGAUGUUUUUGCUUAAAUUGAUCUAUUCUUGUUAGUCGUAUUUUUAGUUGGCAUCCAUGGCACGAUAAUAUAAUAUAGCAAUGUGUUUGCUGUCAUUUCUCGUGGAACGCGAGGGUGACGACCUUGACACUAUAUCGCUAUCGACGGUCCGGGGUAGCGUAUCGAUAGAGCGGACAAAGAAGACUCAAGACUGCUCGUUGUGGCUGCAAACGGAAAGGAGGCACGCGCGUCUUCGAGACAGACUGAUCGACUGUACACACGUUCCAUUCGUGGAUCCGAAUCAAAUCGAUAAACCUAAAUACUUCAUGGUGCACGCGCAUGAUUUUGCUUAACUGAGCGGCCGCGCUUGGACCGCUCAUUGCGAGCGCAUCGUGGGGCCCACGACGGCCAGGUGUUUCCUAGUCGGGGCGAGACGUGGUUGGCUCGAGCGCUAUCCGACAAACCCGGUAUGACACCCUUACUUCCUCUCCUGAAAAAACAAAGGCUUAUCCGUAUCAUCUUUUCAUCGUCUCCCUCGAAUCUGGCGAGGAAGCAGUGUGCCCCAGUCGAAGGCCAUGCCGAGGCGGCCAACCAGAGAAACCUGGAGAGCAGGUUAGCCAAGGAGCCAGACCAGCAGUGCUGCCACCUCCUCCGCCCUCUUUUUAUGAGCUGGAGCCGGAGCCGCCAUGGAACUCAGGCGAGAGGGCCACCCUACGCCCCGCUACUCCUUCCUCCCAUGGUGUUGCUGCCGCUGCUGGUGGAGCUGUGCAAGUCCAUUGGUGUGCACGCGCUGCUGCUCAUGGUGUCAUGGUGCCCGGCAUCAUUGGCGCUCAGCUCUCGCACCUACUGCCCGCCGAAUCGCCAUGCAAUGUCGUCCUGUUCAGAGCUUACGGACAUGGUGCUCACCUGAAUACUAAUAAAAAAAUUUAGUUCCUGCACAGCUGCACAACCUUCAGUCUUGGUUGAUUAUCACGAGUGCUUUUUUGCCUGAGUAGAUUAUCCAAUAGUUUUAGUUGCACAUAUAAUAGUCUAUAGUUGUAUAUAUGAUUUAGAAAGUUGCACAACACGAUGAUACUAAGUUGGCUAGAUGAUGUUUUUGCAUAAAUUGAUCUAUUUUUGUCGGUCAUAUUUUUAGUUGGCAUCCAUGACAUUAUAAUAUAAUAUAGCAAUGUGUUUGCUGUCAUUUCUCGUGGAACGCGAGGGUAACGACCAUUACACUAUAUCGCUAUCGACGGGCCGGGGUAGCUUGUCGAUAGAGCGCAUAAAGAAGACUCAAGACUGCUCGAUGUUGCUGGAAACAGAAAGGAGGCACGUGCGGCUUCAAGAUAGACCGACCGACUGUACACGGAUUCCAUUCGUGGAUCCGAAUCGAAUCGAUAAACCUAAAUACUUCUUGAUGCACGCGCAUGAUUUUGCUGAACCGAUCGGCCACGCUUGGACCACUCAUUUCGAGCGCAUCGUGCGGCCCACGGCCACCAGGUGUUUCCUGGUCGGGGCGAGACGUGGUUGGCUCAUGCGCUAUCCGACAAAGCCGAUGUGAACCAAUCGCUCCCUUACUUCCUCUCCUAAAAAACAAAGGCUUAUCCUUAUCAUCUUUUCAUCGCCUCCAUCGAAUCCGUGCGAGGAAGCAGUGUGUCUCUGCCGGAGGCCAAGCCGAGGCGGCCAACCGGAGAAACCGGGAGAACAGGUCAGCCAAGGAGCCGGACCAGCAGUGCCGCCACCUCCUCCGCCCUCCUUCUAUGAGCUGGAGCCGGAGCCGCCAUGGAACUCACGCCUGAGGGCCACCCUACGCCCCGCUACUCGUCCCGGCGAGGCAUGAAGCCAGACAAAAUUCUCGUAAACCGGUGGGACGGCAGCGGCGCGGUCGUGUUUGCCUUGGAUGCACCCCAUGGUGUUCCUGCUGCUUCUGGUGGAGUUGUGCAAGUUCAUUGGUGUGCACACGCUGCUGCUCAUGGAAUCAUGGUACCCGGCAACAUUGGUGCUCAACUCUUGUACCUACUGCACGUCGAAUCGCCAGGCAACAUCGUCUUGUUCAGAGCUGACGGACAAGGUGCUCACCUGAAUGCUAAUAAAUUUUUUAGUUCCUGCACAGCUGCAAAACCUUCAAUCUUGGUUGAUUAUCACGAGUGCUUAUUUGCCUGAGUAAAUUAUCCAAUAGUUGUAGUUGCACAUAUAAUAGUCUGUUGUUGUAUAUAUGAUUUAAAAAGUUGCACAACAUGAUGAUACUAAGUUGGCUAGAUGACGUUUUUGCUUAAAUUGAUCUAUUCUUGUCAGUCAUAUUUUUAGUUGGCAUCCAUGACACGAUAAUAUAAUAUAGCAAUGUGUUUGCUGUCAUUUCGCGUGGAACGCGAGGGUGACGACCUUGACACUAUAUCGCUAUCGACGGGCCGGGGUAGCGUAUCGAUAGAGCGCAUAAAGAAGACUCAAGACUGCUCGCUGCGGCUGGAAACGGAAAGGAGGCACACGCGUCUUCGAGACAGACUGACCGACUGUACACACGUUCCAUUCGUGGAUUCGAAUCAAAUCGAUAAACCUAAAUACUUCAUGGUGCACGCGCACGAUUUUGCUAAACCGAGCGGCCGCGCUUGGACCGCUCAUUGCGAGCGCAUCGUGGGGCCCACGACGGCCAGGUGUUUCCUGGUCGGGGCGAGACGUGGUUGGGUCGAGCGCUAUCCAACAAACCCGGUGUGACACCCUUACUUUCUCUCCUGAAAUAACAAAGGCUUAUCCGUAUCAUCUUUUCAUCAUCUCCGUCCAAUCCGGCGAGGAAGCAGUGUGCCCCAGUCGGAGGCCAUGCCGACGCAGCCAACCAGAGAAAUCUCGAGAGCAGGUUAGCCAAGGAGCCAGACUAGCAGUGCUGCCACCUCCUCCGCCCUCUUUUUAUGAGCUGGAGCCGGAGCCGCCAUGGAACUCAGGCGAGAGGGCCACCCUACGCCCCGCUACUCCUUCCUCCCAUGGUGUUGCUGCCGCUGCUGGUGGAGUUGUGCAAGUCCAUUGGUGUGCACGCGCUGCUGCUCAUGGUGUCAUGGUGCCCGGCAUCAUUGGCGCUCAGCUCUUGUACCUACUGCCCGCCGAAUCGCCAUGCAAUGUCGUCCUGUUCAGAGCUUACGGACAUGGUGCUCACCUGAAUGCUAAUAAAAAAAAAUUAGUUCAUGCACGGCUGCACAACCUUCGAAGGGGAGCCUUGGCGCAGUGGUAAAGCUGCUGCCUUGUGACCAUGAGGUCACGGGUUCAAGUCCGGGAAACAGCCUCUUGCAGAAAUGUAGGGAAAGGCUGCGUACAAUAGACCCAAAGUGGUCGGACCCUUCCCCAGACCCUGCGCAAGCGGGAGCUACAUGCACUGGGGCUGCCCCUUUUUUUAUGGCUGCACAACCUUCAGUCUUGGUUGAUUAUCACGAGUGCUUUUUUGCCUGAGUAGAUUAUCCAAUAGUUGUAGUUGCACAUAUAAUAGUCUGUAGUUGUAUAUAUGAUGUAGAAAGUUGCACAACACGAUGAUACUAAGUUGGCUAGAUGAUGUUUUUGCAUAAAUUGAUCUAUGUUUGUCGGUCGUAUUUUUAGUUGGCAUCCAUGACAUUAUAAUAUAAUAUAGCAAUGUAUUUUCUGUCAUUUCUCGUGGAACGUGAGGGUAAGACCAUUAGACUAUAUCACUAUCGACGGGCCGGGGUAGUGUAUCGAUAGAGCGCAUAAAGAAGACUCAAGACUGCUCGCAGUUGCUGGAAACAGAAAGAAGGCACGUGCGGCUUCGAGAUAGACUGACCGACUGUACACGCAUUCAAUUCGUGGAUUCGAAAUCAAUGGAUAAACCUAAAUACUUCAUGGUGCAGGCGCAUGAUUUUGCUGAACCGAUCGGCCGCGCUUGGUCCACUCAUUGCGAGCGCAUCGUGUGGCCCACGGCCACCAGGUGUUUCCUGGCCGGGGCAGACGUGGUUGGCUCAUGCGUUAUCCGACAAAGCCGAUGUGAACAGAUCGCUCCCUUACUUCCUCUCCUAAAAAACAAAGGCUUAUCCUUAUCAUCUUUUCAUCGCCUCCAUCGAAUCCGUGCGAGGAAGCAGUGUGUCUCUGCCGGAGGCCAAGCCAAGGCGGCCAACCGGAGAAACCUGGAGAACAGGUCAGCCAAGGAGCCGGACCAGCAGUGCCGCCACCUCCUCCGCCCUCCUUCUAUGGGCAUGAGCCGGAGCCGCCAUGGAACUCACGCCUGAGGGCCACCCUACGCCCCGCUACUCGUCCCGGCGAGGCAUGAAGCGAGACAAAAUUCUCCCAAACCGGUCGGACCGCAGCGGCGCGGUCGUGUUUGCCUUGGACGCACCCCAUGGUGUUGCUGCCGCUGCUGGUGGAGCUGUGCAAGUUCAUUGUUGUGCACACGCUGCUGCUCAUGGAGUCAUGGUACCCGGCAACAUUGGUGCUCAAGUCUUGUACCUACUGCACGCCGAAUCGCCAGGCAACGUCGUCUUGUUCAGAGCUGACGGACAAGGUGGUCACCUGAAUGCUAAUAAUUUUUUUAGUUCCUGCACAGCUGCAAAACCUUCAAUCUUGGUUGAUUAUCACGAGUGCUUAUUUGCCUGAGUAGAUUAUCCAAUAGUUGUAGCUGCACAUAUAAUAGUUUGUAGUUGUAUAUAUGAUUUAUAAAGUCGCACAACACGAUGAUACUAAGUUGGCUAGAUGAUGUUUUUUCUUAAAUUGAUCUAUUCUUGUCAGUCAUAUUUUUAGUUGGCAUCCAUGACACGAUAAUAUAAUAUAGCAAUGUGUUUGCUGUCAUUUCUUGUGGAACGCGAGGGUGACGACCUUGACACUAUAUCGCUAUCGACGGGCCGAGGUAGCGUAUCGAUAGAGCGCAUAAAGAAGACUCAAGACUGCUCGUUGCGGCUGGAAACGGAAAGGAGGCACAUGCGGCUUCGAGAUAGACCGACCGACUGUGCACGCGUUCCAUUCGUGGAUUCAAAUCGAAUCGAUAAACCUAAAUACUUCAUGGUGCACGCGCACAAUUUUGCUGAACCGAGCGGCCGCGCGUGGAUCGCUCAUUGCGAGCGCAUCGUGCGGCCCACGACCGCCAGGUGUUUCCUAGUCGGGGCGAGACGUGGUUGGCUCUUGCGCUAUCCGAACGGUGUGAACCAAUCGCUCCCUUAAUUUCUCACCUGAAAAAACAAAGGCUUGUCCUUAUCAUCUUUUCAUCGUCUCCAUCGAAUCCGGCGAGGAAGCAUGUUAGGAAUAAGCCACGCAUGAGUAUGUGCUCGUGUGUGUGAUCUAUGUGCAUGGGUGUGACCGUGUACAUGCAAGAUUCUGUUAGUGCAUGCCCUGAUUAGUUAGCUAGUUUGUUGGCUUGGCCAGGUCGCCGGACGAGCGUGUAUGUGAGCGUACGUUUCGGUGAAAGAGUUAGCUAGCUAGGUAGGCGAUCCGUUGGGUUCGGCCGUGGCGUGCGUGUCGUGGGAGCGCACGGCCGGGCAUGCAGAUCCUGCGGGCGAGGUGGGCUGUGCGUCGUGCGCCAGCCCGGGUAUAAAUUCUAUAGACGCGGGAUAGUUGUAAUGAACUGAGUUGAGCACCAUGUAGACAUUGCAAAAGGAAGAAAGAUUCGCGCGUUCGUGCACCGGUCCGAGAAACUUGUGUCCACUGCGUUCAUCUCCUUCCUUCUUUCUUGUUCAAGCGAGUGAGUUGAGAGGGAGAGGUAGUUCGGGGUUUGUCCCAACAUUUGGUAUCAUGAGCUGGUUCAUCUUGGGCGUCGUUCUUCUUGCCAGAGGUGUGCCGGCGGUGGCGGAGUUCGCCGCGGUUGCGUGAUGCUCCAGGCCGUGGGUCGGCCUAUGGAGGAGUGCGGCGCGGCGAGGAGGCCACGGUGACUGCGGCGGCAUGGUGAGGAGGCCGACGAGGACCUGCGUGGUGGCGGCUUCAACGAGGACGACGGCGCGGCGAGUGCGUUGCGGCGGCUCGGCGCGACAACGAUGGAGGCGCGUGGCACGGAGCCGCAGCGCUCGUGUCGGAUGCGUCAGGCGCGUGUAUGGGCGCGCGCCGGGCGUGUCAGGCGCGGCGGGACCGUGGUGUAGGGUGGCCGUUGGCGAGCGGGGGUGUGCGCAUCGCGGGCUCGCCGCGCCUAGAUGUGUGCGUGCAUGUCGGAGGGGGCGCGGGCAGAGCGGACGGGACGGGCGCUCGACGUAGGCUGGGACGUGGGUGCGUGCCCGGCGCGUCCCUGCAUAUAAAACCCCACCCGUGUACAUUGUAAUGGCAGUGCCCGGAGUCGAGUUCGAGCUCGAGGGAAUCAAGGUCGUUGGUGUACCAGGAAGAGAAGCUGCGGCGUGUGUCGCCGGAGAUGAAGAAAGCGUUCUCCAUGGCAGUCGACAAGAGGCCGGAGUCCUGUCAGGAUGGGCGGCGAGGUCGUGGCUUAGAUGGGAGAAUGUUAGGAAUAAGUCAGGCAUGAGUAUGUGCUCGUGUGUGUGAUCUAUGUGCAUGGGUGUGACCGUGUGCAUGCAAGAUUCUGUUAGCGCAUGCCCUGAUUAGUUAGCUAGUUUGUUGUCUUGGACGGGUCGCCGGAGGAGCGUGUAUGGGAGCGUACGUUUCGGUGAAAGAGUUAGCUAGCUAGGUAGGCGAUCCGUUGGGAUCGGCCGUGGCGUGCGUGUCGUGGGAGCGCACGGCCGGGCAUGCGGAUCCUGCGGGCGAGGUGGGCUGUGCGUGGUGCACCAGCCCGGGUAUAAAUUAUGUAAAUGCGGGAUAGUUGUAAUGCACUGAGUUAUGCACCAUGUAGACAUUGCAAAGAGAAGAAAGAUUCGGGCGUUCGUGCGCCGGUCUGAGAAACUUGUGUCCACUGUGUUCAUCCCCUUCCUUCUUUUUUGUUCGAGCGAGUGAGUUGAGAGGGAGAGGUAGUUCAGGGUUUGUCCCAACAAAGCAGUGUGCCCCGGCCGGAGGCCAAGCCGAGGCGGCCAACCGGAGAAACCUGGAGAGCGGGUCAGCCAAGCAGCCGGACCAGCAAUGCCGCCACCUCCUCCGCCCUCUUUCUAUGAGCUGGAGCCGGAGCCGUCUGAGGGCCACCCUACGCCCCGCUACUCCUCCCGGCGAGGCAUGAAGCCAGAAAAAAUUCUCCCAAACCGGUCGGACCGUAGCGGCGCGGUCGUGUUUGCCUUGGACGCACCCCCAUGGUGUUGCUGCCGCUGCUGGUGGAGCUGUGCAAGUCCAUUGAUGUGCACACGCUACUGCUCAUGGAGUGCUGGUGCCCGGCAUCUUUGGCAUUCAGCUCUUGUACCUACUGCCCGCCGAAUCGCCAGGCAACAUCAUCCUGUUCAGAAAAAAAUUUAGUUCCUGCACGGCUGCAUAACCUCCUGUUGGGUUGAUUAUCACAAGUGCGUUUUUGCCUGAGUAGAUUAUUCAAUGGUUGUAGUUGCACAUAUUAUAGUCUGUAGUUGUAUAUAUAUGAUCUAGAAAGUUGCACAACACGAUGAUAUUAAGUUGGCUAGAUGAUGUUUUUGCUUAAAUUGAUCUAUUUUUGUUAGUCAUAUUUUUAUUUGGCAUCCAUGACACUAUAAUAUAAUAUAGCAAUGUGUUUAACGUUCCAUUCAUGGAUUCGAAUUGAAUUGACCGACCGUACAUGUGUUCCAUUCGUGGAUUCACAUUGAAUUGAUAAAAGACCGAGUUUAACGUUUUCACGUACGCUACGCUACGCCGUCCUUGAUCGGAAGGAAAGGAAAGGUCUUCCUUCCUUUCACGUUGCUCCACGUGAACGUUCUCCGCGUCACGUUUUUCAUCAUCAAACAAACCAACCAAAACGUGUUUUAACGUUUUCCUUGGUUUCGUCAUCAAACAAUGAAAUCGGUGCACGCCAGCCCCUCACCAGCGGGAGGGCCUCGAGUCCCCGCGGCCGCUGGUGACGGCAAGGCUUCUCCCUGCCACACCCUCAGACAGCAGCAAGGAAGGAGGAAGAGGAGAAGGGGAGGCUAGGCGACGGGAUCUGGGAGCCUCCCGGCUGCCACACGAGGGCGACUCGGGAGGGCGCUGUGGCUAGGCGACGGGAUCUCCUUUCUUCUGGAUAGUUUUGAAGAUGAUAUAGAAGAUUAUGUGUGUCGGGAGUGUCGUGUCAUGUCAUGCCAAACAUUCAGAGCUGCAUGGCGCUCCAACGUCGUCGACGAGGCUCUGUAUGCCUGCCAUCCACGGACGAGCUCCUCACGGCUCUCGCCUCAUCUUCGUCUUCGUCUUCAUCUGAUCGACAAAACCUUUGAAAGGCCACACCUUUCGUAUUUUCUCCAAGUCGUUCCCAGAUCUUCUCUUCCCGACGACCGGGCCCAGGCAUGAACGACAAGCUUGCCGUACGGCCGGGCCAGUGUGCUCUCUCGUCUCUAGUCUGUUGUUCUGUGCCGGGACACCAGCGCUGAGGAAGCAUGCAACUAAUCAAGGCGAUCUCUUUGGACCACACCCGCAACUGAUCACGAGGUCCAAGAGUGGCCAUCGUCCCUGCCGACCAGGGCCGGUCCUAAGAUUUUGGGGGCCUUGGGCGAAACUAUAACCAAGGGCCUCUUAAUAUAAAUAUCAAAAUAAUAAUUAAUAUAUGUCUAUAUCAAAUGUUGGGCGCCUUCUCCACUAUUAUUUCCCUUUCUUUGUUAAUUAUUAAGAUAUCCCCAUUUUUGGAUCAUAGAUAUCCAUAAAAAAUUCUUUUGUGUCUAAACUAGCAUAUUCUAUACAAGAUGAAUUAAAUAUGUGCUCAUAAUCACUUACAUUGUUUUCAUCUGUUGGCUGCCGUUCUGCCCUUGUCUUCUGGAUUAAGGCUAGUAGCCCGGUCAAAACAAAUGUCAUGGCUGGAUUUCUUCAACUCCUCAUAUUACUCUUAGAAAAAACAAAUAAUAAGUGUCACGUGUGUGGCACUUAUAAGGGUCCACAAAAAAUUAUCAGUGUAUCCUCGCUGUAACUAUAUUAGUUCAUUGUCUCAUUCUUUUUUUUUCUUUCCUCACCAGAUGCAUAUGCUUUAGACGGCAUGCCGUGCUAAAAUUUACAGAAUCAGAAAAAAAAUAUAGAAACUAACUCAUAGUUACAAAGGUGUUAAAUCAAUUCAAUCAAAUCUUACCUAACAUCAGUUUAUCAAAGCGAACUCACAAGUUCCAAAUCCCAAUACCAUCUCUUUCUGAAGUGAGUAUGUUGGGGUUGGGUUGUAGUCUAGAUCCUUCACGUACGUGUAUCACAUGAUCUUUAGAUUGGUGAUUUGUUAGAGCUGCAGGAGAAGUCGGAGUCCAUGAGGAGUUCCGGGAGGGGAGGAGAGGGGAGGAGGGAGAGNNNNNNNNNNNNNNNNNNNNNNNNNNNNNNNNNNNNNNNNNNNNNNNNNNNNNNNNNNNNNNNNNNNNNNNNNNNNNNNNNNNNNNNNNNNNNNNNNNNNNNNNNNNNNNNNNNNNNNNNNNNNNNNNNNNNNNNNNNNNNNNNNNNNNNNNNNNNNNNNNNNNNNNNNNNNNNNNNNNNNNNNNNNNNNNNNNNNNNNNNNNNNNNNNNNNNNNNNNNNNNNNNNNNNNNNNNNNNNNNNNNNNNNNNNNNNNNNNNNNNNNNNNNNNNNNNNNNNNNNNNNNNNNNNNNNNNNNNNNNNNNNNNNNNNNNNNNNNNNNNNACCAUAUGCCAUGCCGUGCCGCGGUCCAACGCUUACUCGCCGUGUCACACCUAAGCAAAGCGCCCAAGCAAGAGCUAUACUGGAUUCAUCCUCCAUCGGGAUGGGCUAAGCUCAACAUAGAUGGUAUUCAUGCCCCUUCGACCGGAGAGGCUGGAGGGGCAUGGUUCUACACGAUGAGAGAGGCGACAUCAUCUAUAUUGGUUGUAGAAAAAUUCUUACAUGCGAUAAUGACCUUGGGGCAGAGCUAGCUGCAUGCAGAGAGGGCUUGAAGCUAGCUCUACACCGGUCGAACCUGCCCAUUAUGAUCGAGCUUGACUAUGCCGAAGGAGUGUCUAUGUUGCUAGCACAAACUGAAGCUAGAACACAUCACCGGUUACUCGUAUGGACCCUGCACUGCAGUGUGGGUGUGCUCGGGGCAAGACUUUGUUGUAAACCUUUCUAAGGCUGACAAGCCUCCUUGAGUAAUGAAAUCUCUCUUUACACCGCAAAAACAAAAACAAAAACUUCAAGAAAGGAAAAGGUGUGUCCGUGCAUGUUUUGAUGUGUAGGCAUAUUAAACUAUGUACUAGUCCUCAUCAGCGCAAGAUUGAUGGAUCCGGUCGUCAGAUCUGUGGGAACGAGUGGGAUCAACCACUUCGCUGCAACCAAGACGAGUCCUAUUAACUUACCCUAAAUUGCAAGAUAAUAAGUGAUUGAACCACUCAUUAAUGCCCCGGUCUUUGGUCUCCUGCAUGCAGUACCAUAUCCAGCCAAUCCCUGGCCUUUUGGAGUAAAGGGGUGUUUGUUUACAUGGACUUAUUAGUGUAGGGACUUAAAAAAAUCCCUUUUAGUCCCAUCUGAAACAAACAAGAGGGACUUAUAGAGACUUAAAGUGGACAUUUGGGACUUAUGAAACAAGAUCAUGAGGGAGAGUCUUUUUGGGACUUUUAGUUGUAAUAUGGUCUUUUAGUCAAUGUUUAGUCCCAGAAACCAAAUAUGUAAGGACUUUUUAGGGACUAACGACUUUUUAAUUGGGACUAAAACAAGUUCUAUUACUUAUGAACCAAACAGGGCCUAAAGUCUGUUGAUCCAUGCAGCAUGCAGUAUUGCCUGAGUAAAAUGCUCUGGUAAUCUGCCUAAUUUAAUGCAUGCCGAUUAAUUUUACGGGAAUAUCUGAGAUUCAUGACCCACUCGGAGGGAGUGGUAUAGUCCAGUCAUUAAGGCUAAAACAAUACAUCUUGACCAGCCGUCGGAUCGGCGCAGACGGCUGGGAUCAGUCGGAGAUGGGGAUCAAUCCCUGGUAGGCGGUGACGGGCCAAUCGCAAGCAAGCAGCAAAAUUUCUUUUCUAUUCCUUAGAUUUAGACUAGUAAGUGUGCACGUGUAAAUGCACGUCUCGACUAAUAUGACAAACAUAUGUAUGAAUUAACAUACACAUAAAGAUAUUUUGAUUGCACUCAAAAGACUACUACAAAUCAAGAAACACUUUAGGUCAAGUUUGGCAACAUAGUUUUCUCAAAACAAUAGUAAUCGAAAACCUCAGUAUUCAAUUGCCUAGGCAAUGAAUUCUUCAGUUUUUAAAAAUCACAGUUUUUUCAGUUUAUAAAAAAUUGGUCAAGACCUCUUUCUUAAAUACUACCAAAAAAACCAUGGUACUGGAGAUACUACGGUUUAUAAAGCUAUGAUAUUUGUUGAAGCCAAAAACCUCAACGUUUUGAAAACUUUGGUUUAUGAGAAAGCGGUGGUAUUCUCCAAAUACUUCAAAAAAACUGAGCAGCCAAAUGCAGCCUUAAUGUAUGACCAACUGGUCAUAUGCAUUGAGCCAAAAAAUUAUCCCAGUAUUUCCUAGUAAGGCUAGUGAAUUCUCGUAAACAUGCGGAAUGUUGUUUGCGGCUUCAUUGUUGAUGUAGUUGAGUAGCUGCACCAAAAAUUGCUUCCUUAUCUGGUCACCAUCCUGAAUGAAAAUAGUAAGUCAAUACUGAUCCUGCAAAUUGGUUGAUUUAGUUCUUUCGCAUCCCAUGAGUGCAAUAAAUUAAAAGCAAAAUAACCAGACAAGUUCCUGUAGAUAAAUGCAUUACCAUUAUCUUGAGUGUUAGAAAAACUAAAUAAGAUGCUUUAGUGGGUUUCAUAGGUAGUCACCUGUCUGUGCUUUCUGGAACACAAGCUAGUAAUCGACCAUGGAAAAAUAAACAUCAUUCCAUUUGGGAUUUUCUACUUGGAGUGCUUGGUUUAGGUAAAAUGAGAUGCACAUCCUUCAAAGAUGGAACUCGGCGGGCAUCAACUCUCUUGCGCAUCAUAGUAAACAAAAGCAAGAAACUUAAGGACGAGAGAAGAAAAGAAAGUAAAAUUCAGACAAGUUGAAUUAAUUUGGAAAGGCUAAUGCAUUAGAUUAAUACUAUAAAUACCAUAUACCAAGCAUCAUGCUGAAACCAUAGUGAGUACUUACAACAGUUCUUGUAAUAAUUGAGUACUUACAACAUCUUAACAUUAGAACAUUGUACGCAAUAUCUCAUUAAUGUUCGAAUCAGUAUAAGGGAAUAGAAAUCACAUCCAAUCCCAUAAAAUAUUACAUUUGCUAAGUGCAAUGUCUAAACUGACCGCAACAUAUGAUUAUUCAAGAGGGACAUCACUUUACUAAAUGAAAAUUGUAAAUGAUACAAAAAAAUAAGUAUCACAAAUAUGAAUGGAACUCAACAACAAAACCAAUGAAGCAAAAGCAAAGACUGCUUAUGAGCUAGUUCAUUUAGAUUGAAACUGAUGAGCUAGUUCAUUUAUUAGCUAGUUCCUUGCAUGAGAUGUAUUCUCUUGAGAAACAUGACACCUUAAAAAAACACAGGGCACCUUAUAUUGAACUCAACAACAAAAGCUUGUGUUCUACUAAGUGCCUGUAGAGUUGUCCAUUAACCUGAACAUCAUCAACCUAACUUGGAAAAAUAAAAAUGUUAAUGUCAGAGUUCAUACUUCCAUUUCAUCUUGUGCCUCCUUUCUAUUUCUCUACCAUUGGGUACUCGAGCUUGAAGCUGAUUCUACCUCCAACCUUUACUAGGACAAAACAUAAGACCAUCUCAUUGUCGGAAUUACAACAGUGCUCAAUUCAACAACUAAUUUCUCAGAUUCAUUACUCUAGUAAUUGUUUGUUUGCUCCUAAACUGAUAGUACUCCCAGUUUACAUGUUUUGUCUGUAUGUGUUUUGGCUUUUUCAAACUUGAUUGGUGCUCAUGGUGUUACCAAAUUACCAAUAAGCACCAGCUGCAAUCAAGAAUAGUACACCACCUCUCCACUUAAUCCACAACACAGUCCUACAGAAUGAAGUUAAUUUUUUUCCUCUACUAAUGUAUACAGGAAGCAAAAAAUUCAGUUUCAGUCAUGAAUGUAGUACAAGCUUUUUUCAGGUUCAAACAACAUUGUAGUGGAAGCUUUUUUCAGGUUCAGACAAAUUCGUAAAAUAAUAAUAGGGAAGAAGAAAGUACAACAACUGGUUGUAAUCAUUUGUAACACCGCUUCCAAUGGAGGUUUAACACGUGGUUCACCGACCUUUGGACCGCACAAAAUGAACAAUGUGCUUACAACACUACAGAGCUAGUAACGACUAAAAGAUUUCCUGCAUUGAACAAAGCAAAGUAUCCUCUACAAAAAGGGAUUUGUAAACCAUUGCUACAACAUAUGAUAUUCUUUCCUUUGAAAAUUGUUGUUCGUCGUAAUAUCAAAUUACCAAAAAGAUUAUAGGUGCAACCAAUAGUGCGUACAUUACAAUUCCACAAUCUCCAUUUCACCUACUCGAGCAGACAAUAUUUUCACAAUGACCAGUGUAAACUUUUAGCUCUGUCACAAUAACCAUAAAUGUUUACUAUCCCUGAAGGAAUUUUCGCACAAGAUCGACCCAUUAAAUUUUUGGAGGGUGUGUGUGUGUGUGUGUGUGUGUGUGUGUGUGUGUGUGUGUGAGGGGAGGAUGGGGGCAGGGGGAGUUUGUAGUAAUGCAACCUGUAGCAUUCUGAACAGGAGUCGACACGACAUGCGAAUCCUGGAUGUCCAGGCUGCCUAGCCCAGCCGCUUCCGCCUUGUUGCGAGGCAGGUAAGCCAGUAACCUGCCGGCUGCUCUACUUCCACUGCUGCUGCCGGCGCCAGUUUUAGGUGGUGAGGUGGAAGACCGAAUGAGGAGGGCAGUGAAGGAACUACAGUGAGAUUUUAACAUCAUAAAAUUCUUUAGGAGAUUUAUGUACUCCAAAUAUUCUGAAAUUUGUACACCAGCCAGUAUGCACUCGCUAGCUAGCAACUGAAUUGAUAUAGCAGAUAAUAUUCCCCAUAGUGCACAAAACAAUUGAAGCAGAUGAACAAGCAGAAAUGAAUAUUCAGAUAGGACCAUGCUUACAUAAUGGCUACCUUCCAGAUGGAGAAGUUGAGGAGGAGGAUAGGCACCAUCAUAUCGGCCGCUGCCACCGCCGAAUGUCCCCAUAUCCUCCUCUUCCUACUGUCACUGUUCAUUUGCUCGUCCAGCGCUUGCGUGCAGCUUCUGGCAGCAAGAAGCACCAAAGAACUUUAAAUACCUUACCAUAUUUUUAUAAAUGGCAUCCCUAAAAUCAAAAGGUUGGAACUUCAAAGGAAAAGAUCACAGCAACAAACUAUGGAUUAUGUUGUUGCAAACUUGCAACUGCAGGAAAAUUUACCUUUUUCUGUACAUAAAUACCUUAUAACCUUUUCUAUUAACAGAUGCUGUAGAGAUGCUGUUACUUAAACAAAAAUGCAGGAAAAUAUCAUAUGAAAUCAUCGAUCUGGAUCCUUUUUUAAAUACAACAACGGAUCCAUGUAAGAAGAAUUAAACCUAAAAACCAGAGUACUGCAUACAAACUAUGAGCUAGCUUACUUUUUGCAUGGCUAACAACUUGAAAAUCUUGCAACAGAUGUAACAAUAAAAAAAUCUAUUAGACAUGAUUUUGAAAAAUCUUGUAACUGGCAUGUCAAACGUAUAGGGUAAUAUCAGAAGUCCAGGUGCUAGUCACAUGAACCUGCACCAUGUAGGUAAUUAUCCAGAACAAAAAUAACCUAUUGUUGAACUUGUCACAAACCAUGGAAGAAAUCACAUCAAGUCAGUAUAACGAUUAUCCCUCGUCAGAUAAAAAGUUGCUGGAAUAUUUUUUUAUCGACAAUAAUAGUACAGUUCAUAACAAAUAAAUCAAGAUCGAGCUCGAGCCUAUAUUCAGAAUCAGACCAAAAAACUUAGAUAAUUUAAUUUAGGAUCUGAAAGAGGGGGGAGAGCUUAAUGGGUGGUUGUGCUCCCGAUCUAGCGGAAGAGUAUGAAGUAGGCGCUACAGACCACUAGCAUACGGGAGCCAUCAAUCAACUGUCUCGAGGUCGAGCAGUGGCAGGGAGCAGACGUCCAUGUAGUGAAGCCUGCGGAUGGUAUACCGCAUCAGCGCGUGCUUGAGCAAAGGGAAGAAGGGGCGGAUGGUAGAGUGUACCAACGGGGAGGAGGCCCUAUGGAAGGAGACAGAGACAGGAAGACCCGCUUCACGCCGCCACCUCCUUCGAUCCGUGUUGGUCGUCGAAGCUUGGUUGGUUGUUGCCCGGGGGCCGUGGGCUAUGGCGGCUCGAUGAAGAUGAAAGAACGGUGUACGACGGUGCAAGUGGGAGGGAAGAGGAUGGGCGCGAGGUGGUAAAUGACUGGCGGUCGGAAGGGGAAGAGGGGGCAGCGAGAUCUCCGUCAUGGUCGUGGGCGACGGGCGUUGGCUUGGUUUCUUCCAAGGGAGGCGCCGGAGAGGGAGGCCGCGGGGCAUGCUCCGGCAGUUGGGCGGUGGAGGCAAUUGGGUGGGCUCAGAGAAAAUAGUGGGGGAUGGGCGCGGGGGCGGUGGAGGCACGGGCGGGGUUAGUGUGAUUUCUUUUUUCUUUUCUUUGAAGUGUUUGUGCGGGUUAGUGCGGUUGCUAAAACAUGUGUUUGAUCUAAAACGCAUUUGAUGAGCGAUCUGGAACCUACAAAAAUCAAUAGACGGAUGAGAUGUUGUUUUGUUCGGUGAAGGAGAGGAACGAUUCAUUCCUUCCCUCGCCGCCCCGUCUCCCUCGCACGCCGCCGGCCAUGGCCUCCGCCCUCUCCCUCUCACCCUCACUCGCCGCCGGCCACCGCCCUCUCCUACUCUCAUCCCCUCCCCUCUUCACAAGAUAAGAUAAGAGAAGAGAAGAGGGAGAUAGAGAGAGCGGGCAGUUCAGGCGGCGGCCCAGAUACGCCGCGGCCGCCCAGGGCCUCGACGGAAGUAGGCUCAAUCGCUCGCUCGUGCGCCAGGACAGGACCUCGGACGGCUCGGCCCUGCGCGAGGAUGGCUAAUUUUUUUAACAUAAUACAUUUUUCUAACUAAUUUGCAUAAAUAUUACGCCGAUAUUUUUAUUUUUAAAAAUGAUACACCAUCGGCCCGCUGCAGGCCGACUGAGCCUAGUCGGCGCACCGCAGACCGAUUGUCUUCCAGUCGACCCGCAGCAAGCCGACUGGGACUAAUUGGCUUGCUGCGAACCAAUUAGUCCAGUCGGCUUGCUGCCGGCCGACUGGAAGCCAAUCGGCCUGUGGUGGGCUGAUUAGGUGCAUGUGGCCAUUUUUUUUUUCUGUUUUUGGUUUUAGUUGUUGUUUUCUAUUUAUUCUAGCUAUCAAAUGAAUCUAGUUUGUGUUGAAACUUUUUGCAUAAAUUACUAGCAAUAUUAACAAGCCACAUAUAAAUUUUCAUAUUUUUUGGAAAACCAAAUUUUUACAAUUGUAUUUAGCUCCUGGUGAAUAUAGAUCGGGUUUAAAUUUAUCUAUCCAAAUUGAUUUUUUUUUAUUUUUAUAGAAGUUAAAAUAUCAAGGAGAAUAAUUUAAUUUUUUUGUGAAACAAUUUGAGAAUACAUUUUUAGCUUAUGAAACAAUUUGAAACAAUAUGAAACAUUUUUUGUGAAAUAAUUUGAGGAAAAUUCUUUUUUGGCUUAUGAAACAAUUUGAGAAUACUUUUUUGGCUUAUGAAACAAUUUGUGAAUUUUCCUCAAAUUGUUUCAGAAAAAUUGUUUCAAAUUGUUUCAUAAGCCAAAAAAAAUUCCUCAAAUUGUUUCACAAAAAUGUUUAAACCAUUCUCCUCAAUAUUUUAACAUUUAUAAAAAUCAAAAAAAUUAAUUUGGAUAAAUUAAUUUAAAUCCUAUCUGUUUCACCAGGAGCUAUCAAAUGUAAAUAUGUGGUUUUCCAAAAAUUAUGAAAAUUUGUAUGUGGCUUGUUAAUAUUGCUAGUAAUUUAUGCAAAAAGUUUCAACACAAACCAGAUUCAUUUGAUUGCUAGAAUAAAUAGAAAACGACAACUAAAACCAAAAACAGAAAAAGAAAAAUGGUCAUAUGCACCUAGUCGGCCCACAGCAUGCCGAUUGGCCUCUAGUCGGCCCGCAGCAAGCCGACUGGGACUAAUUGGCUUGCUGCGAACCAAUUAAUCCCAGUUGGCUUGCUGCGGGCCGACUGGAGGCCAAUCGGCCAACGGUGGGCCGACUAGGCUCAGUCGGCCUGCAGCGGGCCGAUGGUGUAUUAUUUUUGAAAAUAAAAAUAUCAGCGUAAUAUUUAUACUAAUUAAAUAAGUAAAUGUAUUAUAUUAUUUUAAAAAAACUAGCGCGAGGAUGCGGCCGUCUGCUCGUCCGUGCGGUUCCGCUUUUGCCUGCUCUGUGCCCACGCCAUGGAGAUGGAGCUUCCUCUGUUUGCUCCCCUCUCUCGCCCACCUUGGAUCUGCUCUUAUCCCCUCCCGUUCCAUCAUUUGGUUCCCUGCUCACGCAGGCACGCGUCCGACACCACCAGCAUUGAACCCUAGCCGGCAUUGUUUGGCUGGGAGAAGCAGCUCCCCUCCUCGUCGGCUACCCCUGCCUGCCCCUCCGCUCUGCUCUCUCGUGUGCCCACGAUGGCCUUCUUGUUCCUAAUUUUGAUUUGGACACCGUAUACACAUGAUGAGGAUUAGGCAUGUGUAAUGGGGAUUGGGAUGCAGAUUCCAUAUCUGCAAGUGUAAUGACUAGAAACUGAUCAAGUUCCUCCUGAGUUCAGAUCCCAAUUUGCUUGCUGCAUUACACUAAAUGGCUGUGUGAAAACUGAAACUUUGAUCACAUAUAUAAUUUUGUCUGGUCAAUGGUUAGUGCACCCCCUCCUCCAAUUUGUCUAGAUCAGGCUUAUGUGUUAUCUUCAUUACAUCCUCUACUAGCAAAACGAUCCAAGUGAAAAAUUAACAAUUUCCUGCGAGAUUGUCAAGCGUGGGCAUCCUUUUGUAUUUAUAGUCUCCAAAAGUUAUAGAUAGGAGGCACAUGGUGUUUCGAAAUAUUACAUGCAUUGCCUACUGCUUGGUGCCUAUAUUUACAGCUUCUUCCUGCGUCUGCUGACUCUAUUUCUUUCAUGCCCUGUUGUUGUUCUUCCAGGGAGACCGUUACUGUGAUUUCCCUGUGCUCGUUUGGAGGAGGCGUUCAUUCCUUUUAAGCCCCCACUACUAGGAAAAACAUUAUACACAGAAACUUACUAGUAGCGCGGGCUAAAAAAAAGCGCUACUAUAAUUUACCACUACCGCGUGUGAAAUAAUCGUGCUGCAGCUAAGUUUGUAGCAGUAGCGUGUCUUGCUAAAGAAGCGCUAUUACUACAAUUCCCCUACUGUUCUCGACAGGCUACCAUUAGUAGUAGCAUGCUUAGAAAAAGUGCGCUGCUGCUAAGACUAUUGUAGCAGCGUGUUUUACGCAGAAAACGCUACUGCUAAGGAAAGAAAAAUAAAAUGAAAAACAUAUAGAAAAGUAAAUGAAAAUGAAAGAAAUAGAAAAAUGGGAAGGAAAAAAAGAAAAUGUGAAUGAAAAUAAAUGAAAAAUAAAAAUAAGGGAGAAAGACGUAGCAGCAGCGGGCUUUUUGGACACGCGCUAUAGCUAUCUUAGCAGCAGCGCUUGUUGCCAUCCAGCCCUAUAGCUAACGUAGCAAUAGCGCUUUUUCUGUAACGCGCUACUGCUACUUUUGAAUUAACCACGCGUGGUUCUUCUUCCCCACGGCCAUUUCACCCAAAUCGAACUCGCGCGUCUGCUGUCGCAGCUGUCGUCGCCGGGCCGCCGCGCGCGGUCUCCCUUCGCCCUCCGCAUGCCGUCGACGCCGCCUCCGACCCCGACCUCGACACCCCCCUACAUCGCUGCCCUCCGGCGUGCGCCCGCCGCCCCGACCCCGACCGUCCCCGACCUCGACGCCGCGUGCCCCUCUCCCUAACUCCGCCGGCGCCCGAGGUGAGCACGCCCUCUUUUGGUGUCAAAACCGGCGGAUCUCGGGUAGGGUGUCCCGAACUGUGCGUCUAAGGUCGAUGGUAACAGGAGACAGGGGACACGAUGUUUACCCAAGUGAUACGUCUCCAACGUAUCUAUAAUUUUUUAUUGUUCCUACUAUUAUAUUACUUGUUUUGGAUGUUUAUGGGCUUUACUCUACACUUUUAUAUCAUUUUUAGGACUAACCUAUUAAUCGGAGGCCCAGCCCAAAUUGCUGUUUUUUUGCCUAUUUUAGUGUUUCGAAGGAAAGGAAUAUCAAACAGAGUCCAAACGGAAUGAAACCUUCGGGAGCGAUCGUUUUGGAACAAACGCAAUCCAUGAGACUCGGAGUGGACAUCAAGAAGCGAACGAGGCGGCCACGAGGGUGCCCGGCGCGCCCCCACCCUCGUGGGCCCCUUGAGCGUCCACCGACCUACUUCUUCCUCCUAUAUAUGUCCACGGACCCCGAAAACAUCCAGGAGCACCACGAAAAACUAUUUCCACCGCCACAACCUUCUGUAUCCGCGAGAUCCCAUCUUGGAGCCUUCGUCGGCGCUCCGCCAGAGGGGGAAUCGACCAUGGAGGGCCUCUCCAUCAUCACCAAGGUCUCUCCGAUGAGUUGUGAGUAGUUUACCACAGACCUUCGGGUCCAUAGUUAUUAGCUAGAUGGAAUUCUUCUUUCUUUUUGAUUCUCAAUACAAAGUUCUCCUUCCUCUUCUUGUAGAUCUAUUCGAUGUAACUCUUUUUGCGGUGUGUUUAUCGAGAUCUGAUGAAUUGUGGGUUUUUGAUCAAGUUUAUCUAUGAGAAAUAUUUGAAUCUCCUCUGAAUUUUUUUAUGUAUGAUUGGUUAUCUUUGCAAGUCUCUUCGAAUUAUCAGUUUGGUUUGGCCUACUAGAUUGAUCUUUCUUGCCAUGAGAGAAGUGCUUAGCUUUGGGUUCAAUCUUGCAGUGUCCUUUCCCAGUGACAGUAGGGGCAGCAAGGCACGUAUUGUAUUGUUGCCAUCGAGGAUAAAAAGAUGGGGUUUAUAUCAUAUUGCAUGAGUUUAUCCCUCUACAUCAUGUCAUCUUGCUUAAUACGUUACUUUGUUCUUAUGAACUUAAUACUCUAGAUGCAGGCAGGAGUCGGUUGAUGUGUGGAGUAAUAGUAGUAGAUGCAGAAUCGUUCGAUCUACUUGUUGCGCAUGUCAUGCCUAUAUACAUGAUCAUGCCUAGAUAAUCUCAUAACUAUGCACUUUUCUAUCAAUUGCUCGACAAUAAUUUGUUCACCCGCAGUAAUAAUUAUACUAUCUUGAGAGAAGCCCCUAGUGAAAUCUUUGGCCCCCGGGUCUAUCUUUUAUCAUAUAAGUUUUCCAUCUAAUUUUAUUUGCAUCUUUUAUUUUCCAAUCUAUAUCAUAAAAAUACCAAAAAUAUUUAUCUUAUCAUAUUAUCUCAAUCAGAUCUCACUUUCGCAAGUUACUGUGAAGGGAUUGACAACCCCUUUAUCGCGUUGGUUGCGAGGUUCUUGUUUGUUUGUGUAGGCGCGUGGGACUUGGAAAGGGUCUCCUACUGGAUUGAUACCUUGGUUCUAAAAAACUGAGGGAAAUACUUACACUACUUUGCUGCAUCACACUUUCCUCUUCAAGGGAAAAACCAACGCAUGCUCAAGAGGUAGCAAGAAGGAUUUCUGGCGCCGUUGCCGGGGAGGUAUUCGCUCAAGUCAAGACAUACCAAGUGUCCAUCACAAACUCAUCUCCCUCGCAUUACAUUAUUGACCAUUUGCCUCUUGCUUUCCUCUCCCCCACUUCACCCUUGCCAUUUUAUUCGCCCUCUCUUUUCCGUUCGCCUUCCAUUUGCCAUGGCCGAGUCAAAAAGAACUAAGGGUUCUCUCCCGAGUUAUAGUACUUUGGAUAGUCCCUCUGUCCUCUCUAAGCUCCUAAAUAAUGAUGCUAUGGAAAGGCCUACUGGGUUUACCAAUGAGAAUUUAAAUAAUUUUGAUGAAGAGGACUCCGGAAUUUUUUGUUAUUUACUUGAUGAGUCUUUAAGAGAUUCUUGGGAAAGGCUAUUAAGGAUUAGAGCUAGCUAUGUGCCACAAUAUCUAAUUGAGAUUUAUCUAAGAAGCUUUUAUGUUGGGUUACCACCUUCGUUUAAAUAGGUUUUAGAUUCUAUUUUUGAAGAAGGUUUUCUUGAAGGGGACGCUAUAGACACUUAUGAAAAAAUGAAAACUAUAUUUGGGCACCCCAUGAAUGAUAAGGUUGAAUCCACCACUCUCUUAUGCUUUUAUCAAAACGAAAUUAUUAGAGAUGAAAGCUAGCCUAGAUGCAAAUUUCCGUAACGUGCUUAAUCUUUCUUCCUCCAUUAAUGGCCAUGUGAUUCCUAAAAUAGAAGGAAAAUGCUAUAGAUAAGAAAUUUUCUCUUUUCUUUCCGAAUACCAAAGAUGCAAUACUUAGAUCUAUUCUCUCUUUUAAUGCCUAGCUAGGGGCGUUAAACGAUAGCGCUUGUUGGGAGGCAACCCAAUUUUAUUUUUGUUCCAUGCUUUUUUCCUGUUUAGUAAUAAAAAAUUAACCUAGCCUCUGGUUAGAUGUGGUUUUAUGUUUUAAUUAGUGUUUGUGCCAAGUAGAACCUAUAGGAUAACUUACGGUGAUAGUUAAUUUGAUUCUGCUGAAAAACAGAAAGUUUGCGCUCAUGAGAAAAAAUUCAAUAAAUCACAGAAACAUGCUUUUGCAUUGAAUCUUUUUGCUGUAGAUCAAUAGACAAAUUUCCUAGGACGUCCUAUUUUGGUAGGAUUUUUGGAGUUCUAGAAGUAUUCGAAAGUUACAGAUUGCUACAGACUGUUCUCUUUUUGAUAGAUUCUGUUUUUCGUGUGUUCUUUGCUUAUUUUGAUGAAUCUAUGGCUGGUAUCGGGGGUAUGACCGUAGAGAAGUUGUAAUACAGUAGGUUUAACACCAAUAUAAAUAAAGAAUGAGUUCAUUACAGUACCUUAUGCGGUGGUUUUUCUUUCUUGCACUAACGGAGCUUAUGAUAUUUCCUAUUGAGUUUUGUGUUGUGAAGUUUUCAAGUUUUGGGUAAAGAUUUUGAUGGACUAUGGAAUAUGGAGUGGAAAAAGCCUAAGCUUGGGGAUGCCCAUGGAACCCCAAGAUAUUCAAGGACAACCAAAAGCCAAAGCUUGGGGAUGCCCCGGAAGGCAUCCUCUCUUUCGUCUUCGUCUAUCGGUAACUUUACUUGGAGCUAUAUUUUUAUUUACCACAUGAUAUGUGUUUUGCUUGGAGCGCCUUGUAUGAUAUGAGUCUUUUCUUUUUAGUUUACCACAAUCAUCCUUGUUGUACACACCUUUUGGGAGAGACCCACAUGAUUUAGAAUUUAUUAGAAUACUCUAUGUGCUUCACUUAUAUCUUUUGAGCUAGAUAGUUUUGCUCUAUGUGCUUCACUUAUAUUUUCUAGAGCACGGCGGUGGCUUUAUUUUGAAGAAAUUGUUGAUUAAUACGUCCAUUUUGCAUCAUGCUUUUAUAUCAAUAUUUAUUGUAUUAUGGGCUGUUAUUACACAUUAUAUAUCAAUACUUAUGGCUAUUCUCUCUUAUUUUAUAAGGUUUACCAUGAAGAGGGGGAAUGCCGGCAGCUGGAAUUCUGGCUGGAAAAGGAGCAAACAUUGGAAACCUAUUCUGCACUGCUCGAAAAGACCUGAAACUCCACAAAACUUAUUUUUCGAAUUAAUAAGAAUUAUUGAGCGGAAGAAACACCUCAGGGGGCCCACACCCUGGCCAGGAGGGUGGGGGGCGCGCCCACCCGUACUGGGCGCGCCCCCUAUCUCCUAAGCCUCCUGGUGGCCCUCCUGUGUCCAUCUUCUGCUAUAUGAAGGCUUUUACCCUGAAAAAAAAAUCAUGGGCAAGCUUAUGGGACGAAACUCUGCCGCCACGAGGCGGAACCUUGGCGGAACCAAUCUAGAGCUCCGGCAGAGCUAUUCUGCCGGAGACACUUCCCUCCGGGAGGGGGAAAUCAUCACCAUCGUCAUCACCAACGAUCCUCCCAUCGGGAGAGGGUCAAUCUCCAUCAACAUCUUCACCAGCACCAUCUCCUCUCAAAUGCUAGUUCAUCUCUUGUAUCCAAUCUCAUAUCCAAAACCACAAAUUGCUACCUGUGGGUUGCUAGUAGUGUUGAUUACUCCUUGUAGUUGAUGCUUAUUGGUUUACUUGGUGGAAGAUCAUAUGUUCAGAUCCUUAAUGCAUAUUAUUACUCCUCUGAUUAUGAACACGAAUAUGCUUUGUGAGUAGUUACGUUUGUUCCUGAGGACAUGGGUGAAGUCUUGCUAUUAGUAGUCAUGUGAAUUUGGUAUUCGUUCGAUAUUUUGAUGAGAUGUAUGUUGUCUUUCCUCUAGUGGUGUUAUGUGAACGUCGACUAGAUGACACUUCACCAUUAUUUGGGCCUAGAGGAAGGCAUUUGGAAGUAAUAAGUAGAUGAUGGGUUGCUAGAGUGACAGAAGCUUAAACCCUAGUUUAUGCAUUGCUUCGUAAGGGGCUGAUUUGGAUCCAUAUGUUUAAUGCUGUGGUUAGGUUUACCUUAAUACUUCUUUUGUAGUUGCGGAUGCUUGCAAUAGGGGUUAAUCAUAAGUGGGAUGCUUGUCCAAGUAAGGGCAGUACCCAAGCACCGGUCCACCCACAUAUCAAAUUAUCAAAGUACCGAACGUGAAUCAAAUGAGCGUGAUGAAACUAGCUUGACGAUAAUUCCCAUGUGUCCUCGGGAGCGCUUUUCUCAUUAUAAUAAAUUAUCCAGGCUUGUCCUUUGCUACAAAAAGGAUUGGGCCACCUUGCUUCACUUUAUUUACUUUCAUUGCUUGUUACUCAUUACAAUUUAUCUUAUCACAAAACUAUCUAUCACCUACAAUUUCAGUGUUUGCAGAGAAAACCUUACUGAAAACUGCUUAUCAUUUCCUUCUGCUCCUCGUUGGGUUCGACACUCUUACUUAUCGAAAGGACUAUGAUAGAUCCCCUACACUUGUGGGUCAUCAAGACUCUUUUGUGGCACCGUUGCCGGGGAGUGUAGCGCUUUUGGUGAGUGGAACUUGGUAAGGAAACAUUGUUAUAGUGUGAUGACAUUUUCUAUUACUUGUCACUAUGGAAACUAAUCCUUUGAGGGGCUUGUUUGGGGCAUCUUCGCCCCGACCAGUAGAGCAAUGAGUUGCUCCUCAACCUACUGAACCUACUGAAAAUGUUUACUUUGAAAUUCCUUCGGGUAUGAUAGAGAAACUACUAGCUAAUCCUUUUGCAGGAGAUGGAACAUUGCAUCCCGAUUUACACCUUAUCUUUGUGGAUGAAGUUUGUGGAUUAUUUAAGCUUGCAGGUAUUCCCGAUGAUGUUGUCAAAAGGAAGGUCUUCCCUUUAUCUUUGAAGAGAGAUGCAUUGACAUGGUAUACGCUAUGUGAUGAUACGGGGUCUUGGAAUUAUACAUGAUUGAUGUUGGAAUUUCACCACAAGUUCUAUCCUAUGCAUCUUGUUCAUCGUGAUCGUAAUUACAUAUAUAAUUUCUGGCCUCGUGAAGGAGAAAGCAUCGCUCAAGCUUGGGGGAGGCUUAAGUCAAUGUUAUAUUCAUGCCCCAAUCAUGAGCUCUCUAGAGAAAUGAUUAUUCAAAAAAUUUAUGCUCGGCUUUCUCUCAAUGAUCGCACCAUGCUCGAUACUUCCUAUGCUGGUUCUUAUAUCAUGAAGACUAUUGAAUUCAAAUGGGACUUAUUGGAAAGAAUUAAACGCAACUCUGAAGAUUGGGGUUCCGACGAUGGUAAGGAGUCAGGUAUGACACCUAAGUUUGAUUGUGUUAAAUCUUUUAUGGAUACCGAUGCUUUUCGUGGAUUUAGCGCUAAAUAUGGACUUGACUCUGAGAUAGUAGCUUCUUUCUGUGAAUCUUUUGCUACUCACGUUGAUCUCCCUAAGGAGAAGUGGUUCAAAUAUAAUCCUCCCAUUGAAGUAAAAUUAGUUGCACCUGUUACAGUUGAAGAAAAGGCUAUUACUUAUAAUGAUCCUAUGGUUCCUACUACUUAUGUUGAGAAACCACCUUUUCCUGUUAGAAUGAAGGAUCAUGCUAAAGCUUCAACUGUUGUUCGUAAGAGUAAUACUAGGACUUAUACACCUCCUGAGCAAAUCAAAGUUGAACCUAGUAUUGCUAUGGUUAAAGAUCUCUUGGAUGAUAAUUUAGAUGGGCAUGUUAUUUACUUCUGUGGUGAAACUGCUAAUAUUGUUAAAUCAGAUACUAAGAUACAUAGACCUGUGGUAGGCAUGCCUGUUAUUUCUGUUAAAAUAGGAGAUCAUUGUUAUCAUGGCCUAUGUGAUAUGGGUGCUAGUGCUAGUGCAAUACCUAUUUCCUUAUACCAAGAGAUUAUGCAUGAUAUUGCACCUGUUGAGUUAGAAGAUAUUGAUGUUACAAUUAAGCUUGCCAAUAGAGAUACUAUUAGGCCUUUUGGGAUUGUUAGAGAUGUUGAAGUCUUGUGUGGGAAGGUCAAAUACCCUGCUGAUUUUCUUGUUCUCAGUUCCCCCAAGAUGACUUUUGUCGCAUUAUAUUUGGUAGACCAUUCUUGAACACUGUUAAUGCUAAGAUUGAUUGCGAAAAGGAUGUUGUUACGAUUGGCUUGGAGGAUAUGACUCAUGAAUUUAAUUUUGCUAAAUUUCGUAGACAACCCCGUGAUAAAGAGUUACCUAGUAAAUAUGAAAUAAUUGGUCUUGCUUCUAUUGCCGUGCCUCCUACUGAUCCGUUAGAACAAUAUUUGCUUGACCAUGAAAAUGAUAUGUUUACGAAAGAAAGAAGGAAAAUAGAUGAAGUGUUCCUUAAACAGGAACCUAUUCUGAAACAUAACCUUCCCAUUGAAAUUCUAGGGGAUCCUCCUCCACCCAAGGAUGAUCCCGUGUUUGAGCUUAAACCAUUACCUAAUAAUCUUAAAUAUGCUUAUCUUGAUAAAAAGAAGAUAUAUCCUGUUAUUAUUAGUGGUAACCUUUCAGAGCAGGAAGAGGAAAGAUUAUUGAAAACUCUGAAGAAGCACCGUGCGGCUAUUAGAUAUACUCUGGAUGAUCUCAAGGGCAUUAGCCCCAUGUUAUGUCAACACAAAAUUAGUUUGGAGGACGAUGCCAAACCAGUUAGAGAUCCUCAACAACGAUUGUAUCCCAAGAUGAAAGAAGUGGUUAGAAAGGAGAUACUAAAGCUCCUUGAGGCAGGUAUAAUUUAUCCCAUUGCUGAUAGUGAUUGGGUAAGUCCUGUCCAUUGUGUUCCUAAAAUGGGAGGUAUUACUGUUGUUCCUAAUGAUAAAGAUGAAUUGAUCCUGCAAAGAAUUAUUACAGGUUAUAGGAUAGUAAUUGAUUUUCGUAAAUUAAAUAAAGCUACUAAGAAAGAUCAUUACCCUUUACAUUUUAUUGAUCAAAUGCUAGAAAGACUAUCCAAACACACACAUUUCUGCUUUCUAGAUGGUUAUUCUAGUUUCUCUCAAAUACCUGUGUCAGCGAAGGAUCAAUCAAAAACUACUUUUACUUGCCCUUUCAGUACUUUUGCAUAUAGACGUAUGCCUUUUGGUUUAUUAAUGCACCUGCUAACUUUCAAAUAUGUAUGAUGGCUAUAUUCUCUGACUUUUGUGAAAAGAUUUGUGAGGUAUUCAUGGAUGAUUUCUCCGUUUAUGGAUCCUCCUUUGAUGAUUGCUUGAGCAACCUUGAUCGAGUUUUGCAGAGAUGUGAAGACACUAGUCUCGUCUUGAAUUGGGAAAAGUGCCACUUUAUGGUUAAUGAAGGCAUUGUCUUAGGGCACAAGAUCUCCGAGAGAGGUAUUGAAGUUGAUAAAGCUAAAGUUGAUGCUAUUGAAAAGAUGCCAUGUCCCAAGGACAUAAAAGGUAUAAGAAGUUUCCUUGGUCAUGCCGGUUUUUAUAGGAGGUUCAUUAAGGACUUCUCUAAAAUCUCUAGGCCUCUGACUAAUUUAUUGCAAAAAGAUAUUCCUUUUGUCUUUGAUGAUGAUUGUGUAGAAGCAUUUGAAAUACUUAAGAAAGCUUUGAUCACUGCACCUAUCAUUCAGCCACCUGAUUGGAAUUUACCUUUUGAAAUUAUGUGUGAUGCUAGUGAUUAUGCUGUAGGUGUUGUUCUAGGGCAAAGAGUUGAUAAGAAAUUGAAUGUUAUCCAGCAUGCCAGUAAGACUCUUGAUACUACCCAGAGAAAUUAUGCUACUAUUAAAAAAAAUUCUUAGCAGUUGUGUUUGCAUGUGAUAAGUUUAGACCUUAUAUUGUUGAUUCCAAAGUUACUAUUCACACUGAUCAUGCUGCUAUUAAAUAUCUUAUGGAAAAGAAAGAUGCUAAGCCUAGACUCUUUAGAUGGGUUCUCUUGCUCCAAGAAUUUGAUUUGCAUAUUAUUGAUAGAAAGGGAGUUGAGAACCCGUUGCAGACAACUUGUCUAGGUUAGAGAAUGUUCUUGAUGACCCACUGCCUAUUAAUGAUAGCUUUCCUGAUGAACAAUUAGUGGUCAUUAAUGCUUCUCGUACUACUCCUUGGUAUGCUGAUUAUGCUAAUUACAUUGUUGCUAAAUUUAUACCACCUAGUUUCACAUACCAACAAAAGAAAAAGUUCUUUUAUGAUUUAAGACAUUACUUCUGGGAUGACCCACACCUUUAUAAAGAAGGAGUAGACGGUGUUAUUAGACGUUGUGUACCUGAGCAUGAACAGGAACAGAUCCUACGCAAGUGUCACUCCGAAUCAUAUGGAGGACACUGUUGGAAAUAUGCCCUAGAGGCAAUAAUAAAAGGAUUAUUAUUGUAUUUCCUUGUUCAUGAUAAUUGUCUUUUAUUCAUGCUAUAAUUGUAUUAUCCGGAAAUCGUAAUACACGUGUGAAUACAUAGACCACAACAUGUCCCUAGUAAGCCUCUAGUUGACUAGCUCGUUGAUCAAUAGAUAGUCAUGGUUUCCUGACUAUGGACAUUGGAUGUCAUUGAUAACGAGAUCACAUCAUUAGGAGAAUGAUGUGAUGGACACGACCCAAUCCUAAGCAUAGCACAAGAUAGUGUAGUUCGGUUGCUAGAGCUUUUCCAAUGUCAAGUAUCUUUUCCUUAGACCAUGAGAUCGUGUAACUCCCGGAUACCGUAGGAGUGCUUUAGGUGUACCAAACAUCGCAACGUAACUGCGUGACUAUAAAGGUAUAUACGGGUAUCUCCGAAAGUGUCUGUUGGGUUGACACGGAUCGAGACUGGGAUUUGUCAAUCCGUAUGACGGAGAGGUAUCUCUGGGCCCACUCGGUAAUGCAUCAACAUAAUGAGCUCAAAGUGACCAAGUGUUUGGUCACGGGAUCAUGCAUUACGGUACGAGUAAAGUCACUUGCUGGUAACGAGAUUGAACGAGGUAUUGGGAUACCGACGAUCGAAUCUCGGGCAAGUAACGUACCGAGUGACAAAGGGAAUUGUAUACGGGGUUGCUUGAAUCCUCGACAUCGUGGUUCGUCCGAUGAGAUCAUCGAGGAGCAUGUGGGAGCCAACAUGGGUAUCCAGAUCCCACUGUUGGUUAUUGACGGGAGAGUCGUCUCGGUCAUGUCUACGUGUCUCCCGAACCCGUAGGGUCUACACACUUAAGGUUCGGUGACGCUAGGGUUGUAGAGAUAUGAGUAUGCAGCAAAACGAAAGUUGUUCGGAGUCCCGGAUGAGAUCCUGGACGUCAUGAGGAGUUCCAGAAUGGUCCGGAGGCAAAGAAUUAUAUAAGGGAAGUCGAGUUUUGGCCAUCGGGAAAGUUUCGGGGGUCACCGGUAUUGUACCGGGACCACCGGAAGGGUCCCGGGGGUCCAUCGGGUGGGGCCACCUAUCCCGGAGGGCCCCAUGGGCUGAAGUGGGAGGGGAACCAGCCCCUGGUGGGCUGGUGCGCCCCCCUUGGCCCCCCUGCGCCUAGGGAUGGGAACCGUAGGGGAGGGGGUGCCUCCACUUGCCUUGGGGGGCAAGGCACCCCCCUUGGCCGCCGCCCCCCUACGAGAUCCCAUCUCCUAGGGCCGGCGCCCCCCUGGGGACCCUAUAUAUAGAGGGGGGAGGGAGGGCAGCCGCACCCUUGCACUUGGCCCCUCCCUUCCCCCUUGCUACACCUGUCCUCCUCCGUAGAGCUCGGCGAAGCCCUGCUGAGAUUCCUGCUGCAUCCACCACCACGCCGUCGUGCUGCUGGAUCUCCAUCAACCUCUCCUUCCCCCUUGCUGGAUCAAGAAGGAGGAGAUGUCUUCCUCAACCGUACGUGUGUUGUACGCGGAGGUGUCGUCCGUUCAGCUCUCGGUCAUCGGUGAUUUGGAUCACGACGAGCACGACUCCCUCAACCCCGUUCUCUUGAACGCUUCCGCUCGCGAUCUACAAAGGUAUGUAGAUGCACUCCUAUCACUCGUUGCUAGAUGAACUCAUAGAUAGAUUUUGGUGAAACCGUAGGAAAUUUUUUAUUUUCUGCAACGUUCUCCAACAGUGGUAUCAUGAGCUAGGUCUAUGCGUAGUUCUCUAUGCACGAGUAGAACACAAUUUGUUGUGGGCGUAGAUGUUGUCAACUUUCUUGCCGCUACUAGUCUUAUUUUGCUUCAGCGGUAUUGUGGGAUGAAGCGGCCCGGACCGACCUUACACGUACACUUAAGUGAGACAGGUUCCACCGACUGACAUGCACUACUUGCAUAAGGUGGCUAGCGGGUGUCUGUCUCUCCCACUUUAGUUGGAGCAGAUUCGAUGAAAAGGGUCCUCAUGAAGGGUAAAUAGAAGUUGACAAAUCACGUUGUGGCUUUUUCAUAGGUAAGAAAACGUUCUUGCUAGAACCCUAUUGCAGCCACGUAAAAGAUGCAACAACAAUUAGAGGACGUCUAACUUGUUUUUGCAGCAAUUGCCUUGUGAUGUGAUAUGGCCAAAAGUUGUGAUGAAUGAUGAAUGAUAUAUUGUGAUGUAUGAGAUCAUGUUCUUGUAAUAGGAAUCACGACUUGCAUGUCGAUGAGUAUGACAACCGGCAGGAGCCAUAGGAGUUGUCUUAAUUAUUGUAUGACCUGCGUGUCAAUGAUUUAACGCCAUGUAAUUACUUUACUUUAUUGCUAAACCGUUAGCUAUAGUAGUAGAAGUAAUAGUUGGCGAGCAACUUCAUGGAGACACGAUGAUGGAGAUCAUGGUGUCAUGCCGGUGACAAGAUGAUCAUGGAGCCCCAAGAUGGAGAUCAAAGGAGCUAUAUGAUAUUGGCCAUAUCAUGUCACUAUUAUUUGAUUGCAUGUGAUGUUUAUCAUGUUUUUGCAUCUUGUUUACUUAGAACGACGGUAGUAAAUAAGAUGAUCCCUCAUAAUAAUUUCAAGAAAGUGUUCCCCCUAACUGUGCGCCGUUGCGACAGUUCGUUAUUUCGAAGCACCACGUGAUGACCGGGUGUGAUAGAUUCUAACGAUCACAUACAACGGGUGUAAGACAGAUUUACACAUGCAAAACACUUAGGUUAACUUGACGAGCCUAGCAUGUACAUACAUGGCCUCGGAACACAAGAGAUCGAAAGGUCGAACAUGAGUCGUAUGAAAGAUACGAUCAACAUGGAGAUGUUCACCGAUGAUGACUAGUACGUCUCACGUGAUGAUCGGACACGACCUAGUCGACUCGGAUCAUGUAACACUUAGAUGACUAGAGGGAUGUCUAAUCUGAGUGGGAGUUCAUUAAUUAAUUUGACUAGAUGAACUUAAUUAUCAUGAACUUAGUCUAAAGUCUUUGCAAAAUGUCUUGUAGAUCAAAUGGCCAACGCUCAUGUCAACAUGAACUUCAACGCGUUCCUAGAGAAAACCAAGCUGAAAGAUGAUGGCAGCAACUAUACGGACUGGGUCCGGAACCUUAGGAUCAUCCUCAUAGCUGCCAAGAAAGUAUAUGUCCUAGAAGGACCGCUAGGUGAAGCACCCACCCCAGAGAACCAAGACAUUAUGAAUGCUUGGCAGUCACGUGCUGAUGAUUACUCCCUCGUUCAGUGUGGCAUGCUUUACAGCUUAGAACCAGGGCUCCAAAAGCGUUUUGAGCGACACGGAGCAUAUGAGAUGUUCGAGGAGCUGAAAAUGGUUUUCCAAGCUCACGCCCGGGUCGAGAGAAAUGAAGUCUCUGACAAGUUCUAUAGUUGUAAGAUGGAGGAAAAUAGUUCUGUCAGUGAGCACAUACUCAAAAUGUCUGGGUUGCACAACCGCCUGUCCCAGCUGGACAUUAACCUCCCGGACGAGGCGGUCAUUGACAGAAUCCUUCAGUCGUUCCCACCGAGCUACAAGAGCUUUGUGAUGAACUACAAUAUGCAGGGGAUGGUGAAAACUAUUCCUGAAGUAUUUUCAAUGCUGAAAUUUGCAGAGGUAGAAAUCAAGAAGGAACAUCAAGUGUUGACGGUCAAUAAAACCACUAAGUUCAAGAAGGGCAAGGGUAAGAAAAACAUCAAGAAGGACGACAAGGAUGUUUCCGCGCCCGGUAAGCCUAUUGCCAGGAAGAGUCAAAGAAUGGACCCAAGCCUGAGACUGAGUGCUUUUAUUGCAAAGGGAAGGGUCACUGGAAGCGGAACUGCCCCAAUUACUUAGCGGACAAGAAGGCCGGCAACACUAAAGGUAUAUGUGGUAUACAUGUAAUUGAUGUGUACCUUACCAGUGCUCGUAGUAGCUCCCGGGUAUUUGAUACUGGUGCCAUUGCUCAUAUUUGUAAAUCAAAGCAGGAGCUGCGGAAUAAGCGGAGACUGGCGAAGGACGAGGUGACGAUGCGCGUCGGGAAUGGUUCCAAGGUCGAUGUGAUCACCGUCGGCACGCUACCUCUACAUUUACCUACGGGAUUAGUUUUAAACCUCAAUAAUUGUUAUUUAGUGCCAAGUUUGAGCAUGAACAUUGUAUCAGGAUCUCGUUUAAUACGAGAUGGCUACUCAUUUAAAUCCGAGAAUAAUGGUUGUUCUAUUUAUACGAGAGAUAUGUUUUAUGGUCAUGCUCCGAUGGUCAAUGGUUUAUUCUUAAUGAAUCUCGAACGUGAUGUUACACAUAUUCAUAGUGUGAAUACCAAAAGAUGUAAAGUUGAUAACGAUAGUCCCACAUACUUGUGGCACUGCCGCCUUGGUCACAUUGGUGUCAAGCGCAUGAAGAAGCUCCAUGCUGAUGGACUUUUAGAGUCUCUCGAUUAUGAAUCAUUUGACACAUGCGAACCAUACCUUAUGGGCAAAAUGGCCAAGACUCCGUCCUCCGGAACAAUGGAGCGAGCAACCAACUUAUUGGAAAUCAUACAUACUGAUGUGUGCGGUCCAAUGAGCGUUGAGGCUCGCGGAGGAUAUCGUUAUGUUCUCACUCUCACUGAUGACUUAAGUAGAUAUGGGUAUGUCUACUUGAUGAAACAAAAGUCUGAGACCUUUGAAUUCAAGGAGUUUCAGAAUGAGGUAGAGAAUCAACGUGACCGAAAAAUAAAGUUCUUAUGAUCAGAUCGUGGAGGAGAAUAUUUAAGUCACAAAUUUGGCACACACAUAAGGAAAUGUGGAAUCGUUUCACAACUCACGCCGCCUGGAACACCUUAGCGUAAUGGUGUGUUCGAACGUCGUAAUCGCACUCUAUUGGAUAUGGUGCGAUCUAUGAUGUAUCUUACUGAUUUACCGCUAUCAUUUUGGGGAUACGCUCUAGAGACAGCUAUAUUCACUUUAAAUAGGGCACCGUCUAAAUCCGUUGAGACGGCACCGUAUGAAUUAUGGUCUGGGAAGAAACCUAAGCUGUCGUUUCUAAAAGUUUGGGGAUGCGAUGCUUAUGUCAAGAAACUUCAACCUGAAAAGCUCGAACCCAAGUCAGAAAAAUGCGUCUUCAUAGGAUACCCUAAGGAAACCAUUGGGUAUACCUUCUACCUUAGAUCCGAAGGAAAGAUCUUUGUUGCCAAGAACGGAUGCUUUCUGGAAAAAGAGUUUCUCUCGAAAGGAUUAAGUGGGAGGAAAGUAGAACUCGAUCAAGUACUACCUCUUGAACCGGAAAGUAGUGCAGCUCAGGAAAAUGUUCCUGUGGUGCCUACACCGACUGGAGAGGAAAUUAAUGAUGAUGAUCAAGGUACUUCGAAUCAAGUUGCUACUGAACUUCGUAGGUCCACAAGGACACGUUCCACACCAGAGUGGUAUGGCAACCCUGUCCUGGAAAUCAUGUUGUUAGACAACGGUGAACCUUCGAACUAUGAAGAAGCGAUGGCGGUCCCAGAUUCCAACAAAUGGCUUGAAGCCAUGCAAUCCGAGAUAGGAUCCAUGUAUGAAAACAAAGUAUGGACUUUGACAGACUUGCCCGAUGAUCGGCGAGCGAUAGAAAACAAAUGGAUCUUUAAGAAGAGGACGGACGCGGAUGGUAAUGUUACCAUCUAUAAAGCUCUACUUUUCGCUAAGGGUUAUCGACAAGUUCAAGGGGUUGACUACGAUGAGACUUUCUCUCCCGUAGAGAAGCUGAAGUCUGUCCGAAUCAUGUUAGCAAUUGCCGCAUACUAUGAUUAUGAGAUAUGGCAAAUGGACGUCAAAACGGCAUUCCUUAACGGCUAUCUUAAGGAAGAACUGUAUAUGAUGCAGCCGGAAGGUUUUGUCGACCCUAAGAAUGCUAACAAGGUAUGCAAGCUCCAGCGAUCCAUUUAUGGGCUGGUGCAAGCAUCUCGGAGUUGGAACAUUCGCUUUGAUGAGAUGAUCAAAGCGUUUGGGUUUAUGGAGACUUAUGGAGAAGCCUGCGUUUACAAGAAAGUGAGUGGGAGCUCUGUAGCAUUUCUCAUAUUAUAUGUAGAUGACAUACUUUUGAUGGGAAAUGAUAUAGAACUUUUGGACAGCAUUAAGGCCUACUUGAAUAAGAGUUUUUCAAUGAAGGACCUUGGAGAAGCUGCUUAUAUAUUAGGCAUCAAGAUCUAUAGAGAUAGAUCGGGACGCCUCAUAGGUCUUUCACAAAGCACAUACCUUGAUAAGAUAUUAAAGAAGUUCAAUAUGGAUCAGUCUAAGAAGGGGUUCUUGCCUGUGUUGCAAGGUGUGAAAUUGAGCUCGGCUCAAUGUCCGACCACGGCAGAAGAUAUAGAAGAGAUGAGUGUCAUCCCCUAUGCUUCAGCCAUAGGGUCUAUUAUGUAUGCCAUGCUGUGUACCAGACCUGAUGUAAACCUUGCCGUAAGUUUGGUAGGAGGGUACCAAAGUAAUCCCGGCAAGGAACACUGGACAGAGGUCAAGAAUAUCCUGAAGUACCUGAAAAGGACUAAGGACAUGUUUCUCAUUUAUAGAGGUGACGAAGAGCUCGUCGUAAAGGGUUACGUCGAUGCUAGCUUCGACACAGAUCUGGAUGACUCUAAGUCACAAACCGGAUACGUGUAUAUGUUGAAUGGUGGAGUAGUAAGCUGGUGCAGCUGCAAGCAGAGCGUCGUGGCGGGAUCUACAUGUGAAGCGGAGUACAUGGCAGCCUCGGAGGCAGAGCAUGAAGCAAUUUGGGUGAAGGAGUUCAUCACCGACCUAGGAGUCAUACCCAAUGCGUUGGGCCGAUCAAACUCUUUUGUGACAACACUGGAGCUAUUGUACUUGCCAAGGAGCCCAGGUUUCACAAGAAGACCAGGCACAUCAAGCGUCGCUUCAACUCCAUUCGUGAAAAUGCUCAAGAUGGAGACAUAGAAAUUUGCAAAGUGCAUACGGAUCUGAAUGUCAUAGAUCCGUUGACUAAACCUCUUCCGCGAGCAAAACAUGAUCAACACCACAACUCUAUGGGUGUUCGAUUCAUCACAAUGUAACUAGAUUAUUGACUCUAGUGCAAGUGGGUGACCAUUGGACAUAUGCCCUAGAGGCAAUAAUAAAAGGAUUAUUAUUAUAUUUCCUUGUUCAUGAUAAUUGUCUUUUAUUCAUGCUAUAAUUGUAUUAUCCAGAAAUUGUAAUACACGUGUGAAUACAUAGACCACAACAUGUCCCUAGUAAGCCUCUAGUUGACUAGCUCGUUGAUCAACAGAUAGUCAUAGUUUCCUGAGUAUGGACAUUGGAUGUCAUUGAUAACGAGAUCACAUCAUUAGGAGAAUGAUGUGAUGGACAAGACCUAAUCCUAAGCAUAGCACAAGAUCGUGUAGUUCGUUUGCUAGAGCUUUUCCAAUGUCAAGUAUCUUUUCCUUAGACCAUGAGAUCGUGUAACUCCCGGAUACCGUAGGAGUGCUUUGGGUGUACCAAACGUCGCAACGUAACUGGGUUACUAUAAAGGUAUACUACGGGUAUCUCCGAAAGUGUCUGUUGGGUUGACACGGAUCGAGACUGGGAUUUGUCACUCCGUAUAACGGAGAGGUAUCUCUGGGCCCACUCGGUAAUGCAUCAUCAUAACAAGCUCAAAGUGACCAAGUGUUUGGUCACGGGAUCAUGCAUUACGGUACGAGUAAAGUCACUUGCCGGUAACGAGAUUGAACGAGGUAUUGGGAUACCGACGAUCGAAUCUCGGGCAAGUAACGUACCGAUUGACAAAGGGAAUUGUAUACGGGGUUGCUUGAAUCCUCGACAUCUGGUUCAUCCGAUGAGAUCAUCGAGGAGCAUGUGGGAGCCAACAUGGGUAUCCAGAUCCCGCUGUUGGUUAUUGACCAGAGAGUCCUCUCGGUCAUAUCUACGUGUCUCCCGAACCCGUAGGGUCUACACACUUAAGGUUCCGUGACGCUAGGGUUGUAGAGAUAUGAGUAUGCAGCAAACCGAAAGUUGUUCGGAGUCCCGGAUGAGAUCCCGGACGUCACGAGGAGUUCCGGAAUGGUCCGGAGGUAAAGAAUUAUAUAUGGGAAGUCGAGUUUCGGCCAUCGGGAAAGUUUCGGGGGUCACCGGUAUUGUACCGGGACCACCGGAAGGGUCUCGUGGGUCCACCGGGUGGGGCCACCUAUCCCGGAGGGCCCCAUGGGCUGAAGUGGGAGGGGAACCAGCCCCUGGUGGGAUGGUUCGCCCCCCUUGGGCCCCUCCCGUGCCUAGGGAUGGGAACCCUAGGGGAGGGGGCGCCUCCACUUGCCUUGGGGGGCAAGGCACCCCCCUUGGCCGCUGCCCCCCUGGGGACCCUAUAUAUAGAGGGGGGGAGGGAGGGCAGCCGCACCCUUGCACUUGGCGCCUCCCUUCCCCCUUGCUACACCUCUCCUCCUCCGUAGAGCUCGGCGAAGCCCUGCUGAGAUUCCUGCUGCAUCCACCACCACGCCGUCGUGUUGCUGGAUCUCCAUCAACCUCUCCUUCCCCCUUGCUGGAUCAAGAAGGAGGAGACGUCUUCACCAACCGUACGUGUGUUGAACGCGGAGGUGCCGUCCGUUCGGCACUCGGUCAUCGGUGGUUUGGAUCACGACGAGUACGACUCCCUCAACAGUAGGGAAUUUUUUAGAUGCACUCCUAUCACUCGUUGCUAGAUGAAGUCAUAGAUAGAUCUUGGUGAAACCGUAGGGAAUUUUUUAUUUUCUGCAACGUUCUGCAACAGACACCACACUGGAGAUAGAACUGCACACAAGGUAUUGCAGUCCGGUUUUUAUUGGCCUACUCUCUUCAAAGAUGCUCGUAAGUUUUUCUUGUCUUGUGAUGAAUGUCAAAGAAUUGGUAAUAUUAGUAGACGUCAAGAAAUGACUAUGAACUAUUCUCUUGUUAUUGAACAAUUUGAUGUUUGGGGCUUUGAUUAUAUGGGACCUUUUCCUGCCUCUAAUGGUUACACACAUAUUUUAGUUGCUGUUGAUUACGUUACUAAGUGGGUAGAAGGUAUUCCAACUAGUAGUGUUGAUCAUAACACUUCUAUUAAAAUGCUUAAAGAAGUUAUUUUUCUGAGGUUUGGAGUCCCUAGAUAUCUUAUGACUGAUGGUGGUUCACAUUUUAUUCAUGGUGCUUUCCGUAAGAUGCUUGCUAAGUAUGAUGUUAAUCAUAGAAUCGCAUCUCCUUAUCACCCACACAGUUUAGUGGUCAAGUAGAGUUGAGCAAUAGAGAGCUCAAAUUAAUUUUGCAAAAGACUGUUAAUAGAUCUAGAAAGAAUUGGUCCAAGAAGCUUGAUGAUGCAUUAUGGGCCUAUAGAACUGCAUAUAAAAAUCCUAUGGGUAUGUCUCCAUAUAAGAUGGUUUAUGGAAAAGCUUGUCAUUUACCUCUAGAACUUGAACAUAAAGCAUAUUGGGCUAUCACAGAGCUCAACUAUGACUUCAAACUUGCUGGUGAGAAGAGGUUGUUGAUAUUAGCUCACUUGAUGAAUGGAGAACACAAGCCUAUGAGAAUGCCAAGCUAUUUAAAGAAAAAGUCAAACGCUGGCAUGACAAAAGGAUACAAAAGCGUGAGUAAUUAACGUAGGUGAUUAUGUGUUAUUAUUCAACUCUCGUUUAAUAUUUUUUGCAGGAAAACUUCUCUCUAAAUGGAAAGGCCCUUACGUUAUCGAGGAGGUCUAUCGUUCGGGUGCCAUAAAAAUCAACAACUUCGAAGGCACAAGUCCAAGGGUGGUGAACGGUCAAAGAAUCAAACAUUAUAUCUCACGUAAUCCUAUCAAUGUUGAAACUAAUAUCAUUGAAACCGUAACCCCAGAGGAAUACAUAAGGGACACUUUCUAGAACAUUCCAGACUCCAAAAAGGAUUAGGUAUGUGGUACGGUAAGUAAACCGACUCCAAAACAAUUCUAUUGGCAAUUUUUAUCAGUUUUGGAAUAUUUAAGAAUUUUAGGAAGAAAGAAGUAGUCCGGGAAGGACACGAGGCCUCCACGAGGGUGGAGGGCGCGCCCACCCUUACUGGGUGUGCCCCCCUGUCUCGUGGCCGCCUCGUGUGCCUCCUGGACUCCAUUUUCUUGCACGUUACAUAUUUGGGUUGGUAAAAAUUCAUUAUAUAAACUCCCAAAGGUUUUGACCACCGUAUCACGCAAAAAUACUCUAUUUUCGUUUCGAGCUGUUUCUGUUAUAGAUUUAGAGCAAGAUGUCUUCUCAAGAGUCAGUCGGGGAGAGUCGGGUGUCUCACCUGACACUAGGUCCAGGAGCAAAAAGCGAUGCUUAUCACUUUGGACCAUCAACGAAGGAUGAGAUGGAGGCCGACUUGAAAAGGAUAGAUGCCAUGGAGGAAGAUCAAGAAGUCACCUCCUGCUUUCAAGCAGGAUUCAUAAUGGGGGAACUACAUAGCUCGGUUGUUCCAAAUUUGGUCACCCUUCCAAUGCUAAAUUUCUUUCUUAUGAAAAUAUGAAAAAGAGUGUUACUUGUUCUCCACAAGCUAUGCAGCACCCUUGUGUAAAAGGAGCUUUAGCAAUAGCAGGCAAGCUCCACAAAGAAAAUAUGAACCUCAAGCAACAAGUCAAUAAGCUCGAGGACGAGAAUCGUAUCCUGAGGGGAAUUAUCGCCAAAAAGAUAACAACACCAACUUUGAAGAAGGAGACAUAAUCACAUGGGUAUGGGCACUCCCCUUGGCAACUGCCAAGCUUGGGGGAGGUGUCGCGGUAUCGUAUCACCAUCACACUCCUAUCUUUACCGUUUUAUUUAGUUCGAUCCUUUUUAGUAGUAUCUUGAUCUAGUAGAUUGAAGUUUUGAUAUCAAGUAGUUUUGAGUUUUGCUUUGUGAUCUCUUUAUGUAAUCGAGUCCAUGAGCUAUCUAUAAUAAAGAUUAGUGUUGAGUCAAGGGCUUUGCUAUAUUGCUAUGAUCUUAAGAAAAAUAGAAAGAAUAAAAAGAAUAAAGAGUUCAUAUUGAUCUUAUGGAUAGUAAUGACUUCACACAUAGAAAGUAUGAGGCAUAAAAGUUGUUGAGAGUUGAUAAACGUAGUUUUGGUCAUCGUUACAAUUAAUAGGAAGUAAUAAGGAAAGAGAGGUUUCACAUAUAAAUAUACUAUCUUGGACAUAUUUUAUGAUUGUGAGCACUCAUUAAGUAUGACAUGCUCAAAGAGUCUACGUUGGACAAGGAAGACAAUGUAAUGGUUUAUGUUUUCUCACAUCUCAGUUAAAGUAUAUUUUCAUUGACCUUCCGAACAUGUUGAGCUUGCCUUUCCCCCUCAUGCUAGCCAAAUCCUAGCACCAAGUAGAGAUACUGCUUGUGCUUCCAAAUAUCCUUAAACCCAGUCUUGCCAUGAGAGUCCAUCAUAUCUAGCUAUGGAUUGAGUAAGAUCCUUCAAGUAAGUUGUCAUCGGUGCAAGCAAUCAAAAUUGCUCUCUAAAUAUGCAUGACUUAUUAGUGCGGAGAAAAUAAGCUUUAUACGAUCUUGUUAUGGAAGCAAUAAAAGCGACGGACUGCAUAAUAAAGGUCCAUACACAAGUGGCAAUAUAAAGUGACGUUCUUUCGCAUUAAGAUUUUGUGUAUCGAACCCUAAAAGCGCAUGACAACCUCUGCUUCCCUCUACGAAGGGCCUAUCUUUUACUUUAUGCUUGAGUCAAGGUGAUCUUCACCUUUCCCUUUUUCAUUUUAUCCUUUGGCAAGCUCCUCGUGUUUGAAAGAUCAUGAUAUAUAUAUCCAAUUGGAAGUUCGUUAGCAUGGACUAUUAUUGUUGACAUCACCUAAAGGUGAAUACGUUGGGAGGCAACACAAUAAGCCCCUAUCUUUCUCAGUGUCCGGCUGAAACUCCAUAACCACAAGUAUUGCAUGAGUGUUAGCAAUUGUAGAAGACUAUAUGAUAGUUGAGUAUGUGGACAUGCUGAAAAGCUCUAUUCUUGACUCUUUUUGAUGUUACGAUAAAUUGCAAUUGCUUCAAUGACUAAGAUUAUAGUUUGUUACCUUUCAAUGAAGUUUCUGAACCAUACUUGACAUUGUGAAUUGAUUGUUACUUGAGCAUAAGAAGUCAUAUGACAAAAUCUAUUUAUGUUGCUAUUAUAAGAAUAAUCAUGAUGCCCUCAUGUCCGUAUUUUAUUUUUAUUAACACCUCUAUCUCUAAACAUGUGGACAUAUUUUUCAAUUUCGGCUUCCGCUUGAGGACAAGCGAGGUCUAAGCUCGGGGGAGUUGAUACGUCCAUUUUGCAUCAUGCUUUUAUAUCAAUGUUUAUUGCAUUAUGUGCUAUUAUUACACAUUAUAAAUAAAUACUUAUGGCUAUUCUCUCUUAUUUGAUAAGGUUUACCAUGAAGAGGGGGAAUGCCGGCAGCUGGAAUUCUGGCUGGAAAAGGAGCAAACAUUGGAAACCUAUUCUGCACUGCUCCAAAAGACCUGAAACUCCACGGAACUUAAUUUUCGAAUUAAUAAGAAUUAUUGAGCGGAAGAAACACCUCAGGGGGCCCACACCCUGGCCAGGAGGGUGCGGGGCGCGCCCAGUGGGCGCGCCCCCUGGUGGCCCUCCGGUAUCCAUCUUCUGCUAUAUGAAGGAUUUUACCCUGGAAAAAAUCAUGGGCAAGCUUACGGGACGAAACUCCGCCGCCACGAGGCGGAACCUUGGCGGAACCAAUCUAGAGCUCCGGCAGAGCUGUUCUGGCGUGGACACUUCCCUCCGGGAGGGGGAAACCAUCACCAUCAUCAUCACCAACGAUCCUCCCAUCGGGAGAGGGUCAAUCUCCAUCAACAUCUUCACCAGCAACAUCUCCUCUCAAACCCUAGUUCAUCUCUUGUAUCCAAUCUUGUAUCCAAAACCACAAAUUGGUACCUGUGGGUUGCUAGUAGUGUUGAUUAUUCCUUGUAGUUGAUGCUUAUUGGUUUACUUGGUGGAAGAUCAUAUGUUCAGAUCCUUAAUGCAUAUUAUUACUUGUCUGGAAUUGUUGUCUACCUAGUGAACCUCGUCAUCUGCUCCACUCCAUCCCUCUAGAGGUGUGCUUCGUCUCUCAGCUCAAGAGAUGUUGCUAUGCCUCAUUCCGAGAGUUAAUCCUGAGUUGUUCGACCUUCGAGAAGACCGAUCCUUCCAGAGUUUUCCUUUCCUCUUCUUGUCAUGAUUAGUUGGAAUUCUCAGAGCAAGACGACAUGACAAAGAUGGUGUUCGAAUCAACGUUCCUAUGAAGUGCAACCUGGAUCGUGAAGAUUGUACUAGUUUGCGUUCCCCCUUCACCUUACCCUACGCUUGAAUCUCGGGACGAGAUUUUUGUUUAGUGGGGGUGAGUUGUCACAGCCCUAGAAUAUUGUUUGUAAAUAGUUGCAUCUUCAUCCAGGCAUCAUAUUUAAAUUUCUGAAACAUGAGUUGAGGAUUGUUGGAAGCCUCAAAAACUUAAAUAAAAGAGGGGCAAAAACCCUAGAAAUCUCAUUCAUUGCUCCAAAAUGCUCUUCUUAAAUGUUUGAUAAUUUUUGGUAAGGGUUCUGGUCCCAACCAAAAUAUUGAACAUUUUUAAGGAAUUAUUUUUGGGACUUUGGAUUUAAUUCAUUAGCUAUUUGAAUUUGAAUUAUAUUCAUAUAAUUAGAAUAUAAUUUAAAUACCCCUGAAAUAUUUUAUAAGCUUUUGGAAAAGUCCAUCCAGCAUUAUAAAAUAUUCAGAGGAGUUUUUGGCAUUGUUUGAAUUAUUUUUAAAAUUCAAAACAGUGGCAAAAUAAAUUAAUAAAAAUAAAUCAGAACAGAAAUAUAAAACAAAGCAUCUUACCUGGCGCUUACCUGGUGGCCCAACAGGACCGGCCCAGCUAGGCCCAGCCCACCUCCUCCUCACUCCUACUGUUUUCAACCUCCUGCCAGUGGGCAGGAGGGCGUGUGCCCACGGCGCGCCAGCACGCGCACGGCCACCGACGGCCACCUCCUGCUUGCCGCUUCGCCCUGGACUCUCCUGGCAUCGCCACGCACCCCCCCGGGCCCCUCUCGCUCUCCCUCCCCCUCAUCCUCUCCCCUGGACCCCUCUCUCUCGCCACCGAACACGCCCAUCGCCGCCGUUCGCCGUUGCCGCGACCACCGCCACCCCCUCUCCUCUUCGACGCGCUCCCGAGCUCCGCCACGAUGUCGUCGUCCUCUCCAUCGAGUCACGCGGCGCCAGAAGCUCUGCUGCAUCUCCAACGCCGCCGUUUCCGACCUCGGGUGCCGGUGAUCCCCGCCGUCGAUUCGCCGGACCCGUGCCUCCCCUGCCUCGCCAGCAGCACCAGAAGAACCGCGGUGAGCCGCUGCAUCGUUUCCCCCAUGCCUCGUUGCCUAAUUCGCCCCCUAGCCGCUCCCUCCACCGGAGCUGAGAUGCCCCGCCGCACGGGCUCGUCGCCGGUGAAGCUCCGGUGACCUUUUGGUCCCACGCAUGCGUCCGUUGCACUCGUUGCGUCCCGUAGAGUAAAACUAGCGCGACAACCGUCUUGUUUGCACACCGCAGCGCCGGUCCCGCGAACCCCCGAGCUCCGGCCACCGCCGGGGUCGAUGCCGCGCUCAACUCCGGCUACCCCACGCCCUCUCGUGGGUCCCCCUAGAUGCGCGGGAGCACGGGCUUCCUCCUGGUGCCCUCAGGGUGCCCAACCGCAGCCUAUAGUGCCAUCCCGAGCUACUCCGGCGAGGUUCCGCCGUCGCCAUGGUCGCCGGCGUCACUAGCCGACGUGGCCGCGUGAUUAGCACUAAUCACGGCCAGCUAACCUCCCCAGAGCCGCUGACGUAUGGGCCCCACGCCCUUAUUUAAUCCUUAUCAUUUUCUGUUAAGUUUAACCUAACCACCAUGGGCCCACACGUCAGUUUUGACUAAGCUGACGUGGCUGUUGACUUGGUCCCACCUAUCAGAGUCACUAACCAGCACUAGUCACUGACCAGUGGACCCCACUGGUCAGGUUUGACCCGGACCAGCCCCUGUUGACCCGCUGACGUCAUGAUGAUGUCAGGCUGACGCAAUAAUGAAUUACUGGAAUUAUUUUAAUUCUAAAUAUUCAGGAAAUUCCAGAAAAUGCCUAAAACUUCUAAAAAUCAUAGAAAUUCAACCGUAACUCCAAAUUAAAUAAUUUAUAUAUGAAAAAUUAUCAGAAAAAUUCAAGGAAUCCAUCUGUACCAUUUUCAUGCAUGUUAGAACAACUUAUAGGUGCUGUUUAGCACAAAUCAAUUAAAUGGCAUUUGAAUAAUCACAUAUGGAGUUUGAAUUUGAAUCUUGUAUUCAAACCAACUUCAUUUAAUCUGUUGCUAGUUGCAUUAGCCGAAAACACAUUCAUUUUGCCAUGUCAUGAUCAUGCAUCAUAUUGUGCAUUGCAUUGAUUGUGUUCCCUUCUGUGUUGCCGGUAUUUGUCCCCUCUCGAUAGACGUGAUACCGAUGAUGCGAUCGUUGACACUGAUGAAGACUCAAUGCUAUCUUCAGAAGUGCCAGGCAAGCAAAACCCCCUUGUUCAUUCCGAUAAAAUCCCACUCUCUCGCUCCUGCUCUCUUUUACUGCAUUAGGACAACAUCGAUUCAUCUGUUACUUGCUGCGGUAGCUGAACCCCUUUAUCCUCUGCAUGACCUGUCAUUUCAUAGUAAAUAGAUGAAACCCACUAGCAUGAGUAGGAGUUGUUUGAGCCCUGAUGUGCCUACUCAUUCAUGCUUGUUUGUCAUGCCUGCUACUGCUUAGAGUUGAGUCAGGUCUAAUUCAUCGGGGAUGAAUCAGAGGCGUGUGAACAUGUCCUACUGUGUGUGAGCUAAGUGUGUGAACACGAUUUGGUAAAGGUAGCGGUGAGAGGCCAUGUAGGAGUACAUGGUGGGUUGUCUCAUUGCAGCCGUCCUCAGGAACUGAGUUCUGUGUUUGUGAUCCAUGAUUCAGCUACUACCACACAUUGGGCCCGAAACCAAUGGACCCUCUCGGCUUCUUGAUCACCCUUGUCCUCUGUCCAGGAGUUGCAAGUAGUUUCUGGUGUUUGUAGUAUGCUGGAGGCCGUGCGCAGCGCUGACCGUAGGGGUGGGCUGUGAUGCGGUAGGCACGUGGCCGGGUAAACCGAGCGCCCGUUUGGUGUCACGGAACCCUGUUCACAUCGUUUGGGGCUGUGAGCGAAACUCCGGCCGGAUCUCCUCAUGGAUGGAACCCGAAUAGGCGAUAAACCUGGACUAGAGACUUGAGUGUUUAGGCAGGCCGUGGCCGACACCCACGUUGGGCUUCCGCUUGAAGGUUGCCGAGUACAUGUCGUGUAAACGGCGGUAAGUGGUGAGAGCGUGUGUGAAGAAGUACACCCCUGCAGGGUUAACAUCAUCUAUUCGAAUAGCCGUGUCCGCGGAAAAGGACUUCUGGGUUGCUUAUAUCAGUUCAUAGACAAGUGAAAGUGGAUACUCUAAAAUAUGCAAGAUAAGCAUGAGUGCUAUGGAUGGCGUUCUCGUAGGGAGACGGGAGCGGAUCCAUAGUGGUGUAUUGAUAUGGUGAAUAAGUGGACUCGUGUGCGCCACCUCAAAAGAGUCACUUGCAGUCGCAGUUUAGGAUAGCCACCUAGUCAAAGCUGGCUUGCUGCAGUUAAACCCCACCAUCCCCUUGUUGAAAAUGAUGCAUAUGUAGUUAGUUCUGAUGUAAGUCUUGCUGGGUACAUUUGUACUCACGUUUGCCUAUUUUAUGUUUCUGCAGAGAGACUUCAGUCUCACUAGUAGUUUCGCGUGGACUUCGACGUUUAGCUUGUUACCUCAACUACGAUCUUGUGCCUCGGCAGGAUUGGUAGAUAGUCAGGCUUCUCAGCCUUUUUCAUUUAUAGAUGUCUGUACUCAGACAUGUUAAGCUUCCGCUUGUGCUUUGACUUGUAUGCUCUGAGUCUUGGGUCAUGAGACCCAUGUUUGUAAUAUCUCGCUCCUCGGAGCCUAUUGAUUAAAUACUUGAGUCGUAGAGUCAUGUUGUGAUGCCAUGUUGUAUUUGCACAUAUCGAGCAUAUUGUGUGUAUGUUAUUGAAAUGCUUGGUAUGUGUGGGAUCUGACCAUCUAGUUGUUUAUCUUUAGUAGCCUCUCUUACCGGGAAAUGUCUCCUAGUGUUUCCAUUGAGCCUUGGUAGCUUGCUACUGCUCCGGAACACUUAGGCUGGCCGGCAUGUGUCCUUCUUCGUUCCUGUGUCUGUCCCUUCGGGGAAAUGUCACGCAAUUAAUACCGGAGUCCUGUUAGCCCGCUACAGCCCGGUUCACCGGAGUCCUGCUAGCCCAGUGCUACAGCCUGGAUUCACUCGCUGAUGACCGACACGUUCGAUGCUGGGUCAUGGAUGCCUGUCCCUGUAAGUCUGUGCCACUUUAGGUUUACGACUAGUCAUGUCAGCCCAGACUCUUUAUCAUAUGGAUGCUAGCGACAUCAUCAUAUACGUGAGCCAAAAGGCGCAAACGGUCCCGGGCAAAGGUAAGGCGACACCCGUGGGAAUACCGUGCGUGAGGCCGCAAAGUGAUAUGAGGUAUUACAUGCUAGAUCGAUGUGGCAUUGAGUCGGGGUCCUGACAGCGUUGGUAUCAGAGCUUGACUGCCUGUAGGAUUACCAAGCCAAACUGGUUGAAGUUGAGUCUAGAAAUUCUUAGUUAUAUAAGGGAAUUGAUUGUGGGAUGGAACGUAAGGCUCUUUUUACUCCUUAUACCUCAUGGCCUUCUGAUCUGAGUCAUCAUCUUCUCUUCUACGGGGAUUAAGAACUAGGCUAUCUCUUCUUUCUAUUAGGAUCACGUGUUGCUAAUCUGUAGACUUAUAAGAUUGUUGGACUUAAGCCUCGUUUCAGUUCCUACUACUUCUGUAUGAUUACUGUUGAUCUCGGGACCUUGAUACUGUGAUGUUGAGUGGUUAUGCCACCAUUUUGUGAUUGUCUCAAAUCUUUUUGAGCAUUUACAGGCGUUAUGCUGUCCGAGUCAUCCCAGGUCUCUAAACAGUCUGAUGCAUUUGCAAAUCCUUUCCUUCCGUCUCCGAUGUCCCUUUUGGUCGGAAUAAGCACACUAAUCGGUAGGUUGAGGUACUUUGUUACCUCGGCGUAGAUGUUGGAGCUAUUAUUAUGACCUUAGGUGUUUAGGAAGUCACCUAGCAAUUUAGCAAUGCUUUUGUAUCCCCAGUGUGAUAAUUCUGGCCAUUAUUUUUGAAAGCAUCCCGUGAUGUUAUUAGUUAGUAGGCAUUCUAUUUCUGGGUUUUGAACCCGAGAUUCACUCUACUUACUUCAUGUUGAUAGUGUUUGCUAGUUCCUUCAGGAUAUUAGUAACUUUGCGAUAGUCCUCGAGGUCCGUGGUAUUUCCUUCUUCCAAAUACUAUGAACCGCUUAUGGCAGAUGUUUAUUGGAUCAAAAGAUCACAAUUAGAGUACUCUUGAGGAGAUCUCCAUUCAUAAAUCGUGACUCUGCCAGUCCUACCUCUCUGCAUGGGUUAUCUGGAAGAAAUGUUGAUCUCGCUCGACAUACUAAUCUAUGCAUCCACAACUCAGAAAAUUAUAUGUUCCUUUGAGUUGUCCCUCUUUAGUUGUCUACUGACCUUCGUCUAUCAAUUGAUAGUCAAGGGUAUGCAUGCAUUCGUUUAUCGAUGCCUAUUACCCUUGUGGUCCGUCAAGCCAUUCUGUCCUGAAUGACUUGGAGAAACAAACUCCAGUACCUCAUCCAUACCUAGGAUUGGGUCAAAGUAGUUGUAUUCCGCAGAUCAAUUGCCAAUCCAGCUUUUGGUUCUGUUCUACCUUGGAGUAUUACCCCCUUUAUGUCAGAAUUGUCAUGAGAACUGCACCAACUCUCAUGAAUUUUGACGUAGUGAUACUUCUCACCAUCAUUAGUCAUUCCUCGGCCCUCGUGUUGAUGCAACCGAAAUACCGACAACUGAAUUGUGAUGUGUGAAAUCAAUACUCCCAGCAACCUCGUUGCUUGGUAGUUAAAGGAUAAUAAUUUCAUUCUUAGCAUGUUGGUUUUUGAAUCAUCCUUCUAAGACUGAUCGUGCUACCUAGUCCUUAUUUCGGUGCACCCUUCGAUUGAUGAGUUAGGAUCUUGUCAAGUCCUCACUCAUUUGAUCAUAUCGUCUUGCCCUCAAAAGCGAGAUUGUUCUCGAGCUUAGUAACAUACCGGUGGUUCGUGAUUUUUUGAAUGUCUUCUCGGAAGUAUCACCAGGUCGUCACCUGACCGUUAUGUUGAGCUCGUGAUCAAGUUGGUUUCUUGUGAACCACCUUCUCUCCAAGAAUCGGUGUUAGAUAUCCCUGAGCUAGUUGGUUAAGCUAGACAACAACUUGGAGAGUUGGAAGAUAAAAGCUUGCCUGACUUAGUUCAUUCCAAAAGGAUAUCCUUGUGUAGUGUGUGUUGGAGAAAGAUGAUGUCUUCAUCGAUUGGUCCCUGUGAUCAGUUGUUGGACCUAUUGUCUUAUCAAAACUUUGAUUUGGGUAUGGGCUAUCCUCAAAUCAAGUCAGAACCAACGAUGUUCGUAAUGUUGUCUUACUCGUGGAUUUUCCUCGAGCAUACACCAUUACAUCUUUUGGUCUGAUCAAUGCUAUCACUGUGUUCACUUAACUAUGGAAUUCCUUUUAUAUGGAAACCUGGAUGAAUUGUUGUUGAGCCCAUCGACAACAUCCUUGUCUUCUCCAUAAUUUUGCUGAACAUUAAGUUAGUGUUGGAAACUUUUGAAAGCAUUUUCUUCAUGCUAGCUCAUGAAGUAUUUGUUUGAUGAAAGGAGUGACUUCCUCUUAUACACGUGCAUUUGGUGAAAGUUGCCGCCGUGGAUUUGAGAAAGUUAGUUUUGCUUCCUCUGGAAUCAUCCCAAGUCAGUCAUGCAUACGUGCGAAGUAUUCUGUGGUCUAGAGACUUGCAACCUUCAUUCCAUAUGUGUUCCGAGCACACCAAGCCACUGAUUGAGUUGUUCAAAGAUAAAGGAGUCUGUUCAAGGUGAACUCUUUGGACUUCCACGCGUGGAGACUUCGAUGUCAUUAAUGAUGGUUCCCCACCUGAACUCGGUAGUGUUUUGUUGUAAGACUACCAUGUGAUAAUGUUUGUCUGGGACAACGUGUUCACAUGUGUGUAGCAGAACCAGCUCAUGUUUUGGAGCUUGCUAUCGUAGUUCGCUCCCCGAGAAUCUCGCAACGUCAUCUCGUCGAUUUGUGUUGCAAACUUUCAUUUUUCUUCCUAGACUCGAUGGGUCUGGAAUAUUCUGACACCAACCAGAUCUGAAUCUCAGACAGAUAUGAUGGUUGGAACAUUUCCCCAAGAACUAUAAUAUUGGUUCCUCGAUAACUGGUAAAGUGGAUGUCGUGGCCAGCCCCACCCAGCCGAAAGACCUAUUAUUAUAAUAUCAUGAUUGAGGAAGUUGGCCACCUCCCCAUAAGGAUUUCGUAGGAUUUACCUCCGUAACUGUUCCUUAUGGAUUCUAGUGCUCCCGAAGUCCGACCUUUUUACGUAAUGUUCUAGAUAUCAAACCAUAUCUAUGAAUGGGUUACACUAGCACAUCAAGGACAACAUUAAAAGCGGAGUGCUAAAUGUCUCUCGGUCGAUCAUCCAGAUUUUAUUUCCUUGGCCCUGCCAAGGGUGAAAUCUGAGAAGGUGUUAUCUUCCUUUGCAUCUGCAUCAUUCAUCAUGGUAGCAAGUUGUGUUGCCAGGAUCCUUGACACGGAUAUUGGUAGAAUCUUGAUGAUUGUGGAAAUGCUCAAGUUCUUGAGAGCACGCACAAGCGCUAGGUGUUAUCAUCGGCACUAACUGGGUUUGCUCUCAGUUUCCUCGGCAAUGCUAUGAUCUUCUCAAACAGUGAAUUCACUCCCUAUUGUUGGGUUCUUCCCCAGUUACCAGAAUCAUUCCCAGCAUUUGCAUUUUUUUCCUAGCUUGCAUCGCCAAUGUGCCAUUCUACCAUGGGUCUCUUCCAUUUCCGGUGAUAAGCAAAAUCAUCCAUUGCGUUGUCUUCAACAAGGUAAUCCACAUCAUCCAAGUCCGAGUAUGCCGUUCUACCGACCCCGCCAAUCGAUUGCCUGUGAUUGCCUUAGGCUGGUAUAAAGAGUUUCAAUGAUCUUUGAAUCAAAGGUAAUUCUUUUUGCCACUUAAGGGGAUAUAUCUACGAGUCACCAUCCCUAAGAUGCCUCGUUGUGGUAUCAUGGGAAUCCAACUCCUCGCUACCUUGACAACCGACCACCACAUUCUUAAGUCUGGAAUUGUUGUCUACCUAGUGAACCUCGUCAUCUGCUCCACUCCAUCCCUCUAGAGGUGUGCUUCGUCUCUCAGCUCAAGAGAUGUUGCUAUGCCUCAUUCCGAGAGUUAAUCCUGAGUUGUUCGACCUUCGAGAAGACCGAUCCUUCCAGAGUUUUCCUUUCCUCUUCUUGUCAUGAUUAGUUGGAAUUCUCAGAGCAAGACGACAUGACAAAGAUGGUGUUCGAAUCAACGUUCCUAUGAAGUGCAACCUGGAUCGUGAAGAUUGUACUAGUUUGCGUUCCCCCUUCACCUUACCCUACGCUUGAAUCUCGGGACGAGAUUUUUGUUUAGUGGGGGUGAGUUGUCACAGCCCUAGAAUAUUGUUUGUAAAUAGUUGCAUCUUCAUCCAGGCAUCAUAUUUAAAUUUCUGAAACAUGAGUUGAGGAUUGUUGGAAGCCUCAAAAACUUAAAUAAAAGAGGGGCAAAAACCCUAGAAAUCUCAUUCAUUGCUCCAAAAUGCUCUUCUUAAAUGUUUGAUAAUUUUUGGUAAGGGUUCUGGUCCCAACCAAAAUAUUGAACAUUUUUAAGGAAUUAUUUUUGGGACUUUGGAUUUAAUUCAUUAGCUAUUUGAAUUUGAAUUAUAUUCAUAUAAUUAGAAUAUAAUUUAAAUACCCCUGAAAUAUUUUAUAAGCUUUUGGAAAAGUCCAUCCAGCAUUAUAAAAUAUUCAGAGGAGUUUUUGGCAUUGUUUGAAUUAUUUUUAAAAUUCAAAACAGUGGCAAAAUAAAUUAAUAAAAAUAAANNNNNNNNNNNNNNNNNNNNNNNNNNNNNNNNNNNNNNNNNNNNNNNNNNNNNNNNNNNNNNNNNNNNNNNNNNNNNNNNNNNNNNNNNNNNNNNNNNNNNNNNNNNNNNNNNNNNNNNNNNNNNNNNNNNNNNNNNNNNNNNNNNNNNNNNNNNNNNNNNNNNNNNNNNNNNNNNNNNNNNNNNNNNNNNNNNNNNNNNNNNNNNNNNNNNNNNNNNNNNNNNNNNNNNNNNNNNNNNNNNNNNNNNNNNNNNNNNNNNNNNNNNNNNNNNNNNNNNNNNNNNNNNNNNNNNNCGAACACGCCCAUCGCCGCCGUUCGCCGUUGCCGCGACCACCGCCACCCCCUCUCCUCUCCGACGCGCUCCCGAGCUCCGCCACGACGUCGUCGUCCUCUCCAUCGAGUCACACGGCGCCAGAAGCUCUGCUGCAUCUCCAACGCCGCCGUUUCUGACCUCGGGUGCCGGUGAUCCCCGCCGUCGAUUCGCCGGACCCCGUGCCUCCCCUGCCUCGCCAGCAGCACCAGAAGAACUGCGGUGAGCCGCUGCAUCGUUUCCCCCAUGCCUCGUUGCCUAAUUUGCCCCCUAGCCGCUCCCUCCACCAGAGCCGAGACGCUCCGCCGCACGGGCUCGUCGCCGGUGAAGCUCCGGUGACCUUUUGGUCCCACGCAUGCGUCCGUUGCACUCGUUGCGUCUCGUAGAGUAAAACUAGCGCGACAACCGUCUUGUUUGCACACCGCAGUUCCGGUCCCGCGAACCCCCGAGCUCCGGCCGCCGCCGGGGUCGAUGCCGCGCUCAACUCCGGCCACCCCACGCCCUCUCGUGGGUCCCCCUAGAUGCGCGGGAGCACGGGCUUCCUCCUGGUGCCCUCAGGGUGCCCAACCGCAGCCUGUAGUGCCAUCCCGAGCUACUCCGGCGAGGUUCCGCUGUCGCCAUGGUCGCCGGCGUCACUAGCCGACGUGGUCGCGUGAUUAGCACUAAUCACGGCCAGCUAACCUCCCCAGAGCCGCUGACGUAUGGGCCCCACGCCCUUAUUUAAUCCUUAUCAUUUUCUGUUAAGUUUAACCUAACCACCAUGGGCCCACACGUCAGUUUUGACUAAGCUGACGUGGCUGUUGACUUGGUCCCACCUGUCAGAGUCACUAACCAGCACUAGUCACUGACUAGUGGACCCCACUGGUCAGGUUUGACCCGGACCAGCCCCUGUUGACCCGCUGACGUCAUGAUGAUGUCAGGCUGACGCAAUAAUGAAUUACUGGAAUUAUUUUAAUUCUAAAUAUUCAGGAAAUUCCAGAAAAUGCCUAAAACUUCUAAAAAUCAUAGAAAUUCAACCGUAACUCCAAAUUAAAUAAUUUAUAUAUGAAAAAUUAUCAGAAAAAUUCAAGGAAUCCAUCUGUACCAUUUUCAUGCAUGUUAGAACAACUUAUAGGUGCUGUUUAGCACAAAUCAAUUAAAUGGCAUUUGAAUAAUCACAUAUGGAGUUUGAAUUUGAAUCUUGUAUUCAAACCAACUUCAUUUAAUCUGUUGCUAGUUGCAUUAGCCCAAAACACAUUCAUUUUGCCAUGUCAUGAUCAUGCAUCAUAUUGUGCAUUGCAUUGAUUGUGUUCCCUUCUGUGUUGCCGGUAUUUGUCCCCUCUCGAUAGACGUGAUACCGAUGAUGCGAUCGUUGACACUGAUGAAGACUCAAUGCUAUCUUCAGAAGUGCCAGGCAAGCAAAACCCCCUUGUUCAUUCCGAUAAAAUCCCACUCUCUCGCUCCUGCUCUCUUUUACUACAUUAGGACAACAUCGAUUCAUCUGUUACUUGCUGCGGUAGCUGAACCCCUUUAUCCUCUGCAUGACCUGUCAUUUCACAGUAAAUAGAUGAAACCCACUAGCAUGAGUAGGAGUUGUUUGAGCCCUGAUGUGCCUACUCAUUCAUGCUUGUUUGUCAUGCCUGCUACUGCUUAGAGUUGAGUCAGGUCUGAUUCAUCGGGGAUGAAUCAGAGGCGUGUGAACAUGUCCUACUGUGUGUGAGCUAAGUGUGUGAACACGAUUUGGUAAAGGUAGUGGUGAGAGGCCAUGUAGGAGUACAUGGUGGGUUGUCUCAUUGCAGCCGUCCUCAGGAACUGAGUUCUGUGUUUGUGAUCCAUGAUUCAGCUACUACCACACAUUGGGCCCGAAACCAAUGGACCCUCUCGGCUUCUUGAUCACCCUUGUCCUCUGUCCAGGAGUUGCAAGUAGUUUCUGGUGUUUGUAGUAUGCUGGAGGCCGUGCGCAGCGCUGACCGUAGGGGUGGGCUGUGAUGCGGUAGGCACGUGGCCGGGUAAACCGAGCGCCCGUUUGGUGUCACGGAACCCUGUUCACAUCGUUUGGGGCUGUGAGCGAAACUCCGUCCGGAUCUCCUCAUGGAUGGAACCCGAAUAGGCGAUAAACCUGGACUAGAGACUUGAGUGUUUAGGCAGGCCGUGGCCGACACCCACGUUGGGCUUCCGCUUGAAGGUUGCCGAGUACAUGUCGUGUAAACGGCGGUAAGUGGUGAGAGCGUGUGUGAAGAAGUACACCCCUGCAGGGUUAACAUCAUCUAUUCGAAUAGCCGUGUCCGCGGAAAAGGACUUCUGGGUUGCUUAUAUCAGUUCAUAGACAAGUGAAAGUGGAUGCUCUAAAAUACGCAAGAUAAGCGUGAAUGCUAUGGAUGGCGUUCUCGUAGGGAGACGGGAGCGGAUCCAUAGUGGUGUAUUGAUAUGGUGAAUAAGUGGACUCGUGUGCGCCACCUCAAAAGAGUCGCUUGCAGUCGCAGUUUAGGAUAGCCACCUAGUCAAAGCUGGCUUGCUGCAGUUAAACCCCACCAUCCCCUUGUUGAAAAUGAUGCAUAUGUAGUUAGUUCUGAUGUAAGUCUUGCUGGGUACAUUUGUACUCACGUUUGCCUAUUUUAUGUUUUUGCAGAGAGACUUCAGUCUCACUAGUAGUUUCGCGUGGACUUUGACGUUUAGCUUGUUACCUUAGCUACGAUCUUGUGCCUCGGCAGGAUUGGUAGAUAGUCAGGCUUCUCAGCCUUUUUCAUUUAUAGAUGUCUGUACUCAGACAUGUUAAGCUUCCGCUUGUGCUUUGACUUGUAUGCUCUGAGUGUUGGGUCAUGAGACCCAUGUUUGUAAUAUCUCGCUCCUCGGAGCCUAUUGAUUAAAUACUUGAGUCGUAGAGUCAUGUUGUGAUGCCAUGUUGUAUUUGCACAUAUCGAGCAUAUUGUGUGUAUGUUAUUGAAAUGCUUGGUAUGUGUGGGAUCUGACCAUCUAGUUGUUUAUCUUUAGUAGCCUCUCUUACCGGGAAAUGUCUCCUAGUGUUUCCAUUGAGCCUUGGUAGCUUGCUACUGCUCCGGAACACUUAGGCUGGCCAGCAUGUGUCCUUCUUCGUUCCUGUGUCUGUCCCUUCGGGGAAAUGUCACGCGAUGAAUACCUGAGUCCUGUUAGCCCGCUACAUCCCGGUUCACCGGAGUCCUGCUAGCCCAGUGCUACAGCCUGGAUUCACUCACUGAUGACCGACACGUUCGAUGCUGGGUCAUGGAUGCCUGUCCCUGUAAGUCUGUGCCACUUUGGGUUUACGACUAGUCAUGUCAGCCAGACUAUUUAUCAUAUGGAUGCUAGCGACAUCAUCAUAUACGUGAGCCAAAAGGCGCAAACGGUCCCGGGCAAAGGUAAGGCGACUCCCGUGGGAAUACCGUGCGUGAGGCCGCAAAGUGAUAUGAGGUAUUACAUGCUAGAUGGAUGUGGCAUUGAGUCGGGGUCCUGACAGCGUUUGUAUCAGAGCUUGACUGCCUGUAGGAUUACCAAGCCAAACUGGUCGAAGUUGAGUCUAGAAAUUCUUAGUUAUAUAAGGGAAUUGAUUGUGGGAUGGAACGUAAGGCUCUUUUUACUCCUUAUACCUCAUGGCCUUCUGAUCUGAGUCAUCAUCUUCUCUUCUACGGGGAUUAAGAACUAGGCUAUCUCUUCUUUCUAUUAGGAUCACGUGUUGCUAAUCUGUAGACUUAUAAAAUUGUUGGACUUAAGCCUCGUUUCAGUUCCUACUACUUCUGUAUGAUUACUGUUGAUCUCGGAACCUUGAUACUGUGAUGUUGAGUGGUUAUGCCACCAUUUUGUGAUUGUCUCAAAUCUUUUUGAGCAUUUACAGUCGUUAUGCUGUCCGAGUCAUCCCAGGUCUCUAAACAGUCUGAUGCACUUGCAAAUCCUUUCCUUCCGUCUCCGUCCUGACAUUACUCCUCUGAUUAUGAACAUGAAUAUGCUUUGUGAGUAGUUACGUUUGUUCCUGAGGACAUGGGUGAAGUCUUGCUAUUAGUAGUCAUGUGAAUUUGGUAUUCGUUCGAUAUUUUGAUGAGAUGUAUGUUGUCUUUGCUCUAGUGGUGUUAUGUGAACGUCGACUACAUGACACUUCACCAUUAUUUGGGCCUAGAGGAAGGCAUUGGGAAGUAGUAAGUAGAUGAUGGGUUGCUAGAGUGAUGGAAGCUUAAACCCUAGUUUAUGCGUUGCUUCAUAAGGGGCCGAUUUGGAUCCAUAUGUUUAAUGCUGUGGUUAGGUUUACCUUAAUACUUCUUUUGUAGUUGCGGAUGCUUGCAAUAGGGGUUAAUCAUAAGUGGGAUGCUUGUCCAAGUAAGGGCAGUACCCAAGCACCGGUCCACCCACAUAUCAAAUUAUCAAAGUACCGAACGCGAAUCAUAUGAGCGUGAUGAAACUAGCUUGACGAUAAUUCCCAUGUGUCCUCGGGAGCGCUUUUCUCAUUAUAAGAAAUUGUCCAGGCUUGUCCUUUGCUACAAAAAGGAUUGGUCCACCUUGCUGCACUUUAUUUACUUUCGUUGCUUGUUACUCUUUACAAUUUAUCUUAUCACAAAACUAUCUAUCACCUACAAUUUCAGAGCUUGAAGAGAAAACCUUACUAAAAACCGCUUAUUAUUUCCUUCUGCUCCUCGUUGGGUUCGGCACUCUUACUUAUCGAAAGGACUACGAUAGAUCCCCUACACUUGUGGGUCAUCAUUGAUCAUUCAUGCUUCACUUAUAUUUUUUUUUUGUGAGUCUUUUAGAACAGCAUGGUAUUUGCUAUGGUUAUAAAUUUGGUCCUAGAAUGAUGAGCAUCCAACUUGGGUAUAAUAAAAACUAUCAUAGAAAGUGCAUUAAAAACUAUGAUCAAUUUGAUGGUUGAUAAUUGUUUUGAGAUAUAAAGGUGGUAAUGUUAGAGUCAUGCUAGUUGGGUAAUUAUGAAAUUGAGAAAUACUUGUGUUGAAGUUGGCAAGUCCCGUAGCAUGCACGUAUGGUAAAAGUUAUGUAACAAAUUUGUAGCAUGGGGUGCUCUUUGAGUGCUUUCCUUAUGAGUGGCAGUCGGGGACGAGCGAUGGUCUUUUCCUACCAAUCUAUCCCUCUAGGUGCAUGUGUAGUAGUACUUUACUUCGAGGGCUAAUAAAUUUUUGCAAUAAGUAUAUGAGUUCUUUAUGACUAAUGUGAGUGCAUGGAUAUAUGCACACUUACCCUUCCACUUUGCUAGCCUCUAUUAUACCGCGCAACCUUCGCCGGUAUCAUGAACCCAUUAUUUACCUUCCUCAAAACAGCCACCAUACCUACGUAUUAUGGCAUUUCCAUAGCCAUUCCGAGAUAUAUUGCCAUGCAACUUUCCACUGUUUUGUUUAUUAUGACAAGCUCCAUCAUUGUCUUGCUCUUUGCAUGAUCAUGUAGUUGACAUCGUAUUUGUGGCAAGGCCACCUUCAUAAUUUUUCAUACAUGUCACUCUUGAUUCAUUGCAUAUCCCGGUACACCGCCGGAGGCAUUCACAUAGAGCCAUAUCUUGUUCUAAGUAUCGAGUUGUAAUUCUUGAGUUGUAAAUCAAUAAAAGUGUGAUGAUCUUCAUUAUUAGAGCAUUGUCCCAAGUGAGGAAAGGAUGAUGAAGACUAUGAUUCCCCCACAAGUCGGGAUGAGACUUCGGACUUUAUAAAAAUAGAAGAGGCCAAAGAAGCCCACCAAAAUAAAAAAAAAUGGGAGAAAAAGAGAGAAGGGACAAUGUUACUAUCCUUUUACCACACUUGUGCACCAUGAUCUUCAUGAUAGAGAGUCUCCUAUGUUGUCACUUCCAUAUACUAGUGGGAAUUUUUCAUUAUAAAACUUGGCUUGUAUAUUCCAAUGAUGGGCUUCCUACAAACGCCCCAGGUCUUCGUGAGGAAGCAAGUUGGAUGCACACCCACUUAGUUUCUUUUGUUGAGAUUUCAUAUAUUUAUAGCUCUAGUGCAUCCUUUGCAUGGCAAUCCCUACUCACUCACAUUGAUAUCUUUUAAUGGGUGAUGUCUACUACACGACCUUCUUCUUGUAGACGUUGUUGGGCCUGCACGUGCACAGGUUUGUAGGACAGUAGCAAAUUUCCCUCAAGUGGAUGACCUAAGGUUUAUCAAUCCGUAGGAGGCGUAGGAUGAAGAUGGUCUCUCUCAAACAACCCUGCAACUAAAUAACAAAGAGUCUCUUGUGUCCCCAACACACCCAAUACAAUGGUAGAUUGUAUAGGUGCACUAGUUCGGCGAAGAGAUGGUGAUACAAAUGCAAUAUGGAUAGUAGAUAAAGGUAUUUGUGAUCUGAAAUUAUAAAAACAGCAAGGUAGCAAGUAACAAAAGUGAGCGUAAACGGUAUUGCAAUGAUAGGAAACAAGGCCUAGGGUUCAUACUUUCACUAGUGCAAGUUCUCUCAACAAUAAUAACAUAGAUAGAUCAUAUAAAAAUCCCUCAAUAUGCAACAAAGAGUCACUCCAAAGACACUAAUAGCGGAGAACAAAUGAGGAGAUUAUGGUAGGGCACGAAACCACCUCAAAGUUAUUCUUUCGGAUCAAUCUAUUCAAGAGUUCGUACUAGAAUAACACCUUAAGACACAAAUCAACAAAAACCCUAAUGUCACCUAGAUACUCCAUUGUCACCUCAAGUAUCCGUGGGCAUGAUUAUACGAUAAGCAUCACACAAUCUCAGAUUCAUCUAUUCAACCAACACAAAGUACUUCAAGGAGUGCCCCAAAGUUUCUACCGGAGAGUCAAGAACGUGCGCCAACCCCUAUGCAUAGGUUCAUGGGCGGAACCCGGAAGUUGGUCACCAAAACAUACAUCAAGUGGCACAUGAUAUCCCAUUGUCACCACAGAUAAUCACGGCAAGACAUACAUCAAGUGUUCUCAAAUAAAGACUCAUUCCGAUAAGAUAACUUCAAAGGGGAAAACUCAAUCCAUUACAAGAGAGUAGAGGGGGAGAAACAUCAUAAGAUCCAACUAUAAUAGCAAAGCUCGGGAUACAUCAAGAUCAUGCCAUAGAGGGAACACGAGAGAGAACACGAGAGAGAGAGAGAGAUCAAACACAUAGCUACUGGUACAUACCCUCAGCCUCGAGGGUGAACUACUCCCUCCCGUCAUGGAGAGUGCCGGGAUGAUGAAGAUGGCCACCAGUGAAGGAUCUCCCCUCUGGCAGGGUGCCGGGAAGGGCUCCCGAGAGGUUUUUGGUGGCUACAGCGGCUUGGGGCGGCGGAACUCCCGAUCUCUCUUGAUAUUCGAUGUUUUUAGGGUACAAGGGAAUAUAUAGGCGAAAGAAGUCAGUCGGGAGGUGCUCGAGGGCCCCACGAGACAGGGGGCGCGCCCAGUAGGGGGGGCGCGCCCUCCUAUCUCGUGGCCUCCUCAAGGGUCUUCUAACGUGAACUCCAAGUCUCCUGGGUGUUAUUCUUCCAAAAAAUCACGUUGCCGAAGGUUUCAUUCCGUUUGGACUCCGUUUGAUAUUCCUUUUCUUCGAAAUACUGAAACAGGCAAUAAAACAACAAUAUGGGUUGGGCCUCCGGUUAAUAGGUUAGUCCCAAAAGUAAUAUAAAAGUGUAUAAUAAAGCCCAUAAUCAUUCAAAACAGAUAAUAAAAUAGCAUGAAUGCUUCAUAAAUUAUAGAUACGUUGGAGACGUAUCAGCAUCCCCAAGCUUAAUUCCUACUCAUCCUCGAGUAGGUAAAUGAUAAAGAAAGAAUUUAUGAAGUGUGAAUGCUAGAAGGUGCACAAGUUUGAUCAAUGAUAAUUUCAAUCACCUUUUCCAGCAUGAUUAUAUGUCAUAACAAUAGUUCAUCUCAUAAAACUUUUCAUAAUCAAGUAACAAGCUAUUCACAUGUAUAAGCAUAGACCAUAAACUUUCUUGAAAACUAGCAAACUUCAUUCUUAGUCAUCAAACAAUUGCAAUUCAUCUUAUUUUCAGGAAGGGUCUAUGUUAGAGCUUUGAUUUAAUUAGCAAACUUCACAUACUCAACUAUCAUAUAGUCUUCUACAAUUGCUAACACUCACGCAGUCCUUGUGGUUAUGAAGUUUUAAUCAGACACAGAGAAAGAUUGGGGCUUAUAAUGUUGCCUCCAAUCGUAUUCACCUUUGGGUGAUGUCAACGAUAAUAGUUCAUGCUAACAUACAUCCAAUUUGAUAUAUAUAUCAGGAUCACCCCAACACAAAGUGCUUGCCAAAGGAUAAAAUGAAAAAGGGAAAGGUGAAGAUCACCUUAACUCUUGUAUAAAAGUAAAAGAUAGGCCCUUCGCAGAGGGAAGCAGGGAUUUGCAGAGGUGCCAGAGCUCGAUUUUUAAAAUAGAGAUUAAUAAUUUCGAGAGGUAUGAUCUCAUUGUCAACAUAACAACCAAGAGUUCCCAAUAUCUUCCAUAAUAAUUGCUUAUAGGUAGUUCCCACGCAGAAUGGUAAAAGUUUAUACUCCCCCAACCACCAACAAGCAUCAAUCCAUGGCUUGCUCGAAACAACGAGUGCCUCCAACCAACAACAAUCCUGGGGGAGUUUUGUUUAAUUAUUUUGAUUUGAUUUUGACCUUUUUGAUCAUGGGACUGGGCAUCCCGGUUACCGCCACUUUCUCGUGAAUGAGGAGCGGAGUCCACUCCUCUUGAGAAUAACCCACCUAGCAUGGAAGACACUGACAGCCCCUAGUUGCUACAUGAGCAAUUCGGGCAUACAAAACAGAUUAUAAUUUGAUGGUUUAGAGUUUGGCACAUGCAAAUUUACUUGGAACGGCAGGUAAAUACCGCAUAUAGGUAGGUAUGGUGGACACUCAUGGCAAAAACUGGGUUUAAGGAUAUUGGAUGCACAAGAAGUAUUCCCGCUUAGUACAGAUAUUUAGGCUAGCAAGGGGCGAAAGGCAAGCUCAACAUGUUUGAAUGAUCCAUGACAAUAUACUUUAACUAAGAUGCGAGAGAACAUAACCCAUUACAUUGUCUUCCUUGUCCAACAUCAACUCUUUAGCAUGUCAUACUUAAUGAGUGCUCACAAUUAUAAAAGAUGUCUAUGAUAAUAUAUUUAUAUGUGAAAUUUCUCUUCCUUAAAUAUUCUUUCAUGAAUUGUUCAAAUGACCAAUACAAUGCUUGCUAACCUUCAAUAAAUUACUACCUCUACUUCUUAGAUAUGAAGUCAUUACUCCCCAUGGGAUAAGAAAAUGAAACAUAUAUAAUUUCAGAUUUAUGAAAUUCAACUCAACCAUUUACUCAUAGGAUAUAAGUGAAGCACACGAGUAAAUGACAAACUACUCCAACAAGAUAUAAGUGAAGAUCAAUGAGUAGCUAAAAAAUUAUGCAACUAUGUGAAGACUCUCUCUCAUUUAAUAACUUCAGAUCUUGGUAUGUUAUUCAAACAGCAAGCAAAGCAACAUAAAAUGACAUUGUAAGGAUAGCACAACUCAUGUGAAGAAGCAAAAACUUAGGUUCAACCGAUACUAACCGAUAGUUGUUGAAGAAAAAAGGUGGGAUGCCUACCGGGGCAUCCCCAAGCUUAGGUGCUUGAGACUUCUUGAAAUAUUAUCUUGGGGUGCCUUGGGAAUCCCCAAGCUUGAGCUUUUGUGUCUCCUUAAUUCCCUUUUAUAUCACGGUUUCUCUUCUUUUUAUCAAAAAGCUUCAUUCACAACAAACUCAACAAGAACUCGUGAGAUAGGUUAGUAUAAACCAAUGCAAAACCUUAUCAUUUUCUACUGUAAAGAAUCACUAAGAUUAUUAUUCAACAUUUAAUACUAAAUGUCUCUGCAUAUUUAAUACUCCUAUCCUCAAAUAGAAUCAUUAAACAAGCAAACAUAUGCACACAAUGCAAACAUAACAGCAAUCUGCCAAAACAGUACAGUCUGUAAAGAAUGCAAGAUUCAUCAUACAUCCCUAACUCCAAAAAUUAUAAGGAAAAUACUACGCUGUAAAAGAUUUAUCAGAGCUCAUUAUGCAAAAAGAUUCAACAUUAUAUCACUCUCUGACUUUUCUAGGGAACUUUUGCAACAGCGGUAAACUUUCUGUUUUCAAACAGCAACAUGUAUACUUGCAAAAUAAGCAUGGUAAAGGCUAUCCUUGACAUUUUUAUUGAAAAUAAAGAUGAAAAACAUUAAUAUAAAUAACAUCAAGAAAAUACUAACAAAAUAAAAUGACACUCCAAGCAAAACACAUAUCAUGUGGUGAAUAAAAAUAUAGCUCCAAGUAAAGUUACCGAUGAACAAAGACGAAAGAGGGGAUGCCAUCCGGGGCAUCCCCAAGCUUAGGCUCUUGGUUAUCCUUGAAUAUUACCUUGGGGUGCCUUGGGCAUCCCCAAGCUUAGGCUCCUUCCACUUAUUAUUCCAUAGUCCAUGGAAUCCUUACCCAAAACUUGAAAACUUCAGCCACACAAAACUCAAAACAAAACUCGUAACCUCCGUUGGUAUAAGAAAGAAAAACUACCACAUAAGGUACUGUAAUGAACUCAUUCUUUAUUUAUAUUGGUGUUAAACCUACUGUAUUCUAACUUCUCUAUGGUUCAUACCCUUACAUACUAGCCAUAGAUUCAUCAAAAUAAGCAAACAACACCAUGAAAGCAGAAUCUGUCAAAAACAGAACAGUCUGUAGUAAUCUGUAUCAAACGUAUACUUCUGGAACCCCAAAAAUUAUGAAAUAAAUUGAUGGACCUGAGUAAUUUGUCUAUUAAUCAUCUGCAAAAAUAAUCAACCUAAAAGCACUCUCCAGUAAAAAAAGUGGCAUCUAAUCUCGUGAGCGCUAAAGUUUCUGUUUUUCACAGCAAGAUCAUAAAGACUUCGCCCAAGUCUUCCCAAAGGCUCUACUUGGCACUUAAGUGAAACAAAAGCUAUAAAACAUGAUUACUACAGUAGCAUAAUCAUGUGGACACACAAAAACAGUAAGGGUUAAUAUUGGGAUGUCUCCCAACAAGAGCUUUUAUUUAAUGCCUUUCUAGCUAGGCAUGAUGAUGGCAAUGAUGCUCACAAAAAGGAUAAGAAUUGAAACAUAAAGGGAGCAUCAUGAAGAAUAUUACUAGCACAUUUAAGUCUAACCCACUUCCCAUGCAUAGGUAUUUUGUGAGCAAACAACUUACAGGAACAAUAAUUAACUAGCAUAGGAAGGCAAAACAAGCAUAACUUCAAGAUUUUAAGCACGUAGAGAGGAAACUUAAUAUUAUUGCAAUUCCUACAAGCAUAUGUUCCUCCCUCAUAAUAAUUUUCAGUGGCAUCAUGAAUGAAUUCAAGAAUAUAACCAGCACCUAAAGCAUUAUUUUCAUGAUUUACAAGCAUGGAAAAUUACUACUCUCCACAUAAGCAAAAUUCUUCUCAUAAAUAGUAGUGGGAGCAAACUCAACAAAAUAACUAUCAUGUGAGGCAUAAUCCAAUUGAAAACUAAAAUGAUGAUGACAAGUUUCAUGGUUAUCAUUAUUCUUAAUAGCAUACAAGUCAUCACAAUAAUCAUCAUAGAUAGCAAUUUUGUUCUCAUAAUCAAUUGGAACCUCUUCCGAAAUAGUGGAAUCAUCACUAAAUAAAGUUGACACUCUUCGAAAUCCACUUUCAUAUUCAUCACAAUAAGAUUCAACAUCCUCCAAAAUAGUGGGAUCAAUACUACCUAAAGUUGACACUCUUCCAAACCCACUUUCAUCAAUAUAACCAUCAUAAAUAGGAGGCAUGCUGUCAUCAUAAUAAAUAUUCUCAUCAAAACUUGGGGGACUAAACAUAUCAUAUUCAUCAAACAUAGCUUCCCCAAGCUUGUGGCUUUGCAUAUCAUUAGCAUCAUGGAUAUUCAAAGAGUUUAUACUAACAACAAUGCAAUCAUGCUCAUCAUUCAAAGAUUUAGUGACAAACAUUUUAUAGAUUUCUUCUUCUAGCACUUGAGCACAAUUUUCCUUACCAUCAUUCUCACGAAAGAUAUUAAAAAGAUGAAGCGUAUGAGACAAACUCAAUUCCAUUUUUUUGUAGUUUUCUUUUAUAGACUAAACUAGUGAUAAAACAAGAAACAAAAAGAUUCGAUUGCAAGAUCUAAAGAUAUACCUUCAAGCACUCACCUCCUAAAAGAGCUUAGUUGACGGGGUGUGAGUACCGUUUACCUAGCCUCCCCGGCAACGGCGCCAGAAAAGAUCUUGAUGUCUACUACACAACCUUCUUCUUAUAGACGUUGUUGGGCCUGCAAGUGCACAAGUUUGUAGGACAGUAGCAAAUUUCCCUCAAGUGCAUGACCUAAGGUUUAUCAAUCCGUAGGAGGCGUAGGAUGAAGAUGGUCUCUCUCAAACAACCCUGCAACAAAAUAACAAAGAGUCUCUUGUGUCCCCAUCACACCCAAUACAAUGGUUGAUUAUAUAGGUGCACUAGUUCGGCAAAGAGAUGGUGAUACAAGUGCAAUAUGGAUAGUAGAUAAAGGUAUUUGUGAUCUGAAAUUAUAAAAACAGCAAGGUAGCAAGUAACAAAAGUGAGCGUAAAUGGUAUUGCAAUGAUAGGAAACAAGGCCUAGGGUUCAUACUUUCACUAGUGCAAGUUCUCUCAACAAUAAUAACAUAGAUAGAUCAUAUAACAAUCCCUCAAUAUGCAACAAAGAGUCACUCCAAAGCCACUAAUAGCGGAGAACAAACGAGGAGAUUAUGGUAGGGUACGAAACCACCUCAAAGUUAUUCUUUCGGAUCAAUCUAUUCAAGAGUUCGUACUAGAAUAACACCUUAAGACACAAAUCAACCAAAACCCUAAUGUCACCUAGAUACUCCACUGUCACCUCAAGUAUCUGUGGGCAUGAUUAUAUGAUAAGCAUCACACAAUCUCAGAUUCAUCUAUUCAACCAACACAAAGUACUUCAAGGAGUGCCCCAAAGUUUCUACCGGAGAGUCAAGAACGUGUGCCAACCCCUAUGCAUAGGCUCAUGGGCGGAACCCGCAAGUUGGUCACCAAAACAUACAUCAAGUGACACAUGAUAUCCCAUUGUCACCACAGAUAAUCACGGCAAGACAUACAUCAAGUGUUCUCAAAUAAAGACUCAAUCCGAUAAGAUAACUUCAAAGGGGAAAACUAAAUCCAUUACAAGAGGGUAGAGGGGGAGAAACAUCAUAAGAUCCAACUAUAAUAGGAAAGCUCGAGAUACAUCUAGAUCUUGCCAUAGAGGGAACACGAGAGAGAACACGAGAGAGAGAGAGAGAGAGAGAGAGAGAGAGAUCAAACACAUAGCUACUGGUACAUACCCUCAGCCUCGAGGGUGAACUACUCCCUCCUCGUCAUGGAGAGCACCGGGAUGAUGAAGAUGGCCACCGGUGAAGGAUCCCCCCUCCGGCAGGGUGCCGGGAAGGGCUCCCGAGAGGUUUUGGUGGCUACAGAGGCUUGCGGCGGCGGAACUCCCGAUCUCUCUUGAUAUUCGAUGUUUUUAGGGUACGAGGAAAUAUAUAGGCAAAAGAAGUCGGUCGGGAGGUGCUCGAGGGGCCCACGGGAUAGGGGGGCGCGCCUAGUAGGGGGGGGCGCCCUCCUAUCUCGUGGCCUCCUCGAGGGUCUUCUGACGUGAACUCCAAGUCUCUUGGGUGUUAUUCUUCCAAAAAAAUCACGUUGCCGAAGGUUUCAUUCCAUUUGAACUCCAUUUGAUAUUCCUUUUCUUCGAAAUACAGAAACAGGCAAUAAAACAGCAAUAUGGGCUGGGCCUCCAGUUAAUAGGUUAGUCCCAAAAGUAAUAUAAAAGUGUACAAUAAAGCCCAUAAUCAUUCAAAACAGAUAACAAAAUAGCAUGAAUGCUUCAUAAAUUAUAGAUAUGUUGGAGACAUAUCAAGGGCAUCUCCAUAGCCCAUUGAUAUGCCUAGUUGAUGUGAGACUAUCUUCUCCCUCCUUGUCUUCAUAACCACCACCAUAUACCACACAUAGUGCUAUGUCCAUGGCUUGCGCUCAUGUAUUGGUAAGAGUUGAAAAGGCUGAAGCGCGUUAAAAAUUAUGAACCAAUUGCUCGGCUCGUCAUCGGGGUUAUGCAUAAGGGGAGUAUUUUGCGUUAUAAAAAUGAAGCAUGGCCUAACUAUAUGAUUUUGUAGGGAUAAGAUUUCUUUGGCUAUGCUGUUUUGAUAAGACAUGAUUAUUUGUUAGUAUGCUUCAAGUAUUACUAUUUUUAUGUUUUAUAAGCUUUUAUCUUGAAUCAUUUGGAUCUAAACAAUCAUGCCACAAUAAACAGAAUUACACUGAGAAUUAUGCUAGGUAGCAUUCCACAUCUAAAAUUCUGUUUUUAUCAUUUACCUACUCGAGGACGAGCAGGAAUUGAGCUUGGGGAUGCUUGAUACGUCUCCAACGUAUCUAUACUUUUUAUUGUUCCAUGCUAUUAUAUUACUUGUUUUGGAUGUUUAUGGGCAUUACUCUACACUUUUAUAUAAUUUUUGGGACUAACCUACUAAUCGGAGGCCCAGCUCGAAUUGCUGUUUCUUUUUGCCUAUUUCAGUGUUUUGAAGGAAAGGAAUAUCAAACGGAGUCCAAACGGAAUGAAACCUUCGGGAGCGAUCUUUGUGGAACAAACGCAAUCCAGGAGACUUGGAGUGGACGUCAAGAAGCAGACGAGGCGGCCACGAGGGUGCCCGGCGCGCCUUGUAAUGGUGGGCGAGCCCCCACCCUCGUGGGCCCCUCGAGCAUCCACCGACCUACUUCUUCCUCCUAUAUAUGUCCAUGGACCCCGAGAACAUCCAGGAGCACCACGAAAAACUAUUCCCACCGCCACAACCUUUUGUAUCCGUGAGAUCCCAUCUUGGAGCCUUCGCCAGCACUCCGUCGGAGGGGGAAUCGACCACGGAGGGCCUCACCAUCAUCACCAAGGCCUCUCUGAUGAGUUGUGUGUGUUUACCACAGACCUUCGGGUCCAUAGUUAUUAGCUAGAUGGCUUCUUCUCUCUCUUUGAUUCUCAAUACAAAGUUCUCCUUCCUCUUCUUGGAGAUCUAUUCGAUGUAACUCUUUUUGCGGUGUGUUUGUGGAGAUCCGAUGAAUUGUGGGUUUAUGAUCAAGUUUAUCUAUGAGAAAUAUUUGAAUCUCCUCUGAAUUCUUUUAUGUACGAUUGGUUAUCUUUGGAAGUCUCUUCGAAUUAUCAGUUUGGUUUGGCCUACUAGACUGAUCUUUCUUGCCAAGGGAGAAGUGCUUAGCUUUGGCAGUGACAGCAGGGGCAGCAAGGCACGUAUUGUAUUGUUGCCAUCAAGGAUAAAAAGAUGUGGUUUAUAUCAUAUUGCAUGAUUUUAUCCCUCUACAUCAUGUCAUCUUGCUUAAUGCAUUACUCUAUUCUUAUGAACUUAAUACUCUAGAUGCAGGAAGGAGUCGGUCGAUGUGUGGAGUAAUAGUAAUAGAUGCAGAAUUGUUUCGGUCUACUUGUUGCAGACGUGAUGCUAAUAUACAUGAUCAUGCCUAGAUAAUCUCAUAACUAUGCACUUUUCUAUCAAUUGCUCAACAGUAAUUUGUUCACCCACCGUAAUAAUUAUGCUAUCUUGUGAGAAGCCACUAGUGAAACCUACGGCCCCCGGGUCUAUCUUUUAUCAUAUAAGUUUUCCAUCUACUUUUAUUUGCAUCUCUUAUUUUCCAAUCCAUAUCAUAAAAAAUACCAAAAAUAUUUAUCUUAUCAUAUUAUCUCUAUCAGAUCUCACUUCCGCAAGUUACCGUGAAGGGAUUGACAACCCCUUUAUCGCGAAAAAGUUGGUUGCGAGGUUCUUGUUUGUUUGUGUAGGCGCAUGGGACUUGGGAGGAGCCUCCUACUUGAUUGGUACCUUGGUUCUCAAAAACUGAGGGAAAUACUUACACUACUUUGUUGUAUUACCGUUUCCUCUUCAAGGGAAAAACCAAUGCAUGCUCAGGUGGUAGCACUGUUGAGGAUCGUUGCAGAAAUAAAAAAAUUCUAUGCAUCACCAAGAUCAAUCUAUGGAGAAACUAGCAACAAGAGAGAGGGGAGUUCAUCUUCAUACCCUUGAAGAUCGUGAAACGGAAGCGUUGCAAGAACGUGGAUGAAGGAGUCGUACUCGUAGCGAUUCGGAUCGCGGUGGAUUCUGAUCUAAGCGCCAAACAACGACACCUCCGUGUUCAACACACGUGCAGCCCGGUGACGUCUCCCACGCCUUGAUCCAGCAAGGAGGAGGGAGAGGUUGAGGAAGGCAGCUCCAGCAGCAGCACGACGGCGUUGUGAUGGUGGAGCAGCAGUUCUCCAGCAGGGCUUCGACAAGCUCAAACGGAGGAGGAGAGGUGUUGGAGAGGGGGAGGGUUGCGCCUUGGAUGUGGUGCGGCUGCCCUCCCUCCUCCCCGCUAUCUAUAGGGUGAAGGGGGAAGGGGACCGGCCCCUGUAGAUGAGAUCUAGAGGGGGGUGGCGGCCAAGGGGAGGGGGCUUGCCCCCCAAGCCAAGGGGGGCGCCCCCUCUAGGGUCCCCCCCAACCCUAGGCGCAUGGGCCCAAGAGGGGUUGUUGUGGUGGGUGCACGACAGAUGCCAAGUGAUCGCUAAAGAGAGGAGGAGGCUCGAGGGCGCUGGUGGGCUCUAGAGGCGUGGUUGGCAUGCGCGGGCGCGGGACGCCGGACAUACCCAGGUUCGGGGCUCUACAAAGAGAUAACACCCUAGUCCUGCUGAGUUUAGUCGGAUGGUCGAUAGUACAAUGUUGCUCCUGGAGCUGUAUGGAGGAGGAAGGAAGCUGGCCAAGGCUUGGGCCGCUCCUUCUCUCUGGUGCUGCCGUUGGGUGGCUAGUCCUAUGCUUGCUUGUGUUUCUCUUGUGUCUCGUACAUAUGCCUCUCUCUGUAGGCGCGGGUUCCUGGGGGUUUUAUAGAUCAACCCACCUAGGGUUACAAUGGUAAUACAUCGAGUCGGCUGGGUCCCGCUUGAGGGCUUGUGGUCCGCCGGGUUCCCCUAGGUGCGGGCCCCGCAUGCCUAGGGGAACUGUUCGCCGUCUUGUUGAUCAUUAGGGCGUGGCCGAGUCGAGUCGUGUAUAGUGCUCUCCGUCAGGUUGCCGCUUGCUGCCGUCAGCGGUGAGGGCAGGAGCACUAUUGCCAUGCCAGCCUCGGUCUGCAAGUAGGAGAAGGGCAUUGUUGCCACGCUCCGGCUGACCAUAGGCAUGGGCGGAAGAACUGUAGUCUUGUUCAUCGGUGAUUAAAGUCUCGUCCCAUUGUACGACCUGGAUGGGACGGGAGUUGACCCGUGGCUGGGUUGUCGUGCACACCACGGGUGGGGUCAGCUUGUUGGGGAAGCCUUGGUGGCGCCGGGUUGGGUUGUCUUGCGCCAGUUGCUGUGGCCGGGUGGACGUACCUUGCCGAUUCGAAGAGCUUGGCCGGGUUGCGGGCCUUGCCGGGUCGAGCGACCCGGCCAAGCACGUGCCGGUUCGUGGGGCGAUACGGGCCCCGCCAUUUUUGAAAAGGAUCCGGUUUCCAUUGUCUGCCCGGGGUUCAUCCCCCCGACAAUAGUCCCCGAAGCUGUGAAGGUCCGCCGUCUUCGGAUGAGUGGGCCUUCGCAGUUUCCCCCUUGAGCAAGGCGGAUUCUGCGAGCGCCGGGUCCGGCAACUCCCAAUGUGUGCCGGUUUUCUCAGAAACCGGAUCACGGCAUCCCGGCUGUGGUGGGAACCGAGCAGUCCUCUGAAUAUUGAGGCAAUCCCUCGGGCUUCGUGCAGGCGCCAUGUGGUGCCCGGAAGCCGGAGGGGCCUGACAGGCCACGCGCGUGACGUGACCGGACGAUGGGCCGGGCCCGCCGCCGCGCGCCCUCGGCCCACGCGCGCGGAUUUAUUGCAGCGCCCAAGGGUCGGUUGCUCUUCCCUGAGCAGUUACUGUGCGUGUACGUGCGCACUUAUUGCGGGGUAGUGGAACGGGUGUGUGGAGACGAUCCCACUUCCCCAUGUUUGGACCAAGGGUUAUAAAUUGAGGGUGGCAAGGGGGCGGCGGACAUCAUUCUCGCUCGCGCCCCCUGUCCCCCUGCUCCUGCUCUGCUCUUCGCCACAGACGCACAGCUGCGCCUGCAGACCCAAGCAGAGCUUCCUUUGUCGUCCAUCCUCUCUCUUCUUCUUCUGUCCAUGGCACUGCCGUCGGGCUCCUGGAUGGGCUCGACUGUCACCACCGAUGACAUCACCCAUCUUCGAGCUUCCCGGCGCCUGCCGCGGGAGACGGACGUCGGCGUCCGCCUACUGCGCGGCGAGCAGAGGCCCCGACCCGAGGGGCAGGAGCGCGUCGUCUUCCUCACGCAUUUCGAGCGCGGUUUUGGGCUGCCGGCGAGCACCUUCUUCCGCGCGUUCUUGGAGUUCUUCGGGCUCCAACCGCAUCAUCUUGGCACCGGCGCCGCCGUCAUCUCGAAGCGGUCGGGGGCUGAUUUCCCCAAGAUUCAGCUGGAGGAUUCUGCCAAGAAGUGGCAGAACUCCUUCUUCUACGUCCGUAACCACGGUGCGGACCAUAUCAAUCUUCCUCCUUUCGCCGUUGCGCCUCCACGGGCGAAGACGAACUGGGGCUACUCGCUCCGGCGCCCGUGGCAGGAGAUCGUCAACCUCUGCGAGCGGGUGACGGUGAUGAGGACGCAGGAGGGGCUCACCGGCACCGACCUCCUUGCUGCGUUCAUCACUCGCUGGUUCCUUCCCGCUUCAGAGGCGCUCCUACCUCAUCGGCGAAAUGAUCGGCCUUCAGGACCCCAACCACAAGGGGGCGACGCGGCUGUCUGCGAAGCAGGUCGCGCGUGGCAUGAACGACAUCUCCAAGGCCAACCUUGGAGAGGACUGGCGAUUCGGCAAGGCGCCGUAUAGCCAGUCGAACCCGGCACCGCAGGUGAGUGUCUGGUCUUCUUACUUUGCUGCUGCCCAUCUUCUCAUUCGUCCCGACGUGACACGGGAGAUACUCUUGAACGCGAUUCGGCAUCCUUACACCCGGGCUCCGUCGCAGGUGGCGCCGGUCGCACCAGAGGAGCCCGCGGUCCAAGGCGGCGAGGAGGUGGCCGAGUCCAACGCCGGCGCUGGGCAUCACGCGGGUAAGUCAUGAAUUCUUCUUUCUUUAUUUGUCUUGAAUUGUUGAUCAUGUCGCGGUGCGGGCGACACUGACGCCGAUUGUUGGUGUAGUGGCGUUGGGCGGGGAAGGCGGCGACGCGGGCAGAGCCAGGUCAUCUCAUGGGGUAGCGCCGAGCCGCCCGCAUGGUAAAGACAGCGUCCAGCCGCGACCCCGGGCCCGGAAGCGCGCGACGGACCCGGCCGAGCCUGGGAGGGUGGCCAAGAGAAGGCGCGGCGGGAGGCCGACCCCGGUCCCGGUCUUGACGGGGUAAGCUUUAUCUUUUGUGUGCGUCCGGAUUGUUGAGCCGGAGUUGUCUUCUUUUUCUUUGGCUUAUUCUGCCUUCUUCUUCAGGUCGCCAAUCGCGCUGGCAAGGGCGGUGGCGGAAGCCGCGGCCGCCGAAGGGGCCGCGUUCCGCAAGAGCUGGUCCGACCUCACCGACCAAGCCGAGGCGGAGGGACGGACCGACUCGAACCUCUACCUGGACCAGAACGACGCCGAAGCCUUGGCUUGGCGGGACAGGAAUCGGGACGAGACGGAGCUGGAGGUGGCAUCGGUCUGGGCUUGGACCGACGCGGCGGCCGUGUGGGCGCGAGCCGGUGCGGAGCCGGCCUGGCGUGAGAUGCCGGAGGGCACGGUGGUGGCGGCGACGGUCUUUUAGCCGUCGUCGGUGAGGGAGCGCGGCUGGGGAGGCCGGGCUGAGGUGGUGAUCCUCGACCAGGAGGUCGUGGAGGUGGAGGGCGAUACCCCGCCGCGGGCCGACGUGGUUGUGUGCGCGGGGGCUGAUGGUGGUGUAGACGGUGUCGUCUUGGAAGAGGCACCGCGGGCGGCCGUGCCGGAGGUGCCGCUGGUGUUGGAGGCGACACCGCGGAUGGCGGUGCCGGAGGCCACCCCGACAGCUGGACCGGUGGUGGCGCAGCAGGACGUCCCAGCAUCCGGGAAGGCGGCGACGCAGGGCGUCCCGGCGUCUGGGUCCACGGAGGAGGUGCUGGCCGCGUCGCGAGCGGCCAGCGGGGAGCACGCCUUGGUGCUCCAGCAGGGUGGGCGCCAGGCUGCCGCGCCGCAGCCGGCGUGGAGCGGGGGCGCCACUGUCUUCGGCCCUCAGACCCAGGAGGAGGAGACGCUGGACGCCGUUAGCCGUCGUCUGCGCGGGCGGACGGAUCGGCUCGAGGCCUUUGCCGAGGCCGAGGUGGAGCGGACGCGCGACCUGGAGCGCCAUUCUGGUAAGCCUUCUUUUUUUUCCAGCAAUUUCUUCUUUGUGGGGGCGCGCCAGCGCACCCACUGGGUGUAGUCCCUGAGGUUCGGGCCAACUACGUUGCAGUGGGUCGAAUUUAAGAGCGUUGGCCUUGUUCUGACUUUUGUCUUUUUCAGCAUCUUGACGACUUCCGGGUUGCCGCUUCUAACCGUCUCCUGGGCAAGCAUCGGGAGCUCAAGGAGCAACUUACUGCCAAGGAGGAGGAGCUUCGCGUCGCCGCAGGUACCCUUGUGCUCUUUUCUAGUGGGGGCGCGCUAGCGCACCCACUGGGUGCAGCCCCCGAGAUUCGGGCCAACUAUGUAAUAGUUGGGCCAAAUCUUAAGUCUUGUCUUUUUUCUUCUGCUGAAUCCUUCUUCUUUGCAGCCGAGGUGCUGUCCUGGCGGACUCGCCUGCUCUAGGCCGGCCAUCACUAUGACCGGCUCGUUGCCGACACUGGCCGUCUUGGCGUCGAGGCGGCGCAGGCGAGGGCGGAGGCGGCCGCGGCCCGACGGUCUCUUGAUGAGGCCAACCGGCUGCAUGAGCAGCUGGCAGGUCACAAGAGCCGCCUCGAGGUGGAGCUUCUUAAGGCGGAGGCCGCCAAGGUGGUGGAGACGCAGCAGGCCCUGGUCGAGGCGGACCAGCAGCGCGGCCAGCUGGUCGAUGACAAGGGCCGGCUCCAGGCCGAGGUGGAUCGCCUGCGAGAGCAGGCCACUGCGGCUGAGGGGGCCCAUCAGGACGAGCCCGCCACCGCGAGGCGGCCAAGAAGGCGGCCGCAGACAAGGACGCCGAGCUGAAUGCGGCCCUUGCUAAGGCGGCCAAUCUGGAGAAGGCGCUUGGGGAGCGCGACCGCGCCAUGGAGCGGGAGCGGCGUGGUACGUUGCUUGAGGCGCAGCACCUGGAAGAGUCCUUCUCCAGUAAGUGCCAUUUCUUGUAGUUUGCCGGGUCGGGACCCGGCCUUUCUUCCUUGUUGUUAUUCUUCUAACUUGCUUCUUCCUUUGCGACAGGGGACUUCCCGGAGACGCAACGGCUGGCAGAGGAAGCCGUCCGCUAUCAGCACAACCCGACCGGUGUUGCUGGGUCUGGGACGGAUCCGCGGACGGCCUGGACCUUCCCGGAGAUCAUCGCCGCUGCUGAGGCCCGCCUGCGGGUCUUGGGGACGCAGAUGGAGUGGCUGUCCCGGGCCGGCACCGCGAUGACAGAGGCCUUGUGGCCGGAUUCCGUCCAUCCACGCAGCUUCUCGUGCCUGGCGCGUUCGUUGGAGAUGGGUCCGGACUGGCUUGACGAGUGGCGCGUUUCCGCCGGUGCUGAGAUGGUGCUCCGGUUCGUGCUGUCUUGGCAUCCGGAUGUUCAACUGGACGCGUUGAUGGGCCAGCGCGCCGGCUCGGAGCAGUUUCUGUAGGAGCAAGCCGGCCGGAUCGCCUCUCGAGCCAGCUACAUCGCCGAGUUCGCCUUUCACGACGAGUUCCAUCUGGAGCGGACGGCAGGGCCGUGGAUGGCGAUGACUAUGGCUUGCUUCUUCAGGAUCUGGAGGGGAGCUCGAAGGAGACGGGCGUCUACGGCGACUCGGAUGCCGAAGAGGACACUGGUGCCUCGCCGGACCCGGAGGCCGUCAGGGGAGAGCCGUCAACGUCGCGACGCGGCGCUGGAGAUGCCUGAGACACUUCGUGUAAAAACUGUUAAGUAGCAGGUCCACCCACCCACUGGGGGUUUUAGGGUGUAAUGAACUCGGGCCGUGGGCCUUUGCUUAAAUAUUUGUGUGUAAAUGUCAUGAGUGCCUUUUUGCUCUUUGCCGUUCGCUUUUUUGAACCGAUUUCAUACGCUUUUCCUCUCUCAAACCUCCCCCGCACCCCCCCCCCCCGUGAGUCAGACGGCCGAGGCUCCGGUCUGUGACACGGGGUUCGAAUCUUCGAGAGGGGCGCGCAGGACUUGGGUCCUUAGAAGCGUUGAGCGCGAGCGAAACAGCCACCGGGCCGGCUGGCGGCAAUCCGGCUUAGCGGGUUGGUGAGCAGCCAGUCGUGCGGCUACUUGUUUGAUGAGUGACGGGCCGGGUUGAUCGACCCGGCGGCCUUUGACUUAGUGUAUGAAUCGUAGAGGAGCUUUGGCCCGUUAUGCUUGUCCGCCGAUAGCCAAAGUUGGAUCUGCGGUUUUAGGGCGAAGUGGGGGACCGCGGCGUCCCAACUUUAUCAGGAAUCACCAAGUAAGGUGGCGGGGUGGCGACCGAGCCGGCCUGCCCCCGAGCCCCCGGGUCGAGCGAGUCAAGCCGGUGGCCGGGUUCAGUGGUAAAGUGAUGCAGAAAAAUAGGGACGCAAAUAAAUUGGUCAACAAAAGGCAGCCCCCGAGUCUCGUUCGGGGACCCCAUAGUUUCAUGCGUUUACAAAAGGCGACGAUACAUACACUCGUGCGGCUAACUGUAAAAUGGGCGGAGGAGUUCCGCGUUCCACGGCCGGGUGUUUCUUCAUCGGCGGUGUCCUUGUUGCACUACUUUGACUUGCGUGUGUCGAUGUUGUAGUAGGCAUUGCGAUCGCGCAAGGCCCUGCUCACGAUGAACGGGCCCUCCCAUGGAGAGGACAGCUUGUGCUGGCCUGCCUGCUCUUGGACGAGUCGGAGGACGAGGUUGCCCUCGCGGAAUGCGAGGGGCUUGAUCUUCUUGCUGUGGUAGUGCCUCAGGCCUUGCUGGUAGAUGGCCGAAUGGCUGAGUGCCAGAAGGCGCGCUUCCUCGAGCAGGUCGACUCCGUCUUCACGUGCCUCCUUGGCUUCGGCUUCGGUGUACAUCAUGACGCGCGGCGACUCGAACUCGACAUCGGUCGGGAUGACGACUUCGGCUCCAUAGACGAGGAACAACGGGGUGAACCCGGUCGACUGGUUCGGCGUGAUGCAUAGACUCCAGAGAACUGCCGGCAACUCGUCAAGCCACCUGCCAGGUGAGCGGAUGAGUGGCUCGACGAGUCGCGGCUUGAUGCCCGAUAGGAUGAGUCCGUUCGCUCGCUCCACCUUCCUGUUGGACUACAGAUGUGCCAUGGAGGCCAGGUCGAGGCGGAUGCCGGAGACGAAGCAGUAUUGCUCGAGCGCGCCCUUGGCGAAGUUGGUGCCGUUGUCGGUGAUGAUGCCGUUCGGCAUGCCGUAGCACACCUCUAUGUCCUUAAUGAACAGGACGGCUGUUGGCCCGUCCAGUUUCUUGAUUGGUCUUGCCUCGAUCCACUUGGUGAAUUUGUCCACUGCCUCCAGCAGGUGCGUCAUGCCGCCUUGAGCGGUUUUGAAGGUUCCCACCAUGUCGAGUCCCCAGACCGCGAAGGGCCAGGCGAUCGGUAUGGUGUGGAGUGCUGACACCGGCGGUGACUGCAUUUGCUGAAGCGCCGACACCCCUCGCACUUGAGAACGAGUGACCCGGCGUCUUCGAGGGCCGUGGGCCAGUAGAAACCGUGGCGGAAUGCCUUGGCCACCAGGGAUCGCGAUGUGGCAUGGUGCCCGCACUCGCCCUAGUGAAUGCCGAGGAGGAUGUCGAUGCCCCGAUCCUGCUCGACGCAGUGCUGGAACACGCCGGUGGAGCUGCGCUUGACGAGCUCGUUGUUGAUGAUGCUGUAGGCGGACGCCCGACGCUGCACUUGCCGAGCCUCGGUUUCGUCCGUGGGGAGAACCCCGUUCUCCAGAAAUUCUGAUAUCGGCAGGGCCCAAGAUGGGGCCGCUACCACGAUCAAGACAGCCACCUGGGUGGGUUCCGAGUCGGCGGCCCCUGGGCCGGGUUGAGCAGCCCCCGGGUUGGGCACGGCGACGGCCGGGUCUGGGGUGAUGGUGGCCGGAUUGAGCUGAGCAGCCCCCGGGCCGGGUUCAGCGGUCCCCGGUCUGGGUUUAGCAGCCCCCGGGCCGGCUUGCGGUGCGGUCGGGUCCUCUGGGACGUGGAUGGACUCGGAGUCCGGCGAUGGCUUAACGGACAGCUUGCGCAGGUGAUCGAGGGAGACGCCGGAUGGGAUGGCUUGGUGUGACGAGGCGAUCUUGGCGAGCGUGUCGGCUGCUUCCUUCUCCGCGCGCGGGACAUGGAGGAACUCGCAGCCCUCGAAGGAUCUGCACAGCUUGUGGACGAGGAAGCGGUAGCUUGCCAUGUUGGAGUCGCGGGCGUCCCAUUUGCUGGAGCAUUGCUGCACCACCAGGUUCGAGUCGCCGUAGCACAGGAUGCGCCGGAUGCCGAGUUCCUUGGCAAGCCGGAGGCCGUGCACAAGGGCUUCAUAUUCGGCGACGUUGUUCGAGGCGGCGAAGUGGAUCUGGAGCGCGUAGCGGUGCCAGUCGCCCUUCCGAGAUGACAGUACAAUGCUGGCCCCCAAGCCGAGUCGCAUCUUGGGCCCGUCGAAGUGCAUGCGCCAAUGCGUCGAGUUGGGAGGCGGCGGUAAGUACUGGGUCUCGGUCCAGUCGACGAUGAAGUCGGCCAGGGCUUCAGACUUGAUCGUGGUGUGGGGCUCGUAGAGAAUGGUGUGGCCGGCUAGCUGGAUCGCCCACUUGGCGACCCGGCCAGAGGCAUCCCGGCACCCGAUGAUUUCUUCGAUAGGCUCCAUGCUGAUGACGGUGACGACGUGCUCUUGAAAGUACUGCUUCAGCUUCUUGGUGGUGAGGUACACGCGGUAGCACAUCUUCUGGUAGUGCGGGUAGUUCUGCUUGGAGGUGGAGAGCACCUCGCUCAGGUAGUAGACCGGAUGCUGGACGGCCUGGAUCUUGCCCUCAUCCGGUCGCUCGACCACCAGCACCGUGCUGACCGCCCGCGAGGUCGCGGCUAUGUUGAGCAACAGCGGCUCCUUGUCGGUCGGCGCAGCCAGGACUGGUGCGGUGGAGAGCAUUCUCUUGAGGUCUUGGAAGGCCUCGUCUGCCUUGCCGUUGCAUUCGAAUGGGCUUGUCUUCUUCAUUAGCAGUUAAAGGGGUAGCGCCCUCUCGCCCAGCCGGCUCAGGAACCGGCUGACCGAGGCCAAGCACCCGGUGAACUUCUGGACGUCGCGCAGUCGAGCCGGCUUGCACAUGCGCUCGAUGGCCUUGAUCGUUUCCGGGUUCGCCUCGAUGCCGCGUUCCGAGACGAGGAAGCCGAGUAGCUUUCCGGCCAGGACGCCGAAGAAGCAUUUAUCCGGGUUAAGCUUGACCUUGUAUUCGCGGAGGUUGGCGAAUGUUUCCUUCAAAUCGUCGAGGAGCGUGAGGUGCUGAUUGGUCUUCACCAUGAUAUCGUCCACGUACACGUGGAUAUUGCGGCCGAGUUGCGGCAGCAGGCAUUUCUACAUGCAGCAUUGGAAGGUGGCGCCGGCGUUCUUCAAGCCGAACGACAUGGUGAUGUAGCAAUAUGCCCCAAAGGGCGUGAUGAAGGACGUCUUCAGGGCAUCGGCCGGGUCCAGAUUGAUCUGGUGAUAGCCGGAGUAAGCAUCCAGGAAGGACAGGAGCUCGCACCCGGCGCUCGAGUCAAUGACUUGGUCGAUCCGCGGGAGGGCGAACGGGUCCUUGGGAUAGGCCUUGUUGAGGCUGGUGUAGUCGAUACACAUGCGCCAGGUCUUGUUCUUCUUCAGGAUGAGGACUGGAUUGGCCAGCCACUCGGGGUGAAACACUUCCAUUAUGAAGCCGUCCGCCAAAAGCUUGGCGACCUCCUCACCAAUGGUUCUUCUCUUCUCUUCGGAAAAUCGUCGGAGGGGUUGACGGACAGGCCUGGCAUCCUUGCGGGCGUGAAGUUUGUGCUCGGCAUACUUCCUCGGGAUACCCGGCAUGUCCUUGGGGGUCCGUGCGAAGAUAUCCCGAUUCUCACGGAGGAAGUCGACGAGCUCGCCUUCCUAUUUGCUGUCGAGGCGGGCGCCUACCAGUGGCGGUGCCAGGAUCGAAACCUUGUGUUGUCAAGCUUUAUACAAAUGAAACAUUUUGUAGGUAAAUUAAACAAGAACACAAAAAGACCAUACUUCAUUUGAUACAUAUUUGUUGUACUAGCUUUUUCUAUCAUAUAUAUUUCAUCUUAAACAUGUCUUUUGAUAUAAAGAUCUUAAACAUUUUUAUGGUAACAACGCUUUGACAAAUGUAUCCAUGUACCAUUGCCAAACUUAAGACCUAACAAAUGACAAAACAAGGUUUUGCUAAAAGAAACAAUAUCUGAAUUUCAUGUGAGAAUAUAAAAUUUCAAGAGAAAUAAGACAGAAACUUACAAACAGAAAAGGAAGGGCCUCGUCCUAUACACUCGCCGAGUCGCUGAAGGUGCAGUACUACGGAGAUCGGAGACUACUAGAGCAGCGGAGGAGGCCGUGCUCAUUGUGGUGAUUCCAGGCAACGGCGACCUCGGCGGUCGGUGAGCAGCAUGGGUAUCCAUGCAUGAUGUGCUUCACUGCUCCUCCCCACGGCGUAGUGCAUGAUUGGCCAUUAGAGAUUAUACACAGGAAGGUGAAAAAGGAGAGAGUUCGAAGGAAUAUCACAGGAUUUCAGGAGACGGUCACGAAGUUGUUUUGGAGGACGAUUAGGAAAGUUAAUAAUGACGUCGGGAGCUUCCUUUUUCUAUAUGGGCCAGCCAAAUCUCACGAAAAACUGAUACCAACUGGGCAUGUUUUAGUUAGAGGACCUCUUUUAGUUAAUUUCCAAAACCUGUUUAUUUGGAAGUGGGGUACGAUGUCACGGACUCACGGUAGUGUUUGAGUACCAAAUUCCUGUGUAGUCGCUUGACAACAUAGUCAUAGUGUGGCUUCGCCACUGGCGCCUACGACAACGUACUUGCUGCAGCUGGGGUCUUCCGGGUUGAGCUUCACUCUCUUGGUCUCCUUGGAGGGCUUGAAGGCUGCCUCGUCGACCGGGUCCAGGGUCGGGAUCGACGCAGCGGAGGCCUCACCGGCCAGGGCGACGAUACAGUCGAGUUGGCACCGCUCCUCGGCAAUGACCAGCGACUCAGCCAACUUGGCGCUGUCUCGGGCGCACUCCAAGGACUUGCGGUAAUCGCCGGUGAUGGUGAUGAGACCCUUGGGACCCGGCAUCUUCAUCUUCAGAUAUGCGUAGUGGGGAACCGCCAUGAACUUGGCGAGCGCGGGCCGGCCCAGCAACGCGUGAUACGCGCUGGACAGGUCCACCAACUCGAACCAGACCGGUUCGCGUCGGAAGUGGCUAUUGUCGCCGAACAGGACAUUGAGCCAGAACCGUCCAAUGGGCGAGUAGGAGAGGCCGUGCCGUGGAAGAUCGCCCGGGUCGGUUCCAGGUCCUCGGCCUUGAGGCAGAGCUUGGUCAUCGUGUCGCGGUAGAGGAUGUUGAUGCUGCUGCCGCCGUCGAUGAGGACUCGGGAGAACUUGCAUGUACGCCGUGCGACGAUGGUGGGGUUGAGGACGAGGGCGUAGCCACCCAGGCUUGGCAUGACUACCGGGUGAUCCUCCCGGGUCCAGGUGAUCGGGCGAUCCGACCAAUGCAUAAACUCCAGCUUGGCUGGGACGACGGUGUUCACCUCCUGCCGAAGGAGGCGCUCGCUGCGCUUGUCAUUGCCGAGGCUGGUGAAGACGACAUAGGCCGCGUUCUGGUCCGGGUAGGCGUCUUCCGCAUCGCGCCGCCAGCGGGAGGCGGUGGUGGAGGCGGAGGCGGCUGUCCCGCGCCUGGAGCCGCAAGAGGAGGAGGCGGGACGUCGCCCCUCAUGAUGCGCUUGGUGAUGGCGCACUGUCGAAGCGUGUGCGUGGAGGGUCUUGCGCCGCUGUGGUGCUUGCAGGGGGCGUCGAGCAUCUCUUCGAAACUCAUGGCGGGUUGCCAUGCCAUCUUGCCGCUUUGCCGGCGCUUCACCACCGGGUCCGCCGCGGGCUCGGCCGCCGCGACGAGCAGGUUAUCGUGACGCUGCGCCGGCUGGUCAGCCAUGCGCUUGUUGUUCUGGUGAUGCUGUUGCCGGCUGCUUUCACCGGCCGGCUUCAGAGGGAGAACCGGCUUCGCCUUGCCGGCUUCAUCUAGCGCCACCUGGAUCUUCAUGGCGGAGUCUGAUGACCCACAAGUGUAGGGGAUCUAUCGUAGUCCUUUCGAUAAGUAAGAGCGUCGAGCCCAACGAGGAGCAGAAGGAAAUGAUAAGCGGUUUUUAGUAAGGUUUUCUGCAAGCACUGAAAUUGUAGGUGAUAGAUAGUUUUGUGAUAAGAUAAAUAGUAACGAGUAAGAAGUAAACAAAGUAAAUAAAGUGUAGCAAGGUGGCCCAAUCCUUUAUGUGGCAAAGGAUAAGCCUGGACAAUUUCUAAUAAUGAGAAAGGAGCUCCCGAGGACACAUGGGAAUUAUCGUCAAGCUAGUUUUCAUCAAGCUCAUAUGAUUCGUGUUCGGUACUUUGAUAAUUUGAUAUGUGGGUGGACCGGUGCUUGGGUACUGCCCUUACUUGGACAAGCAUCCCACUUAUGAUUAACCCCUAUUGCAAGCAUCCGCAAGUACAACAAAAGUAUUAAGGUAAACCUAACCAUAGCAUGAAACAUAUGGAUCCAAAUCAGCCCCUAACAAAGCAACGCAUAAACUAGGGUUUAAGCUUCUGUCACUCUAGCAACCCAUCAUCUACUUAUUACUUCCCUAUGCCCUCCUCUAGGCCCAAUAAUGGUGAAGUGUCAUGUAGUCGACGUUCACAUGACACCACUAGAGGAGAAGAGAACAUACAUCUCAUCAAAAUAUCGAUCGAAUACCAAAUUCACAUGACUACUAAUAGCAAGACUUCACCCAUGUCCUCAAGAACAAACGUAGCUACUCACAAAGCAUAUUCAUGUUCAUGAUCAGAGGUGUAGUAAUAUGCAUUAAGGAUAUGAACAUAUGAUCUUUCACCAAGUAAACCAAUAAGUAUCAACUACAAGGAGUAAUCAACACUGCUAGCAACCCACAGGUACCAAUUUGUGGUUUUGGAUACAAGAUUGGAUACAAGAGAUGAACUAGGGUUUGAGAGGAGAUGGUGCUGGUGAAGAUGUUGAUGGAGAUUGACCCCCUCCCGAUGAGAGGAUCGUUGGUGAUGACGUUGGUGAUGAUUUCCCCCUCCCAGAGGGAAGUGUCCCCGGCAAAACAGCUCUGCCAGAGCCCUAGAUUGGUUCCGCCAAGGUUCCGCCUCGUGGCGGCGGAGUUUCGUCCCGUAAGCUUGCCCAUGAUUUUUUCCAGGGUAAAAGCGAUGAUAUAGCAGAAGAUGGACACCAGAGGUCCACCAGGGGGCCCAGGAGAUAGGGGGCGCACCCUAUAGGGGGGGCGCCCUAUAGGGGGGCGCCCCCUGUCUCCUGGACAGGGUGUGGGCCCCCUGGUUUAUUUGUUUCGCUCAGAAAUUCUUAUUAAUUCCGAAAGUUAUUUCGUGCAGUUUCAGGACUCUUGGAGUUGUGCAGAAUAGGUUUCCAACGUUUGCUCCUUUUUCCAGCCAGAAUUCCAGCUGCCGGCAUUCCCCCUCUUCAUGGUAAACCUUGUAAAAUAAGAGAGAAUAGCCAUAAGUACUGAGAUAUAUUGUGUAAUAACAGCCCAUAAUGCAAUAAAUAUUGAUAUAAAAGCAUGAUGCAAAAUGGACGUAUCGGAGUCGGCGUUGGCGUACUUGUCCGCCGUCACCAUGAGCGCGGCCAUGGUGGCCGGCUCGGAGCGUAGGAGCUUGUGUUUGAGGAGGGUUCCGUCUCGGCACCCGCUGACGAAGUACUGUAUCGCCUGGACUUCAUGGACGCCCUCGCAGCUGUUCCGGAGCUCGGUCCAGCGUGCGAGGUACUCACGGCCGGUCUCCUCGGCCCCUCCACGCACAUGGCGAGCUGGCUGGGGCGAACGGGUCGCUUGUAGGUCCCCGUAAAGUUGUGGACAAAGGCUUCCACGAAGUCGACCCACGCGUUGAUGCUGCCCAUCGGCAGGCUGUUCAACCAUGUGCGGGCCGACCCCUGGACCAUGAGCGGUGCGUAGCGCACGGCGAGAUGAUGAUUGGCACCGGUGAUGACAAAGGCCGUGGUGUAGUCGGUGAGCCAGUCUUCCGGCUUCACCGUCCCGUUGUACUUGGGGGUGUCGCGGGGGAGCACGAACCCUUUGGGAAUGGGCUCCUCCCGGAUGCGUGGUCCGAAGCACGCCGGCCCGAUAGCGCCGCUCUCCCCCAAAUCCAGGGAGCGAGCGAGCUGAUCGAGGCGGUGGCACGCGUCGGCGUCGUUGAUGGCGCGCGGGCCGAGUCGACUGGCGGCCAGGCCCCGAGGGGCCGGGUUGGUUGGAGCCGGACGUCGGCCAUGCUGGCCGGGUCCGCGCUGGGUCUCCCAGGAGGGCUCAUUGCCCGGGACGUCGGCGGCCAUGGUGGCCGGGUUGCGCCAAGUCCGGGUUCGGCCGGAGUGCACUUCGCCGGGUGGCGAGGAAGCCGUGUGCAGGAGUUCACCGGGUCCGCCAAGGCGGGCGGAGCCGGACCCCGCCGGCUUAGCAAGCUGGUUGAGGCGAUCCUGCGGGGUGUUGGCGGCGUGGAGGAGCUCGCGCAUCCGCCCGAUGCGCUCUUUGAGCUCCUCAUCCACGAGUUGGUCGAGGCCGACCGCGGCUGCCUCCGCAGUACGCAUGUUCUUCACUGGGGUCUCAUAGACGGCCUGGACGGCGCCGAAGGCCCGGCCGAUCGCUCCUCCCCAGGUGCGAGCAUCGGCGACCCGGCUUCGCUCAGCCGCGGCGGGUGUGAAUCCGUGGGCGGCGUCAUGCUCCAACUGAGCGGCCUCCAGGCGACGCGUGGUGGUGGUUCUCGGACAGGUCCAGCAUCUGAUUGCGUCUAUCCUCGAGCUGGGUUCGGGCUUCGACGACGUUGGUGGCGUCGACGUUGGUGCCGAUGGGGAUGCGGAGGCUUUGCAUCGCGGCGCGCAGCGGGUCGGACGGCACGGUCCGUGCCGCAGCGGCCCCGGCUUCUGCGACCCUCCUCGCCUUGCUCGACGAGGAAGAGGCGCGAUCGCCGGUGAUGAAAACCUCCACAUGGACGUCCAUCGCCCCGACGGCGAUACCGCCGCCAAGGGAGAGUGGUGAGUCAGAGUGCUGAGCACCUCGCUGGGGUACUCGUCGACCGCGAACACAUCGGAGAUGCACAGCGCGGUGAACGAUGCGGCGAGCGCACCGAUGACGUCGUCUGCCAGAGCGACGGACUCGUCGGAGUAGGAGAAGGGCCCCGUCUGAAGCAUGCUCGCGGCCAGCUCCUCGAGCUACCCCAUGGUGAGCGCCAACUGUCGUGGUGGGCGCACGGCAGAUGCCAAGGGAUGGCUAAAGAGAGGAGGGGGCUCGAGGGCGCUGGUGGGCUCCAGAGGCGAGGUUGGCAUGCGCGGGCGCGGGACGCUGGACAUACCCAGGUUCGGGGCUCUCCGGAGAGAUAACACCCCUAGUCCUACCGAGUUUAGUUGGAUGGUCGAUUGCAACAAUGUUGCUCCUGGAGCUGUAUGGAGGAGGAAGGAAGCUGGCCAAGGCUUGGGCCGCUCCUUCUCUCCGGCGCUGCCGUUGGGUGGCUAGUCCUAUGGCUGCUUGUGUUUCUCUUGUGUCUCGUACAUAUGACUCUCUCUGUAGGCGCGGGUUCCUGGGGGAUUUUAUAGAUCAACCCACCUAGGGUUACAAUGGUAGUACGCCGAGUCGGUGGGUCCGUAUUGUCGGUGUCUGGGAUACCGGGCUGGGUCCCCGCUUGAGGGCUUGUGGUUCGCCGGGUUACCCUAGGUGCGGGCCCCGCGUUCCUAAUGGAACUGUUUGCCGUCUUGUCAAUCGUCAGGGCGUGGCCGAGUCGAGUCGUGUACAGUGCUCUCCAUCAGGUUGCUGCUUGUUGCCGUCAUCGGUGAGGGCAGGAGCACUGUUCCCACGCCAGCCUCGGUUAGCGGGUAGGUCAAGGGCAUUGUUGCCACGCUCCGGCUGACCAUAGGCAUGGGCGGAAGCACUGUAGUCUUGGUCAUCGGUGAUUAAAGUCUCAUCCCAUCGUACGGCCUGGAUGGGACGGGAGCUACGUGGCUGGGUCGCCGUGCACGCCACGGGUGGGGUCGGCUUGUUGGGGAAGCCUUGGUGGCGCCGGGUUGGGUUGUCUUGCGCCAGUUGUUGUGGCCGGGUUGACGUACCUUGCCGAGUCGAAGAGCUUGGCCGGGUUGUGGGCCUUGCCGGGUCGAGCGACCCGGCCAGGCGCGUGCCGGUUCGCGGGACGAUGCGGGCCCUGCCACUCUUGAAAAGGAUCCGGGUUCCGUUGCCUGCCCGGGGUUCAUCCCCCCGACAGGGGUGGCGCCCAGGCCACUUAGGGGCUGGUUCCCUUCGACAUACAUCCCAUAGGGCCCUCCUGGGCAGGUGGACCCUCCCUGUGGACCCCCGGAACCCCUUCGAUGGUCCCGGUACAAUACCGGUAAACCCCCGAAUACUUCCGGUGACCGUAUGAUGACUUCCCAUAUAUAAAUCUUCACCUCUGGACCAUUCCGGAACUCCUCGUGGUGACCGGGAUCUCAUUCGGGACUCCGAACAACAUUCGGUAAUCACGUACAAAUCUUCCCUUUAACCCUAGCGUCAUCGAACCUUAAGUGUGUAGACCCUACGGGUUCGGGAAUCAUGCAGACAUGACCGAGACAGCUCUCCGGCCAAUAACCAACAGUGGGAUAUGGACACCCAUGUUGGCUCCCAUAUGUUCCACGAUGAUCUCAUCAGAUGAACCACGAUGUCGAGGAUUCAAGCAAUCCCGUAUGCAAUUCCCUUUGUCAAUCGGUACGUUACUUGCCCGAGAUUCAAUCAUCGGUAUCCCAAUACCUCGUUCAAUCUCAUUACCGGCAUUUCACUUUACUCGUUGCGUAAUGCAUGAUACCGUGACUAACUACUUAGUCACAUUGAGCUAAUUAUGAUGAUGCAUUACCAAGUGGGCCCAGAAAUACCUCUCCGUCAUACGGAGUGACAAAUCCCAUUCUCCAUUAGUGCCAACCCAACAAACACUUUCGGAGAUACCUAUAGUGCACCUUUAUAGUCACCUAGUUACGUUGUGACGUUUGGUACACCCAAAGCACUCCUACGGUAUCCGGGAGUUACACAAUCUCAUGGUCUAAGGAAAUGACACUUGACAUUAGAAAAGCUUUAGCAAACGAACUACACGAUCUUGUGCUAUGCUUAGGAUUGGGUCUUGUCCAUCACAUCAUUCUCCUAAUGAUGUGAUCCCGUUAUCAAUGACAUCCAAUGUCCAUAGUCAGGAAACCAUGACCAUCUGUUGAUCAACGAGCUAGUCAACUAGAGGCUCAUUAGGGACAUGUUGUGGUCUAUGUAUUCACACAUGUAUUACGGUUUCCAGUUAAUACAAUUAUAGCAUGAACAAUAGACAAUUAUCAUGAACAAGGAAAUAUAAUAAUAACCAUUUUAUUAUUGCCUCUAGGGCAUAUUUCCAAUAGUCUCCCACUUGCACUAGAGUCAAUAAUCUAGUUCCAUUGUGAUGAAUCGAACACCCAUAGAGUUCUGGUAUUGAUCAUGUUUUGCUCGUGGAAGAGGUUUAGUCAACGGAUCUGCGACAUUCAGAUCCGUAUGUACUUUACAAAUCUCUAUGUCUCCAUCUUGAACAUUUUCACGAAUGGAGUUGAAGCGACGCUUGAUAUGCCUAGUCUUCUUGUGAAACCUCGGCUCCUUGCUAAGGGCAAUAGCUCUAGUGUUGUUACAGAAGAGAGUCAUCGGGCCCGACUUAUUGGGAAUAACUCCUAGGUCGGUAAUGAACUCCUUCAUUCAGAUUGCUUCAUGCGCUGCCUCUGAGGCUGCCAUGUACUCCGGUUCACAUGUAGAACCCUCCACGACGCUUUGCUUGCAACUGCACCAGCUUACUGCCCCACCAUUCAAAAUAUACACGUAUCCGGUUUGUGACUUGGAGUCAUCCACAUCUGUGUCGAAGCUAGCAUCGACGUAACCCUUUACGACGAGCUCUUCGUCACCUCCAUAAAUGAGAAACAUAUCCUUAGUCCUUUUCAGGUACUUCAGGAUAUUCUUGACCGUUGUCCAGUGUUCCAUGCCGGGAUUACUUUGGUACCUCCCUACCAAACUUACGGCAAGGUUUACCUCAGGUCUGGUACACAACAUGGCAUACAUAAUAGACCCUAUGGACGAGGCAUAGGGGAUGACACUCAUCUUUUCUCUAUCUUCUGCCGAGGUCGGGCAUUGAGCUGUGCUCAAUUUCUCACCUUGCAAAACAGGCAAGAACCCUUUCUUGCACUGAUCCAUAUUGUACUUCUUCAAUAUCUUAUCAAGGUAUGUGCUUUGUGAAAGACCGAUGAGGCGUCUCGAUCUAUCUCUAUAGAUCUUGGUAUGUGCCUUUAUGCUAUCCAAAAGGUCUACAUCAUUUCCCAUCAAUAGUAUGCCAUCCACAUAUAAUAUGAGAAAUGCUACAGAGCUCCCACUCACAAUCUUGUAAAUGCAGGCUUCUCCAUAAGUCUGCACAAACCCAAACGCUUUGAUUAUUUCAUGAAAGCGAAUGUUCCAACUCCGAGAUGUUGCACCAGCCCAUAGACGGAGCGCUGGAGCUUGCACACCUUGUUAGCAUUUUUAGGAUCGACAAAACCUUCCGGCUGCAUCAUAUACAAUUCUUCCUUGAGGAAACCGUUAAGGAAUGCCGUUUUGACGUCCAUUUGCCAUAUCUCAUAAUCAUAGAAUGCGGCAAUUGCUAACAAGAUUCGGACGGACUUCAGCUUCGCUAAGGGUGAGAAGGUCUCAUCGUAGUCCACCCCUUGAACUUUUCAGUAACCCUUAGCGACAAGUCGAGCUUUAUAGAUGGUAACAUUACCAUCCGCGUCGGUCUUCUUCUUAAAGAUCCAUUUAUUUUCUAUCGCUCGCCGAUCAUCGGGCAAGUCUAUCAAAGUCCAUACUUUGUUUUCAUACAUGGAUCCUAUCUCGGAUUGCAUGGCUUCAAGCGAUUUGUUGGAACCUGGGCCCGCCAUCGCUUCUUCAUAGUUCGAAGGUUCACCAUUGUCUAACAACAUGAUUUCCAGGACAGGGUUGCCAUACCAUUCUGGUGUGGAACGUGUCCUUGUGGACCUACGAAGUUCAGUAGCAACUUGAUCCGAAGUACCUUGAUCAUCAUCAUUAACUUCCUCUCUAGUCGGUGCAGCCACCACAGAAACAUCUUCCUGAGCUGCGCUACUUUCCGGUUCAAGAGGCAGUACUUCAUCAAGUUCUACUUUCCUCCCACUUACUUCUUUCGAGAGAAACUCUUUCUCCAGAAAGGACCCGUUCUUCGCAACAAAGAUCUUGCCUUCGGAUCUGGGGUAUAAGGUACACCCAAUGGUUUCCUUAGGGUAUCCUAUGAAGACGCAUUUUUUCUGACUUGGGUUCGAUCUUUUCAGGUUGAAGUUUCUUGACAUAAGCAUCGCAUCCCCAAACCAUUAGAAACGAUAGCUUAGGUUUCUUCCCAAACCAUAAUUCAUACGGUGUCGUCUCAAAGGAUUUAGACGGUGCCCUAUUUAAAGUGAAUGUAGCUGUCUCUAAAGCGUAUCCCCAAAAUGAUUGCGGUAAAUCGGUAAGAGACAUCAUAGAUCACACCAUAUCCAAUAGAGUGCGAUUAUGAUGUUCGGACACACUGUUACGCUGAGGUGUUCCAGGCGGCGUGAGUUGUGAAACAAUUCCACAUUUCCUUAAGUGCGUACCAAACUCGUGACUCAAAUAUUCUCCCCUACGAUCUGAUUGUAAGAACUUUAUUUUUCUGUCACGUUGAGUCUCUACCUCACUCUGAAAUUCCUUGAUCUUUUCAAAGGUCAGACUUGUGUUUCAUUAAUUAGACAUCCCCAUACCUACUUAAGUCAUCAGUGAGGGUGAGAACAUAGCAUAGCCACCGCGAGCCUCAACGCUCAUUGAACCGCACACAUCAGUAUGUAUGGUUUCCAAUAAGUUGGUUGCUCGCUCCAUUGUUGCAGAGAAUGGAAUCUUGGUCAUUUUGCCCAUGAGGCAUGGUUCGCACGUGUCAAAUGAUUCGUAAUCAAGAGACUCCAAAAGUCUAUCUGCAUGGAGCUUCUUCAUGCGUUUGACACCAAUGUGACCAAGGCGGCAGUGCCACAAGUAUGUGGGACUAUCAUUAUCAACCUUACAUCUUUUGGUAUUCACACUAUGAAUAUGUGUAACAUCACGUUCGAGAUUAAUUAAGAAUAAACCAUUGACCAGCGGGGCAUGACCAUAAAACAUAUCUCUCAUAUAAAUAGAACAACCAUUAUUCUCGGAUUUAAAUGAGUAGCCAUCUCGCAUUAAACAAGAUCCAGAUACAAUGUUCAUGCUCAAAGCUGGCACUAAAUAACAAUUAUUGAGGUUUAAAACUAAUCCCGUAGGUAAAUGUAGAGGUAGUGUGCCAACGACGAUCACAUCGACCUUGGAACCAUUCCCGACGCGCAUCAUCACCUCGUCCUUCGCCAGUCUCCACUUAUUCCGCAGCUCCUGUUUUUAGUUACAAAUACGAGCAACCACACCGGUAUCAAAUACCCAGGAGCUACUACGAGUACUGGUAAGGUACACAUCAAUAACAUGUAUAUCACAUAUACCUUUGGUGUUGCCGGCCUUCUUGUCCGCUAAGUACUUGGGGCAGUUCCGCUUCCAGUGACUGUUUCCCUUGCACUAAAAGCACUCAGUCUUAGGUUUGGGUCCAUGCUUUGGCUUCUUCCGGGCAAUUGGCUUACCGGGCACGGAAACUCCCUUGCCGUCCUUCUUGAAGUUCUUAUUUCCCUUGCCUUUCUUGAAACUUGUGGUUUUAGUGACCAUCAACACUUGAUGUUCCUUUUUGAUCUCCACCUCCACUGGUUUCAGAAUUGAAAAAACCCCAGGAAUGGUUUUCACCAUCCCCUGCAUAUUGUAAUUCAUCACAAAGCUCUUAUAGCUAGGUGGGAGCGACUGAAGGAUUCUGUCAAUGACCGCGUCAUCCGGGAGAUUAACUCCCAGCUGAGACAAACGGUUAUGCAACCCAGACAUUUUGAGUAUGUGCUCGCUAACAGAACCAUUCUCCUCCAUUUUACAACUGUAGAACUUGUCGAAGACUUCAUAUGUCUCGACCCGGGCAUGAGCUUGGAAAACCAUUUUCAGCUCUUGGAACAUCUCAUAAGCUCCGUGCUGCUCAAAACGCUUUUGGAGCCCCGGUUCUAAGCUGUAAAGCAUGCCGCACUGAACCAGGGAGUAAUCAUCACUACACGACUGCCAGGCGUUCAUAACGUCUUGAGUGGCUGGGAAAACGGGUGCUUCACCUAGCGGCGCAUCUAGGACAUAUGCUUUCUUGCCAGCUAUGAGGAUGAUCCUCAAGUUCCAGACCCAGUCCGUGUAGUCGCUACCAUUGUCUUUCAGCUUGGUUUUCUCUAGGAAUGUGUUGAAGUUGAGGGCAACAUUAGUGUGGGCCAUUUGAUCUACAAGACAUAUUGCAUAGAUUUUUAGACUAAGUUCAUGAUAAUUAAGUUCAUCUAAUCAAAUUAUUUAAUGAACUCCCACUCAGAUAGAAAUCCCUCUAGUCAUCUAAGUGAUACAUGAUCCGAGUCAACUAGGCCGUGUCCGACCAUCACGUGAUACGGACUAGUCAUCAUCGGUGAACAUUUUCAUGUUGAUCGUAUCUACUAUACGACUCAUGUUCGACCUUUCGGUCUCUUGUGUUCCGAGGCCAUGUCUGUACAUGCUAGGCUCGUCAAGUCAACCUAAGUGUUUUUGCAUGUGUAAAUCUGGCUUACACCCGUUGUAUGCGAAUGUUAGAAUCUAUCACACCCGAUCAUCACGUGGUGCUUCGAAACAACGAACUUUCACAACGGUGCACAGUUAGGGGGGACACUUUCUUGAAAUUUUAUGAGGGAUCAUCUUAUUUAUGCUACCGUCGUUCUAAGCAAAUAAGAUGCAAAAACAUGAUAAACAUCAAAUGCAAUCAAAUAGUGACAUGAUAUGGCCAAUAUCAUUUUGCUCCUUUUGAUCUCCAUCUUCGGGGCGCCACGAUCAUCAUCGUCACCUGCAUGACACCAUGAUCUCCAUCAUCGUGUCUUCAUGAAGAUGUAUCGCCAACUAUUACUUCUACUAUUAUGGCUAAUGGCUUAGCAAUAAAGUAAAGUAAUUACAUGGCGUUAUUCAAUGACACGCGGGUCAUACAAUAAAUUAAGACAACUCCUAUGGCUCCUGCCGGUUGUCAUACUCAUCGACAUGCAAGUCGUGAUUUCUAUUACAAGAACAUGAUCAAUCUCAUACAUCACAUAUAUUUCAUUCAUCACAUCCUUUUGGCCAUAUCACAUCACACGGCAUAUGCUGCAAGAACAAGUUAGACGUCUUCUAAUUGUUGUUGCAAGUUUUUACAUGGCUGCUAUAGGUUUCUAACAAGAACAUUUCUUACCUAUGCCAAAACCACAACGUGAUAUGCCAAUUGCUAUUUACCCUUCAUAAGGACCCUUUUCAUCAAAUCCGAUCCGACUAAAGUGGGAGAGACAGACACCCGCUAGCCACCUUAUGCAACUAGUGCAUGUCAGUCGGUGGAACCUAUCUCACGUAAGUGUACGUGUAAGGUCGGUCCGGGCCGCUUCAUCCCACGAUGCCGCCGAAUCAAGAUAAGACUAGUAGUGGCAAGUAAAUUGACAAAAUCGACGCCCACAACAACUUGUGUUCUACUCGUGCAUAGAAACUACGCAUAGACCUAGCUCAUGAUGCCACUAUUGGGGAUCGUUGCAGAAAUAAAAAAAUUCUACGCAUCACCAAGAUCAAUCUAUGGAGAAACUAGCAACGAGAGAGAGUGGAGUUCAUCUUCAUACCCUUGAAGAUCAUGAAAUGGAAGCGUUGCAAGAACGCGGAUGAAGGAAUCAUACUCGUAGCAAUUCAGAUCGCGGUGGAUUCUGAUCUAAGCGCCGAACAACGGCACCUCCGCGUUCAACACACGUGCAGCCCGGUGACGUCUCCCAUGCCUUGAUCCAGCAAGGAGGAGGGAGAGGUUGAGGAAGACAGCUCCAGCAGCAGCACGACGGCGUGGUGGUGGUGGAGCAACAGGUCUCCGGCAGGGCUUCGCCAAGCUCAAACGGAGGAGGACAGGUGUUGGAGAGGUGGAGUGCUGCGCCUUGGAUGUGGUGCGGCUGCCCUCCCUCCUCCCCUCUAUUUAUAGGGUGAAGGGGGAAGGGGGCCGGCCCCUCUAGAUGAGAUCUAGAGGGCGGGCAGCGGCCAAGGGGAGGGGGCUUGCCCCCCAAGCCAAGGGGGCGCCCCCUUUAGGGUUCCCCCCCCCAAACCCUAUGCUCAUGGGUCCUUGGGGGUGGCGCUCAGCCCACUUAGGGUCUGUGUCAGGACCCCGACUCAAUGCCACAUUGAUCUAGCAUGUAACACCUCAUAUCACUUUGCGGCCUCACGUACGGUAUUCCCACGGGUGUCGCCUUACCUUUGCCCAGGACCGUUUGCGCCUUUUGGCACACGUAUAUGACAGUGUCGCUAGCAUCCAUAUGAUAAGGAGCCCGGGCUGACAUGGCUAGUCAUAAACCCAAAGUGGCACAGACUUACAGGAACAUGCAUCCAUGACCCAGCAUCGAACGUGUCGGUCAUCAGCGAGCGAAUCCAGGCUGUAGCACUGGGCUAGCAGGACUCCGGUGAACCGGGCUGUAGUGGGCUAACAGGACUCCGGUAUUCAUCGCGUGACAUUUCCCCGAAGGGACAGACACAGGAACGAAGAAGGACACAUGCCGGCCGGCCUAAGUGUUCCGGAGCAGUAGCAAGCUACCAUGGCUCAGUGAAACACUAGGAGACAUUUCCCGGUAAGAGAGGCUACUAAAGAUAAACAACUAGAUGGUCAGAUCCCACACAUACCAAGCAUUUCAAUAACAUACACACAAUAUGCUCGAUAUGUGCAAAUACAGCAUAGCAUCACAACAUGACUCUAUGACUCAAGUAAUUUAUUCAUUAGGCUCCGAGGAGCGAGAUAUUACAAACAUGGGUCUCAUGACCCAACACUCAGAGCAUACAAUCAAAGCACAAGCGGAAGCUAUCAUGUCUGAGUACAGACAUCUAUAAAUGAAAAAGGCUGAAAAGCCUGACUAUCUACCAGAUCCUGCCGAGGGCACAAGAUCGUAGCUGAGGUAACAAGCUAAACGUCGAAGUCCACGCGGAACUACUAACGAGACCGAAGUCUCUCUGCAAAAAACAUAAAUAGGCAAACGUGAGUACAAAUGUACCCAGCAAGACUUACAUCAGAACUAUCUACAUAUGCAUCAUUAUCAACAAAGGGAUGGUGGGGUUUAACUGCAGCAAGCCAGCUUUGACUCGGUGGCUAACCUGAACUACGACUGCAAUGUAACUCUUUUGUGGUGGCGCACACGAGUCCACAUAUUCACCAUAUCAAUACACCACUAUGGAUCCGCUCCCGUCUCCCUACGAGAACGCCAUCCAUAGCACUCACGCUUAUCUUGCGUAUUUUACAGUAUCCACUUUCACUUGUCUAUGAACUAUGCAAGGGGUCCAAGUUUCCAUAUCCGAGGAAUCCGGCUAUUCGAAUAGAUGAUGUUAACCCUGCAGGGGUGUACUUCUUCACACACGCUUUCGCCACUUACCGCCCUGUACACGUCUUGUACCUCGGCAACCUUCAAGCGGAAGCCGGGCGAGGGAGUCGGCCACGACCUGACUAACCGAACAAGUCUCUGGUCCAGGUUUAUCGCCUAUUCGGGUUCCAUCUGCAAGGAGAUCCGGCCGGGGUGUCGCUUACGGCCCCAAACGAUGUGUGCAGGGUUCCCAAGCCCACCAACCAGGUGCCACUUGGUACACCGGGCCACUGUGCGUAGUCUGUCCCAAGCCCACCUGUACCGGGUGCCACUUGGUAGACUACUAACACUACCUACAAACACCAGAAACUAGUUGCAACUCCUGGACAGAGAUCAUGUUGAUUAAUAAGUCGGGAGAGCUUGGAGCGCCCGGAGCCCAAUGUGUGGUAGUAACUGAUCAAGGAUCACAAACACAGAACUCAGUUCCUGAGGACGGCCGCAAUGAGACAACCCACCAUGUACUCCUACAUGGCCUCUCACCGCUUCCUUUACCAAAUCGUGUUCACACACUUAGCUCACACACAGUAGGACAUGUUCACACGCCUCUGAUUCAUCCCCGAUGAAUCAGACCUGACUCAACUCUAAGCAGUAGCAGGCAUGACAAACAAGCAUGAAUGAGUAGGCACAUCAGGGCUCAAACAACUCCUACUCAUGCUAGUGGGUUUCAUCUAUUUACUGUGGCAAUGACAGGUCAUGCAAAGGAUAAAGGGUUCAGCUACCGCAGCAAGUAUCAAAUAAGUCGUUGUUGUUCUAAUGCAGUAAAAGAGAGCAGGAGCGAGAGAGUAGGAUUGUAUCGGAAUGAACAAGGGGGUUUUGCUUGCCUGGCACUUCUGAAGAUAACAUUGAGUCUUCAUCAGUGUCAACGAUCACAACGUCGGAACAUCGUCUACCGGGAGGGAACAGAUACCGGCAACAAAGAAGAACACAAUCAAUGCAAUGCACAAAAUGAUGCAUGCUAUGACAUGGCAAUAUGAAUGUGUUUUGAGCUAAUGCAACUAGCAACAGAUUAAAUGAAGUUGGUUUGAAUACAAGAUUCAAAUUCAAACUCCAUAUGUGAUUAUUCAAAUGCCAUUUAAUUGAUUUGUGCUAAACAGCAGCUAUAAGUUGUUCUAACAUGCAUGAAAAUGGUACAGAUGGAUUCCUUGAAUUUUUCUGAUAAUUUUUCAUAUAUAAAUUAUAUAAUUUGGAGUUACCGUUGAAUUUCUAUGAUUUUUAGAAGUUUUUACAAUUUUCUGGAAUUUUCUGAUUAUUUUUAAAUCCAGAAAAUACUUAUUGCGUCAGCCCCACGUCACAGUGACGUCAGCAGGGUCAACUGGGCGCCCAGGUCAAACCUGACGUGUGGGGGCCACACGUCAGUGACACAGGAGCUAAUCCCGGUCAAACCCAGCGCUGACUGGGGUUUGACCAGGGGUGGGGCCCACUGUCAGUGGCUGUGGGGGGUGUUUAGCGUGGUCAUUUGUGCUAACUAAAUCAGCGCCACGUCACCCUCGCCGGAGUUACGCCGGCGGCAACCAAAACGACGGCCGAGCGUUUCGGAAAAACGCUACGGGGCUCCAUUUUGAGCGCGGUUUGUUGCUACGGCUUGCUGGCGUUCUUGCGCAUCUAGUGGUAGCAGCGACAGCAGCUGGGAUGGCCUGAGUCAACGGAGACGAGCACUUCCGUGGUGGCCGGAGUUCGGGCACCUGCGGGUUUGGCGUUGUGGUGCUCGGGAGGGGAAGCUGGUGGGUUCUACGUGCUCCUGGUGAGGUUUGGAGCACGGUGGUGUGCCCGGCUUUGAGCCACGGUGGCUCUGACCACGACGGUGACGAGGCACGGCGGCGACGAGCUUUGGAUCCGGCGAAAGCAAUGGCUAGAGCGGCCAAACGGCAUGGGAAGAAGAGGGGAACGGGUCAGCGGCUCACCGCGAAGCUGCAGGGAGGGUUAGUGGGCUCGGGGGCGCGCCGGAGUGGCUGAAUCGACGGAGAAGGGCGCCGGGGCCGAAGCUUGAAGACGAUGGCGAUGGCGGCUGCUCGGGGCCCUUCUGGUCGCGUGAGACGACGAGGAGGACGGGGGCGGAACAGCGGAGCUUUGGGAGGCAUCGGGGAGGCGAGACGGUGGUUGUGGCCGCGCGAGCGCUGGUCGGCGGUGACGGGCUCCAUUCGGUCGCGGGAGGGGGAGCAGAGGAGCGAGGGGGAGGGAGGUCCAGAGAGCGAGGGAGAAGUGAGAGGGGGUCGGGGAGGCGCGUGGCGUCUCCGAGCGUCAAGGAGGGAGGCAACCAGGCAGGAGGUGGCCAGGGGGGAAGCAGGAGGUGGCCGAGGCCUCUCGGGCGUGCGCCAUGCCUCGCCUCUGUUCGUCCUCCUGGCAGAGGAGGAAGAGGACAAGGGGGAGGAGGUGGGCUGGGCCGGCCAGAUGGAGCUGGGCCAGGUAAGUGGCGCCAGGUAAGUGGCCCAGGUGGCCUUCUCUCCCUCUCUCUGUUUUUCCUAUUUCUGUUCUGUUUUAUUUAAUUGGCACUGAAUUUUAAUUCAAACAGAAUUUGAAAACAGUGCCAAAACUCCCCUGGAUAUUUUUAAGUCACUUAAUGGACUUCUCCACACAUAACAAGAAUAUCUCAGGUCAUUUGAAAAUAUAUUCAUUAUAUAUUAUGAAUAUAACUCCAAAUUCAAAUAAAUUAUUGAUUUAAAAUCAGAGCCCAAUAAUUCCUUAGAAAUGUCCCAAAAUUUUGGUUUGAUUUAUAACUCUUGCCAAAAUUGUCAGAGCUAUUUCUAGGGCAUUUUGGAUUUACUGAUUGCAAUUUUAGGGUUUCUUGCCCCUCUUUAUUUAGGGUUUUGAGGCUUCCAAUUUCCCUCAGUUCAAAUUUCAGAAUUUAAACAUGAUGCACACACCAGGCAGCACCAGAAGCUAGGGAUGUGACAACUCACCCCCACUAAACAAGAAUCUCGUCUCGAGAUUCAAGUGUAGGGUAGGAUGAAAGGGAAACGCAAACUAGUACAAUCUUCAUGAUCCAGGUUGCACUUCAAAUGAACGUUGAUUUGAACACCAUCUUUGUCUUGUCGUCUUGCUCUGAGAACUCCAGCUAAUCAUGACAAUUAGAGGUAACGAAAACUCUGGAAGGAUCGGUCUUCUCGAAGGUCGAACAACUCAGGAUUAACUCCCGGAAUGUGACAUAGCAACAUCUCUCGAGCUGAGAGACGAAGCAUACCUCUAGAGGGAUGGAGUGGAGCAGGUGACGAGGUUCACUAGGUAGACAACAAUUCCAGGCUUAAGAAUGUGGCGAUCGGUUGUCAACGUAGCGAGGAGUUGAAUUGCCAUGAUACCACGACGAAACAACCUGGAGAAGGGUGAUUCGUAGAUUAUUAUCUUAAGUGGCAAAAAGAAUUACCUUUGAUAUAGAGAUCAUUGAGACUCUCUAUAUCAGCCUAAGGCAAAUCACAGCAAUCGAUUGGCGGGGUCGGUAGAAUGGCAUACUUGGACAUGGAUGAUGUGGAUUACCUUGUUGAAGACAACAUAAUGGAUGAAUUUGCUUAUCACCGGAGAUGGAAGAGACCCAUGGUAGAAUGGCACAUUGGUGGUGCAAGCUAGGAACAAAAUGCAAAUGCUGGGAAUGAUUCUGGUAACUGGGGAACAACCCAACAACAGAGAGUGAAUUCACUGUUUGAAAAGAUCAUAGCAUUGCCGAGGAAACUGAGAGCAAACCCAGUUAGUGCCGAUGAUAACACCUAGCGCUUGUGCGUGCUCUCAAGAACUUGAGCAUUUCCAUAUUCAUCAAGGUUUUACCAACAUCUGUGUCAAGGAUCCUAGCAACACAACAUACCACCAUGAUGAACAACGAUGGACGAUACAGAUGCAUAGGAAGAUAACAUCAACUCAGAUUUCACCCUAGCAAGGCCAAGGAAACAAAAUCUGGAUGAUCGACCGAGAGACAUUUAGCACUCCGCUUCUAAUGUUCUCCUUGAUGUGCUAGCGUAAUCCACCCAUAGAUAUGGUUUGAUAACUAGAAUAUCAAGUAAUGGUCGGACUUUGGGAGCAAUAGAAUCCAUAAGGAACAGUUACGGAGGUAAAUCCUACGAAAUCCUUAUGGGGGGGUGGCCAACUUCCUCAAACAAGAUACUACAAUAAUAGGUCUUCCGGCUGGGUGUGUUGGCCACGACAUCCACUUUACCGGUUAUCGAAGGAACAAUAUUAUAGUUCUUGGGAAAUAUUCCAACCAUCAUAUCUGCCUGAGACUCAGAUCUGGUUGGUGUCAGGAUAUUCCAGACUCAUCGAGUCUAGGAAGAAAAAUGAAAGUUUGCAACACAAAUCGACGAGAUGACGUUGCGAGAUUCUCAGGAAAUGAACUACGAUAGCAAGCUCCAAAACAUGAGCUGGUUCUGCUACAAACAUGUGAACACGUUGUUCCAGACAAGCAUGCCCACAUGGUAGUCUUACAAUAAAACACUACCGAGUUCUGGUUGGGAGCCAUCAUCGAGGAUAUCGAAGUCUUUACGCAAGUCCAUGGAUUAGAUCCCAAGCAUAGACUUCUUUUCCUUGAACGAGUCAAUCAGUGGCUUGGUGUGCUAGGAUAUACAUAUGGAAUGAAGAUGAUCAGUCUAACAGACCACAGAAUUCUUCGCACGUGCAUGACCGACUUGGGAUGAUUCCAAAGGAGCAAAAACAAACUUUCUCGAAUUCACGAUGGCAACUUACAUCAAAGUGCACGUGAAUCAAAGGAAGUCACUCCUUUCAUCAAACAAGUACUUCAUGAGCUAGCAUGAAGAAAAUGCUUUCAAAAGUUUCCAACACUAACUUAAUGUUCAACAACAUCAUGGAGAAGAUAAGAAUGUUGUCAAUGGGCUCAACAACAAUUCAUCUGGGUUCCCUUUUAGAAGGAAUUCCAUAGUUAAGUGAACACGGUGAUAGCAUUGGUCAGACCCAUAAGAUAUAAUGGCGUAUGCUCGAGGAGUCAACCACGAGUAAGACAACAUUACAAACAUCGUUGGUUCUGAUUUGAUUUGACGAUAGCCCACACUCAAAUCAAAGGAUUGAUAAGACAAUAGGUCCAGCAACUGAUCACAGGGACCAAUCGAUGAAGAUAUCAUCUUCCUUCAACACACACUACACAAGAAUAUCCCUUUGGAACGAACUAAGUCAGGCAAGCUUUUAUCUCCCAACUCUCCAAGUUGUUGUUUAGCUUGACCAACUAGCUCAGGGGUAUCCCACACAGAUCCUUGGAGAAGGGGUGGUUUACAGGAAUAAACCAACUUGAUCACGAACUCAACAUAGCGGUCAGGUGACAACCUGGUAAUAUUUCCGAGAAGACAUACGGAAAAUCACGAACCACCGAUAUGUUACUAAGCUCGAGAACAAUCUUGCUUUUCAGGGCAAGAUGAUAUGAUCAAAUGAGCGAGGACUUGACAAAAUCCUAACUCAUUAAUCAAAGAGUGCAUCAGGAAAUAAGGACUAGGUAGCACGAUCAGUCUUAGAAGGAUGAUUCAAAAACCAACACGCUAAGAAUGAAAUUAUUAUCCUUUAGCUACCAAGCAACGAGGUUCCUGGGAGUAUUGAUUUCACACACCAUGAUUCACUUGUCGGCACUCCGGCCGCAACAACACGGAACCGAGGAAUGGAAAAGGAUGGCGAGAAGUAUCACUAUGUCAAGAAUUCACAAAAGGUGGUGCAAUUCUCAUGAAAUUCCUGUCAUAAAGAAGGUAAUACUUCAGGGUAGAGCAGACCAGAAGCUGGAUUGUAACUUGAUCUGCGGAACACAACUACUUUGACCCAAUCCUAAAUAUGGAUGAGGUACUGGAGUUUGUUUCUCCAAGUCAUUCAGGACAGAAUGGCUUGACGGACCACAAGAGUAAUAAGCAUUGAUAACACGAAUGCACAAUUACUCCUGACUAUCAAUUGAUAGACGAGAGCCAGAAAACAACUAAAGAGGGACAACUCAAAGGAACAUAUGAUUUUCUGAGUUGUGAAUGCAUAGAUUAGCAUGUCGAACGAGUUCAACAUAUUUCUUCCGGACAAUCCAUGCGGAAAGGUAGAACUGGCAGAGUCACAAUUAUGAAUGGAGAACCCAUCGAGAGCACUCCUGUUGUGAUCUUUUGAUCCAACAAACUUUUGCCGUAAGUGGUUCAUGGUAUUUGGAAGAAGGAUAUACCACGGACCUCGAGAACUACUGCAAAGGUUACUAAUAUCCUAAAGGCGCUAGCAAUUACUAUCAACAUGAAGUAAGUAGAGUGAAUCUCGGGUUCAAGAACCCAUGAAUAGAAUACCUACUACUAAGUAGCAUCACGGGAUGCUUUCGAGAAUGAUGGCCAGAAUCAUCACACUGGGAACACAAAUCAUGUCUAAAUUACUAGAUGAUCCCCUAAGACACCUAGGGUCAUAAUACUAGCUCCAACAUAUAUGUCAAGGCAAUAAAGUACCUCAACUCACUGAUUUAUGUGAUUAAUCUGACCAAAGGCACAUCGGAAACAGGAGGAAGGGAUUUGCAAAUGCAACCGACUAUUUAGAAACCUGGGAUGACUCGGACAUCAUAACAGCUGUAAAUGCUCAGAAAAGAUUUGAGACAUUCACAAAAAUGGUGGCAUAACCACUCAGAAGCACAAUAUCAAGGUUUCGGGAUCAACAGUUAACGUACGGAAGUAGUAGAAACUGAACUCAAGCUUAAAUCCAACAAUCUAUAAGUCUACGGAUUAGUAACACGUGAUCCUGAUAGAAAGAAGAGAUAGCCUAGUUCUUAAUCCCCGUAGGAAAGAUAAGAUGACUCAGAUCGGAAGGGCAUAAGGUAUAAGGAGUAAAAAGAGCCUUACGUUCCAUCCCACAAUCAAUUCCCUUAUAUAACUAAAGAAUUUGUAGACUCAACUUCGACUAGUUUGGCUUGGUAAUCCUACACCCAGUCAAGCUCUGAUACCAACGCUGUCAGGACCCCGACUCAAUGCCACAUCGAUCUAGCAUGUAACACCUCAUAUCACUUUGCGGCCUCACGUACGGUAUUCCCACGGGUGUCGCCUUACCUUUGCCCGGGACCGUUUGCGCCUUUUGGCACACGUAUAUGACAGUGUCGCUAGCAUCCAUAUGAUAAGGAGCCCGGGCUGACAUGGCUAGUCAUAAACCCAAAGUGGCACAGACUUACAGGGACAGGCAUCCAUGACCCAGCAUCGAACGUGUCGGUCAUCAGCGAGCGAAUCCAGGCUGUAGCACUGGGCUAGCAGGACUACGGUGAACCGGGCUGUAGCGGGCUAACAGGACUCCGGUAUUCAUCGCGUGACAUUUCCCCGAAGGGACAGACACAGGAACGAAGAAGGACACAUGCCGGCCGGCCUAAGUGUUCCGGAGCAGUAGCAAGCUACCAUGGCUCAGUGAAACACUAGGAGACAUUUCCCGGUAAGAGAGGCUACUAAAGAUAAACAACUAGAUGGUCAGAUCCCACACAUACCAAGCAUUUCAAUAACAUACACACAAUAUGCUCGAUAUGUGCAAAUACAGCAUAGCAUCACAACAUGACUCUAUGACUCAAGUAAUUUAUUCUUUAGGCUCCGAGGAGCGAGAUAUUACAAACAUGGGUCUCAUGACCCAACACUCAGAGCAUACAAUCAAAGCACAAGCGGAAGCUAUCAUGUCUGAGUACAGACAUCUAUAAAUGAAAAAGGCUGAAAAGCCUGACUAUCUACCAGAUCCUGCCGAGGGCACAAGAUCGUAGCUGAGGUAACAAGCUAAACGUUGAAGUCCACGCGGAACUACUAACGAGACCGAAGUCUCUCUGCAAAAAACAUAAAUAGGCAAACGUGAGUACAAAUGUACCCAGCAAGACUUACAUCAGAACUAUCUACAUAUGCAUCAUUAUCAACAAAGGGAUGGUGGGGUUUAACUGCAGCAAGCCAGCUUUGACUCGGUGGCUAACCUGAACUACGACUGCAAUGUAACUCUUUUGUGGUGGCGCACACGAGUCCACAUAUUCACCAUAUCAAUACACCACUAUGGAUCCGCUCCCGUCUCCCUACGAGAACGCCAUCCAUAGCACUCACGCUUAUCUUGCGUAUUUUAGAGUAUCCACUUUCACUUGUCUAUGAACUAUGCAAGGGGUCCAAGUUUCCAUAUCCGAGGAAUCCGGCUAUUCGAAUAGAUGAUGUUAACCCUGCAGGGGUGUACUUCUUCACACACGCUUUCGCCACUUACCGCCCUGUACACGUCUUGUACCUCGGCAACCUUCAAGCGGAAGCCGGGCGAGGGAGUCGGCCACGACCUGACUAACCGAACAAGUCUCUAGUCCAGGUUUAUCGCCUAUUCGGGUUCCAUCUGGAAGGAGAUCCGGCCGGGGUGUCGCUUACGGCCCCAAACGAUGUGUGCAGGGUUCCCAAGCCCACCAACCGGGUGCCACUUGGUACACCGGGCCACUGUGCCUAGUCUGUCCCAAGCCCACCUGUACCGGGUGCCACUUGGUAGACUACUAACACUACCUACAAACACCAGAAACUAGUUGCAACUCCUGGACAGAGAUCAUGUUGAUUAAUCAGUCGGGAGAGCUUGGAGCGCCCGGAGCCCAAUGUGUGGUAGUAACUGAUCAUGGAUCACAAACACAGAACUCAGUUCCUGAGGACGGCUGCAAUGAGACAACCCACCAUGUACUCCUACAUGGCCUCUCACCUCUACCUUUACCAAAUCGUGUUCACACACUUAGCUCACACACAGUAGGACAUGUUCACACGCCUCUGAUUCAUCCCCGAUGAAUCAGACCUGACUCAACUCUAAGCAGUAGCAGGCAUGACAAACAAGCAUGAAUGAGUAGGCACAUCAGGGCUCAAACAACUCCUACUCAUGCUAGUGGGUUUCAUCUAUUUACUAUGGCAAUGACAGGUCAUGCAAAGGAUAAAGGGUUCAGCUACCGCAGCAAGUAUCAAAUAAGUCGUUGUUGUUCUAAUGCAGUAAAAGAGAGCAGGAGCGAGAGAGUAGGAUUGUAUCGGAAUGAACAAGGGGGUUUUGCUUGCCUGGCACUUCUGAAGAUAACAUUGAGUCUUCAUCAGUGUCAACGAUCACAACGUCGGAACAUCGUCUACCGGGAGGGAACAGAUACCGGCAACAAAGAAGAACACAAUCAAUGCAAUGCACAAAAUGAUGCAUGCUAUGACAUGGCAAUAUGAAUGUGUUUUGAGCUAAUGCAACUAGCAACAGAUUAAAUGAAGUUGGUUUGAAUACAAGAUUCAAAUUCAAACUCCAUAUGUGAUUAUUCAAAUGCCAUUUUAAUUGAUUUGUGCUAAACAGCAGCUAUAAGUUGUUCUAACAUGCAUGAAAAUGGUACAGAUGGAUUCCUUGAAUUUUUCUGAUAAUUUUUCAUAUAUAAAUUAUUUAAUUUGGAGUUACCGUUGAAUUUCUAUGAUUUUUAGAAGUUUUUACAAUUUUCUGGAAUUUUCUGAUUAUUUUUAAAUCCAGAAAAUACUUAUUGCGUCAGCCCCACGUCACAGUGAUGUCAGCAGGGUCAACGGGGCGCCCCAGGUCAAACCUGACGUGUGGGGGCCACACGUCAGUGACACAGGAGCUAAUCCCGGUCAAACCCAGCGCUGACUGGGGUUUGACCAGGGGUGGGGCCCACUGUCAGUGGCUGUGGGGGGUGUUUAGCGUGGUCAUUUGUGCUAACUAAAUCAGCGCCACGUCACCCUCGCCGGAGUUACGCCGGCGGCAACCAAAACGACGGCGGAGCGUUUCGGAAAAACGCUACGGGGCUCCAUUUUGAGCGCGGUUUGUUGCUACGGCUUGCUGGCGUUCUUGCGCAUCUAGUGGUAGCAGCGACAGCAGCUGGGAUGGCCUGAGUCGACGGCGACAAGCACUUCCGCGGCGGCCGGAGUUCGGGUACCUGCGGGUUUGGCGUUGUGGUGCUCGGGAGGGGAAGCUGGUGGGUUCUACGUGCUCCUGGUGAGGUUUGGAGCACGGUGGUGUGCCCGGCUUUGAGCCACGGUGGCUCUGACCACGACGGUGACGAGGCACGGCGGCGACGAGCUUCGGAUCCGGCGGAAGCAAUGGCUAGAGCGGCCAAACGGCAUGGGAAGAAGAGGGGAACGGGUCAGCUGCUCACCGCAAAGCUGCAGGGAGGGUUAGUGGGCUCGGGGGCGCGCCGGAGUGGCCGAAUCGACGGAGAAGGGCGCCGGGGCCGAAGCUUGAAGACGAUGGCGAUGGCGGCUGCUCGGGGCCCUUCUGGUCGCGUGAGACGACGAGGAGGACGGGGGCGGAACAGCGGAGCUUUGGGAGGCAUCGGGGAGGCGAGACGGUGGCUGUGGCCGCGCGAGCGCUGGUCGGCGGCGACGGGCUCCAUUCGGUUGCGGGAGGGGGAGCAGAGGAGCGAGGGGGAGGGAGGUCCAGAGAGCGAGGGAGAAGUGAGAGGGGGUCGGGGAGGCGCGUGGCGUCUCCGGGCGUCGAGGAGGGAGGCAACCAGGCAGGAGGUGGCCAGGGGGGAAGCAGGAGGUGGCCGAGGCCUCUCGGGCGCGCGCCAUGCCUCGCCUCUGUUCGUCCUCCUGGCAGAGGAGGAAGAGGACAAGGGGGAGGAGGUGGGCUGGGCCGGCCAGAUGGAGCUGGGCCAGGUAAGUGGCGCCAGGUAAGUGGCCCAGGUGGCCUUCUCUCCCUCUCUCUGUUUUUCCUAUUUCUGUUCUGUUUUAUUUAAUUGGCACUGAAUUUUAAUUCAAACAGAAUUUGAAAACAGUGCCAAAACUCCCCUGGAUAUUUUUAAGUCACUUAAUGGACUUCUCCACACAUAACAAGAAUAUCUCAGGUCAUUUGAAAAUAUAUUCAUUAUAUAUUAUGAAUAUAACUCCAAAUUCAAAUAAAUUAUUGAUUUAAAAUCAGAGCCCAAUAAUUCCUUAGAAAUGUCCCAAAAUUUUGGUUUGAUUUAUAACUCUUGCCAAAAUUGUCAGAGCUAUUUCUAGGGCAUUUUGGAUUUACUGAUUGCAAUUUUAGGGUUUCUUGCCCCUCUUUAUUUAGGGUUUUGAGGCUUCCAAUUUCCCUCAGUUCAAAUUUCAGAAUUUAAACAUGAUGCACACACCAGGCAGCACCAGAAGCUAGGGAUGUGACAGUCUGGUUCCCUUCUACAUACAGCCCAUAGGGCCCUCCGGGGCAGGUGGACCCUCCCGUUGGACUCCCGGAACCCCUCCGGUGGUCCCGGUACAAUAUGGGUAAACCUCCGAAUACUCCGGUGACCGUAUGAUGACUUCCCAUAUAUAAAUCUUCACCUUUGAACCAUUCCGGAACUCCUCAUGACGUCCUGGAUCUCAUCCGGGACUUCGAACAACAUUCGGUAAUCACGUACAAAUCUUCCCUAUAAACCUAGCAUCAUCGAACCUUAAGUGUGUAGACCAUACGGGUUCGGGAAUCAUGCAGACAUGACAGAGACAGCUCUCCGGCCAAUAAACAAUAGCGGGAUCUGGAUACCCAUGUUGGCCCCCACAUGUUCCAUGAUGAUCUCAUCGAAUGAGCCACGAUGUCGAGGAUUUAAGCAAUCCCGUAUGCAAUUCCCUUUGUCAAUCGGUACGUUACUUACCCGAGAUUCGAUCGUCGGUAUCCCAAUACCUCGUUCAAUCUUCUUACCGGCAAGUCACUUUACUCGUUGCGUAAUGCAUGAUCCCGUGACUAACUACUUAGUAACAUUGAGCUCAUUAUGAUGAUGCAUUACCGAGUGGGCCCAAAGAUACCUCUCCGUCAUACGGAGUGACAAAUCCCAGUCUCGAUUCGUGCCAACCCAAGAAACACUUUCGGAGAUACCUGUAGUGCACCUUUAUAGUCCCAGUUACGUUGCGACGUUUGGUACACCCAAAGCACUCCUACGGUAUCCGGGAGUUACACAAUCUCAUGGUCUAAGGAAAUGAUACUUGACAUUAGAAAAGCUUUAGCAAACGAACUACACGAUCUUGUGCUAUGCUUAGGACUCGGUCUUGUCCAUCACUUCAUUCUCCUAAUGAUGUGAUCCCGUUAUCAAUGACAUCCAAUGUCCAUAGUCAGGAAACCAUGACCAUCUGUUGAUCAACGAGCUAGUCAACUAGAGGCUCACUAGGGACAUGUUGUGGUCUAUGUAUUCACACAUGUAUUACGGUUUCCGGUUAAUACAAUUAUUGCAUGAACAGCAGACAAUUAUCAUGAACAAGGAAAUAUAAUAAUAACCAUUUUAUUAUUGCCUCUAGGGCAUAUUUCCAACAAGCACCAGGUUCGGGCCUCUAUAUGGAGGUAAUGCCCUACUUCCUGCUUGAUUGAUCUUGAUGAAUAUGAGUAUUACAAGAGUUGAUCUACCACAAGAUCGUAAUGGCUAAACCCUAGAAGUCUAGCUUGUAUGAUUGUCAUGAUCCUUUAUCGACUAGCCUGGCCUUGGCCUAUAUAAUACACCAGAGGCCUAGGGUAACAAGAGUCCUAGCCGAAUAAGUUGAUCGAGAGGAGUCCUUGUCUUGAUCACCAAGUCUUGUGGAAUACUCCUUGUAUGCGGCAUGGGCUGCCCAAAGUGGCCCAUGUGUGAACUGCCAUGGGGGUCCUCGGCCCGAUCCACCUUUUCGGGAGAUGAUGUGGUGAGUACCCCCUAGUCCAGGACACCAUCAGUAGCCCCCUAAACCGGUCUUCAAGUUGGGGAUGCUCCUUGAUCCUUCCGAACUGUUCUUCAUCUUCGGUCGUCGGUCUUGAAAACUGGUUCAACAAAUCUUCUCGUCUUCGAUCUUGAGGAUCGCUGAAAUGAAUCCGAAGGGUUUACACAUCGGGUAUCCAAGGAGCCCCUUUAAGUUCUCGACCUUUAUCAAUGCCUUAGGAUUAUUUUUUACGCCACACCUCGGGUUUGAAGUUGUUCCUGUGCGGCGGUGUCCUCUUGCAUCCGAGCUCCAACGCCGGACUGCAUUCGAGAUAUCUUUUGCAGCCGAGCACCAACACCGGACUAUAUCCGAGCUCCAACGCCGGACUAUAUCCGAGGUGUCAUAGAUCACAUUGGCUUGACAAGUUUGAAGGAGGUUAUCCGAGUUUAACGCUGAAAAAUUCUCUAUGGAACGAGCCAUUUGAAUCCGGGCUAUAUACCGGACCACUUCCGAGCUCCAACGAUGGUCAGCGCCCGAGGUGUCGUAAACUACCUCGGUCUUUUAAAAGAUGCCGAGCUAAAUGUCAGAAAUGCCCUCUAUGGAGCCAGCGUUGACAAUAGGAAGUUACCCGAGGUGCACCUGAAGGAAAACAUAAAACUGCUGAUCCUGGUAUGCCCUGACACUCAGGUCGAUUUGCAAAAUCGGCCUGAGGAUCAACUCCUAGCUCGGCAGGAUACGUAGAAAUAGAAACACAGUGUAAUAUAUUAGAGAUAAUAGUGAUCGGCGAACGGGCCCUUGACAGAGGGUCUUGAGAAGUUGCCGCAAUAUAUUAGCUUGACGCCAUAUAGGUCCAGAUGGUACCUAUUGUUGUCUGAAGACGCGUUUGCCCAUAGUUCGGUCAAGCCGAACACUAAGCACUUUGAAGUUUCUGCAUUGAAUAGGCAACGAAGUAACCCCCGAGACACUGGUCAGGUGGCAACACCAAAUCAGGGAAACGAUGUGCCCCUUUAACAUUUAUAAAUAAUGAGCGUGAAGCCCAGUAGCCCCAGAGCCUUAAUGUGGGCACGGGAGGCCGAAUUAAGGAUCGAUAUCCGUGUGACAGAAAAUUUUGUUCUGUUUAACACAAACUUCUCGAAAAGUGAAUAAAGAUCUCUUAAAGGAGCUAGAGCCAGGGUGCUCGCCAAGGUUGGUCCCAAGGUCCUUUGCAUUGAACACAUAAACAUUGUUAAGAUCUUUGGGUUUUAUACUUCUGUUGUGAUCGAACAAAGAUUAAACUUUUCCAGGAGAAUCAUGGGAGCCUUCCGCAAAUGAAACUGUUGAGUUGGUCACGUGGAAUAUCAUAUUGACAUUUAAUAAUCAAACACCAGCAUGUUUAUAUUUUUGGUUUGGCCUAUCGAUCCAAACCCGUGAUACAUAUGUACGAGCAAUCAAAAUGAUCAAAAUUAAGCUAGCAUAUUGAGAGUAUAUAGAAAUGUCCACAGGCAGUUUUGUACCCUACUGUGACAUGUGAAGAUUACACGAGGCAUCAAGAUCCAAAUACACCAUAAUAGUAUAUGUUAUUUCUUCAACUACUACUUUGCUAUAAUUGUAUUUUUCAAAUUAGUGUAAAAAGGGACACGACAUGUCACAAUGUGACAUGCUGAUUGCCAUAAAUAGUUAGAUCAUUAUUUUGCGUGAUACAAAGCUAUGGUUGUAUGCACGAAAUGACAUUAUUUGUUUCGGCCGACACAAUGAACAUAAACGAGGAUUAUAUAUUUGCGCCAAUAAUAAUUGUGUUUUCGCAUAAUUUGGUGACAAAAAUAUUAGUAGUGAAUCAGAACUCCCUGUGAAUGCCUUUAGCCCUCCUGUAGUUUCCAUCAUUUCAUUACUCUCCUGUUCUUGUUACUAUUAUUUUAGCACACCUUAAUUCUUGUUCACAAACUCUUGCAAUAUUUUCACUUUCACACCUCUUUGAUCAGGAGUUAAAAUAUUUGCAUGCACUUUCUGAUAAACCUCUAGUAGAGGCAAAAGACUAUUUCUUAAUUUUUCUUUCGGGUCAAGACUAUUACUUCAAAAUGGCUACAACUAUAUUGUGUGCACUUGCAUGAGAUCAGAAAAAACAUAUUGAUUGGAAUGCACUAAUUUAAGAAUAAAUUUUUGGAGCAUGUUUACCAAAAGCUUGGUUAUCAUCUUGAUGGAGCAAUUCAGAAAGGAAAUAGGUCUGAAAUCAUUAUCCUAAAUUGCGGAGCCAUUUUUGGAAUUAGAGUAAUUAAAGAAGAGUCAAUGCUCUAAAUAUUGAUUGAACCAUGGUAAAACUCCUUAAACAAUGCACAGAAAUCAGGGGCAAUGGUCUCCCAACAAACUUUAACAAAAUCUGAAUUAAGACCAUCUAGGCCUGGGGAUUCGUGAGAGGGCAAAUUCCUGACUGCUUUAACAAUUUCCUCUUUAGUGAAAGAUUUCUCUGAAAAAAGUAGACCAUCAUUUCUCGUAAGCAAAGAAUCCAAAUUCAUAAGGUUGAAAGUUGGGACAGUAUAGCCAAGUCUUUGCUUGAAAGAUCUACCAAAGAAAGCAGCCUUGGCAUGAUGUUCGGAGUGCCCAUGCCUCUGCUUAUCUCUUAAUAUAGCAAUCUGAUUAUUUCUGAAUAAUUGAUGCCUUUGCAUGAUUUUGUUUUACUUUGCUUCCCCCAAAGGUACCCAUAUAAUAGUGUCUCUUUGUUUCGAGUAGAUUUGCUGGUGUGGGAGAAGCUGAAGGAGAUGAUUUUCGAGGAUUUGUCUGAUUGUUCCACUUAUGAAUUGCAAGAUUUCAAAAUUCUUCAAUAGUGUCAUAGAAUUAAUCACUGAGUUUGGUAGCUUUGAUAGUGGUAGAGAGAUUAGAAAUUAUUUUGGAACACAGUUUUAAACCUUUUCUUGGUCUUUUGAAAUUUGCAUUUACUCUUUUGGAACUAUCAUGUUUGUGAAUUUGUUGGUCCCAAAUUGUAUUAAAAGUAUCUUUAAAGUCUGGGUGUUGCAACCAGUAAAUUUCAAACCUGAAAAUAGAGGACUCCAGAAUAGAUGUACCAAUCCAAAUGAAACAAGGGAUGUGGUAAAAAAAAUAGGUCUGCCCUGAGGAAUAGCCAUAGUGUUUGGAUAAUUAAUAGUCUAGGAUUUAGAGGAGAAUACCCAAUCAAGCUUUUCCAAGAGAGGAGCACUCUGCAUAUUGCUCAAAGUAAACAUUCUGCCUCCAAGGGGAAUUUCAAUAAGAGCAAGGGAAUUGAUGGCUUCAUUUAAAGAAAACAUGGCAUGUGCACUACCGUCUUCUCUAUUUUUUGUUCUUAGGGCAGAUGACAUAAUUGAAAUCUCCAACCACCAACUAAGCCUGAUAAACUGGCAUGCACAUUUUGGAAUCAGUCAAUGAAAGUAGUUAAGUUUUUGACUUGAUAGGGUCCAUAUGUAUUGGUUAGAAUCCAAGACUCACCUAAGUGUAUUGAGGUGAACCUGUUGGAUAUAGGAAAUUCAUUAUGAACGCAACUUCAUUCUGAGCUACAAAGAAACCACUAGAGGCCCUAGAGAGGGCAUAAUUGAAAUUUGCUAAAUAUUUUUGGACCAUAUAGAAGACAAGGUUUCGAUAACAAAUACACGACUUGAUCUUAUGGUAUAUGAUAUUGUACACAAAGCAUAUAUGAUAAGCACUCUGUCUGCAUACUAUUUCUUCCAAAAGAAAGUUCCACAGGUAUCAUAAGGUAACAAGACAUAACCGCCUUGCUAUUCUAUGAUCUACCUAGGACUUCUCUUUGGAAAAUGACAAGGCGCUCCUUUAUUUUUGCAUCCUUAGAGCGAGCACACAACAAUCCAUAACAUAUGUAAACAUCUUACUUUGGGAGCACAACCUUAUGGAUAGACCUCAAUGACAGCUCGAGCUCCCAGCUUCUUCACAAUCUUAUAGCCACUGAACCCCGCCUUGACGAAGAUCUCACUCCAGUCCUUCUCAUCGCGCUGUCGGCCUCUUGUCACCACUAGCAUGACCAUAUCCAUGAGGUGUUGGGUUUCCAGCAUUGGCCCUGAAACAGAUCCAAGCACAAUGUCUAUGACGAUGACUUUUCCUCCUGCAUCCCGGGGAGGAACAGCCUUCUUGCAUUGUGCCAGGAUCUUGACGCAUUCCUCGUCGCUCCAGAAGUGCAGUACAAGCUACAUUACCAUGCAUGGAUAAACUUGUAGUUUAAGGUUAAUCAAGCCUGACUAGGAUGAAAUAUGAAGGGAUUUUAUUAUUUUAAGCUGUUAUUAUUUCAGAAAUGAAAACUAAUUAAACAUUGCUUGAAUAUUUCAAUUUUGCUAAGUCUUAGUGGACUAAGACUUUGUUAUGUAUCGAUCGAUGUUAUAUUCAUUUGAUCUUGCAUGGAGAUUCAUAUAAAAAAAUUAUUUUCAGUUUUUUUUACUUUUAUAUACUCCAUCCGUCCGGAAAUACUUGUCAUCGAAAUGAAUAAAAGGGGAUGUAUCUAGACGUAUGUCUAGAUACAUUCCUUUUAUGUAUUUCCGGACGGAGGGAGUACUAUAUUACUUGACUGAGACUUUAAGUCUCAAUCGACUAAGACCUAACCACCCCCUUAAUAUUUCACUUGGAAUAAAAAUUAUGAAAUGUGCAACAUUUAUAUCAUAUAUACCUUGAGCAAGACGGCUUGAGCAGGUGGGACAACGUGGAACAGGUCACCGGAAACAUACUUAACUGCUCCUUCUUCAGCGGGAAGAACUUUGUCCAUGACCUUUGGAAGGUCCAACACAGUGCACGUGAUGUGAGGGUAGGCCUCGACGAUGGACCUCGCGGUAGUCCCAUCGCCACCGCCGCAGUCAGUGAGAGACUCAAGCCCAUCGAACAGCUCACGGCACUGCCGGAGCACGGGGCCGAUCCCCAUGUGGUCGUGGGCAGCGAGGGCGUCGUGGAGCAGCUGAUCCAUCUCCGGGUCCAGGAGCACCAUGCUCUCCUCGAAGAUGGCCGCGCCAUGCACGUCCUCGAACGGCGAGGGAACGGCUCCAUCGAAGUCCUUCCUGAACCAGUCCGCCAGCCCCAUGGCCGCCUCCACGUAGUAGCGCGAGGCCGCGGCGCGCACGAGGGCCGUCUGGCUAGCGUCGCCGUCGAUGCGGACGCCGUCUACCAGGAGGUACGAGAGCGGGUUGAGGCGGUACGUUCCGGCGUCGGUUGCACUGAAGACGCCCGCCGUGGCGAGUUGGCGCAGCAGGCGGGCGAGGAAGGGCAGCUUGGACGUGGGGAGGGAUAGGGCGGCGACGAGUUCGGAUGGGGACGCGGCGCCGCCGAGGCGGUGAAUGGCAGUGGGGACGCCAAGGUCGACGGCGCACCGGAGCGCCAUAGGCGUGAGGUAGCAGAGGGUGUGGCGCCACAGGUCCGACUGCGCCUGGAGCAGCUCCGUGUCGGUGGGGACAAACACCUUCUCUGCCUGGCCUGCCAUUGCCGUUGAUCUCUAUCUCUCAGUGCUGUACGUGUUGUGCACUUCGAUCUGGUAGAUAUAUAGGGGACGGAGGACACUCUCAUAUAAUAUAGCAAUGUUUGCUGUCAUUUCUCGUGGAACACGAGGGUGAUGACCACGACACUAUAUCGCUAUCGACGGGCCAGGGUAGCGUAUCGAUACAGCGCAGAAAGAAGACUCAAGACUGCUCGCUGUGGCUGGAAAUGGAAAGGAGGCACGUGCGGCUUUGAGAUAGACAGACCGACUGUACACACAUUACUUUCGUGGAUUCGAAUCGAAUCGAUAAACCUAAAUACUUCAUGGUGCACGCACACGAUUUUGCUGAACCGAGCGGCCGUGCUUGGACCGCUCAUUGCGAACGCAUCGUUUGGCCCACGACCGGUUAGCUUAUGCGCUAUCCGGCCGUGUUUCCUGGUCGGGGCGAGACGUGGUUAGCUUAUGCGCUAUCCGACAAAGCCGGUGUGACACCCUUACUUUCUCUCCUGAAAAAACAAAAGCUUAUCCUUAUCAUCUUUUCAUCGUCUUUAACGUAUCCGGCCAAUAAGCAGUGUGCCCCGGCUGGAGGCCAAGCCAAGGCGGCCAACCGGAGAAACCUGGAGAGCAGGUCAGCCAAGGAGCCGGAAAAGCAGUGCCGCAACCUCCUCCCGGCGAGGCAUGAAACCAGACAAAAUUCUCCCAAACGGGUCGGACCGCAGCGGCGCGGUCGUGUUUGCCUUGGACGCCCCCCCAUGGUGUUGCUGCCGCUGCUGGUGGAGCUGUGCAAGUCCAUUGGUGUGCACACGCUGCUGCUCAUGGAGUCAUGGUGCCCGGCAUCAUUGGAGCUCAGCUCUUGUACCUACUGCCCGCCGAAUCGCCAGGCAACGUCGUCCUAUUCAGAGCUUACCGACAUGGUGCUCACCUAAGUGCUAAUAAAAAAUUCUAGUUCCUGCAUGGCUGCACAACCUUUAGUCUUGGUUGAUUAUCACGAGUGCUUUUUUGCAUGAGUAGAUUAUUCGAUAGUUAUAGUUGCACAUAUAAUAGUCUGUAGUAGUAUAUAUAAUUUAGAAAGUUGCACAACACGAUGAUACUAAGUUGGCUAGAUGAUGUUUUUGCUUAAAUUGAUCUAUUCUUGUCCGUCGUAUUUUUAGUUGGCAUCCAUGACACGAUAAUAUAAUAUAGCAAUGUGUUUGCUGUCAUUUCUCGUGGAACGCGAGGGUGACGACCUUGACACUAUAUCGCUAUCGACGGGCCGGGGUAGCGUAUCGAUAGAGCGCAUAAAGAAGACUCAAGACUGCUCGCUGUGGCUGCAAACGGAAAGGAGGCACGCGCGUCUUCGAGACAGACUGACCGACUGUACACACGUUCCAUUCGUGGAUCCGAAUCAAAUCGAUAAACCUAAAUACUUUAUGGUGCACGCGCACGAUUUUGCUUAACCGAGCGGCCGCGCUUGGACCGCUCAUUGCGAGCGCAUCGUGGGGCCCACGACGGCCAGGUGUUUCCUGGUCGGGGCGAGACGUGGUUGGCUCGAGCGCUAUCCGACAAACCCGGUAUGACACCCUUACUUUCUCUCCUGAAAAAACAAAGGCUUAUCCGUAUCAUCUUUUCAUCGUCUCCCUCGAAUCUGGCGAGGAAGCAGUGUGCCCCAGUCGAAGGCCAUGCCGAGGCGGCCAACCAGAGAAACCUGGAGAGCAGGUUAGCCAAGGAGCCAGACCAGCAGUGCUGCCACCUCCUCCGCCCUCUUUUUAUGAGUUGGAGCCGGAGCCGCCAUGGAACUCACGCGAGAGGGCCACCCUACGCCCCGCUACUCCUUCCUCCCAUGGUGUUGCUGCCGCUGCUGGUGGAGCUGUGCAAGUCCAUUGGUGUGCACGCGCUGCUGCUCAUGGUGUCAUGGUGCCCGGCAUCAUUGGCGCUCAGCUCUUGUACCUACUGCCCGCCGAAUUGCCAUGCAAUGUCGUCCUGUUCAGAGCUUACGGACAUGGUGCUCACCUGAAUACUAAUAAAAAAAUUUAGUUCCUGCACGGCUGCACAACCUUCAGUCUUGCUUGAUUAUCACGAGUGCUUUUUUGCCUGAGUAGAUUAUCCAAUAGUUGUAGUUGCACAUAUAAUAGUUUGUAGUUGUAUAUAUGAUUUAGAAAGUUGCACAACAUGAUGAUACUAAGUUGGCUAGAUGAUGUUUUUGCAUAAAUUGAUCUAUUUUUGUCGGUCAUAUUUUUAGUUGGCAUCCAUGACAUUACAAUAUAAUAUAGCAACGUGUUUGCUGUCAUUUCUCGUGGAACGCGAGGGUAACGACCAUUACACUAUAUCGCUAUCGACGGGCCGGGGUAGCUUAUCGAUAGAGCGCAUAAAGAAGACUCAAGACUGCUCGAUGUUGCUGGAAACAGAAAGGAGGCACGUGCGGCUUCAAGAUAGACCGACCGACUGUACACGGAUUCCAUUCGUGGAUCCGAAUCGAAUCGAUAAACAUAAAUACUUCUUGAUGCACGCGCAUGAUUUUGCUGAACCGAUCGGCCACGCUUGGACCACUCAUUUCGAGCGCAUCGUGCGGCCCACGGCCACCAUGUGUUUCCUGGUCGGGGCGAGACGUGGUUGGCUCAUGCGCUAUCCGACAAAGCCGAUGUGAACCAAUCGCUCCCUUACUUCCUCUCCUAAAAAACAAAGGCUUAUCCUUAUCAUCUUUUCAUCGCCUCCAUCGAAUCCGUGCGAGGAAGCAGUGUGUCUCUGCCGGAGGCCAAGCCGAGGCGGCCAACCGGAGAAACCUGGAGAACAGGUCAGGCAAGGAGCCGGACCAGCAGUGCCGCCACCUCCUCCGCCCUCCUUCUAUGAGCUGGAGCCGGAGCCGCCAUGGAACUCACGCCUGAGGGCCACCCUACGCCCCGCUACUCGUCCCGGCGAGGCAUGAAGCCAGACAAAAUUCUCGUAAACCGGUCGGACCGCUGCGGCGCGGUCGUGUUUGCCUUGGAUGCACCCCAUGGUGUUCCUGCCGCUGCUGGUGGAGUUGUGCAAGUUCAUUGGUGUGCACACGCUGCUGCUCAUGGAAUCAUGGUACCCGGCAACAUUGGUGCUCAACUCUUGUACCUACUGCACGUCAAAUCGCCAGGCAACAUCGUCUUGUUCAGAGCUGACGGACAAGGUGCUCACCUGAAUGCUAAUAAAUUUUUUAGUUCCUGCACAGCUGCAAAACCUUCAAUCUUGGUUGAUUAUCACGAGUGCUUAUUUGCCUGAGUAGAUUAUCCAAUAGUUGUAGUUGCACAUAUAAUAGUCUGUUGUUGUAUAUAUGAUUUAGAAAGUUGCACAACACGAUGAUACUAAGUUGGCUAGAUGAUGUUUUUGCUUAAAUUGAUCUAUUCUUGUUAGUCGUAUUUUCAGUUGGCAUCCAUGACACGAUAAUAUAAUAUAGCAAUGUGUUUGCUGUCAUUUCUCGUGGAACGCGAGGGUGACGACCUUGACACUAUAUCGCUAUCGACGGGCCGGGGUAGCGUAUCGAUAGAGCGCAUAAAGAAGACUCAAGACUGCUCGCUGUGGCUGCAAACGGAAAGGAGGCACGCGCGUCUUCGAGACAGACUGACCGACUGUACACACGUUCCAUUCGUGGAUCCGAAUCAAAUCGAUAAACCUAAAUACUUCAUGGUGCACGCGNNNNNNNNNNNNNNNNNNNNNNNNNNNNNNNNNNNNNNNNNNNNNNNNNNNNNNNNNNNNNNNNNNNNNNNNNNNNNNNNNNNNNNNNNNNNNNNNNNNNNNNNNNNNNNNNNNNNNNNNNNNNNNNNNNNNNNNNNNNNNNNNNNNNNNNNNNNNNNNNNNNNNNNNNNNNNNNNNNNNNNNNNNNNNNNNNNNNNNNNNNNNNNNNNNNNNNNNNNNNNNNNNNNNNNNNNNNNNNNNNNNNNNNNNNNNNNNNNNNNNNNNNNNNNNNNNNNNNNNNNNNNNNNNNNNNNNNNNNNNNNNNNNNNNNNNNNNNNNNNNNNNNNNNNNNNNNNNNNNNNNNNNNNNNNNNNNNNNNNNNNNNNNNNNNNNNNNNNNNNNNNNNNNNNNNNNNNNNNNNNNNNNNNNNNNNNNNNNNNNNNNNNNNNNNNNNNNNNNNNNNNNNNNNNNNNNNNNNNNNNNNNNNNNNNNNNNNNNNNNNNNNNNNNNNNNNNNNNNNNNNNNNNNNNNNNNNNNNNNNNNNNNNNNNNNNNNNNNNNNNNNNNNNNNNNNNNNNNNNNNNNNNNNNNNNNNNNNNNNNNNNNNNNNNNNNNNNNNNNNNNNNNNNNNNNNNNNNNNNNNNNNNNNNNNNNNNNNNNNNNNNNNNNNNNNNNNNNNNNNNNNNNNNNNNNNNNNNNNNNNNNNNNNNNNNNNNNNNNNNNNNNNNNNNNNNNNNNNNNNNNNNNNNNNNNNNNNNNNNNNNNNNNNNNNNNNNNNNNNNNNNNNNNNNNNNNNNNNNNNNNNNNNNNNNNNNNNNNNNNNNNNNNNNNNNNNNNNNNNNUGGAGCCGGAGCCGCCAUGGAACUCACGCGAGAGGGCCACCCUACGCCCCGCUACUCCUUCCUCCCAUGGUGUUGCUGCCGCUGCUGGUGGAGCUGUGCAAGUCCAUUGGUGUGCACGCGCUGCUGCUCAUGGUGUCAUGGUGCCCGGCAUCAUUGGCGCUCAGCUCUUGUACCUACUGCCCGCCGAAUCGCCAUGCAAUGUCGUCCUGUUCAGAGCUUACGGACAUGGUGCUCACCUGAAUACUAAUAAAAAAAUUUAGUUCCUGCACGGCUGCACAACCUUCAGUCUUGGUUGAUUAUCACGAGUGCUUUUUUGCCUGAGUAGAUUAUCCAAUAGUUGUAGUUGCACAUAUAAUAGUUUGUAGUUGUAUAUAUGAUUUAGAAAGUUGCACAACAUGAUGAUACUAAGUUGGCUAGAUGAUGUUUUUGCAUAAAUUGAUCUAUUUUUGUCGGUCAUAUUUUUAGUUGGCAUCCAUGACAUUACAAUAUAAUAUAGCAAUGUGUUUGCUGUCAUUUCUCGUGGAACGCGAGGGUAACGACCAUUACACUAUAUCGCUAUCGACGGGCCGGGGUAGCUUAUCGAUAGAGCGCAUAAAGAAGACUCAAGACUGCUCGAUGUUGCUGGAAACAGAAAGGAGGCACGUGCGGCUUCAAGAUAGACCGACCGACUGUACACGGAUUCCAUUCGUGGAUCCGAAUCGAAUCGAUAAACAUAAAUACUUCUUGAUGCACGCGCAUGAUUUUGCUGAACCGAUCGGCCACGCUUGGACCACUCAUUUCGAGCGCAUCGUGCGGCCCACGGCCACCAUGUGUUUCCUGGUCGGGGCGAGACGUGGUUGGCUCAUGCGCUAUCCGACAAAGCCGAUGUGAACCAAUCGCUCCCUUACUUCCUCUCCUAAAAAACAAAGGCUUAUCCUUAUCAUCUUUUCAUCGCCUCCAUCGAAUCCGUGCGAGGAAGCAGUGUGUCUCUGCCGGAGGCCAAGCCGAGGCGGCCAACCGGAGAAACCUGGAGAACAGGUCAGGCAAGGAGCCGGACCAGCAGUGCCGCCACCUCCUCCGCCCUCCUUCUAUGAGCUGGAGCCGGAGCCGCCAUGGAACUCACGCCUGAGGGCCACCCUACGCCCCGCUACUCGUCCCGGCGAGGCAUGAAGCCAGACAAAAUUCUCGUAAACCGGUCGGACCGCUGCGGCGCGGUCGUGUUUGCCUUGGAUGCACCCCAUGGUGUUCCUGCCGCUGCUGGUGGAGUUGUGCAAGUUCAUUGGUGUGCACACGCUGCUGCUCAUGGAAUCAUGGUACCCGGCAACAUUGGUGCUCAACUCUUGUACCUACUGCACGUCAAAUCGCCAGGCAACAUCGUCUUGUUCAGAGCUGACGGACAAGGUGCUCACCUGAAUGCUAAUAAAUUUUUUAGUUCCUGCACAGCUGCAAAACCUUCAAUCUUGGUUGAUUAUCACGAGUGCUUAUUUGCCUGAGUAGAUUAUCCAAUAGUUGUAGUUGCACAUAUAAUAGUCUGUUGUUGUAUAUAUGAUUUAGAAAGUUGCACAACACGAUGAUACUAAGUUGGCUAGAUGAUGUUUUUGCUUAAAUUGAUCUAUUCUUGUUAGUCGUAUUUUCAGUUGGCAUCCAUGACACGAUAAUAUAAUAUAGCAAUGUGUUUGCUGUCAUUUCUCGUGGAACGCGAGGGUGACGACCUUGACACUAUAUCGCUAUCGACGGGCCGGGGUAGCGUAUCGAUAGAGCGCAUAAAGAAGACUCAAGACUGCUCGCUGUGGCUGCAAACGGAAAGGAGGCACGCGCGUCUUCGAGACAGACUGACCGACUGUACACACGUUCCAUUCGUGGAUCCGAAUCAAAUCGAUAAACCUAAAUACUUCAUGGUGCACGCGAACGAUUUUGCUUAACCGAGCGGCCGCGCUUGGACCGCUCAUUGCGAGCGCAUCGUGGGGCCCACGACGGCCAGGUGUUUCCUGGUCGGGGCGAGACGUGGUUGGCUCGAGCGCUAUCCGACAAACCCGGUAUGACACCCUUACUUUCUCUCCUGAAAAAAACAAAGGCUUAUCUGUAUCAUCUUUUCAUCGUCUCCCUCGAAUCUGGCGAGGAAGCAGUGUGCCCCAGUCGAAGGCCAUGCCGAGGCGGCUAACCAGAGAAACCUGGAGAGCAGGUUAGCCAAGGAGCCAGACCAGCAGUGCUGCCACCUCCUCCGCCCUCUUUUUAUGAGCUGGAGCCGGAGCCACCAUGGAACUCACGCGAGAGGGCCACCCUACGCCCCGCUACUCCUUCCUCCCAUGGUGUUGCUGCCGCUGCUGGUGGAGCUGUGCAAGUCCAUUGGUGUGCACGCACUGCUGCUCAUGGUGUCAUGGUGCCCGGCAUCAUUGGCGCUCAGCUAUUGUACCUACUGCCCGCCGAAUCGCCAUGCAAUGUCGUCCUGUUCAGAGCUUACGGACAUGGUGCUCACCUGAAUACUAAUAAAAAAAUUUAGUUCCUGCACGGCUGCACAACCUUCAGACUUGGUUGAUUAUCACGAGUGCUUUUUUGCCUGAGUAGAUUAUCCAAUAGUUGUAGUUGCACAUAUAAUAGUCUGUAGUUGUAUAUAUGAUUUAGAAAGUUGCACAACAUGAUGAUACUAAGUUGGCUAGAUGAUGUUUUUGCAUAAAUUGAUCUAUUUUUGUCGGUCAUAUUUUUAGUUGGCAUCCAUGACAUUAUAAUAUAAUAUAACAUUGUGUUUGCUUUCAUUUCUCGUGGAACGCGAGGGUAACGACCAUUACACUAUAUCGCUAUCGACGGGCCGGGGUAGCUUAUCGAUAGAGCGCAUAAAGAAGACUCAAGACUGCUCGAUGUUGCUGGAAACAGAAAGGAGGCACGUGCAGCUUCAAGAUAGACCGACCGACUGUACACGGAUUCCAUUCGUGGAUCCGAAUCGAAUCGAUAAACCUAAAUACUUCUUGAUGCACGCGCAUGAUUUUGCUGAACCAAUCGGCCACGCUUGGACCACUCAUUUCGAGCGCAUCGUGCGGCCCACGGCCACCAGGUGUUUCCUGGUCGGGGCGAGACAUGGUUGGCUCAUGCGCUAUCCGACAAAGCCGAUGUGAACCAAUCGCUCCCUUACUUCCUCUCCUAAAAAACAAAGGCUUAUCCUUAUCAUCUUUUCAUCGCCUCCAUCGAAUCCGUGCGAGGAAGCAGUGUGUCUCUGCCGGAGGCCAAGCCGAGGCGGCCAACCGGAGAAACCUGGAGAACAGGUCAGGCAAGGAGCCGGACCAGCAGUGCCGCCACCUCCUCCGCCGUCCUUCUAUGAGCUUGAGCCGGAGCCGCCAUGGAACUCACGCCUGAGGGCCACCCUACGCCCCGCUACUCGUCCCGGCGAGGCAUGAAGCCAGACAAAAUUCUCGUAAACCAGUCGGACCGCAGCGGCGCGGUCGUGUUUGCCUUGGAUGCACCCCAUGGUGUUCCUGCCGUUGCUGGUGGAGUUGUGCAAGGUCAUUGGUGUGCACACGCUGCUGCUCAUGGAAUCAUGGUACCCGGCAACAUUGGUGCUCAACUCUUGUACCUACUGCACGUCGAAUCGCCAGGCAACAUCGUCUUGUUCAGAGCUGACGGACAAGGUGCUCACCUGAAUGCUAAUAAAUUUUUUAGUUCCUGCACAGCUGCAAAACCUUCAAUCUUGGUUGAUUAUCACGAGUGCUUAUUUGCCUGAGUAGAUUAUCCAAUAGUUGUAGUUGCACAUAUAAUAGUCUGUUGUUGUAUAUAUGAUUUAGAAAGUUGCACAACACGAUGAUACUAAGUUGGCUAGAUGAUGUUUUUGCUUAAAUUGAUCUAUUCUUGUUAGUCGUAUUUUCAGUUGGCAUCCAUGACACGAUAAUAUAAUAUAGCAAUGUGUUUGCUGUCAUUUCUCGUGGAACGCGAGGGUGACGACCUUGACACUAUAUCGCUAUCGACGGGCCGGGGUAGCGUAUCGAUAGAGCGCAUAAAGAAGACUCAAGACUGCUCGCUGUGGCUGCAAACGGAAAGGAGGCACGCGCGUCUUCGAGACAGACUGACCGACUGUACACACGUUCCAUUCGUGGAUCCGAAUCAAAUCGAUAAACCUAAAUACUUCAUGGUGCACGCGCACGAUUUUGCUUAACCGAGCGGCCGCGCUUGGACCGCUCAUUGCGAGCGCAUCGUGGGGCCCACGACGGCCAGGUGUUUCCUGGUCGGGGUGAGACGUGGUUGGCUCGAGCGCUAUCCGACAAACCCGGUAUGACACCCUUACUUUCUCUCCUGAAAAAACAAAGGCUUAUCCGUAUCAUCUUUUCAUCGUCUCCCUCGAAUUUGGCGAGGAAGCAGUGUGCCCCAGGCGAAGUCCAUGCCGAGGCGGCCAACCAGAGAAACCUGGAGAGCAGGUUAGCCAAUGAGCCAGACCAGCAGUGCUGCCACCUCCUCCGCCCUCUUUUUAUGAGCUGGAGCCGGAGCCGCCAUGGAACUCACGCGAGAGGGCCACCCUACGCCCCGCUACUCCUUCCUCCCAUGGUGUUGCUGCCGCUGCUGGUGGAGCUGUGCAAGUCCAUUGGUGUGCACGCGCUGCUGCUCAUGGUGUCAUGGUGCCCGGCAUCAUUGGCGCUCAGCUCUUGUACCUACUGCCCGCCGAAUCGCCAUGCAAUGUCGUCCUGUUCAGAGCUUACGGACAUGGUGCUCACCUGAAUACUAAUAAAAAAAUUUAGUUCCUGCACGGCUGCACAACCUUCAGUCUUGGUUGAUUAUCACGAGUGCUUUUUUGCCUGAGUAGAUUAUCCGAUAGUUGUAGUUGCACAUAUAAUAGUCUGUAGUUGUAUAUAUGAUUUAGAAAGUUGCACAACAUGAUGAUACUAAGUUGGCUAGAUGAUGUUUUUGCAUAAAUUGAUCUAUUUUUGUCGGUCAUAUUUUUAGUUGGCAUCCAUGACAUUGUAAUAUAAUAUAGCAAUGUGUUUGCUGUCAUUUCUCGUGGAACGCGAGGGUAACGACCAUUACACUAUAUUGCUAUCGACGGACCGGGGUAGCUUAUCGAUUGAGCGCAUAAAGAAGACUCAAGACUGCUCGAUGUUGCUGGAAACAGAAAGGAGGCAUGUGCGGCUUCAAGAUAGACCGACCGACUGUACACGGAUUCCAUUCGUGGAUCCGAAUCGAAUCGAUAAACCUAAAUACUUCUUGAUGCACGCGCAUGAUUUUGCUGAACCGAUCGGCCACGCUUGGACCACUCAUUUCGAGCGCAUCGUGCGGCCCACGGUCACCAGGUGUUUCCUGGUCGGGGCGAGACAUGGUUGGCUCAUGCGCUAUCCGACAAAGCCGAUGUGAACCAAUCGCUCCCUUACUUCCUCUCCUAAAAAACAAAGGCUUAUACAUAUCAUCUUUUCAUCGCCUCCAUCGAAUCCGUGCGAGGAAGCAGUGUGUCUCUGCCGGAGGCCAAGCCGAGGCGGCCAACGGGAGAAACCUGGAGAACAGGUCAGGCAAGGAGCCGGACCAGCAGUGCCGCCACCUCCUCCGCCCUCCUUCUAUGAGCUGGAGCCGGAGCCGCCAUGGAACUCACGCCUGAGGUCCACCCUACGCCCCGCUACUCGUCCCGGCGAGGCAUGAAGCCAGACAAAAUUCUCGUAAACCGGUCGGACCGCAGCGGCGCGGUCGUGUUUGCCUUGGAUGCACCCCAUGGUGUUCCUGCCGUUGCUGGUGGAGUUGUGCAAGGUCAUUGGUGUGCACACGCUGCUGCUCAUGGAAUCAUGGUACCCGGCAACAUUGGUGCUCAACUCUUGUACCUACUGCACGUCGAAUCGCCAGGCAACAUCGUCUUGUUCAGAGCUGACGGACAAGGUGCUCACCUGAAUGCUAAUAAGUUUUUUAGUUCCUGCACAGCUGCAAAACCUUCAAUCUUGGUUGAUUAUCACGAGUGCUUAUUUGCCUGAGUAGAUUAUCCAAUAGUUGUAGUUGCACAUAUAAUAGUCUGUUGUUGUAUAUAUGAUUUAGAAAGUUGCACAACACGAUGAUACUAAGUUGGCUAGAUGAUGUUUUUGCUUAAAUUGAUCUAUUCUUGUCAGUCGUAUUUUUAGUUGGCAUCCAUGACACGAUAAUAUAAUAUAGCAAUCUGUUUGCUGUCAUUUCUCGUGGAACGCGAGGGUGACGACCUUGACACUAUAUCGCUAUCGACGGGCCGGGGUAGCGUAUCGAUAGAGCGCAUAAAGAAGACUCAAGACUGCUCGCUGUGGCUGCAAACGGAAAGGAGGCACGCGCGUCUUCGAGACAGACUGACCGACUGUACACACGUUCCAUUGUGGAUCCGAAUCAAAUCGAUAAACCUAAAUACUUCAUGGUGCACGCGCACGAUUUUGCUUAACCGAGCGGCCGCGCUUGGACCGCUCAUUGCGAGCGCAUCGUGGGGCCCACGACGGCCAGGUGUUUCCUGGUCGGGGCGAGACGUGGUUGGCUCGAGCGCUAUCCGACAAACCCGGUAUGACACCCUUACUUUCUCUCCUGAAAAAACAAAGGCUUAUCCGUAUCAUCUUUUCAUCGUCUCCCUCGAAUCUGGCGAGGAAGCAGUGUGCCCCAGUCGAAGUCCAUGCCGAGGCGGCCAACCAGAGAAACCUGGAGAGCAGGUUAGCCAAGGAGCCAGACCAGCAAUGCUGCCACCUCCUCCGCCCUCUUUUUAUGAGCUGGAGCCGGAGCCGCCAUGGAACUCACGCGAGAGGGCCACCCUACGCCCCGCUACUCCUUCCUCCCAUGGUGUUGCUGCCGCUGCUGGUGGAGCUGUGCAAGUCCAUUGGUGUGCACGCGCUGCUGCUCAUGGUGUCAUGGUGCCCGGCAUCAUUGGCGCUCAGCUAUUGUACCUACUGCCCGCCGAAUCGCCAUGCAAUGUCGUCCUGUUCAGAGCUUACGGACAUGGUGCUCACCUGAAUACUAAUAAAAAAAUUUAGUUCCUGCACGGCUGCACAACCUUCAGUCUUGGUUGAUUAUCACGAGUGCUUUUUUGCCUGAGUAGAUUAUCCAAUAGUUGUAGUUGCACAUAUAAUAGUCUGUAGUUGUAUAUAUGAUUUAGAAAGUUGCGUAACACGAUGAUACUAAGUUGGCUAGAUGAUGUUUUUGCAUAAAUUGAUCUAUUUUUGUCGGUCAUAUUUUUAGUUGGCAUCCAUGACAUUAUAAUAUAAUAUUGCAAUGUGUUUGCUGUCAUUUCUCGUGGAACGCGAGGGUAACGACCAUUACACUAUAUCGCUAUCGACGGGCCGGGGUAGCUUAUCGAUAGAGCGCAUAAAGAAGACUCAAGACUGCUCGAUGUUGCUGGAAACAGAAAGGAGGCAUGUGCGGCUUCAAGAUAGACCGACCGACUGACUGUACACGGAUUCCAUUCGUGGAUCCGAAUCGAAUCGAUAAACCUAAAUACUUCUUGAUGCACGCGCAUGAUUUUGCUGAACCGAUCGGCCACGUUUGGACCACUCAUUUCGAGCGCAUCGUGCGGCCCACGGCCACCAGGUGUUUCCUGGUCGGGGCGAGACGUGGUUGGCUCAUGCGCUAUCCGAACGGUGUGAACCAAUCGCUCCCUUAAUUUCUGACCUGAAAAAACAAAGGCUUGUCCUUAUCAUCUUUUCAUCGUCUCCAUCGAAUCCGGCGAGGAAGCAUGUUAGGAAUAAGCCACGCAUGAGUAUGUGCUCGUGUGUGUGAUCUAUGUGCAUGGGUGUGACCGUGUACAUGCAAGAUUCUGUUAGUGCAUGCCCUGAUUAGUUAGCUUGUUUGUUGGCUUGGCCAGGUCGCCGGACGAGCGUGUAUGUGAGCGUACGUUUCGGUGAAAGAGUUACCUAGCUAGGUAGGCGAUCCGUUGGGUUCGGCCGUGGCGUGCGUGUCGUGGGAGCGCACGGCCGGGCAUGCACAUCCUGCGGGCGAGGUGGGCUGUGCGUCGUGCGCCAGCCCGGGUAUAAAUUCUAUAGACGCGGGAUAGUUGUAAUGCACUGAGUUGAGCACCAUGUAGACAUUGCAAAAGGAAGAAAGAUUCGCGCGUUCGUGCACCGGUCCGAGAAACUUGUGUCCACUGCGUUCAUCUCCUUCCUUCUUUCUUGUUCAAGCGAGUGAGUUGAGAGGGAGAGGUAGUUCGGGGUUUGUCCCAACAUUUGAUAUCAUGAGCUGGUUCAUCUUGGGCGUCGUUCUUCUUGCCAGAGGUGUGCCGGCGGUGGCGGAGUUCGCCGCGGUUGCGUGAUGCUCCAGGCCGUGGGUCGGCCUAUGGAGGAGUGCGGCGCGGCGAGGAGGCCACGGUGACUGCGGCGGCAUGGUGAGGAGGCCGCGGAGGACCUGCGUGGUGGCGGCUUCAACGACAACGACGGCGCGGCGAGUGCGUUGCGGCGGCUCGGCGCGACAACGGUGGAGGCGCGUGGCACGGAGCCGCAGCGCUCGUGUCGGAGGCGUCAGGCGCGUGUAUGGGCGCGCGCCGGGCGUGUCAGGCGCGGCGGGACCGUGGUGUAGGGUGGCCGUUGGCGAGCGGGGGUGUGCGCAUCACGGGCUCGCCGCGACUAGAUGUGUGCGUGCAUGUCGGAGGGGGCGCGGGCAGAGCGGACGGAACGGGCGCUCGACGUAGGCUGGGACGUGGGUGCGUGCCCGGCGCGUCCCUGCAUAUAAAACCCCACCCGUGUACAUUGUAAUAGCAGCGCCCGGAGUCGAGUUCGAGCUCGAGGGAAUCAAGGUCGUUGGUGUACCAGGAAGAGAAGCUGUGGCGUGUGUCACCGGAGAUGAAGAAGGCGUUCUCUAUGGCAGUCGACGAGAGGCCGGAGUCCUGUCAGGAUGGGCGGCGAGGUCGUGGCUUAGAUGGGAGAAUGUUAGGAAUAAGUCAGGCAUGAGUAUGUGCUCGCGUGUGUGAUCUAUGUGCAUGGGUGUGACCGUGUGCAUGCAAGAUUCUGUUAGCGCAUGCUCUGAUUAGUUAGCUAGUUUGUUGGCUUGGACGGGUCGCCGGAGGAGCGUGUAUGGGAGCGUACGUUUCGGUGAAAGAGUUAGCUAGCUAGGUAGGCGAUCCGUUGGGAUCGGCCGGGGCGUGCGGGUCGUGGGAGCGCACGGCCGGGCAUGCGGAUCCUGCGGGCGUGACGUGAAGUUUGUGCUCGGCAUAUUUCCUCGGAAUACCCGGCAUGUUUUUGGGGGUCCGUGCGAAGAUAUCCCGAUUCUGACGGAGGAAGUCGACGAGCUCGCCUUCCUAUUUGCUGUCGAGGCGGGCGCCUACCAGUGGCGGUGCCAGGAUCGAAACCUUGUGUUGUCAAGCUUUAUACAAAUGAAACAUUUUGUAGGUAAAUUAAACAAGAACACAAGAAGACCAUACUUCAUUUGAUACAUAUUUGUUGUACAAGCUUUUUCUAUUAUAUAUAUUUCAUCUUAAACAUGUCUUUUGAUAUAAAGAUCUUAAACAUUUUUAUGGUAACAACGCUUUGACAAAUGUAUCCAUGUACCAUUGCCAAACUUAAGACCUAACAAAUGACAAAACAAGGUUUUGCUAAAAGAAACAAUAUCUGAAUUUCAUGUGAGAAUAUAAAAUUUCAAGAGAAAGAAGACAGAAACUUAAAAACAGAAAAGGAAGGGCCUCGUCCUAUACACUCGCCGAGUCGCUGAAGGUGCAGUACUACGGAGAUCGGAGAUCUACUAGAGCAGCGGAGGAGGCCGUGCUCAUUGUGGUGAUUCCAGGCAACGGCGACCUCGGCGGUCGGUGAGCAGCAUGGGUAUCCAUGCAUGAUGUGCUUCACUGCUCCUCCCCACGGCGUAGUGCAUGAUUGGCCAUUAGAGAUUAUACACAGGAAGGUGAAAAAGGAGAGAGUUCGAAGGAAUAUCACGGGAUUUCAGGAGACGGUCACGAAGUUGUUUUGGAGGACGAUUAGGGAAGUUAAUAAUGACGUCGGGAGCUUCCUUUUUCUAUAUGGGCCAGCCAAAUCUCACGAAAAACUGAUACCAACUGGGCAUGUUUUAGUUAGAGGACCUCUUUUAGUUAAUUUCCAGAACCUGUUUAUUUGGAAGUGGGGUACGAUGUCACGGACUCACGGUAGUGUUUGAGUACCAAAUUCCUGUGUAGUCGCUUGACAACAUAGUCAUAGUGUGGCUUCGCCACUGGCGCCUACGACAACGUACUUGCUGCAGCUGGGGUCUUCCGGGUUGAGCUUCACUCUCUUGGUCUCCUUGGAGGGCUUGAAGGCUGCCUCGUCGACCGGGUCCAGGGUCGGGAUCGACGCAGCGGAGGCCUCACCGGCCAGGGCGACGAUCCAGUCGAGUUGGCGCCGCUCCUCGGCAAUGACCAGCGACUCAGCCAACUUGGCGCUGUCUCGGGCGCACUCCAAGGACUUGCGGUAAUCGCCGGUGAUGGUGAUGAGACCCUUGGGACCCGGCAUUCUUCAUCUUCAGAUAUGCGUAGUGGGUAACCGCCAUGAACUUGGCGAGCGCGGGCCGGCCCAGCAACGCGUGAUACGCGCUGGACAGGUCCACCAACUCGAACCAGACCGGUUCGCGUCGGAAGUGGCUAUUGUCGCCGAACAGGACAUUGAGCCAGAACCGGCCAAUGGGCGAGCAGGAGAGGCCGGGUACGAUGCCGUGGAAGAUCGCCCGGCUCGGUUCCAGGUCCUCGGCCUUGAGGCAGAGCUUGGUCAUCGUGUCGCGGUAGAGGAUGUUGAUGCUGCUGCCGCCGUCGAUGAGGACUCGGGAGAACUUGCAUGUACGCCGUGCGACGAUGGUGGGGUUGAGGACGAGGGCGUAGCCACACAGGCUUGGCAUGACUACCGGGUGAUCCUCCCGGGUCCAGGUGAUCGGGCGAUCCGACCAAUGCAUAAACUCCAGCUUGGCUGGGACGACGGUGUUCACCUCCUGCCGAAGGAGGCGCUCGCUGCGCUUGUCAUUGCCGAGGCUGGUGAAGACGACAUAGGCCGCGUUCUGGUCCGGGUAGGCGUCUUCCGCAUCGCGCGGCCAGCGGGAGGCGGUGGUGGAGGCGGAGGCGGCUGUCCCGCGCCUGGAGCCGCAAGCGGAGGAGGCGGGACGUCGCCCCUCAUGAUGCGCUUGGUGAUGGUGCACUGUCGAAGCGUGUGCGUGGAAGGUCUUGCGCCGCUGUGGUGCUUGCAGGGGGCGUCGAGCAUCUCUUCGAAACUCAUGGCGGGUUGCCAUGCCAUCUUGCCGCUUUGCCGGCGCUUCGCCGCCGGGUCCGCCGCGGGCUCGGCCGCCGCGACGAGCAGGUUAUCGUGACGCUGCGCCGGCUGGUCGGCCAUGCGCUUGUUGUUCUGGUGAUGCUGCUGCCGGCUGCUUUCACCGGCCGGCUUCGGAGGGAGAACCGGCUUCGCCUUGCCGGCCUCAUCUAGCGCCACCUGGAUCUUCAUGGCGGAGUCUGAUGACCCACAAGUGUACGGGAUCUAUCGUAGUCCUUUCGAUAAGUAAGAGCGUCGAGCCCAACGAGGAGCAGAAGGAAAUGAUAAGCGGUUUUUAGUAAGGUUUUCUGCAAGCACUGAAAUUGUAGGUGAUAAAUAGUUUUGUGAUAAGAUAAAUAGUAACGAGUAAGAAGUAAACAAAGUAAAUAAAGUGUAGCAAGGUGGCCCAAUCCUUUGGCAAAGGAUAAGCCUGGACAAUUUCUAAUAAUGAGAAAGGAGCUCCCGAGGGCACAUGGGAAUUAUCGUCAAGCUAGUUUUCAUCAAGCUCAUAUGAUUCGCGUUCGGUACUUUGAUAAUUUGAUAUGUGGGUGGACCGGUGCUUGGGUACUGCCCUUACUUGGACAAGCAUCGCACUUAUGAUUAACCCCUAUUGCAAGCAUCCGCAAGUACAACAAAAGUAUUAAGGUAAACCUAACCAUAGCAUGAAACAUAUGGAUCCAAAUCAGCCCCUAACAAAGCAACGCAUAAACUAGGGUUUAAGCUUCUGUCACUCUAGCAACCCAUCAUCUACUUAUUACUUCCCUAUGCCCUCCUCUAGGCGCAAUAAUGGUGAAGUGUCAUGUAGUCGACGUUCACAUGACACCACUAGAGGAGAAGAGAACAUACAUCUCAUCAAAAUAUCGAUCGAAUACCAAAUUCACAUGACUACUAAUAGCAAGACUUCACCCAUGUCCUCAGGAACAAACGUAACUACUCACAAAGCAUAUUCAUGUUCAUGAUCAGAGAUGUAGUAAUAUGCAUUAAGGAUAUGAACAUAUGAUCUUUCACCAAGUAAACCAAUAAGUAUCAACUAGAAGGAGUAAUCAACACUGCUAGCAACCCACAGGUACCAAUUUGUGGUUUUGGAUACAAGAUUGGAUACAAGAGAUGAACUAGGGUUUGAGAGGAGAUGGUGCUGGUGAAGAUGUUGAUGGAGAUUGACCCCCUCCCGAUGAGAGCAUCGUUGGUGAUGACGUUGGUGAUGAUUUCCCCCUCCCAGAGGGAAGUGUCCCCGGAAAAACAGCUCUGCCAGAGCCCUAGAUUGGUUCCGCCAAGGUUCCGCCUCGUGGCGGCGGAGUUUCGUCCCGUAAGCUUGCCCACGAUUUUUUCCAGGGUAAAAGCGAUGAUAUAGCAGAAGAUGGACACCGGAGGUCCACCAGGGGGCCCAGGAAAUAGGGGGCGCACCCUAUAGGGGGGGCGCCCUAUAGGGGGGUGCCCCCUGUCUCCUGGACAGGGUGUGGGCCCCCUGGUUUAUUUCUUUCGCUCAAAAAUUCUUAUUAAUUCCGAAAGUUGUUUCGUGGAGUUUCAGGACUCUUGGAGUUGUGCAGAAUAGGUUUCCAACGUUUGUUCCUUUUUCUAGCCAGAAUUCCAGUUGCCGGCAUUCCCCCUCUUCAUGGUAAACCUUGUAAAAUAAGAGAGAAUAGCCAUAAGUACUGAGAUAUAUUGUGUAAUAACAGCCCAUAAUGCAAUAAAUAUUGAUAUAAAAGCAUGAUGCAAAAUGGACGUAUCGGAGUCGGCGUUGGCGUACUUGUCCGCCGUCACCAUGAGCGCGGCCAUGGUGGCCGGCUCGGAGCGUAGGAGCUUGUGUUUGAGGAGGGUUCCAUCUCGGCACCCGCUGACGAAGUACUGUAUCGCCUGGACUUCAAGGACGCCUCGCAGCUAUUCCGGAGCUCGGUCCAGCGUGCGAGGUACUCACGGCCGGUCUCCUCGGCCCCUCCACGCACAUGGCGAGCUGGCUGGGGCGAACGGGUCGCUUGUAGGUCCCCGUAAAGUUGUGGACAAAGGCUUCCACGAAGUCGACCCACGCGUUGAUGCUUCCCAUCGGCAGGCUGUUCAACCAUGUGCGGGCCGACCCCUGGACCAUGAGCGGUGCGUAGCACACGGCGAGACAAUGAUUGGCACCGGUGAUGCCAAUGGCCGUGGUGUAGUCGGUGAGCCAGUCUUCUGGCUUCACCGUCCCGUUGUACUUGGGGGUGUCGCGGGGGAGCAUGAACCAUUUGGGAAUGGGCUCCUCCCGGAUGGGUGGUCCGAAGCACGCCGGCCCGAUAGCGCCGCUCUCCCCCAAAUCCAGGGAGCGAGCGAGCUGAUCGAGGCGGUGGCACGCGUCGGCGUCGUUGAUGGCGCGCGGGCCGAGUCGACUGGUGGUCAGGCCCCGAGGGGCCGGGUCGGUUGGAGCCGGACGUCGGCCAUGCUGGCCGGGUCCGUGCUGGGUCUCCCAGGCGGGCUCAUUGCCCGGGACGUCGGCGGCCAUGGUGGCCGGGUUGCGCCAAGUCCGGGUUCGGUCGGAGUGCACUUCGCCGGGUGGCGAGGAAGUCGUGUGCAGGAGUUCGCCGGGUCCGCCAAGGCGGGCGGAGCCGGACCCCGCCGGCUUGGCAAGCUGGUUGAGGCGAUCCUGCUAGGUGUUGGCGGCGUGGAGGAGCUCGCGCAUCCGCCCGAUGCGCUCUUUGAGCUCCUCGCCCGCGAGUUGGUCGAGGCCGACCGCGGCAGCCUCCGCAGCGUGCAUGUUCUUCACUGGGGUCUCGUAGAAGGCCUGGACGGCGCCGAAGGCCCGGCCGAUCGCUCCUCCCCAGGUGCGAGCAUCGGCGACCCGGCUUGGCUCGGCCGCGGCGGGUGUGAAUCCGUGGGCGGCGUCAGGCUCCAACUGAGCGGCCUCCAGGCGACGCCUGGUGGCGGUUCUCGGACAGGUCCAGCAUCUGAUUGCGUCUAUCCUCGAGCUGGGUUCGGGCUUUGACAACGUUGGUGGCGUCGACGUUGGUGCCGAUGGGGAUGCGGAGGCUUUGCAUCGCGGCGCGCAGCGGGUCGGACGGCACGGUCCGUGCCGCAGCGGCCCCGGCUUCUGCGACCCUCCUCGCCUUGCUCGACGAGGAAGAGGCGCGAUCGCCGGUGACGAAAACCUCCACAUGGACGUCCAUCGCCCCGGCGGCGAUACCGCUGCCAAGGGAGAGUGGAGAGUCGGAGUGCUGAGCACCUCGCUGGGGUACUCGUCGACCGCGAACACAUCGGAGAUGCACAGCGCGGUGAACGAUGCGGCGAGCGCACCGGUGACGUCGUCUGCCAGAGCGACGGACUCGUCGGAGUAGGAGAAGGGCCCCGUCUGAAGCAUGCUCGCGGCUAGCUCCUCGAGCUACCCCAUGGUGAGCGCCAACUGUCGUGGUGGGCGCACGGCAGAUGCCAAGGGAUGGCUAAAGAGAGGAGGAGGCUCGAGGGCGCUGGUGGGCUCCAGAGGCGAGGUUGGCAUGCGCGAGCGCGGGACGCUGGACAUACCCAGGUUCGGGGCUCUCCGGAGAGAUAACACCCCUAGUCCUGCCGAGUUUAGUUGGAUGGUCGAUUGCAACAAUGUUGCUCCUGGAACUGUAUGGAGGAGGAAGGAAGCUGGCCAAGGCUUGGGCCGCUCCUUCUCUACGGCGCUGCCGUUGGGUGGCUAGUCCUAUGGCUACUUGUGUUUCUCUUGUGUCUCGUACAUAUGACUCUCUCUAUAGGCGCGGGUUCCUGGGGGAUUUUAUAGAUCAACCCACCUAGGGUUACAAUGGUAAUACGCCGAGUCGGUGGGUCCGUAUUGUCGGUGUCUGGGAUACCGGGCUGGGUCCCCGCUUGAGGGCUUGUGGUUCGCCGGGUUACCCUAGGUGCGGGCCCCGCGUGCCUAGGGGAACUGUUUGUCGUCUUGUCAAUCGUCAGGGCGUGGCCGAGUCGAGUCGUGUACAGUGCUCUACAUUAGGUUGCAGCUUGUUGCCGUCAUCGGUGAGGGCAAGAGCACUGUUCCCACGCCAGCCUCGGUUAGCGGGUAGGUCAAGGGCAUUGUUGCCACGCUCCGGCUGACCAUAGGCAUGGGCGGAAGCAUUGUAGUCUUGGUCAUCGGUGAUUAAAGUCUCGUCCCAUCGUACGGCCUGGAUGGGACGGGAGCUACGUGGCUGGGUUGCCGUGCACGCCACGGGUGGGGUCGGCUUGUUGGGGAAGCCUUGGUGGCGCCGGGUUGGGUUGUCUUGCGCCAGUUGCUGUGGCCGGGUCGACGUACCUUGCCGAGUCGAAGAGCUUGGCCGGGUUGCGGGCCUUGCCGGGUCGAGCGACCUGGCCAGGCGCGUGCCCGUUCGUGGGACGAUGCGGGCCCUGCCAUUCUUGAAAAGGAUCCGGGUUCCGUUGCCUGCCCGGGGUUCAUCCCCCCGAUAGGGGUGGCGCCCAGGCCACUUAGGGGCUGGUUCCCUUCGACAUACAUCCCAUAGGGCCCUCCUGGGCAGGUGGACCCUCCCGGUGGACCCCCGGAACCCCUCCGGUGGUCCCGGUACAAUACCGGUAAACCCUCGAAUACUUCCGGUGACCGUAUAAUGACUUCCCAUAUAUAAAUCUUCACCUCUGGACCAUUCCGAAACUCCUCGUGGUGACCGGGAUCUCAUUCGGGACUCCGAACAACAUUCGGUAAUCACGUACAAAUCUUCCCUUUAACCCUAGCAUCAUCGAACCUUAAGUGUGUAGACCCUACGGGUUCGGGAAUCAUGCAGACAUGACCGAGACAGCUCUCCGGCCAAUAACCAACAGUGGGAUCUGGACACCCAUGUUGGCUCCCACAUGUUCCACGAUGAUCUCAUCAGAUGAACCACAAUGUCGAGGAUUCAAGCAAUCUCGUAUGCAAUUCCCUUUGUCAAUCAGUACGUUACUUGCCCGAGAUUCUAUCAUCGGUAUCCCAAUACCUCGUUCAAUCUCGUUACUGGCAAGUCACUUUACUCGUUGCGUAAUGCAUGAUACUGUGACUAACUACUUAGUCACAUUGAGCUAAUUAUGAUGAUGCAUUACCAAGUGGGCCCAGAGAUACCUCUCCGUCAUACGGAGUGACAAAUCCCAUUCUCCAUUAGUGCCAACCCAACAAACACUUUCGGAGAUACCUAUAGUGCACCUUUAUAGUCACCUAGUUACGUUGUGACGUUUGGUACACCCAAAGCACUCCUACAGUAUCCGGGAGUUACACAAUCUCAUGGUCUAAGGAAAUGACACUUGACAUUAGAAAAGCUUUAGCAAACGAACUACACGAUCUUGUGCUAUGCUUAGGAUUGGGUCUUGUCCAUCACAUCAUUCUCCUAAUGAUGUGAUCCCGUUAUCAAUGACAUCCAAUGUCCAUAGUCAGGAAACCAUGACCAUCUGUUGAUCAACGAGCUAGUCAACUAGAGACUCACUAGGGACAUGUUGUGGUCUAUGUAUUCACACAUGUAUUACGGUUUCCAGUUAAAACAAUUAUAGCACGAACAAUAGACAAUUAUCAUGAACAAGGAAAUAUAAUAAUAACCAUUUUAUUAUUGCCUCUAGGGCAUAUUUCCAAUAGUCUCCCACUUGCACUAGAGUCAAUAAUCUAGUUCCAUUGUGAUGAAUCGAACACCCAUAGAGUUCUGGUAUUGAUCAUGUUUUGCUCGUGGAAGAGGUUUAGUCAACGGAUCUGCGACAUUCAGAUCCGUAUGUACUUUACAAAUCUCUAUGUCUCCAUCUUGAACAUUUUCACGAAUGGAGUUGAAGUGACGCUUGAUAUGCCUAGUCUUCUUGUGAAACCUAGGCUCCUUGCUAAGGGCAAUAGCUCCAGUGUUGUCACAGAAGAGAGUCAUCGGGCCCGACUUAUUGGGAAUAACUCCUAGGUCGGUAAUGAACUCAUUCAUUCAGAUUGCUUCAUGCGCUGCCUCCGAGGGUGCCAUGUACUCCGCUUCACAUGUAGAACCCUCCACGACGCUUUGCUUGCAACUGCACCAGCUUACUGCCCCACCAUUCAAAAUAUACACGUAUCCGGUUUGUGACUUGGAGUCAUCCACAUCUGUGUCGAAGCUAGCAUCGACGUAACCCUUUACGAUGAGCUCUUCGUCACCUCCAUAAAUGAGAAACAUAUCCUUAGUCCUUUUCAGGUACUUCAGGAUAUUCUUGACCGCUGUCCAGUGUUCCAUGCCGGGAUUACUUUGGUACCUCCCUACCAAACUUACGGCAAGGUUUACCUCAGGUCUGGUACACAACAUGGCAUACAUAAUAGACCCUAUGGACGAGGCAUAGGGGAUGACACUCAUCUUUUCUCUAUCUUCUGCCGAGGUCGGGCAUUGAGCUGUGCUCAAUUUCUCACCUUGCAAAACAGGCAAGAACCCUUUCUUGGACUGAUCCAUAUUGUACUUCUUCAAUAUCUUAUCAAGGUAUGUGCUUUGUGAAAGACCGAUGAGGCGUCUCGAUCUAUCUCUAUAGAUCUUGGUAUGUGCCUUUAUGCUAUCCAAAAGGUCUACAUCAUUUCCCAUCAAUAGUAUGCCAUCCACAUAUAAUACGAGAAAUGCUACAGAGCUCCCACUCACAAUCUUGUAAAUGCAGGCUUCUUCAUAAGUCUGCACAAACCCAAACGCUUUGAUUAUUUCAUGAAAGCGAAUGUUCCAACUCCGAGAUGUUGCACCAGCCCAUAGACGGAGCGCUGGAGCUUGCACACCUUGUUAGCAUUUUUAGGAUCGACAAAACCUUCCGGCUGCAUCAUAUACAAUUCUUCCUUGAGGAAACCGUUAAGGAAUGCCAUUUUGACGUCCAUUUGCCAUAUCUCAUAAUCAUAGAAUGCGGCAAUUGCUAACAAGAUUCGGACGGACUUCAGCUUCGCUAAGGGUGAGAAGGUCUCAUCGUAGUCAACCCCUUGAACUUGUCAGUAACCCUUAGCGACAAGUCGAGCUUUAUAGAUGGUAACAUUACCAUUCGCGUCGGUCUUCUUCUUAAAGAUCCAUUUAUUUUCUAUCGCUCGCCGAUCAUCGGGCAAGUCUAUCAAAGUCCAUACUUUGUUUUCAUACAUGGAUCCUAUCUUGGAUUGCAUGGCUUCAAGUGAUUUGUUGGAACCUGGGCCCGCCAUCGCUUCUUCAUAGUUCGAAGGUUCACCGUUGUCUAACAACAUGAUUUCCAGGACAGGGUUGCCAUACCAUUCUGGUGUGGAACGUGUCCUUGUGGACCUACGAAGUUCAGUAGCAACUUGAUCCGAAGUACCUUGAUCAUCAUCAUUAACUUCCUCUCUAGUCGGCGCAGCCACCACAGAAACAUCUUCCUGAGCUGCGCUACUUUCCGGUUCAAGAGGCAGUACUUCAUCAAGUUCUACUUUCCUCCCACUUACUUCUUUCGAGAGAAACUCUUUCUCCAGAAAGGACCCAUUCUUGGCAACAAAGAUCUUGCCUUUGGAUCUGGGGUAUAAGGUAUACCCAAUGGUUUCCUUAGGGUAUCCUAUGAAGACGCAUUUUUUCUGACUUGGGUUCGAUCUUUUCAGGUUGAAGUUUCUUGACAUAAGCAUCGCAUCCCCAAACCAUUAGAAACGAUAGCUUAGGUUUCUUCCCAAACCAUAAUUCAUACGGUGUCGUCUCAAAGGAUUUAGACGGUGCCCUAUUUAAAGUGAAUGUAGCUGUCUCUAAAGCGUAUCUCCAAAAUGAUUGCGGUAAAUCGGUAAGAGACAUCAUAGAUCACACCAUAUCCAAUAGAGUGCGAUUAUGAUGUUCGGACACACUGUUACGCUGAGGUGUUCCAGGCGGCGUGAGUUGUGAAACAAUUCCACAUUUCCUUAAUUGCGUACCAAACUCGUGACUCAAAUAUUCUCCCCUAUGAUCUGAUCGUAAGAACUUUAUUUUUCUGUCACGUUGAGUCUCUACCUCACUCUGAAAUUCCUUGAUCUUUUCAAAGGUCAGACUUGUGUUUCAUUAAUUAGACAUACCCAUACCUACUUAAGUCAUCAGUGAGGGUGAGAACAUAGCAUAGCCACCGCGAGCCUCAACGCUCAUUGAACCGCACACAUCAGUAUGUAUGGUUUCCAAUAAGUUGGUUCCUCGCUCCAUUGUUGCAGAGAAUGGAAUCUUGGUCAUUUUGCCCAUGAGGCAUGGUUCGCACGUGUCAAAUGAUUCGUAAUCAAGAGACUCCAAAAGUCUAUCUGCAUGGAGCUUCUUCAUGCGUUUGACACCAAUGUGACCAAGGCGGCAGUGCCACAAGUAUGUGGGACUAUCAUUAUCAACCUUACAUCUUUUGGUAUUCACACUAUGAAUAUGUGUAACAUCACGUUCGAGAUUAAUUAAGAAUAAACCAUUGACCAGCGGGGCAUGACCAUAAAACAUAUCUCUCAUAUAAAUAGAACAACCAUUAUUCUCGGAUUUAAAUGAGUAGCCAUCUCGCAUUAAACGAGAUCCAAAUACAAUGUUCAUACUCAAAGCUGGCACUAAAUAACAAUUAUUGAGGUUUAAAACUAAUCCCGUAGGUAAAUGUAGAGGUAGUGUGCCAACGGCGAUCACAUCGACCUUGGAACCAUUCCCGACGCGCAUCAUCACCUCGUCCUUCGCCAGUCUCCACUUAUUUCGCAGCUCCUGUUUUUAGUUACAAAUACGAGCAACCACACCGGUACCAAAAACCCAGGAGCUACUACGAGUACUGGUAAGGUACACAUCAAUAACAUGUAUAUCACAUAUACCUUUGGUGUUGCCGGCCUUCUUGUCCGCUAAGUACUUGGGGCAGUUCUGCUUCCAAUGACUGUUUCCCUUGCAAUAAAAGCACUCAGUCUUAGAUUUGGGUCCAUGCUUUGGCUUCUUCCGGGCAACUGGCUUACCGGGCACGGAAGCUCCCUUGCCGUCCUUCUUGAAGUUCUUAUUUCCCAUGCCUUUCUUGAAACUUGUGGUUUUAGUGACCAUCAACACUUGAUGUUCCUUUUUGAUCUCCACCUCCACUGGUUUCAGCAUUGAAAAAACCCCAGGAAUGGUUUUCACCAUCCCCUGCAUAUUGUAAUUCAUCACAAAGCUCUUGUAGCUAGGUGGGAGCGACUGAAGGAUUCUGUCAAUGACCAAGUCAUCCGGGAGAUUAACUCCCAGCUGAGACAAACGGUUAUGCAACCCAGACAUUUUGAGCAUGUGCUCGCUAACAGAACCAUUCUCCUCCAUUUUACAACUGUAGAACUUGUCGAAGACUUCAUAUGUCUCGACCCGGGCAUGAGCUUGGAAAACCAUUUUCAGCUCUUGAAACAUCUCAUAAGCUCCGUGCUGCUCAAAACGCUUUUGGAGCCCCGGUUCUAAGCUGUAAAGCAUGCCGCACUGAACCAGGGAGUAAUCAUCACUACGCGACUGUCAGUCAUUCAUAACGUCUUGAGUGGCUGGGAAAACGGGUGCUUCACCUAGCGGCGCAUCUAGGACAUAUGCUUUCUUGCCAGCUAUGAGGAUGAUCCUCAAGUUCCAGACCCAGUCCGUGUAGUCGCUACCAUCGUCUUUCAGCUUGGUUUUCUCUAGGAACGUGUUGAAGUUGAGGGUAACAUUAGCGUGGGCCAUUUGAUCUACAAGACAUAUUGCAUAGAUUUUUAGACUAAGUUCAUGAUAAUUAAGUUCAUCUAAUCAAAUUAUUUAAUGAACUCCCACUCACAUAGAAAUCCCUCUAGUCAUCUAAGUGAUACAUGAUCCGAGUCAACUAGGCCGUGUCCGAUCAUCACGUGAUACAGACUAGUCAUCAUCGGUGAACAUCUUCAUGUUGAUCGUAUCUACUAUACGACUCAUGUUCGACCUUUCGGUCUUUUGUGUUCCGAGGCCAUGUCUGUACAUGCUAGGCUCGUCAAGUCAACCUAAGUGUUUUUGCAUGUGUAAAUCUGGCUUACAUCCGUUGUAUGCGAAUGUUAGAAUCUAUCACACCCGAUCAUCACGUGGUGCUUCGAAACAACGAACUUUCACAACGGUGCACAGUUAGGGGGGACACUUUCUUGAAAUUUUAUGAGGGAUCAUCUUAUUUAUGCUACCGCCGUUCUAAGCAAAUAAGAUGCAAAAACAUGAUAAACAUCACAUGCAAUCAAAUAGUGACAUGAUAUGGCCAAUAUCAUUUUGCUCCUUUUGAUCUCCAUCUUCGGGGCGCCACGAUCAUCAUCGUCACCUGCAUGACACCAUGAUCUCCAUCAUCGUGUCUUCAUGAAGAUGUAUCGCCAACUAUUACUUCUACUAUUAUGGCUAAUGGCUUAGCAAUAAAGUAAAGUAAUUACAUGGCGUUAUUCAAUGACACGCGGGUCAUACAAUAAAUUAAGACAACUCCUAUGGCUCCUGCCGGUUGUCAUACUCAUCGACAUGCAAGUCGUGAUUCCUAUUACAAGAACAUGAUCAAUCUCAUACAUCACAUAUAUUUCAUUCAUCACAUCCUUUUGGCCAUAUCACAUCACACGGCAUAUGCUGCAAGAACAAGUUAGACGUCUUCUAAUUGUUGUUGCAAGUUUUUACAUGGCUGCUAUAGGUUUCUAACAAGAACAUUUCUUACCGAUGCCAAAACCACAACGUGAUAUGCCAAUUGCUAUUUACCCUUCAUGAGGACCCUUUUCAUCAAAUCCGAUCCGACUAAAGUGGGAGAGACAGACACCCGCUAGCCACCUUAUGCAACUAGUGCAUGUCAGUCGGUGGAACCUAUCUCACGUAAGUGUACGUGUAAGGUCGGUCCGGGCCGCUUCGUCCCACGAUGCCGCCGAAUCAAGAUAAGACUAGUAGUGGCAAGUAAAUUGACAAAAUCGACGCCCACAACAACUUGUGUUCUACUCGUGCAUAGAAACUACGCAUAGACCUAUCUCAUGAUGCCACUAUUGGGGAUCGUUGCAGAAAUAAAAAAAUUCUACGCAUCACCAAGAUCAAUCUAUGGAGAAACUAGCAACGAGAGAGAGUGGAGUUCAUCUUCAUACCCUUGAAGAUCAUGAAACGGAAGCAUUGCAAGAACGCGGAUGAAGGAGUCGUACUCGUAGCAAUUCAGAUCGCGGUGGAUUCUGAUCUAAGCGCCGAACAACGGCACCUCCGCGUUCAACACACGUGCAGCCCGGUGACGUCUCUCGCGCCUUGAUCCAGCAAGGAGGAGGGAGAGGUUGAGGAAGACAGCUCCAGCAGCAGCACGACGGCGUGGUGGUGGUGGAGCAACAGUUCUCCGGCAGGGCUUCGCCAAGCUCAAACGGAGGAGGAGAGGUGUUGGAGAGGUGGAGGGAUGCGCCUUGGAUGUCGUGCGGCUGCCCUCCCUCCUCCCCUCUAUUUAUAGGGUGAAGGGGGAAGGGGGCCGGCCCCUCUAGAUGAGAUCUAGAGGGCGGGCAGCGGCCAAGGGGAGGGGGCUUGCCCCCAAGCCAAGGGGGCGCCCCCUUUAGGGUCCCCCCCAACCCUAUGCUCAUGGGUCCUUGGGAGUGGCGCUCAGCCCACUUAGGGUCUGGUUCCCUUCUACAUACAUCCCAUAGGGCCCUCCGGGGCAGGUAGACCCUCCCGGUGGACUCCCGGAACCCCUCCGGUGGUCCCGGUACAAUAUGGGUAAACCUCCGAAUACUCCGGUGACCGUAUGAUGACUUCCCAUAUAUAAAUCUUCACCUCUGAACCAUUCCGGAACUCCUCAUGACGUCCUGGAUCUCAUCCGGGACUUCGAACAACAUUCGGUAAUCACGUACAAAUCUUCCCUAUAAACCUAGCAUCAUCGAACCUUAAGUGUGUAGACCAUACGGGUUCGGGAAUCAUGCAGACAUGACCGAGACAGCUCUCCGGCCAAUAACCAAGAGCGGGAGCUGGAUACCCAUCUUGGCCCCCACAUGUUCCAUGAUGAUCUCAUCGGAUGAGCCACGAUGUCGAGGAUUUAAGCAAUCCCAUAUGCAAUUCCCUUUGUCAAUCGGUACGUUACUUACCCGAGAUUCGAUCGUCGGUAUCCCAAUACCUCGUUCAAUCUUGUUACCGGCAAGUCACUUUACUCGUUGCGUAAUGCAUGAUCCCGUGACUAACUACUUAGUAACAUUGAGCUCAUUAUGAUGAUGCAUUACCGAGUGGGCCCAAAGAUACCUCUCCGUCAUACGGAGUGACAAAUCCCAGUCUCGAUUCGUGCCAACCCAAGAAACACUUUCGGAGAUACCUGUAGUGCACCUUUAUAGUCCCAGUUACGUUGCGACGUUUGGUACACCCAAAGCACUCCUACGGUAUCCGAGAGUUACACAAUCUCAUGGUCUAAGGAAAUGAUACUUGACAUUAGAAAUGAUACUUGUGCUAUGCUUAGGAUUCGGUCUUGUCCAUCACUUCAUUCUCCUAAUGAUGUGAUCCCGUUAUCAAUGACAUCCAAUGUCCAUAGUCAGGAAACCAUGACCAUAUGUUGAUCAACGAGCUAGUCAACUAGAGGCUCACUAGGGACAUGUUGUGGUCUAUGUAUUCACACAUGUAUUACGGUUUCCGGUUAAUACAAUUAUUGCACGAAUAGCAGACAAUUAUCAUGAACAAGGAAAUAUAAUAAUAACCAUUUUAUUAUUGCCUCUAGGGCAUAUUUCCAACAAGCACCAGGUUCGGGCCUCUAUAUGGAGGUAAUGCCCUACUUCCUGCUUGAUUGAUCUUGAUGAAUAUGAGUAUUACAAGAGUUGAUCUACCACAAGAUCGUAAUGGCUAAACCCUAGAAGUCUAGCUUGUAUGAUUGUCAUGAUCCUUUAUCGACUAGCCUGACCUUGGCCUAUAUAAUACACCAGAGGCCUAGGGUAACAAGAGUCCUAGCCGAAUAAGUUGGUCGAGAGGAGUCCUUGUCUUGAUCACCAAGUCUUGUGGAAUACUCCUUGUAUGCGGCAUGGGCUGCCCAAAGUGGCCCAUGUGUGAACUGCCAUGGGGGUCCUCGGCCCGAUCCACCUAGUCGGGAGAUGAUGUGGUGAGUACCCCCUAGUCCAGGACACCAUCAGUAGCCCCCUAAACCGGUCUUCAAGUUGGGGACGCUCCUUGAUCCUUCCGAACUGUUCUUCAUCUUCGGUCGUCGGUCUUGAAAACUGGUUCAACAAAUCUUCUCGUCUUCGAUCUUGAGGAUCGCCGAAAUGAAUCCGAAGGGUUUACACAUCGGGUAUCCAAGGAGCCCCUUUAAGUUCUCGACCUUUAUCAAUGCCUUAGAAUUAUUUUUUACGCCACACCUCGGGUUUGAAGUUGUUCCUGUGCGGCGGUGUCCUCUUGCAUCCGAGCUCCAACGCCGGACUGCAUUCGAGAUAUCUUUUGCAGCCGAGCACCAACACCGGACUAUAUCCGAGCUCCAACGCCGGACUAUAUCCGAGGUGUCAUAGAUCACAUUGGCUUGAAAAGUUUGAAGGAGGUUAUCCAAGUUUAACGCUGAAAAGUUCUCUAUGGAACGAGCCAUUUGAAUCCGGGCUUUAUGCCGGACCACUUCCGAGCUCCAACGAUGGUCAGCGCCCGAGGUGUCGUAAACUACCUCGGUCUUUUAAAAGAUGCCGAGCUAAAUGUCAGAAAUGCCCUCUAUGGAGCCAGCCCCUGGCGCCCAAACAUUAUGUCGGACUGCUUCCGAGGUGGUGCACCACCCCGACCGCGGGCUGAUUUUUGUGAAUAUUUUUUAUUGGUGCAAUUUACUCUCUGCCGAGAUAUAUAGCUAGUAUAUGUAUAUCCAGUAGCCCUCAAGGUGUGUGUCAGUCUAAACCCGAGGUGCGCCUGAAGGAAAACAUAAAACUGCUGAUCCUGGUAGGCCCUAACACUCAGGUCGAUUUGCAAAAUCGGCCUGAGGAUCAAAUCCUAGCUCGGCAGGAGACGUAGAAAUAGAAACACAGUGUAAUAUAUUAGAGAUAAUAGUGAUCAACGAACGGGCCCUUGACAGAGGGUCUUGAGAAGUUGCCGCAAUAUAUUAGCUUGACGCCAUAUAGGUCCAGAUGGUACCUAUUGUUGUCUGAAGACGCGUUUGCCCAUAGUUCGGUCAAGCCGAACACUAAGCACUUUGAAGUUUCUGCAUUGAAUAGGCAACGAAGUAACCCCCGAGACACUGGUCAGGUGGCAACACCAGAUCAGGAAAACGAUGUGCCCCUUUAAUAUUUAUAAAUAAUGAGCGUGAAGCCCAGUAGCCCCAGAGCCUUAAUGUGGGCACGGGAGGCCGAAUUAAGGAUCGAUAUCCGUGUGACAGAAAAUUUUGUUCUGUUUAACACAAACUUCUCGAAAAGUGAAUAAAGAUCUCUUAAAGGAGCUAAAGCCAGCAUGCUCGCCAAGGUUGGUCCCAAGGUCCUUUGCAUUGAACACAUAAACAUUGUUAAGAUCUUUGGGUUUUAUAUUUCUGUUGUGAUCGAACAAAGAUUAAACUUUUCCAGGAGAAUCAUGGGAGCCUUCCGCAAAUCAAACUGUUGAGUUGGUCACGUGGAAUAUCAUAUUGACAUUUAAUAAUCAAACACCAGGAUGUUUAUAUUUUUGGUUUGGCCUAUCGAUCCAAACCCGUGAUACAUAUGUACGAGCAAUCAAAAUGAUCAAAAUUAAGCUAGCAUAUUGAGAGUAUAUAGAAAUGUCCACAGGCAGUUUUGUACCCUACUGUGACAUGUGAAGAUUACACGAGGCAUCAAGAUCCAAAUACACCAUAAUAGUAUAUGUUAUUUCUUCAACUACUACUUUGCUAUAAUUGUAUUUUUCAAAUUAGUGUAAAAAGGGACAUGACAUGUCACAAUGUGACAUGCUGAUUGCCAUAAAUAGUUAGAUCACUAUUUUGCGUGAUACAAAGCUAUGGUUGUAUGCACGAAAUGACAUUAUUUGUUUCGGCCGACACAAUGAACAUAAACGAGGAUUAUAUAUUUGCGCCAAUAAUAAUUGUGUUUUCGCAUAAUUUGGUGACAAAAAUAUUAGUAGUGAAUCAGAACUCCCUGUGAAUGCCUUUAGCCCUCCUGUAGUUUCCAUCAAUUCAUUACUCUCCUGUUCUUGUUACUAUUAUUUUAGCACACCUUAAUUCUUGUUCACAAACUCUUGCAAUAUUUUCACUUUCACACCUCUUUGAUCAGGAGUUAAAAUAUUUGCAUGCACUUUCUGAUAAACCUCUAGUAGAGGCAAAAGACUAUUUCUUAAUUUUUCUUUCGGGUCAAGACUAUUACUUCAAAAUGGCUACAACUAUAUUGUGUGCACUUGCAUGAGAUCAGAAAAAACAUAUUGAUUGGAAUGCACUAAUUUAAGAAUAAAUUUUUGGAGCAUGUUUACCAAAAGCUUGGUUAUCAUCUUGAUGGAGCAAUUCAGAAAGGAAAUAGGUCUGAAAUCAUUAUCCUAAAUUGCGGAGCCAUUUUUGGAAUUAGAGUAAUUAAAGAAGAGUCAAUGCUCUAAAUAUUGAUUGAACCAUGGUAAAACUCCUUAAACAAUGCACAGAAAUCAGGGGCAAUAGUCUCCCAACAAACUUUAACAAAAUCUGAAUUAAGACCAUCUAGGCCUGCGGAUUCGUGAGAGGGCAAAUUCCUGACUGCUUUAACAAUUUCCUCUUUAGUGAAAGAUUUCUCUGAAAAAAGUAGACCAUCAUUUCUCGUAAGCAAAGAAUCCAAAUUCAUAAGGUUGAAAGUUGGGACAGUAUAGCCAUGUCUUUGCUUGAAAGAUCUACCAAAGAAAGCAGCCUUGGCAUGAUGUUCGGAGUGCCCAUGCCUCUGCUUAUCUCUUAAUAUAGCAAUGUGAUUAUUUCUCAAUAAUUGAUGCCUUUGCAUGAUUUUGUUUUACUUUGCUUCCCCCAAAGGUACCCAUAUAAUAGUGUCUCUUUGUUUCGAGUAGAUUUGCUGGUGUGGGAGAAGCUGAAGGAGAUGAUUUUCGAGGAUUUGUCUGAUUGUUCCACUUAUGAAUUGCAAGAUUUCUAAAUUCUUCAAUAGUGUCAUAGAAUUAAUCACUGAGUUUGGUAGCUUUGAUAGUGGUAGAGAGAUUAGAAAUUAUUUUGGAACACAGUUUUAAACCUUUUCUUGGUCUUUUGAAAUUUGCAUUUACUCUUUUGGAACUAUCAUGUUUGUGAAUUUGUUGGUCCCAAAUUGUAUUAAAAGUAUCUUUAAAGUCUGGGUGUUGCAACCAGUAAAUUUCAAACCUGAAAAUAGAGGACUCCAGAAUAGAUGUACCAAUCCAAAUGAAACAAGGGAUGUGGUAAAAAAAAAUAGGUCUGCCCUGAGGAAUAGCCAUAGUGUUUGGAUAAUUAAUAGUCUAGGAUUUAGAGGAGAAUACCCAAUCAAGCUUUUCCAAGAGAGGAGCACUCUGCAUAUUGCUCAAAGUAAACAUUCUGCCUCCAAGGGGAAUUUCAAUAAGAGCAAGGGAAUUGAUGGCUUCAUUUAAAGAAAACAUGGCAUGUGCACUACCGUCUUCUCUAUUUUUUGUUCUUAGGGCAGAUGACAUAAUUGAAAUCUCCAACCACCAACUAAGCCUGAUAAACUGGCAUGCACAUUUUGGAAUCAGUCAAUGAAAGUAGUUAAGUUUUUGACUUGAUAGGGUCCAUAUGUAUUGGUUAGAAUCCAAGACUCACCUAAGUGUAUUGAGGUGAACCUGUUGGAUAUAGGAAAUUCAUUAUGAACGCAACUUCAUUCUGACCUACAAAGAAACCACUAGAGGCCCUAGAGAGGGCAUAAUUAAAAUUUGCUAAAUAUUUUUGGACCAUAUAGAAGACAAGGUUUCGAUAACAAAUACACGACUUGAUCUUAUGGUAUAUGAUAUUGUACACAAAGCAUAUAUGAUAAGCACUCUGUCUGCAUACUAUUUCUUUCAAAAGAAAGUUCCACAGGUGUCAUAAGGUAACAAGACAUAACCGCCUUGCUAUUCUAUGAUCUACCUAGGACUUCUCUUUGGAAAAUGACAAGGCGCUCCUUUAUUUUUGCAUCCUUAGAGCGAGC